Molecule: long non-coding RNA, 338167 nt
Filed under: Triticum aestivum (bread wheat)
Lineage: Eukaryota; Viridiplantae; Streptophyta; Magnoliopsida; Poales; Poaceae
Description: long non-coding RNA (TAES_LNC004132)
Source: RNAcentral
ACGGUUUCUCUUGUGUCCUAAGGUGUUUUAGCUACUUAGGCGCAAUUCAACGUCAUCAUCACCUCCACUCGACCAUCGACUCGGCCUCCACAUCGUCUUCCACCAACAUUACCUUCAUACCAAUCGUAACCAAGGAUGGUAACCUCGACGACGCCUUUGUGCCACCCUUGCCAAUACUUUGAUAGCUUUGAGCCUCUUUUGUGUAGCUUACCCAUCGAGACUAGCUUGUUGAGUAUUGCCGGGCCACGCCUUAGUGCACCAUUAGUGUUACGUCUCUACUGUGCAAAAACUACUUGUUAUCUCGCAUCGUGGCUCGCAUAUCAAGCAUUGUGGCAUAGUCAAGAAAAAAAGCUUUUAAGCAAAAGAGAAGAGAUGCAAAGAGCUUAUAAGAAAUAGCAUCAAGCUUCAUAAGAUAGUUACUUCAUCUUGGUCCCUACAUACAUAAGCAUACUUGGGAUAGUGAGACGACCCAUUUCUAUAUUAGGUUGUUGCACUAGCGUAUCUAGCCCAUUAGAGCAAUCGAGCUAGCGUCUCUCUCGUAUCCGUACAACAAGAGCAUUGUGCGUGGUUCCUCAUCUUAGAGUUCACCCCUUGGUUGUGCGAAUCCCAUCUAUCUUCCAUGUGUGUGUUCCUAGUGUUAUCCUUGGGCUUGAUAUAUUUGUCUUAUUUGUCAUUUGUGAAUCUUCUCAACUUUAUCAACAUCUUGACUAACAUUUGCUUUAAUUAUUUAUGCCACUUCCUAACCGAGCUCCACCAUAAGCCAUUUACUUGUAGGUGUGAGAAACAAUAGCUGGUACCAAUUCUCCUAUUAUAGCUUCAUGUGGGAUCGUACUUGUUACAUCCACAAUCUUCGAAAAAGGUAACUUUGGUUUUGUUCUCUCAUUUCCUACUCAUCUCCACUUUCACAUGAUGGAUAGGCUGAGUUCUUCUACCAACCUACUCUUCAUCGAGCAAGACGACGACAUGACCUCCUACGUCACCAAGCAACACCUCUUUGGUGCACAAAAAGCUUUGCAUCAAGAACCACAAGCAAUGAGUGACCGCAUCGACCAUCUCACCACCGACUUACACCUCUCCGAGCAACAUACAAGAGACUACUUUGACAACAAGCUCGACAAACAAAAACAAGAGAGCAAUGCAAGAAUGGAUGAGAUUCAUGCCUUGUUGGUCAACCACUCUGCUACCUCUAUGUCCUACUCAAGACGGAGCCGCUUGAGUCGACACUUUGAUGACACCUUCUCCGGUUCAAGUACUCCGACAUCAAACACUCUUCGACGAGCCGCGCACCAAGACCGUCAAGCUAACCGCAAUCCUCUUCACGACACCGAUACUCAAGAGCAACUUCUAGCACAAGAAAGGCAACACCAACGCCACAGAGAGGAAAAUCAGGCACGCCAACACCAAGACGAGCAAGACGCCGAGGCGGCCCAUCUACAACAACAACGGCAUGAAGCUCAAGCACUUGAGGCGCAACGUGUCAUCCAAGACGCUAGUCACGCUUUUGCCGACCGCAACCGAAAAAUGCGAGAACAUGAAGAAACACUUCGAGAAGAUAUUCAAGAGAGGAAUUUUCAAGCAAGAGUACACCGACAACUUCCUCAAGCUCCUCGUCAAGAACCCCAAGUCCGACAAGAGCAACAAGACAAUGGGAAUCCUCCUCGCCAAGAACAACACCAGGCAGAGCAAGUAAGUGAAGAUCCUGUUCCAUGACAAGAGCGACAUCAACAUCAUCACUAUGACGAGGAACUCCGCUAUGGCAAGCUCAAGUUCACCAUGCCCAAGUUCUCCGGAAGCAACGAUCCCGAGGAGUACCUAUCAUGGGCACUGAAAGUCGACAAGAUAUUUUGUCUUCACAACUACAACGAGGAAAACAAGAUCGCCAUGGCAUCCCUCGAGUUUCAAGACUAUGUCCUCAUUUGGUGGGAACAAGUGAUCGAGCGACGGCAAGAGCAAGGCAAGCCACCCAUCACGUCUUGGACACAAAUGAAGGACAUCAUGCGAGCCCGCUUCAUGUCCACAUACUACACACGAGAUCUCUUCAAGAAGUUGCAACUCCUCAAACAAGGCACGAAGAUGGUGCAAUAAUACUAUCAAGAAAUGGAGAUUGCCAUGAUACGAGCCAACAUCAAAGAAGAUGAUGAGCAAACAAUGGCAUGCUUCUUGAAUAGACUCAACCACCCAAUACGGAAGAUCACCGACUUUCAACCUUACUCCAACCUUCUCAAGCUCGUUCACCAAGCGACCAAGGCGGAACGACAAGUACAAGAAGACUUCAAGUACGCCAAGUACUCAUCCAAGAACUAUGGCUCAUUCACUCAAGCUAAUUCUACUACAACUUCGACACUUCCUACCUCGACUAGAGCAUCACCAAGUACCGGCGACAAGUCAAGCUUCAAGCAACCAAUACUUUCCUCGACUCGUCCUCCGGCAAGCAACUACAAGAAUAAGACUUCUUCUUUGGCACCACCGGACGAUCCUGUCAAGACAAGUUCUAUCAAGUGCUUCACAUGUGGUGGUCGUGGACACAAGUCCUUCCAAUGCAUCAACAAGCGAACGAUGAUCGCCAAUCAUGAUGGCACGUAUGACUCCAUGAGUGAAGAUGAGAUGGAAGCUAUCGAGCACGUUGCCAUGCACCAUAAAGUGAAUGACGACAAGGAUGCUCAAGUCUAUUGCGGCAAUGACUCAAGCCCCGCUCUCGUGGUCUCCAAGGUCUUGACACUACAAAACCAUCAAGACGAAGACCAACGGUGUCACAUCUUCCACACCAAGGCUGGCAUCAAUGGGCGAUCCGUGAAAGUCAUCAUCGACGGAGGGACUUGCCAUAACUUGGCAAGUGAAAAGCUAUGUCACAAGAUGCAAUUGGUCAAGAAGAAGCACCCUCGCCCCUACAAGGUUCAAUGGCUAAGCGACUCUGGAAAGAUUCAAGUGGAGCACACCGUGCAUGUUUCUUUCAAGAUCGGCGCCUACGAGGACACCAUUCAGUGUGACAUGGUUCCUAUGUCCGUGUGCCAUCUUCUCUUGGGAAGACCUUGGCAACUCGACAACGACGUCAUCCGCAAUGAGAGAACAAACCACUAUAGCAUCAAAAUGAAGGGCACGGAGUUCGUGCUACGACCUAUGUCUCCAAGCCAAGUGAUCACCGACAAGCAAGCAUCCACCCAUCAUGGAGAGACUAGUGCAAAAGUGAACCACCAAAAAGAGAGUGAGCGCCACAAGCCAAAAUUGAGCGACUCUUCGCCACGAGGAAAACCCUAAUCCUCUUCGCCACAAAAGAGAGAUAAGAGAAGUGUGUGAGAACACCUCGAGUGUCAUCCACUACGUCCUAGUGUGCAAAGAUGAGGUGGCAAAGACUAACACUCCUAAUCCUCUUCCUCUAGUGUUGUCUAACUUGUUGCAGGAAUUCACGGAUGUCUUUCCCGAUGAUCAACAUCCCGGUCUCCCGCCUCUACGUGGUAAAGAACAUCAGAUCGACCUCAUUCCGGCGCACCUCUGUAGCGACCCGACCCGAAUGGAUCAAGUCUCUGUGCUUAAGUGUCAUCUCUGGAUCAGUAUGCUGACACACACACACAGUACUCGAGGAUUUAUAACAGAGGUAAAUCACAUGUAUAAAGUAGCGUAAAUAAUAUUACCUCAAUCCAAAUAGCGUAAGCAACAAGGUUGUGGAUUCCCAUCAACACCAACGGCAAAGUUGAGUGUAGAAAUCAUAACCCUAACGUAACACUUACUCAUCGUAAGAUUCCUGCAACAUGAGAUGUUGCAGCCACAGAGGGUCAGUACAUUGAAUGUACUGGCAAAUUCACAUCAUAGAGCAAUGAUGAAUAAAGGCUAUCACUACAUGCAUAUUUGGCUGGUGGAGGCUCUAUGGUUAUAAUGUUUUUGCGAAAAGCCAAUUUUUUCCUACUUCAAAGGAAUAAAUUUUAUUUAACUAUCAUGGUGGUUGUUAAACAUUGAGAAUGGUUGACAGCAUUCUCAAUCCCAAUUAAGUAACAUCAUCAAAACCCAACAAUAUUAUUUAAAGUAACAUGAUGAGAUCCACACGAUAAUCCAAGUACUAGAUACUCGAGAUGUGCAUAACCGGGGACAUGGCUAAUCAUGAUUAGUUUAUACACUCUGCAGAGGUUUGCACACUUUUCCCCACACGACUCGAUCUCCUCCGUUGGUUUUCUCUCAUUACAUGGUCUUUGAGAAACGGAUGACCGAGACAUAGUCUUUCAGAAGCGCUAGCACCUUACGAUGGGUAGACCUGUACACCUACUUUCCCCUACAUCUGCUAGUCUACCACUGUAAGAGUUCGCACAACUUAAUCAACUAUGCUAGAGCCCAUAAUAGCAUGUGGCUACACACGGAAGUUUCUAGCAUGAAUAAUCUUAUGAUCCCUUUGAGCCUGGGUGGCGGUCCAAAACAAACAGGCAAUCCUGGAAUACCCAAGUGCCUCAAUCCACCUAGAUGUGUAUUAAAGUUGCCACCUUGAAUAAACCAUUAAUUAACAAUCUCACAUCUGUCAUGGAAAUUCAGUCACCAUAUCCACGUCUACUAGCAUAGCAUGGCAUAAUAAGCAAACGUAGAAGUAACUCCCAAGGGUUUAAUAAUAAAACUGGUGAUAGGUACUACCUCAUCUACUUCCCAAAACCCACAUAUUAAUCAGAUCCUAAUCAUGCAAUUGUUUGAGGAUUGAUCUAAUGCAUAAAAACUGGGUAAUAAAGAGGUAUGAUCAAAGUGUGAACUUGCCUUUAAUGUUGAUGAAGAUGAUUCGCACUCAAAACUCUUGAUAGUUCUACUCGUCACACUCCGGUCAAUCUAUCAUGAGCAAGCAAUAGUAACCACACAUAAGCAAUCACUCAAAAGAUCGGAAAGAAUGAAGAGUACGAUUCAGAAAACAUUAAAACCAAGCAAAUAACUCUUGGAACAGAAAACAAUUUCUAAUAGUACCAAAAUUAAGUGAAUUUGGCCUUAUCAGAAAGUUUAGGUCAAGAGCUUCGAUUUGCAAAAAGAAUCAACUCAAAUGGAGUUAUAAAACUCAAGUUACAAUCAAACGAAAUUUAAAUACAAAUCUAUUUGAAAUCAAAUUUUAAACUUGCAAAAACAUGUUUAAGUUGGUUAUCUGGAUAGAGGGGAUCAUAACGAAGAAGUGGGCAUUGGUUUCGUCUAAUUCCGACUAUCGAGCAAAAAGUUAUGGUCGUUUGAAAACUAGGGGCUAAUCUAUAAAUAGAUAUAUUUACAGAUAGGUCCCUGACAAAAAAAAUAACAGAAAAAGAAAAGGCUAAAAAGCGAAUGUUCGUUUUUCUGAUCUAAACAACGGACGUUCUCUAAAUAAAAACAAAACAUUUCGGAGAAAAAAAACGAUCUUGAUCGUUGGAUCCAGAUCCAACGGCGACGGAGGGGGCGGCGGUUACCGCGGCGGCGGCGGCAAAGUCCGGCGGCGCGGGACGACGGCGGCGGCGAAGUCCGGCGGCGCGGGACUGCGGCGGCGGCGAAGNNNNNNNNNNNNNNNNNNNNNNNNNNNNNNNNNNNNNNNNNNNNNNNNNNNNNNNNNNNNNNNNNNNNNNNNNNNNNNNNNNNNNNNNNNNNNNNNNNNNNNNNNNNNNNNNNNNNNNNNNNNNNNNNNNNNNNNNNNNNNNNNNNNNNNNNNNNNNNNNNNNNNNNNNNNNNNNNNNNNNNNNNNNNNNNNNNNNNNNNNNNNNNNNNNNNNNNNNNNNNNNNNNNNNNNNNNNNNNNNNNNNNNNNNNNNNNNNNNNNNNNNNNNNNNNNNNNNNNNNNNNNNNNNNNNNNNNNNNNNNNNNNNNNNNNNNNNNNNNNNNNNNNNNNNNNNNNNNNNNNNNNNNNNNNNNNNNNNNNNNNNNNNNNNNNNNNNNNNNNNNNNNNNNNNNNNNNNNNNNNNNNNNNNNNNNNNNNNNNNNNNNGAUGGCGGCGUCCGCGGUGGCCCAUGGUGACGGGACGGAGUGGGGCGGCGGCGGUGGAUCUCGCUGCAGUGGCGGCUUCCGCAAGCGUGGCGGCGCGUUGCGAAAAAGAGAGAGAGAGGGUCGGGGCUGCAGGAUUUAUAGGAGGAGGGGGCGACGGUGGCGUGGAGGAGGGGCCAAGGCGGUGGGGUGGCUGGGUCGGUCAAGCCGGCGCGGCGGAGUGCGGGCGGUGGACUCCCGCUGGAGCUCGGGGACGGGCGCACGCGCGGCUGGGCUGGCUCGGCCUGGCCUGGCUCGGCUGGGCGGGCCCAGUCGGGAGAAGUUUUUUUUUGAAAAAGAUUUUCUAGACAACAAAAUUAAUAACAACAAAAUAAAAUAAAAAUAUUAUAUAGGCAUAUAAUAUAUCAAAAUUUCAGAAAAAGAUUAUCUACAACAUGAACAAGCUUCAAAUAAAAUCUACAAAAAUUCAAAUAAAUCAAACAAUGCUACUACUCUAAUAAAAUCCAAUAAAAUCAUUUUGAAAAUACCAAAAUGACUUCAAUUUUAUUUCUCUCCAUUUUUUUAUUGUACGAAUCAUGUUACCCUAUUUUCCAUAUAUUUUAUUUUUGGAGAAAAAUAAUUUGAAUAAAACUCAUAUAACUCCAAAAAUAAAUUCAAAAGAACUUUGAAUUUAAUUCUUUGAAACUCCCAACUCAUAUUUCAUAUGUUUUGAAGAAGUCAUUUUAUCUUCGCUCGUGAAAAUCAUUGAGUUGAAUAAAGUUCCUGGGUUGGAAAAAAUUUCGAAAUGAAAUUCAAAUAUUUUCAACACCCCUUGUCAUUUAAAUAAAUGGAAGAAGUCAUGUCAUCUUCUCUCCAGGGUUUUGUGGUGAAAAGAAUUUGAAUUCACGAAGAUCACGAAUGCAAAAUGAAAGUUUGGCUAAGUCCUUUUAUUCCCUCUCAUUUAACUUUCAAAAAAAUUCAAAUUUCACUCAAUCAAUCACCCAACAAUCAAACAAUCAAUCAAAUCUAUCUAUUUAAUAUAACAUUCCAAAAUUUAGAAUUUUGGGAUGUUACAAACCUACCACCCUUAAAAGAAUCUCGUCCUCGAGAUCCGAAGAGGCUAGAAAGAAAUAGGUUAGGUUCGGGGUCUUCUCAAAAUCCAUCGAUCAUCACCGGGGUCUGGGGUGCUACCACCCUUGGAAACAUUGUUACGGUUCCAUCAAAACUCAUAUACUCCAUCCUUAUUCCUGACAGUGUCAGUCUUCUCAGAUCUCGGGAAAAUUCCUUCUCUGGUCUCUUCCGGUAGUGGCAUAACUUUUCCUCAAUACUUCUGUCCUUUCAUCUUGGUAAGGUUAUUCCGAGACUGGGUCUUCUUAGCUGACGGGUCUGGCGCCAAUACUAAACAACUAUCGAUAUCUCCUGAUCGUCAACAAUUUAUGGUUUCUCCUGCAGGAAAUGGGUCUGAGUUGAACCUCACCGUAUAUCCUACGAUUGGCAACAACUGCCUUGUACAAGGGAAAAUACUUAUAGCAUUCUAAGGUUCAAACAAGUUUUUGAUUGUCGUCUCUCUACUAUAGGUAAGUCACUCAGAUUUACCAUCUCAUAUAGCAAGGAGAAUAAUAAGAGUAAGUCGGUAUGGUGAUCAAUCCAUCCUGCACCUAAAUCAUUAUCUUGUAUAUGGUGAUGAGGGCAUGACUACCUUGGAUACGACCAAAAAUAUUGCAUACAUGCAUAUUUGUCAGGUGAUUUCUAGUGCAAACUAUUCAAUAAUCUAUUUAUGUUAUCCAGAACAAAAAUACUUCACACACUUUUGUGUUUUGUCUAAUUGCAGGUGUAUGGGAUAUUUGUACAAUUCACAUAUGAAGAUAAGGGAGAAAGAGAUGUUUAAGUGCUGUUCAAAAAUUUCUCUCACGUCACUUUUGGGCCAAGAGAAGAUAGAGUCCAAGUCUCUCACAUUCUGGAUUCAGAUUCGGACUGCACAGACAUACCUGACUCAAAACGACAACAAUUUUUUCAUACGGACUCCGAAUUGGGUGAUUCUUUUUUUCUUGGAUUCUAGAUUUUUUGCUCUUUCCAGCCCAAUUGGAUUCACCUUAAAAUUCAUCCGGAGUAUUGAGAUAUCGACGAAACAAUGAGACGCUGCAGCAGAAUCCGAGUCAAACAACAAGUCCAAAGGUGUUGCAUCACCUCCACUUGGGCUCAUUGGCCUUGUACGACCUAGGGUUAGUUUUAGGCUGCCUUGGGACGUACUCCCACCUCCUAGGCCUCCACCCCUCGCUCCUAUAUAAGUAGAUCCAUCUAGUAGCUUUUUCCUUGGGUUUUGUUUAGAUUAAAGUUCGCCAUAGUUGCAACUUCACGUACUUCGUUUGUGUUCAACGACCAGACAAAGGCGUCACAGAACCCCACCUGGAUCAAUAAAGCUUUCAUCUAAUAUUCACAAUAUCCAGAUUGCAAUCUCAGUUUCUUGCUUGUUCUUCGUUUGCUCGCAGGAAACAGACCCUUGUGGUCAGGUUGAUCGUGCUCUGGCGUGGUCAAUAACCUCUCGGAGUUGGUUUAGCGAUUGCUAAGGCACGACGUCCUCGCACGUUCGUAGUCGGAUCGUCAAAGUCGACUUCCACCAAAGCGAAAUCCAUCAUCUCAUCGAAAGACGGGACACCUUUGCCUCUAUCAAGUGGUAUCAGUUUUCAGGUUGCUCGGUGAGAAUUUCCAGUUUUCCCUAGAUAAGAUUUAUUUUCUUACCUAUUGUCCAAGAAAAAGCCUAAAAAAAGUUAGAUCUAUUCAUCCUUUGUCCAAGCUAGUCUGAGCCUUUGCAUUUUUCUUUUCAUUGUUUGCAUUACUGAAUUAUCGGUUGCAUCACCGUGUCGAGUUGCUGGUCUUAGUGUCUAGUUCCUUUAGAGUUUCGAGUUCUGUUCACAUUAGUCAUGCCGCCGCUACAUCUCAUUAUCCAUUCCGCUGUCCACCAUCCCAUCCAUCAAUAUCCACCACACGCUAUGCAUUGUUCAUUGUCGUAAUCAUAGUUGAGGUCAUACACAUCUUCGCCUGAUCCAAUCUGCAUCUUAUCUAGUUUGUCUUGGAAAGAAGGAGAAAAAAAGAGAGAAAAAGGAAAAAAAGGAAAGAAAAAAAAGUCGGAGAAAAAAAAUGAAAGAAAAAAAGUGAGAGAAAAAAAAGGAAGAGAAAAAAAAACAAAAUUCGGAUCUAUCUAGACUCAAUCUCGCAGUUUAAUUCGGACUGAAAUCUGUUUUGUGCACUGUUCAGUAAAAAAGGCAUAACUUCCUCAUACGAACUCCGAUUUGGCUCCACAAGUACUCAAAUUAAAGCUAGUGACUAGGCGCAUCUGAAUCAUUACAAAAGCAAGUUCAAUAUUAGGCAUCUCAAAAUCAGCUUCUAAAUAGGUCUUUUUGCCCUCCGAAGUUCGCGCAUACAGUUUGUUCCAGUUUUUCAGGCCAGUUUUAGAAUUAUUUGACUCCUCAUAUCAAUUCAUAAUUGAGUGAUUCUUUUUGCAUUGGAAAGCUUGAGUUAGUAGCUAACUUUUCAAGAGGAAAGUUGGAGGGAGAGUUGUUAUAUAUCCUGCUUGGCAGUUGUUAUUCACCAUUAUCUUUACUGUCGUUGUGAUCUUCACUUAUAUCUUGGUGUCCAGAGUUACUUAUCCUUCAUUGAUGCUAGUUGUGCUAUGCUGUGACCUCAUUAGUGUUCUAGGCUCGCGUCUCUAGUCCGGUCUAGCCUAGGACCAGCACAGUAUCGUUGUUGAGCGUUUAUUCAAGAUUGCAUCUUUGAAUUGAUUAUUGCUAAUCUUUUGCUACCAUAUAUAGCCAACCCAGCUCCACAUAUUUCUACACCGUGUAUACGUAUGUUCCCCUGGCAAUCGCUUUACACAAUCUUCGGAGUUAUUUGACACCGCUGGUUGCCUGUCACCACCUGUCGCAUGGUAAGAACUUGUAAGAUAUUGAUAUUUGCUUUACUGUGAGCACGUUACAACCACAUCCUAGUUGUUCAUAGGAACAUUAUUCUCGAAUUUUGUUUCUUGUUUCUACUAAUCAUGACAGGUUUCGGAGAAAAAAGUUCUUUGACGACGAACACAUCUUCGCCAUCACGAGAGUUGGGACAACACACACAAGCACAUGGUCAGGUUAUCUCUUUACCAUCAUUUAAGGGUAGAUUUAAUCCUGCUAUUUAUCUAGAUUGGAAGCUUGAAGUAGAACAAGUUUUUAGUUACCAUGACUUUUCUGAACUUGAGCGAGUACGAGCUGUCACUAGAGCAUUUACUAGUUUUGCUUCUGUUUGGUGGAGUGUGCAUUGUAAGAAAAAUGUUGAUAACCAACCCACAACUUGGAAAGAUUUGAAACAUGUAGUGAGACAACAAUUUUUCCCUCCUUACUAUCGUCGUGAAUUGCUUCGCAAAUUUGAACAAUUUAAACAAGGCAAUAACACUGUUCAUGCUUACUACCAAGAGUUCAAAUCUUAUAUGCAUCAUUGUGACAUAGAAGAAUCUGAGGAUGAUACAAUGAAUAGAUUUUUUGGUGGUUUGAACCAUGAUAUUCAGGCAAGAUUUAGGUAUAUUCCUCGUUGCAUUACUGGUAUGUAUGUUCGUGCUUGUACCUUUGAGAGACAGUUACAGGAGGAUGCAUUGGGUGACUACAACAACUACUAUUCCAAUUCAUGCUCACUACCAUCGGUUGAUUCCUCCACCGUUGCACCUACUAGAGCAGCCACACCUCAGAUUGUGAGUGCGACAUCAUCUCAAGUGUAUGGUACAUUGUCAUUGUCCAUACCAACAUCAGCUACGUCUUUGCGACAAGGUAAUAGUAAAGGUAUUGAUGAUAUAACUUCACAUGAGAAUGAUGCAUCCCUAAUUAACUUAAAUACAUCAUGUGUUGAGUUACCUGUUGAUUUGAACACGCCACCUAUUUUAGAGAAUCAUGUUACUAUCAUGAAUGCAUCAUGUGAUCAAACAACUGAAAUACCAACAAUUUUGAGUGCACCCAUUGAAUUAACUAUUGAUGCAAAAGAACCAAUGUUUAAUCAUUUUGAUAUGACCUCUAAUCUUGGUGAUGAUUCUGUGUCGAAUGAUUUACUGCAUGUUUGCUUAUUUAAGCAUGUUGUAGCAUGUAAAUUUGAUGCAAGUAAGGUUUAUUCACCAAUGUUGGGAUGGUUUAAUGAUGAAUAUUGUCAAUCUUUUGAUAGGAAUAAGAGCUUCACUUAUAUGUGCAAACUGAGUUGCAAUAUGUUCAUGCCUUCUACUUAUGAUAAUAUUUUGGCUUUAUAUUUUAUGAUCUAUGAAAGUUACUCAUGUAUACAUGUGUCAUAUGUGCAAAAAUCAAGGGAAGUAAAAAUGGAUGACAUAUGCAUAUACAACAUGUAUACCUUGUCUCUUUUGUUAGCCACAUUUCAGAUUAAGCAACGCCGAGGACGGCUUUGUUUUUAAAAAGGGGAGGAUGAUGAGGACAUGACUACCUUGGAUACGACCAAAAAUAUUGCAUACAUGCAUAUUUGUCAGGUGAUUUCUAGUGCAAACUAUUCAAUAAUCUAUUUAUGUUAUCCAGAACAAAAAUACUUCAUACACUUUUGUGUUUUGUCUAAUUGCAGGUGUAUGGGAUAUUUGUACAAUUCACAUAUGAAGAUAAGGGAGAAAGAGAUGUUUAAGUGCUGUUCAAAAAGUUCUCUCACGCCACUUUUGGGCCAAGAGAAGAUAGAGUCCAAGUCUCUCACGUUCUGGAUUCAGAUUCGGACUACACAGACAUACCUGACUCAAAACGACAACAAUUUUUUCAUACGGACUCCGAAUUGGGUGAUUCUUUUUUUUGGAUUCUAGAUUUAGUGCUCUUUCUAGCCCAAUUGGAUUCACCUUAAAAUUCAUCCGGAGCAUUGAGAUAUCGACGAAACAAUCAGACGCUGCAGCAGAAUCCGAGUCAAACAACAAGUCCAAAGGUGUUGCAUCACCUCCACUUGGGCUCAUUGGCCUUGUACGACCUAGGGUUAGUUUUAGGCUGCCUUGGGACGUACUCCCACCUCCUAGGCCUCCACCCCUUGCUCCUAUAUAAGUAGAUCCAUCUAGUAGCUUUUUCCUUGGGUUUUGUUUAGAUUAAAGUUCGCCAUAGUUACAACUUCGCGUACUUCGUUUGUGUUCAACGACCAGACAAAGGCGUCACAGAACCCCACCUGGAUUAAUAAAGCUUUCAUCUUAUAUUCGCAAUAUCCAGAUUGCAAUCUCAGUUUCUUGCUUGUUCUUCGUUUGCUCGCAGGAAACAUACCCUCGUGGUCAGGUUGAUCAUGCUCCGGCGUGGUCAAUAACCUCUCGGAGUUGGUUUAGCGAUUGCUAAGGCGCGACGUCCUCGCACAUUCGCAGUCGGAUCGUCAAAGUCGACUUCCACCAAAGAGAAAUCAAUUAUCUCAUCGAAAGACGGGACACCUUUGCCUCUAUCAAUAUGGUUUAGCGAAUCUCACAUGCUAACACUCGGUCAUCCUCACAAGCAUUGCAGAAUUUCUCUUGUCAACAAACCAAGUUCGGAUAAUCCAUUGAUUCUGCAAGCCAAACAAACAACUAUCGUUUUCUUCACAACUCUCAGGUUUUGCGAAACUCCUAUAAGAUCGUCUGUCGAUAAGGGCAUAUCCUCUUCCAGGGUGUGCUUGCUUCUUGGCAGGUCCUGGGGCCUGUGGGUUAUGGCCCAUCUCAUCACUUGUAAACCUUGAACUCAUCAUCGCGGGCAACUGAUCGUUAUUCCAACAUUCAACUUCCAGCUUUCUAGCAUACUUAAAAUCCAUCCAAUUUUAAUGUCUUUCUUCCUUCUAUUUGUACCAAACUAAGACGUGAUUACUCAGACUCAUCAUGGAAUUUCCAUUGAUCCAUAUUUCCAACAUCAUACCUCCUUUAUAUCCAAUAGUAAUUCAUCUCUUCAUCCUUGUGGGAUAUCCCACAUACCGAGAUAAAAACUUAUACUUAUGAAGUCCAUACUCCACUUCAUGGAACAUCAUUAUCCUUUCCAGGGUCAAGCGUCCUUACACGGGAAUAUUGGCCAUCUCUGCAUGGCACUUCUUCAACUGGGAACCGUGAAACACAUCAUGAACUCCUGACAGUCCUUCGGGUGACUCAAACAUGUUGGCCACUUCUCCCAUACGCUCCAAAACUCGGUAUGGUCCUACAAAUCUCGGGGCUAACUUUCCCUUAACUCCAAAUAGUUUAACUCCGCACAGGGGGGACACACGAGGACAUGCUUUGUCUCCAAUUUCAUAUACUUCCUCCUUGCGUUUUUUGAGUCUGCAUAAUUCUUCUGCCUGGACUGAGCUACCUUCAGUCUAUCUCGAAUCAACUUAACAUUCUCUUCAGACUCCUUGAUCACAUUUGGUCCAACCAACUGACGGUCUUCAACUUCAUCCUACAUCAACGGUGUCUGGCUCCUUCUCCCAUACAAAGCUUCAAAAGGGGCCAUAUUCAACUAGCUUGGUAAUUGUUGUUGUAUGAGAACUCCGCGUAAGGUAGAUUAUCAUCCCUACUAGUUCCAUAAUCUAGCGCACACGCUCUCCAGAAUAUGAUUGACUCUCUCGGUCUAUCCAUCUGUCUCUGGAUGAAAGGUUGUACUGAACUCUAGCCUAGUACCCAAAGUGUGGUGCAGCUGAUUCCAAAACUUUAAGGUAAACUGUGUUCCUCUAUCUGAUACGAUGGUCCGCGGAACUCCAUGCAGACAUACGAUCCUGGUCAAAUAUAUCUUGGCCAACUUCGCACUUGUAUAGGUGGUUUUCACUGGGAUAAAGUGAGCCACUUUGGUCAAGCGAAUCAACUACUACCUAGAUAGAAUCAUAUCCCGAUCGGGUUCUGGGAAAUCCGGUAAUGAAAUCCAUGCCAAGCUUAUCCCACUUCUAUUCGGGUAUCGGCGUAGGCUGUAGUAAUCCAACUGGCUUCUGAUGCUCUGCUCUUUACUCUCUGGCAUACAUCACCUACGACUACAUACUCUGCAAUAUCCUUCUUUGUACCAGUCCACCAGAAACGCUCCUUCAAAUCCAAAUACAUCUUGGUGUUUCCAGGGCGAAUCGGGUAUGGUGAGUCAUGAGCCUCCUGAAGUAUUAACUUCCUGAUCUUUGCAUUAUUGGGAACAUAUACACGGUCCUCGAACCAUAAAGUGACGUGCUCAUACUAACGAAAACCUUUGGCCUUUCCUUUGCUCAUCCUCUCUUUUACCUCAGCAAUCUCUUUGUCAUCCUUCUGAGCUUCACGGAUAUACCUGAGAUCCUCGGCUAACUCCUUUGGUAAUCCUCCGCUUAGGGAACAAUCUCCAACAAUGUAGACUGAACUUCCAUUGCUGCAAUAAAACCUUUGGGAACAAUCUCCAACCAAAGUUCCCUGAGAUCCUCGGCUAACUCCUUUGGUAAUCCUCCGCUUAGGGUAUUCGUCCUUGUUUUCUUUAUUGUUGGGUCUUAUUUCUUCGCAAAGCUUGUAUGCACAAGGUUUCUUCACAUCCUUUCCAUAAGGCCUCAACUUCUGGGACACAAGACAAGAUCUUUGCAGAGUCAACUUAAAUUCUUCCCAAGUGGUUACUCUUUGCCAUCCAUUGAUGGUUUGGUACAUCCUCUACCAGGUAGUGGCAUCUCUUUCAGAGCACUCAAGAGCAUGUUGGAUCAUAUCCUUUCCGGCUAUAGGGUUAUUCUCCAUGUGAUCCUCCAUGUUCGGAAUCCAUUGGUCCAUCUCCAAUUGACUCAUCGGUCCAGAAAAUAUAAGCUCAUCUCCAUUCAUCCUCUAUUGGGUCCAAGGGUAUUGGGGUGGGAUAAGAGAGAUAGAGAGGGAUGCACACAAUACAAACAAAAGUUUUGAAAAGGCAGAUUUUAUUGUGGCUGUCAGAAAAACAACAAACAACUGAUAGCUCACAAUCGUCGCAUCUAACGUAAGUAUAUAACAGGGGUUUGGUCUUCUAAGGUCAAUAAAUCUUCAAAGUAAUGAAAUCUUCAAGCCUUGUUCAUGUCUCCGGUGGCUUCUUUCUGAUCAUGCUUGUCCUUCUCAAGUUCUUUUGCCAAAUCAUCUCUGUUGACGCGAAGUCUCUCAUGACAUCCUUUAAUAUUUCUAGGAUUGUAUUCCAAACUUCUGGGUUUCAACCUCCUUGACAUGAUCCAUGGUCCUACUGUCCUUCAGUUCCUGACAAAUCUCCGGUAUCUCGAGGUUUAGCUCCUCCUGCUUGGCUACUUUAGCUUCUGGUUCCUGAGUUCUUCAUGAAUUGCCUCCUUGUCAAAUAUGACUUCCUAAAGUCCAUCUUGAAAUCCUUGAUGUAAUACUCCAGAUCCUGGCGAUACACUAGCUAAGGUUAAAACUGCAUCCUUUGCUGAUGGGUGCUCCAUCAGCUUUCUACCAUCCAAUACUUCCGAAGGAAUGCAUGCUUAACUCAACACGAUAAUAAUGGCAUAAGAGAGCGAUAACAUCUUGGAUAUCCAUAUUUCUACCCUAGUCAUUGACAUGAACUUUUAUUCCAUAGUUUAUAUCUCCUGCCUUAGGGUUUUCUUGACAAAACUUUGAGUUCUAAUGCUCCAUAUUCAGGUCUUUCUCGGAUACACCUUGAUCUCGGGUAUUGAUAGCUUCCAUAGUCUGUUAAGUUCCAUAAGUGUAGCUUUCCUUGGUCAUACCAAAUCUGGAAAUUCUUCAUAUUCUCCUAGUCUUCAAAGUCUUUAUCCAUCGUAGUUUCCAUCAUUAUAAUCCUCGGUAGAAUCCUCUUCAUUCCGCAGUGGUCUUAGUUGUCUGAUAUCUGGUCCUUCUUGGAGUGGUCUCAUCAGUCGAAUCUUCGAGGGGUCAAAAGGGGAAAGGGGUAUGGUCUCACUAAAAGGGAAUAUUUGAAUAAGCUCAAAAGAGAAGAGAGGUAAAAGAUUCUUUUGAAAAGAAAGUUGUAGAGAAAAAUCUUUCCUAUGGGCUUGCCAGUUUCUAGGGUCACGUCCUACAGUCAACAUGUGCUCUGAUACCAUCUUGUAGCGACCGGACCCGAAUGUAUCAAGUCUCUGUGCUUAAGUGUCAUCCCUGGAUCGGUAUGCUGACACACAUAGUACUCGAGGAUUUAUAAUAGAGGUAAAUCACAUGUAUAAAGUAGCAUAAAUACUAUUACCUCAAUCCAAAUAGCGGAAGCAACAAGGUUGUGGAUUCCCAUCAACACCAACGGCAAAGUUGAGUGUACAAAUCGUAACCCUAACGUAACACUUACUCGUCGUAAGAUUCCUGCAACACGAGACAUUGCAGCCAUAGAGGGCCAGUACAUUGAAUGUACUGGCAAAUUCACACCAUAGAGCAAUGAUGAAUAAAGGCUAUCACUACAUGCAUAUUUGGCUGGUGGAGGCUCUAUGGUUAUAAUGUUUUUGCGAAAAGCCAAUUUUUCCCUACUGCAAAGGAAUAAAUUUUAUUUAACUAUCAUGGUGGUUGUUAAACAUUGAGAAUGGUUGACAGCAUUCUCAAUCCCAAUUAAGUAACAUCAUCAAAACCCAACAAUAUUAAUUAAAGUAACAUGAUGAUAUCCACAUGAUAAUCCAAGUACUGGAUACUCAAGAUGUCCAUAACCGAGGACACGGCUAAUCAUGAUUAGUUUAUACACUCUGCAGAGGUUUGCGCACUUUUCCCCACACGACUCGAUCUCCUCCGUUGGUUUUCUCGCACUACAUGGUGUUUGAGAAAUGGAUGACCGAGACAUAGUCUUUCAGAAGCGCUAGCACCUUACGAUGGGUAGACCUCUACACCUACUUUCCCCUACAUCUGCUAGUCUACCAUUGUAAGAGUUCGCACAACUUAAUCAACUAUGCUAGAGCCCAUAAUAGCAUGUGGCUACACACGGAAGUUUCUAGCAUUAAUAAUCUUAUGAUCCCUUUGAGCCUGGGUGGCGGUCCAAAACAAACAGGCAAUCCUGGAAUACCCAAGUGCCUCAAUCCACCCAGAUGUGUAUUAAAGUUGCCACCUUAAAUAAACCAUCAAUUAACAAUCUCACAUCUGUCAUGGAAAUUCACUCACCCAAUCCACGUCUACUAGCAUAGCAUCACAUAAUAAGCAAACGUAGAAGUAACUCCCAAGGGUUUAAUAAUAAAACUGGUGAUAGGUACUACCUCAUCUACUUCCCAAAACCCACAUAUUAAUCAGAUCCUAAUCAUGCAAUUGCUUGAGGAUUGAUCUAAUGCAUAAAACUGGGUAAUAAAGAGGUAUGAUCAAAGUGUGAACUUGCCUGCAAUGUUGAUGAAGAUGAUUCACACUCAAAACUCUUGAUAGUUCUACUCGUCACACUCCGGUCAAUCUAUCGUGAGCAAGCAAUAGUAACCACACAUAAGCAAUCACUCAAAAGAUCGGAAAGAACGAAGAGUACGAUUCGGAAAACAUCAAAACCAAGCAAAUAACUCUUAACAGAAAACAAUUUCUAACAGUACCAUAAUUAAGUGAAUUUGGCCUUAUCAGAAAGUUUAGGUCAAGAGCUUCGAUUUGCAAAAAGAAUCAACUCAAACGGAGUUAUAAAACUCAAGUUACAAUCAAACGAAAUUUAAAUACAAAUCUGUUUGAAAUCAAAUUUUAAACUUACAAAAACAUGUUUAAGUUGGUUAUCUGGAUAGAGAGGAUCAUAACGAAGAAGUGGGAGUUGGUUUCGUCUAAUUCCGACUAUCGAGCAAAAAGUUAUGGUCGUUUGAAAACUAGGGGGUAACUUGAGUUUGAAAAGUGAACGUUCGUUUUUCUGAUCUAAACAGCGGACGUUCUCUAAAUAAAAACAAAACGUUUCGGAGAAAAAAAAUGAUCUGGAUCGUUGGAUCUAGAUCCAACGGCGAGGGAGGGGGCGGCGGUUACCGCCGCGGCGGCGGCGAAGUCCGGUGGCGCGGGAUGGCGGCGGUGGCUUUGCUCCGGUCGGGGCGGUGGCUCCGGUCAUUGAGGAGGGAAAUGGAGGGGUUGGGGAGGGGCGGCGCGGCGAGGCGAAGAGGAUGGCGGCGUUCGCGGUGGCCCACGUUGACGGGACGGAGUGGGGUGGUGGCGGUGAAUCUCGCUGGAGCGACGGCUUCCGCAAGCGCGGCGAGAAGUGCGGCGACGCGUUGCGAAGAGAGAGGGUCGGGGCUGCAGGAUUUAUAGGAGGAGGGGGCGAUAGUGGCGUGGAGGAGGGGCCAAGGCGGCGGGGUGGCCUGGUCGGUCAAGGCGGCGUGGCGGCGUGAGGGCGGCGGACUCCCGCUGGAGCUAGGGGACGGGCGUGCGCGCGGCUAGGCUGGCUGGGCCUGGCCUGGCUCGGCUGGGCCGGUCGAGUCGGGAAAAGUUUUUUUUUUCAAAAAUCUUUUCCAGACAACAUAAUUAAUAACAACAAAAUAAAAUAAAAAUAUUAUAUAGCCAUAUAAUAUAUCGAAAUUUUCAGAAAAAGAUUAUCUAUAAAAUGAACAUUAUCCUAGCUUCAAAUAAAAUCUACAAAAAUUCAAAUGAAUCAAACAAUGCUACUACUCUAAUAAAAUCCAAUAAAAAUCAUUUUGAAAAUACCAAAAUGACUUCAAUUUUAUUUCUCUCCAUUUUUCUAUUGUAGGGAAUCAUGUUACCCUAUUUUCCAUAUAUUUUAUUUUUGGAGAAAAAUAAUUUGAAUAAAACUCAUAUAACUCCAAAAAUAAAUUCAAAAGAACUUUGAAUUUAAUUCUUUCAAACUCCCAACUCAUAUUUCAUAUGUUUUUAAGAAGUCAUUUUAUCUUCGCUCGUGAAAAUCAUUGAGUUGCAUAAAGUUCCUGGGUUGGAAAUAUUUUCUAAAUGAAAUUCAAAUAUUUUCAACACCCCUUGUCAUUUAAAUAAAUGGAAGAAGUCAUGUCAUCUUCUCUCCAGGGUUUUGUGGUGAAAAGAAUUUGAAUUCACGGAGAUCACGAAUGCAAAAUGAAAGUUUGGGUAAGUCCUUUUAUUCCCUCUCAUUUAAGUUUCAAAAAGUUUCAAAUUUCACGCAAUCAAUCACCCAACAAUCAAAUAAUCAAUCAAAUCUAUCAAUUUAAUAUAACAUUCCAAAAUUUAGAAUUUUGGGAUGUUACAACCUCUUCCUAACAAGGCUCCAUACCACGUCAACCCCGAAGAAACCAAAGAAAUACAAAGGCAAGUCCAACAUCUCAUAGGUUAUGGACAUGUGCGUGAAAGUUUGAGUCCUUGCGCCGUUCCGAUAAUUCUUGUGCCAAAACGAGACGGUAGCUUUCGCAUGAGUUCUGAUUGUAGACCUAUCAAUGCUACCACCGUUCGCUAUAGGCAUCCCAUUCCACGCCUUGACAACAUGCUAGAUGAACUUAGCGGUGCCACUAUUUUCUCAAAAAUUGAUCUUAAAAGUGGUUACUAUCAAAUUUGCAUACAAGAGGGUGAUGAAUGGAAAACCGCUUUCAAAAAAAAGUUUGGAUUGUAUGAGUGGUUAGUCAUGCCUAUAGGUCUAUCGGAAGCACCCGCUACUUUCAUGCGUCUUAUGCAUUAUGUGUUUCGUCCUUACAUUGGUGUGUUUGUUGUAGUUUACUUUGACGACAUUCUUCUAUUUAGCAAAUCCCUCAAAGAGAAUGUUAAUCAUAUUAGGGCCGUUUUGCAAAUGCUUCGAAAAGAACGUCUCUAUGCUAAUAUGGAUAAACGCACUUUUGGUGUUGACAAGAUCGUUUUCUUGGGCUUUAUUGUGUCUUCCAAGGGAGUUCAUGUAAAUGAGUCUAAAAUUGAAGCAAUUAAAACUUGGCCCCAACCCACUAAUUCGCAAUAAGUGUGUAGUUUUCUUGGUCCAACGGGAUUUUAUCGUUGCUUUGUGAAAGAAUUUAGCACUAUUUUCGCACCGUUACAUUCUUUGAGUAAUAAAAAUGCACCUUUUGUUUGGGGACCGUCUCAAUCUACCGCAUUUUAUGAGCUCAAAUCUUUGCUUACACAUGCCCCAAUUCUUGCAUUACCUGAUUUCACCAAAACUUUUGAGGUUCAUUGUGAUGCUAGCGGUCAUGGAAUUGGUGGAGUUUUGAUGCAAGAAAAGUGAGCCAUUGCAUACUAUAGUGGAAAAAAAAUUGGUGCUCAACUUAACUAUCCUAUAUAUGACAAAUAAUUGUAUGCUUUAGUGAGAGUAUUGCAUGUUUGGGAGCAUUAUCUUCACCCACAUGAAUUUGUCAUACAUACCGAUCACGAGACACUUAAGUACCUAAAAGGUCAAACUAAGUUGAAUAAACGGCAUGCUAAAUGGAGUGAAUUUAUUGAGUCUUUUCCUUAUGUGAUCAAAUACAUUAAAGGCAAAGACAACAUUGUCGCGGAUGCUCUUUCCCACAUAUGCAUGCUUGUUACUACACUUGAGUUAAAUGUGAUUGGCUUUGAGCAUAUUAAAGAUCUUUAUGUGAAUGAUCCUUCUUUUGCACUUCCUUACGCUAAAUGUCUUACUCAUACUUGUUGGGAGCACUUUUAUCUCAAAGAUGGCUACCUUAUGCAUGCUAACAAGCUUUGCAUUCCCGAGUCUUCUCUUUGUUUGUUGCUUUUGCAAGAGGCUCACGGAGGUGGACUCAUGGGACAUUUUGGAUGUGACAAGACAUUCGCCAUACUCUCCUUCAAGUACCUUUGGCCAAAGAUGUUCCGCAACGUGGCACGCUUCACCACCAAAUGCUCUACAUGUUGCAAGGCUAAGUCAAAAGCUCAAUCUCAUGGUUUACAUAUGCUACUUCCAAUUCCGUAUCAACCAUGGGCGGAUAUUAGUAUGGAUUCCGUGCUUGGUUUGCCUAGAACUAGAAAUGGAAAGUAUUCCGUCUUUGUUGUUGUGGACCGAUUCUCGAAAAUGGAACAUUUCAUACCAUGCAACAAGAUAUACGAUGCUUCACAUGUUGCUAAUCUUUUUUGCAGGGAAAUCUUGAGGUUGCAUGGAGUGCCAAGGACCAUAGUAUCGGACCGAAAUUCUUAAGCUACUUUUGGAAGACCAUUUGCGCCAAGAUCGGCAUCAAGCUUCUAUUCUCCACAGCAUACCACCCACAAACCGAUGGCCAAACCGAAGUCACCAACCGGGCGCUCUCCACUCUUCUACGUGUGUUGAUCAAGAAGAACAUCAAGGAGUGGGAGGAUUGCUUACCCAUCGCUGAGUACGCCGACAAUCGAGCUCGACACACUACUACCAGCAAGUCCCCCUUUGAGGUUCUCUAUGGCUUCAACCCAUUGUCCCCAUUGGAAGUCCUACCCCUUCUGGUCCAAGAACAGGCAAACAUGGAUGCAAGAGCAAGGGCAAGCUUUCUCACGAAGAUGCAUAAAAUACAAGGGCAAUGAUCGAGCGUCAAGUCCAUCGCAUCGCCACCAAGCUCAACAUCAACAAUACACCAAUGGUGUUUCAACCGAGAGAUCUCGUAUGGAUUCACCUUCGCAAGGACCGUUUCCCCAACAAGCGCAAGUCAAAGCUACUACCUCGAGCCAACGGACCCUUCAAGGUGCUACCACGCUACAAUGACAACGCUUACAAGAUUGACAUACCACACGACAAGUACAACAUAAGUGACAUCUUCAACGUCAAAGACUUGGCCAAGUACCAUGGUGAUGAAGAUCAUGAUCCGUGGAUGGAUCUCCCCCAAGGGGGAGAUGAUGUGGAGCAUCCUUCCAUCAUCCCCAUGGACUCUACACUGAUACGUCCCAACGUAUCUAUAAUUUUUGAUUGCUCCAUGCUACUUUAUCUACUGUUUUAGGCAAUAUUGGGCUUUAUUAUCCACUUUUAUAUUAUUUUUGGGACUAACCUAUUAACCGGAGGCCCAGCCCAGAUUUGCUGUUUUAUGCCUAUUUCAGUGUUUCGAGGAAAAGGAAUAUCAAACGGAGUCAAAACGGAACGAAAUCAACUGGAGAAGUUAUUUUUGGAAGGAAACCCACGUCAGAAGAUACGGGAGGUGCUCAUGAGGGUGGGGGGCGCACCCACCCCCCCUGGGCGCGCCCCCUACCUCGUGGAGCCCCCGUAGCUCCACCGACGUACCCCCUGCACCCAUAUAUACUCUUAUACCCUAAAACUUCCAGAACAGAAGAUAAAUCGGGAGUUCCGCCGCCGCAAGCCUCUGUAGCCACCAAAAACCAAUCGGGACCCUGUUCCGGCACCAUGCCGGAGGGGGAUCCCAUCACCGGAGGCCAUCUUCAUCAUCCCGGCGCUAUCCAUGACGAGGAGGGAGUAGUUCACCCUCGGGCCUGAGGGUAUGUACGAGUAGCUAUGUGUUUGAUCUCUCUCUCUCGUGUUCUCUCUCGUGUUACUCUAUGGCACGAUCUUGAUGUAUCCCAAGCUUUGCUAUUGUAGUUGGAUCUUAUGAUGUUUCUCCCCCUCUACUCUCUUGUGCUGAAUUGAGUUUCCCCUUUGAAGUUAUCUUAUCGGUUUGAGUCUUUUAUGAACACUUGAUGUAUGUUUUGCGUGGGAUAACCGUGGUGACAAUGGGUUAUUCUAUUGAUCCACUUGAUGUAUGUUUUGGUGAUCAACUUGCGGGUUUCGUGACACUUGGGAACCUAUGCAUAGGGGUUGGCACACGUUCUUGACUCUCCGGUAGAAACUUUGGGGCACUCUUUGAAGUACUUUUAUGUUGGUUGGAUGAAUCUAAGAUUGUGUGAUGCAUAUCGUAUAAUCAUGCCCACGGAUACUUGAGGUGACAAUGGAGUAUCUAGGUGACAUUAGGGUUUUGGUUGAUUUGUAUCUUAAGGUGUUAUUCUAGUACGAACUCUUUUAUAGAUCGAUCCGAAAGAAUAGCUUUGUGGUGGUUUCGUACCCAACCAUAGUCUCUACGUUUGUUCUCCGCUAUUAGUGUCUUUGGAGUGACUCUUUGUUGCAUGUUGAGGGCUUGUCAUAUGUUCUAUCUAUGUUAUUAUUGUUGAGAGAACUUACACUAGUGAAAGUAUGAACCCUAGGCCUUGUUUCCUAUCAUUGCAAUACCGUUUACGCUCACUUUUACCAUUAGUUACCUUGCUGUUUUUAUUAUUUCAGAUUACAAAAACCUAUAUCUACUAUCUAUUUUGCACUUGCAUCACCAUCUCUUCGCCGAACUAGUGCACCUAUACAAUUUACCAUUGUAUUGGGUGUGUUGGGGACACAAGAGACUUUUUGUUAUUUGGUUGCAGGGUUGCUUGAGAGAGACCAUCUUCAUCCUACGCCUCCUACGGAUUGAUAAACCUUAGGUCAUCCACUUGAGGGAAAUUUGCUACUGUCCUACAAACCUGUGCACUUGCAGGCCCAACAACGUCUACAAGAAGAAGGUUGUGUAGUAGACAUCAAGCUCUUUUCUGGCUCCAUUGCCGGGGAAGUGAGUGCUUGAAGGUAUAUCUUUAGAUCUUGCAAUCGAAUCUUUUUGUUUCUUGUUUUAGCACUAGUCUAGUUUAUAAAAGAAAAUUACAAAAAAAUGGAGUUGAGUUUGUCUCAUAUGCUUCACCAUUUUAAUAUCUUUCGUGAGUAUGAUGGAAAGGAUAAUUGUGCUCAAGUGCUAGAAGAAGAAAUCUAUAGAAUGUUUUUAUAUGAUGAGCAUGAUUGCAAUGUUGUUAGCAUGAAUUCUUUGAAUAUCCAUGAUGCUAAUGAUAUGCAAAGCCACAAGCUUGGGGAAGCUAUGUUUGAUGGAGAUGAUAUUUUUUGUCCCCCAAGCUUUGAUGAGCAAAUUUACUAUGAUGAAAGCAUGCCUCCUAUUUAUGAUGAUUAUUGUGAUGAUACGUAUGCUAUAAAGAAGAAAUUUGUUUAUGUGGAGAGUAGUGAAUUUUCCAUGCUAGUAGAUCAUGAAAAGAAUGCUUUAGGUGCUGGUUAUAUUGUUGAAUUCAUUCAUGAUGCUACUGAAAAUUAUUAUGAGAGAGGAACAUAUGCUUGUAGGAAUUGCAAUAAUGUCAAGUUUCCUCUCUAUGUGUUUAAAUUCUUGAAGUUAUGCUUGUUGUGACAUCCUAUGCAAGAUGAUUAUUGUUCCCAUAAGUUGUUUGCUCACAAAAUCCCUAUGCAUAGGAAGUGGGUUAGGCUUAAAUGUGCUAGUCAUAUGCUUCAUGAUGCUUCCAUUAUGUUUCAAUUCUUAUCUUUUAUGUGAGCAUCAUUGUCAUCAUCAUGCCUAGCUAAAAAGGCAUUAAAGAAAAGCGCAUGUUGGGAGACAACCCAAUAUUUAUCAUUACUCUUUUUGUAUGUACACAUGAUUAUGCUACUGUAGUAAUCAUGUUUUAUAGCUUUUGUUUUAAUAAAGUUCCAAGUAGAACCUUUGGGAAGACAUGGGUGAAGUUUACAUGAUCUUGCUGUGAAAAACAGAAACUUUAGCGCUCACGAGAUUAGCUGCCAUUUUUUACUGGAGAGUGCCUUUAGGUUGAUUCUUUUUGCAGAUGAUUAAUAGACAAAUUGCUCAGGUCCAGAAAUUUAUUUCAUAAUUUUUGGGGUUCCAGAAGUAUACGUUUUAUACAGAUUACUACAGACUGUUCUGUUUUUGACAGAUUCUGUUUUCUAUGUGGUGUUUGUUUAUUUUGAUGCAUCUAUGGCUAGUAUUAAGUGUUAUGAACCAUAGAGAAGUUAUAAUAAAGUAGAUAUUGCACCAAUAUGAAUUUAGAAUGAGUUCAUUACAGUACCUAAGUGGUGGUUUUAUUUUCUUAUACUAACGGAGCUUACGAGUUUUGUUUUGAGUUUUGUGUGGUUGAAGUUUUCAAGUUUUGGGUAAAGAUUCGAUGGACUAUGGAAUAAGGAGUGGCAAGAGCCUAAGAUUGGGGAUGCCCAAGGCACCCCAAGGUAAUAUUCAAGGACAACCAAGAGCCUAAGCUUGGGGAUGCCCCGGAAGGCAUCCCCUCUUUCGUCUUCGUUCAUCGGUAACUUUACUUGGAGCUAUAUUUUUAUUCACCACAUGAUAUGUGUUUUGCUUGGAGCAUCAAUUUAUUUUGUUAGUUUUUGCUUGCUGUUAGUUAGAAUAAUGUUUUGCCUCUUUAGUUUCAAUAAAAAAGUCAAGGAUAGCCUUUGCCAUGCUUAUUUUGCUAGUUUGCAUGUUGCUGUUUGAAAACAGAAAGUUUACCGCUGUUGCAAACAUUCCCUAGAAAAGUCAGAGCAUGGUCUAACGUUGAAUAUUUUUGCAUAUUGAGAUCUGACAAAUUUAUUACAGUGGGAAUUUUAGUUCAUAAUUUUUGGAGUCAGGGAAGUAUGGAUACUCUUGCAUUCUUUACAGACUAUACUGUUUUGACAGAUUGCUGUUAUGUUUGCGUUGUUUGCAUAUGUUUGCUUGUUUAAUGAUUCUAUUUGAUGAUAGGAGUAUUAAAUAUGCAGAGGCAUUUAGUAUUCAAUGUUGAAUAAUAAUUUUAGUGAUUUGUUACAGUAGAAAAUGACAAGGUUUUGCAUUGGUUUAUACUAACCUAUCUCACGAGUUCUUGUUGAGUUUAUUGUGAAUGAAGCUUUUGAUAAAAAGAGAAACCAUGAUAUGAGAGGAAUUAAGGAGACACGAAAGUUAAAGCUUGGGGAUGCCCAAGGCACCCCAAGAUAAUAUUUCAAGAAGUCUCAAGCAUCUAAGCUUGGGGAUGCCCCGGUAGGCAUCCCACCUUUCUUCUUCAACAACUAUCAGUUAGUAUCGGUUGAGCCUAAGUUUUUGCUUCUUCACAUGAGUUGUGCUAUCCUUGCAAUGUAGUUUUCUUUAGCUUUGCCUGCUGUUUGAAUGAAGUAUCAAGAUCUGAAAUCCUUUAAUGAGAGAGAGCCAUACAUAAAUUGGAAUUUUCUAGAAUACUCUUUGUGCUUCACUUAUAUCUUUUGAGCUUCAUAGUUUUGCUCUAGUGCUUCACUUAUAUCUUUUGAGCUUCAUAGUUUUGCUCUAGUGCUUCACUUAUAUCUUUUGAGCGUGAUAAUUUUUGCUCUAGUCCUUCACUUAUAUCUUUUAGAGCAUGGUGGUGGAUUUGUUUUAAAGAAACUAUUGAUCUCUCAUGCUUCACUUAGAUUAUUUUUAGAGUCAUUAAUAGCAUGGUAAUUUUCUUAAUGUUAAUAUACUUGGUAUUCAAGAUAUGUGAAACUUUCUUAUGAGUGUGUUAAAUACUAAGAUAAGUUUGAUGCUUGAUAAUUGUUUUGAGAUAUGGAGGUGAUAAUAUCAAAGUCGUGCUAGUUGGGUAAUUGUGAAUUUGAGAAAUGCUUGUGUUGAAGUUAGCAAGUCCCGUAGCAUGCACGUAUGGUUAAAGUUGUGUAACAAAUUUGAAGCAUGAAGUGUACCUGGCUUGUGCAUCUUAUGAGUGGCGGUCGGGGACGAGCGAUGGUCUUUUCCUACCAAUCUAUCCCCCCAGGAGCAUGCGUGUAGUACUUGAUUUUUGAUGGCUUCUAAAUCUUUGCAAUAAGUAUAUGAUUUCUUUAUUACUAAUGUGAGUCCAUGGAUUAUACGCACUCUUACCCUUCCAUCAUUGCUAGCCUCUACGGUACCGUGCAUUGCCCUUUCUCACCUUGAGAGUUGGUGCAAACUUCACCGGUGCAUCCCAACCCCGUGAUACGAUACGCUCUAUCACACAUAAACCUCCUUAUAUCUUCCUCAAAACAGCCACCAUACCUACCUAUCAUGGCAUUUCCAUAGCCAUUCCAAGAUAUAUUGCCAUGCAACUUCCAUCAUCAUAUUCAUGACAUACAUUACUUUUGUCAUAUUGCCAUUGCAUGAUCAUGUAGUUGACAUCGUAUUUGUGGCAAAGCCACCAUGCAUUAUUUCAUACAUGUCACUCUUGAUUCAUUGCACCAUCCCGGUACACCGCCGGAGGCAUUCAUAUAGUCAUAUCUUGUUCUAGUUUCGAGUUGUAAUUUAUAUGUUGUAAUGAAAGUGUGAUGACCAUCAUUAUUAGAGAAUUGCCGAAAAAAAGAGAGAAAGGCCAAAAAAAAGAAAGGCCCAAAAAAAGGAAAGGCCAAAAGAAAAAAAAAGGCCCCAAAAAAAAGGGCAAUGCUACUAUCUCUUUUCCACACUUGUGCUUCAAAGAAGCACCUUGUUCUUCAUGUAGUGAGUCUCAUAUAUUGUGCUUCAAAAUAGCACCUUGUUCUUCAUGUAGUGAGCCUCAUAAGUUGUCUUUUUAUACUAGUGGGAAUUUUUCAUUAUAGAACUUGGCUUGUAUAUUCCUACGAUGGGCUUCCUCAAAUGCCCUAGGUCUUCGUGAGCAAGCAAGUUGGAUGCACACCCACUAGUUUUCUUUAGUUGAGCAUUCAUAGCUCUAGUGCAUCCGUUGCAUGGCAAUCCCUACUCCUCAUGUUGACAUCAAUUGAUGGGCAUCUCCAUAGCCCGUUGAUUAGCCUCGUCAAUGUGAGACUUUCUCCUUUUUUGUCUUCUCCACACAAUCCCCAUCAUCAUAUUCUAUUCCACCCAUAGUGCUAUAUCCACGGCUCACGCUCAUGUAUUGCGUGAAGGUUGAAAAAGUUUGAGAUUAUUUAAGUAGAAAAAAUUUCUUGGCUUGUCAUCGGGGGUAUAGAAGUUGGUAACAUCUUUGUGUGACGAAAAUAAAGCAUAGCCUAACUAUAUGAUUUUGUAGGGAUGAACUUUCUUUAGCCAUGUUAUUUUCAGAAGACAUGAUUGCUUUGAUUAGUAUGCUUGAAGUAUUAUUAUUUUUGUGUCAAUAUGAACUUUUGUCUUGAAUCUUUCGGAUCUAAAUAUUCAUAUCACAAUUAAGGAGAUUUACAUUGAAAUUAUGCCAAAGUAUCACUCCGCAUCAAAAAUUCUUUUUUAUCAUUUACCUACUCGAGGACGAGCAGGAAUUAAGCUUGGGGAUGCUUGAUACGUCUCCAACGUAUCUAUAAUUUUUGAUUGCUCCAUGCUACUUUAUCUACUGUUUUAGGCAAUAUUGGGCUUUAUUAUCCACUUUUAUAUUAUUUUUGGGACUAACCUAUUAACCGGAGGCCCAACCCAGAUUUGAUGUUUUAUGCCUAUUUCAGUGUUUCGAGGAAAAUGAAUAUCAGACGGAGUCAAAACGGAACGAAAUCAACUAGAGAAGUUAUUUUUGGAAGGAAACCCACCUGAUGGACUUGGACUCCACGUCAAAAGAUACGGGAGGUGCGCAUGAGGGUGGGGGGCGCGCCCACCCCCCUGGACACGCCCCCUACCUCGUGGGGCCCCCGUAGCUCCACCGACGUACCCCCUGUACCCAUAUAUACUCUUAUAUCCUAAAACUUCCAGAACAGAAGAUAGAUCGGGAGUUCCGCCGCCGCAAGCCUCCAAGCCUCUGUAGCCACCAGAAACCAAUCGGGACCCUGUUCCGGCACCCUGCCGGAGGGGGAUCGCAUCACCGGAGGCCAUCUUCAUCAUCCCGGCGCUAUCCAUGACGAGGAGGGAGUAAUUCACCCUCGGGGCUGAGGGUAUGUACCAGUAGCUAUGUGUUUGAUCUCUCUCUCUCUCUCGUGUUCUCUCUCGUGUUCCUCUAUGGCACGAUCUUGAUGUAUCCUGAGCUUUGCUAUUGUAGUUGGAUCUUAUGAUGUUUCUCCCCCUCUACUCUCUUGUGAUGAAUUGAAUUUCCCCUUUGAAGUUAUCUUAUCGGAUUGAGUCUUUUAUGAACACUUGAUGUAUGUCUUGCAUGGGAUAGCCGUGGUGACAAUGGGUUAUUCUAUUGAUCCACUUGAUGUAUGUUUUGGUGAUCAACUUGCGGGUUUCGUGACACUUGGGAACCUAUGCAUAGGGGUUGGCACACGUUCUUGACUCUCCGGUAGAAACUUUGGGGCACUCUUUGAAGUACUCUUAUCUUGGUUGGAUGAAUCUAAGAUUGUGUGAUGCAUAUCGUAUAAUCAUGCCCACGGAUACUUGAGGUGACAAUGGAGUAUCUAGGUGACAUUAGGGUUUUGGUUGAUUUGUAUCUUAAGGUGUUAUUCUAGUACGAACUCUUUUAUAGAUCGAUCCGAAAGAAUAGAUUUGUGGUGGUUUCGUACCCGACCAUAAUCUCUACGUUUGUUCUCCGCUAUUAGUGUCUUUGGAGUGACUCUUUGUUGCAUGUUGAGGGCUUGUCAUAUGUUCUAUCUAUGUUAUUAUUGUUGAGAGAACUUACACUAGUGAAAGUAUGAACCCUAGGCCUUGUUUCCUAUCAUUGCAAUACCGUUUACGCUCACUUUUACCAUUAGUUACCUUGUUGUUUUUAUUAUUUCAGAUUACAAAAACCUAUAUCUACUAUCUAUUUUGCACUUGUAUCACCAUCUCUUUGCCGAACUAGUGCACCUAUACAAUUUACCAUUGUAUUGGGUGUGUUGGGGACACAAGAGACUUUUUGUUAUUUGGUUGCAGGGUUGCUUGAGAGAGACCAUCUUCAUCCUACGCCUCCUACGGAUUGAUAAACCUUAGGUCAUCCACUUGAGAGAAAUUUGCUACUAUCCUACAAACCUGUGCACUUGCAGGCCCAACAACGUCUACAAGAAGAAGGUUGUGUAGUAGACAUCAUACACCAACACAUCAAGCCCCACGUGGACCCAUGAUAAGAGCUAGAGCAUGUGCAAUGGAAACCAAGGUGAACUCCUUCCUAGUUGACAUGCAUAUGGAUACAAGUGGAACUUGGUUUCUACCUCACCAAAAUACCCUAUGCAGCAGAGGAACACCACCAAGUCCAAGGAGAAGUGACCCAAGUCACCAAGGAUGAAGAACAAGCCGAACAACAGCUGGACAGGAAGUCCCAGGCGACCCCGUGCGCACGGCCCCCCGAGACCCCGUGCCCACAGACUACAUAGGGAGCUACGGUUGUAGCACCCCAUGUGCAUGGGCGUGUACCGUGCGCACAGGACCCCCGUUGAGAUUGCCCCUUCGCUCUCCUCUCCAUCUCCUUCGACCCCAAAGCUAUAUAAGUCGUACCUAGGACCAUGUUUAGGGUUAGCAAAGAGAUAGAUGAUAAUUUGAGAGCUUUGCUCCUUCUACCACCUCCAUUGAAGAUCAGGGCCUCUUUGGAGGAGAUCCACUUGUGGAUAUCAAGACCUCCAUCUUGGAGGAGACUACCAUCAUCAAGACCUCAUCUCCUAGGAGCGGAAAGAACUUAUCCAUUGUAUCUUUCCUUUGGUUGUGUUUGUGAACUUGUGGAUCGUGUGUUGCUAUUCUAGCAGAUGUGUAAUUGGGUAUUGUUGGAGUGAUUUCCUCUUUGUGUUUCUUGGUGUUCAUCAUUUCCCCCUCCAAGUGUGAAAAAAUCCAUCUUAGGGUUCUACCCUACAACACUUAAGGUGGCAGAGCAAGAUAUUAAGAAAGGCACAGAUCAAGUGUUGAUGGUGUAGAACUCGGGGAAGUUCAAGAAGAGUUCGUCCAAGAAGAAGGCUAAGGUAAAGGGCACGGAGAUGGUAACCUCUGCCGUUGUGCCGAAGUCUGUCGGUGGGAAACGACACCUAUGGGAUCACUGGAAUCCCUACUACGGUUGCGGGGCGCGGGGAACGUGAGAAGAGCAGGACUAGCAGACAGCACAAAGGGGAUUUACCCAGGUUCGGGCUGCAAAGAUGCGUAAAACCCGAUGAUCCUGCUUUGGUGGAUGUAUUUAGUGUUCUUGAGCUCUUGAACUAGCUCUGGGUGCUGCUAAGGUUCGAAAGAGCCGAAUCCUUCUCCAGUGCGCCAUGGGCCUCCUUUUAUAGGCAAAAGGGGCUGCCAUAGUGGCACACAGGAGGUGGAAAGUGUCACAGUGCUGUGAGCUUAUCGCUGGUAUUACAGGACAAAGUGCAUUUAAUGCAUGCUUAGGUGUCCCUCACUUUAUCGGGGACGGGAGCAAGGCCCGUCCCAUCCGCCGCCGCUCCUCCUUGCUUCGACACGCGCCCUGGCCAGCGAUGCAUGCGGUGCCAUGUAGGCAGGCAAGCAGCUGAGGUGGCACGGUGGUGGAGCCUCCACGAAGAUCUGCAUGCCGCCACACAGGUGCGUGCUGAGUUAGCCUGGAAGCUGCCUGUUGCCACGCCGGUGCCUGCCCAGCGAGGAAAUGGCACGCUUCACACUUGAGCUGGUUGAUGGAGCUUCUUCAAAUGGAACUGGCACGCUUCACACUUGGUUACUAGUGCCGUCGCAUCCUGGAGGGCGGUGGGCCAAAAGAAACCUUGCCAGAAAGCCUUGCCGGCAAGGGCCCUCAACCCUAUGUGGGAGCCACAUAUGCCUCCAUGUAUCUCUGCCAACAGCUUUAGUCCUUCCUCCCGGGAGAUGCACUUCAAUUUCACCCCAUUCGGUCUUUUUCUGUACAAUACAUUAUCAACAAAUUGGUACAUAGCAGACCGGCAGGCUACUCUUUCUGCCUCUUCCUGCUCCUCAGGAAGCUCUCCUUUUCGAAGGAAUCAGACGGUGUGCUGCGCCCAUGCCGGAGCCUAUGGCUCGAUGACAAGGACCAAAGGCAUCUCUUCUACCAAGGGAGCGGCCAUCUCCACGGCCAUGAACUGAGGUCCUGCCAGAGUCGGUUGUCCCGCGGCAGGCUCGACAUCCACGACAACAUCUUCGCCGGCGGCUCCGGGGACCUCGGUUGGGAAGUACUUUCUAGAGCCUAGCUUCCUCCGCUUGUUCUGCCCGAUCAACGGCUCAACGGAUGGUUGAGUUAACUGAAGCACAAAAGUACCUGGUUCCAUAGGUAGCUUGAGGGCAGCGCGCUUUGACAGGUAGUUGGCGAUGUCAUUCUCUGUCUGAGGGACAUGCUCCGCUUGUAUACCGUCAAAGCGCUCCUCCAGUUUCCUCACCUCAUCUACGUAAGCUUCCAUCAACGGGCUUUGAUAAUCUUUUUUGACCUGCCUGACGACGAGUUGCGAGUCGCCCCUGACGAUGAGCUUUUUAACUCUGAGGUCCGCCGCGAUCCUGAGACCGGCAAGCAAACCCUCGUACUCGGCGGUGUUGUUGGUUGACAUCUCCCGGGGAAAGUGCGUCUGGAUGACGUACUUGAGGUUCUCUCCGAUGGGUGCGACAAGCAGCACACUGGCACCGGCGCCUUGUAGCGAAAAAGCCCCAUCAAAGUACAUGAUCUAGUUGCCGCUUGUUUCCUCGCCAGGGAGAGUAGUCUCCUGUAACUCUUUGUCAGGCAUCGAGGUCCAUUCUGCAACAAACUCCGCCAAGAUUAGGCUCUGGAUCGUCGAGGUACUUUCAAACUUUAGACCAAAAUUUGAUAGCUCCAGGGCCCAUUCCAUGAUCCUUCCUGUUGCAUCUGGGUUAUGCAGUAUCUGUUGCAAUGGAAGGCGGGUAACCACGGUGAUAUCUUGUGCUUGGAAGUAGUGGCGCAGCUUCCUCGAGGCCAUAAGGAGGCCGAAGAGCAAUUUUUGCACACCUGAAUACCUCGACCUAGCUCACUGCAAGAGGGACCUGAUGAAGUAAACCGGGUGCUGCACCAUCUUCUUCCUUUGCGCCACUUCACCUGGCCGUGCUGGUCCUAUCGUACUGGCGCCAGUUUUGCCGGGACCGAGCCCUGCCGGGGACUCAGUCUUGCUGGGACCGAGCCCUACGGGGAGGUUUCUGGCCCGCCAACCAUUGACCCUGCCGCUGUCGCUGCCUCCUCGUCGACCUCUCUCUGCGCCACUAGUGCGACGCUAACCACCUGAUUUGUUGCCGCUAGAUAAAGCAGCAACGGUUCUUGUGGUUUGGGCGCAACCAGCAUUGGGGUAGAGGAGAGGUAUUUCUUCAAAUCUUGCAGCGCUGCCUCGGCCUCUGGGGUCCACUCCACUGGCCCUGCCUUCUUUAAGAUCUUGAAAAAAGGAAGGGCACGCUCCACAGACUUGGAGAUGAACCAGCUCAUGGCAGCAACGCAGCCAGUGAGCCGACACACGUCCUUGAUCUGUUUGGGUGCCUCAAUCUGCUCGAUGGCCUUGAUCUUAUCUGGGUUUGCUUCAAUCCCGUGCUAGGACACAAAGAACCCGAGAAGCUUGCCAGAAGGGACGCCGAAGACACACUUCUCAGGGUUCAAUUUGAGGUUGAUCUUGCGCAGGUUUGCAAAUGUUUCCUCCAGAUCUUGCACAAGGGUUGUUUUGUCCUUGGUUUUGACCACUAUGUCAUCCAUAUAAGCUUCCAUAUUUCUAUGCAGUUGGGGCUCAAAACCAAUUUGUCCCGCUCUUGCAAAGGUUGAGCCAGCACUCUUCAACCUGAAAGGCAUCCGUAAAAAGAAAUAUGUACCACAUGGGGUGAUGAAUAAUGUCUUCUCCUCGUCCUCCUUCGUCAUGAAGAUCUGGUGGUAUCCCGAGUAGGCGUCGAGGAAUGAUAAAAGGUCACACCCAGCUGUGGAGUCAACAAUAUGGUCAAUGCGCGGUAACAGGAAGGGAUCCUUUGUACAAGCCUUAUUAAUGUCUGUGUAAUCAAUACACAGCCUCCACUUCCCAUUUGCCUUGCGCACUACUACCGGAUUGGCCAACCACGUCGGAUGGACUGGUGGAGUACUCCUCUCACCAGGGCUGCCACCUCUAGCUUUCUGAUUUCCUCUGUGAUGAACUCCUGCCUCUCCAGAGCUUGCUUCCUGACAUUCUGCUUGACGGGUCACGCAUGAGGACAGACAUCAAGGUGGUGCUCAAUCACCUCCCUGGGAACAUCGGGUAUGUCGGAGGCUUGCCAUGCAAACACAUCGACAUUCGCCUGCAGGAAGGUGACAACCUCGCUUUCCUAUUUGCCGUCGAGGGUGGAGCUUAUGGUAAAAGCUCCCCCCGUGCCGUCCUCCUUGACGGGCACAUUCUUGGUCUCUGGUGGUGUGGCUCUGGACUUCUUGGUCUUGCCGGCGGAGCUCUCUGGCACGUUCUCAACGGAAGCGCAACACCCUGAAGAGGUGCGCUUGCCGGAGUGGGUGCGAGGGGUCUCGCCGGUCUUCUUCCCCCCUGGGGCUCCAUCGGCAGGAGCAGGUGCCUUAGCGGCAGCUGCUACAACUACUUCCCGGUAGAGUUGGUUGGCGCAGAUCAAUGCAUCUUUCUUGUCGGAGGGGACAGUGAUGAUGUACAUCGGCUCGGGCAUCUUCAGCAUGUUGUAGGCGUAGUGUGAAGUUGCCAUGAACUUGGCUAGUGCCGGGCGACCGAGGAUCCCGUUGUAAGGCAAGGGGAUCUCGGCUACAUCGAAAGCAAUCCUUUCCGUCCUGUGGUUCAGCUCACCUCUGAAUGUCACGGGCAGCGUGACCUUUCCCUUUGGCUAGCUCCUCCCCGAGUUAACCCCUUGGAACGUGCCCGUCUCCUCGAGUUCUCCUUCGGGGAUCUGCAGCCUUUUGACCACAACAGGCGAGAUCAAGUUCAGGCUAGCCCCGCCUUCAACCAACAUCCUUGUCACCUUGAGGUUGCGGAUUGUUGGUGAAACCAACAAUGGCAAGCACCUGACUGCAGUAGUGCGGUCAGGAUGGUCCUCGCUGUCGAAGAUGAUGGGCGUGCUGGACCAUUUCAGCGGCUUCCGUGCGUCGAACGAUGGCUCCACCGUCGUGAUCUCAUGCACCCACUGCUUGAGUUGGCGGUGGGACUUAUGCAGCGAGGCGCCACCAUCGACGCACAUGGCCUCUGUGGCUUUUUGAAACUAGUGGUCGCCGGACUCGUCAUCCUCGUCAUGAUCAUCGUCUUCCUGCUUCUUGUCGCGGCCCUGGGCGGGCCUCUCCCGCUGAUUAUCCUUGCCGCGGAGGCUUCCUUGGCCACCACAUUUCUUGCCGGAUCCCUCGGCGCCAUCUGGGCCUUUCUCCUUGCCCCGCCGCUCAUACUCAGCUUUCUGCUUCUCGGCGAGCAGCUCUACCUGCCGGCAGUUUUGGAGGUCAUGGCCCUUGGUGUGGUGGAUCUUGCAGUACUGCUUGUCGGAGCCUCCUGGCUUGUCGGCAGCCGCCAAGGCCCGGCAAGCGACACACCGGCAACCUCCUUGCCGGGGUCGCCCGCCUUGGUCUUCUUGGUGGCGCCGGUGUCGUCGGAUCCCUCGACGGCAAGCACGACCUUGCCCUUGCGCUUCCUGUUACGGCGUCGGCCCUUCUUCGCUGGGGUGGCGGUGUCGCCAGUGGAGUCGGUUUCCACACCGGCAUCUUCGCCGGGGUACUUCCUUCCCUCUUCAGCGCGAGCGCAUCGAUCGGCCAAGACAUAAAGCGCGGCCACAUUCUUGACCUUGUUCAUCGCUAGCUCUUCACGCAUCUUGUGAUUGCGCAUGUUCUGAUGGAACGCACUGAUCACGGCGGCGGGAUGAACAUUGGGGAUGUUGUACUGCACCCGUUGAACCUUUGGAUGUACUUGCGCAAGUUUUCGCCUUCCUUCUGGGGAUGAUGUAUAAAUCACUUGCCUGGCCAUGAGCUUCGUGACCUCCGGUAAAGGCGCCAACAACCUCUUGGCACAGAUCCGCCCAAGAAGAGAAGGAAUCCACCGGCAAGUGCAUCAACCAUGACAUAACAUUAGGCUUGAGUGCCAAUGGGAACUAGUUGGCAAGCACCUUAUCGUCGCGCGCCCCAGCAGCUUGCAUCGCGAUGGUGUAGAUGCUGAGGAACUCUGACGGGUGAGUCUUGCCGUUGUACUUCUCGCCAACGUCAGGCUUGAACGUAUGGUGGGAGGGCCACUGGAACUGUUGCAGCUCACGGGUAAAAGCCGGACAACCCACCUCGUAGGGUAGGCCACCGUAGCCUCCCAGCGCUGGGCGGUCCGUAGCGGGCCCUGCCCGCCUGUCCGACUGGUGGCACGCAUCACGUCGGCGCUCGAUGGUAGUUCGAGCGUUGUAACAUCCCAAAAUUCUAAAUUUUGGAACGUUAUAAUAAAUAGAUAGUUUGGUUGAUUGUGUGAUUGAUUGACUGAAAGUAAGUGAAUUCGAAACUUUUUGAAAGUUAAAUGAGAGGGAAUAAAAGGACUUUCCCAAACUUUCAUUUUCUUUUAUGAUCUCCGUGAAUUCAAAUUAUUUUCAUCACAAAACCCUGGAGACAAGAGGACAUGACUUCUUCCAUUUUAAUAAAUGAAAAGGGUUUUUGAAAAUAUUUGAAUUUCACCUGGAAAUAUUUCAAAUUCAGAAACUUCAAGCAACUCAAUGAUUUUCAUGAGGGAAGAUAAAAUGACUUCUUCAAACAUAUGAAAUAUGAGUAGGGAGUUUAAAAGAAAUCCAAUUUAAAGUCCUUUUGAAAUUAUUUUCAAUUGGGAGUUAUUUGGGUUUUAUUCAAAUUAUUUUUCUCCAAAUAUAAAAUAUAUAGAAAAUAGGGUAACAUGAUUCCCUCCAAUAGAAAAUUGGAGAUAAAUAAAUUUGAUAUCAUUUUGCUAUUUUUAAAAUGAUUUUUAUUGGAUUUUACUAGAGCAGAAGCACUCUUUGCUUUAUUUGAAUUUCUGUGUAUUUUAUUUGAUAUUAAAGAAAUGUUCAGGUUAUAGAAAAUCUUUUUCGGAAAAUUUUGAUAUAUAAUACGCCUAUAGUAUGUUUUUAUUUUGGUGGUUUAUUUCUAUUUAUUGUUUUCCGGAAAAUGUUAAAAAAAACACUUUCCUCCGCCGCCGAACUGGGCCAGCCCAAUAGGCCGCAGCGCAGCCCAGCGCGCAGCUCGUCCCCGACCCCGAGCGGAGUCCGCCGCCCGCACACCUCGCCGGCGACGCCGUGUCCGCCCCGGUCUCCUCGUGCCCCAACCCCUCCCGCACGCCACCGCCCUCCCCUGGCCUUUAAAAGGCGGGUCCCGACACCCCCCUCUCUCACUCUGCUCGCACCGCCAGAUCCGCCGCCGCCAUCGUCGGUCGCCGCCGCCGCCUCGCAUCUCGCCGCCGCACUCCGCUAGCGCCGCCGCCGCCGUUGCCACACCUCGCCGAACACCGGCGCUGCCCCGACGCCCGCGCCGGAGUUCGCCGCUGGCCGAAUCCGCUCCGCCACCCGACCCGUCGGUUUUCCCGGUCCGGUAAUAAACCACCCCGGUUUUCUUCGGUUUUCCCUUUAGGAUUCGGUGUUUGUUUAAAACACGUUUUUUAUAUAGUUAGUUAGGUAGCGAACGUUUUCUGUUUAGUUAGUAUCGGCGAACGUUUUCGUUCGUUAGCGUUCGGUAACGAACGUGCGUUAUUUAGCUCUUCUUCUUUUUCUAUUAGUUUUAUUUAGGGACUUCUUUGUAGAUGUUUUAUUUACAAUUUAACCCCUAGACUUCAAACGAUCACUACUUUGCAACCGUUUAUCCAAAUCUAAUGAAACCAAUGCCCACUUCUUCGUUAUGAUCCCCACUAUCCAGUAAUCCAACUCCAACAUGUUUUUGGAAGUUUAAAAUUUGAAUUAGACCAGAUUUGUAUUCAAACUUCGUUUGAUCAUAACUUGAGUUUUAUAACUCCGAUUUAGUUGAUUCUUUUUGCAAAUCGAAGCUCUUGACCUAAACUUUCUGAUAAGUCCAAAUCCAUCUAAUUUUGGUACUGUUAGAAAUUGUUUUGCAAGAGUCAUUUGCUUGUUUUUUAAGCUUUCCGAGAUCUUUUCUUCGAUUCUUUUGCAUGAUUGCUUAUGUGUGGUUACUAUUGCUUGCUUACGAUAGAUUCACCGGAGUGUGAUGAGUAGAACUAUCAAGAUUUUUGAGUGUGAAUCAUCUUCAUCAACAUUGUAGGCAAGUUCACACUUUGAUCAUAUUUCCUUUCAUACCCAGUUUUAUUGCAUUAUAUCAACCCUCAAACAAUUGCAUGAUUAGGAUCUGAUUAAUAUGUGGGUUUUGGGAAGUAGAUGAGGUAGUACCUAUCACCAGCUUUAUUAUCAAUCCCUUGGGAGUUACUUCUACGUUUUCUUAUUAUGCCAUGCUAUGCUAGUAGACGUGGAUUGGGUGAGUGAAUUUCCAUGACAGAUGUGAGAUUGUUAAUUAAUGGUUUAUUUAAGGUGGCAACUUUAAUACACACCUGGGUGGAUUGAGGCACUUGGGUAUUCUAGGAUUGCCUGUUAGUUUUGGACCGCCACCCAGGCUCAAAGGGAUCAUAAGAUUAUUCAUGCUAGAAACUUUCGUGUGCAGCCACAUGCUAUUAUGGGAUCUAGCAUAGUUGAUUAAGCCGUGCGAACUCUUACAGUGGUAGACUAGCAGAUGUAGGGGAAAGUAGGUGUACAUGUCUACCCAUCGUAAGGUGCUAGCGCUUCUGAAAGACUAUGUCUUGGUCAUCCGUUUCUCAAACACCAUGUAGUGCGAGAAAACCAACGGAGGAGAUCGAGUCGUGUGGGGAAAAGUGCGCAAACCUCUGCAGAGUGUAUAAACUAAUCAUGAUUAGCCGUGUGCCCGGUUAUGGACGUUUUGAGUAUCUAGUACUUGGAUUAUCAUGUGAAUCUCAUCAUGUUUCUUUAAUUGAACUUGUUGGGUUUUAAUGAUGAUGUUACUUAAUUGGGAUUGAGAAUGCUGUCAACUAUUCUCAACGUUCAACAACCACCAUGAUAGUUAAAUAAAAUUUAUUCCUUUGUAGUAGGGAAAAAUUGGCUUUUCGCAAAAACAUUAUAACCAUAGAGCCUCCACCAGCCAAAUAUGCAUGUAGUGAUAGCCUUUAUUCAUCAUUGCUCUAUGGUGUGAUUUUGCCAGUACAUUCAAUGUACUGACCCUCUGUGGCUGCAACGUCUCUUGUUGCAGGAAUCUUACGAUGAGUAAGUGUUACGUUAGGGUUACGAUUUAUAUACUCAACUUUGUCGUUGGUGUUGAUGGGAAUCCACAACCUUGUUGCUUCCGCUAUUUGGAUUGAGGUAAUAUUAUUUAUGCUACUUUAUACAUGUGAUUUACCUCUGUUAUAAAUCCUCGAGUACUGUGUGUGUCAGCAUACCGAUCCAUGGAUGACACUUAAGCAUAGAGACUUGAUCCAUUCGGGUCAGGUCGCUACAAGAUGGUAUCAGAGCACAUGUUGACUGUAGGACGUGACCCUAGAAACUGACAAGCCCAUAGGAAAGUUUUUUUUCUCUACAACUUUCUUUUCAAAAGAAUCUUUUACCUCUCUUCUCUUCUAAGCUUAUUCAAAUAUUCCCUUUUAGCUAGACUACCCCUUUUCCCCUUUUUGACCACAUGAAGAUUCGGAUGAUAAGACCACUCCAAGGAGUACAAGAUAUCGGACAACUAAGACCACUUUGGAAUAAACAGGAUUUUACCGUGCAUUACAAUGAUGGAAACUACAAUGGUUGAAGACUCCGAAGACUAGGAGAAUUUGAAGGCUUGAAGAAUUUCCAGAUUUGUAUGACCUAGGAAGGCACCCCUUAUGGAACUUGGCAGACUAAGGAAGCUGUCAAUACCCGAGAUCAAGGUGUAUCGGAGAAAGACCAGAACAUGGAGCAUUAGAACUUGAAGUUUUCGUCAAGGAAAACCCUAAGACAGGAGAUAUCAAUUAUGGAAUGAAAGCUCAUGGCAGUAACAUGGCCAUAAACAUGGCUAUCCAUGAUGUUAUCGCCCUCUUAUGCUAUUGUCACUGUGUCGAGUUAAGCAUGCAUAUGCAUGGAAAGAUUGGAUGGUAGAAGGCUGAUGCAGCAUCUAUCAGCAAGAUGAAGUUUUAACCUUAGCCGGUGUAUCACCAGGAUCUGGAGUGUUACAUCAAGAAGUUAAGAUGGACCUACAAGAAGCAGUAUUUGAUAAGGAAGCGUUUCAUGAAGAACUCAGGACCCAGAAGCUGAAAGUAGCCAAGCUAGAGGAGCCAAACCUUGAGACAUCAAAGAUUCGUCAGGAACUGAAGAACAGUAGGACCAUGGAUCAUGUCAAGGAUGUUGAAACCGGAAGUUUGGAAUGCAAAUCCAGCAAUAUUAAAGGGCGCCACAAGAGACUUCUCAUCAAUAGAGAUGAUCUGGCGAAAGAACUUGAGAAGGACAAGCAUGAUCGGAAGAAGCUAUCAGAGACAUGAACAAGACUUGAAGAGUUUGACGACUUUGAAGAUUUGUUGACCUUUAGCAGACCAAUCCCCGUUGUACCUACGUUAGAUCCGACGUUUGUGAGCUGUCAUUUGUUUGAUGUUUUUUUGGCAGCCACAAAUAAAAUGCCCUUUUCAAAACUGUUGUUUGUAUUUUGUGUAUCCCCUCUCUAUAUCUCUUAUCCCACCCCAAAACCCAUGGACCCAAUAGAGGAUGAAUGGAGAUGAACUCAUAUUAUCUGGACCGAUGAGUCAAUUGGAGACGGACCAAUGGAUUCAGAACAUGGAGGAUCACAUGGAGAAUAACCCUAUAACCGGAAAGGAUAUGACCCAGCAUGCUCUUGAGUGCUUUGAAAAAGAUGCCACUACCUGGUAGAGGAUGUACCAAACCAUCAAUGGAUGGCAAAGAUGUAACGCCCCGGAUUCGAUACGCCAGGUGUCUGCCAGUUAUUCACCGUAGUUGCCAUGUCAUUUGCUUCCGUGUUGCAUUUUGCCAUGUCAUCAUCUGCAUUUCAUCUACAUGUUUUUCAAAACUUGCAUCCGUUCGGGUUCUCCCGGUUCUCUCCGUUGUCCGUUCGGAGUCUGGACUUCUCGCGCGCGCCUGUCGCCCCUCUCAGACCUUGUUUUCGUGAGGGGGUGUGAAACGUUCUCGGAAUGGCCCGAGGUUUGCCAGGCGGCCUUGGUAUAGCACCGGUAGACCGCCUGUCAAGUUUCGUGCCAUUUGGAGGUCGUUUGAUACUCCAACGGUUAACUGGGUAACCGCAAAAGCCUCUUUUGUCUUGCAGCCCAACACCCUUCCAAACUGGCCCAAAACCCAGCAAACUCCCCUCCAUGCUCUUGGUCGUUCCAUCACGAUCGCGUGGCCCAAAACCGCUCCUCAUUUGGACUCUCCUAGCUCCCUCUACCUACAUAAAGGCCCUCCCCUUCCAUUUUCGCGGAUGAAACCCUAGCCUAGCCUCCCUCUCGCCCGCCGGACAUGUCCGUGCGCCGCCGGACGUGUCCGCCGCCAUCAGCCACGUCGUCCGGGCCAAUCAGCGCUCGCCACGUCACCUCCACCGCCGCCCUCAACCUAUCGCGCCGCGCCACCUCACUGCCGCCGACUCUCUCUCUCCUCUGCGCCCGCGCAGGCCCGGAAGGCCCACAUCCGGCCCCCGCCGGGCCCGAACUGGGCCGCGCCCCGCCGUCCGCAUCUCCGCCCCGGUGCCGCCGCCUCGGCCCUCGCCGCCGCCACCGCACCAGCCUCCAGCGACCUUGCCGCCGGUCACCGAAGGGCUGGGCCGCCCCUGCGCUUCCUCCGACGGUCCUGUCCUGCCCCGCCGUCGUGAACCGCGCCGUUCCCCGCGCCCGAGCACCGCGCCUUCGCAGUUCGGCACCCGCCUCCUCCGCCGCCUUGCUCCCCGGAGCGCCACCGUCUAUGGAGCUCCGCCCGUCGUCGCCCGACCCUGCCGCCGCCGGGAACGGAUCCAGCUGCUCCAGAUCCACCCGGAUCCGGCCGGUCCCCACCCCAUCUUCACCGCUCGCCGCCGGGCAACCGCCACCGCCGCCGCCUGCCACCCCGAUCCAGUCGGGACCGAGAAGGUCGAUGCCCAUCUCCUCCCGCGCGUGGGCCACCGCGGGCCCCGCUCCAUUCCAGAUCCACCGUCCCAGUAGCCUCUUCCCACAACCUGGGCCUCGUCCUGCUCUGGUGAGAUCCCGCGAAAUCCCGCCCCGGGCGACGUAUAGUUACCUUGCGCUCACCUGUUUUUUUUUUAAAAAAACUGCUAAGUCCCGAAAUAUUUUGACAUUUUCAUGCCCUGUUUGACCUGCCAUAUCUCUGCAUCCGUCGCUCCGUUUCGUGCGUGUAAUAUUUCAAAUUGUUUACCUCAACGAGUACUUCAUUUCAUUCCAUUGCAUCAUGGUCAUUUGAGCUCAUAUUGAUGCCUGAAUCAUCGUUGCAAGAGUGCAUCAUAAUGUUGUCUAUUGUCUGUUAACAGAACUUGCUCUUUUGUCAUUUUUUCCAUGAUUGAUGUGUGCAUCCUAUGAGGUUGAUGUCUACAUGUGUUUUGAACUAUGCCAUGCCAUCUUUACAGGGGUGUAUGUCAUGUAUUUUUGUGAUCAAUGUGGUGAUUAGCACAAGCAUGUAAACUAGGCUUCGUGAUGUUGCUGAUUUUAGUCCCUGUUCUGCUGUUAUUUUGAUGCCAUGUAAACAUGAUGCUACAGAGAGAUCCAUGCUUAUUUUGAGAUACUUCACUAAGGGUGUUUUGUUAUACAUGUUAUGCUCUAUCCACCCAUGCCCCUGGUUGCAUUUAUAGCCUGCUGUAGCUUGUUGUUAUCUUGCUCCAAAGUUGCCAAAUAAUGUUGAUGUCAGCCUAUUAACAUUAAGUUCGGUUGUUGCCAUGCUUGUUGUUAGUGAUACAUGUAUCCUAUGGACUUGCUAUUGCCAUGCUUAGCUUCACAAACAUGCCUUCUUACUGUUGGUUGCCUUGCCAUGCCAUAUCUUGCUCUGUGGUGAGUGGUACAAGCUCACCAACAAGCCUUCAUAAUGCUAUUCCUGCCAUGUAUGAAUCUGUAUUAUAACUUGCUAUGUUUACAUGGGUGCCAUCAUAUUUUCUGAUACUUUUUUGCUCAUGGUCAGUAAGGGACUUUUGUUCUAUGCAUUUAGUAGUAUCAUGCCAUGCCUUUGUUUGCCAUGAUAAGUUCCUGUAACAUGUUGUUUGAUACCUCUGAACAUUACAACCUGAUGUUAUUUUCUUUAAAGUCUAAAACUAUUAUCGUUUGCAAUUUUGCCAUGUGUGUUUGAGCAUGUUCCAGUGAUUUCUGGAGAUAGCUCAGUGUUCAUGUUUUGUUAUGCUUUACCUAUACAUCAUGCCCAUGCCUUUUGUUUUCUUGUUGAGGUCAUGUAGCAUUUUGUUUUGAUGCUUGCAAUAUGCCUAGUUGCUGUUUUGGACAGCUUGUCCUUUAAACUUGUAUAGAGUGUAUGUGUUGCACCGUUGCUCCGUUUUGAGUGUGCUCUAUAUGAAACUUGCUUGAUUUUGCAUGCAGUUUCAUAUUAUCAUGUUGCAUCCUUGUUUUGAGGUGUUUGCUUGAUGUUUGUAUGCAUUUUGCAUCAAUGCCAUGUUUUACUUGUUUUGCUCAUAUCUUCUAGGCCGUAGCUCCGAACUAAAUGAACUUUAUAUGUAACUUGACUAGAAUCUCGGGUAGAUCAUCUUGGUGCAUUUUAACUUGCUUCUUAACAACCUGAACAUAAUGUUUAUUCAGAUCUGGACCAAUUUCGAAACUUGCAUAUGAGGACUUACCGAAAUUGUUAUAUGUUGUUACCGGCCUCAUUUAAACUUGCCUUGAUGUGUUGCUCUUGUUUGCAUCAUCUAUUGCCAUGAGUAGCUUCAUGUAGUCUUGUCAUGCAUCAUGCUUGUUUGUGCAUCAUGCCUUGUUCAUGUGUGGUGUGUUUACCAUGUUGUGUGCUUCUUCUCGAUAGUUCCCGUUUCGUUGCGAUUGUGAGGAUUCGUUCGUCUACGCUUGGUUCGUCUUCGUGGCUUCAUCUUCUUCAUGGACUCGUUCUUCUUCCUUGCGGGAUUUCAGGCAAGAUGACCACUACCCUGGAUCUCACUACUAUCAUUGCUAUGCUAGUUGCUUCAUUUUAUCGCUUUGCUGCGCUACCUAUCAACUGUUUAUCAAGCCACCCAAAUUGCCAUGGACCUCUAACCUUUGACACCCUUCUUAUGCAAACCGUUGUUUGGCUAUGUUACCGCUUUUCACAGCCCUCUUAUAGCGUUGCUAGUUGCAGGUGAAGUUGAAGAUUACUCCAUGGUGGACAGGAUUAUGUUGGGAUAUCACAAUAUCUCUUCAUUAACUAAUGCAUCUAUAUAUUUGGUAAAGGGUGGAAGGCUCGGCCUUAUGCCUGGUGUUUUGCUCCACUCUUGCCGCCCUAGUUUCCAUCAUACCGGUGUUAUGUUCCCGGAUUUUGCAUUCCUUACGCGGUCGGGUGAUUUACGGGACCCCCUUGACAGUUCGCUUUGAAUAAAACUCCUCCAGCAAGGCCCAACAUUGGUUUUACCAUUUGCCUCACCACCACCUACUUUUCCCUUGGGAGUCGCCCUCUCGAGGGUCAUAUUUAUUUUAGCCCUCCCCCCCGGGCCAAUGCUUGUUUAAGAGUUGGUCCAAACCGAGCGAUGUCCGGCACCCCUUGGGCAACCAGGGUCUAUGCCAACCCGACGUCUGGCUCAUCCGGUGUGCCCUGAGAACGUGAUAUGUGCAGCUCCUAUCGAGAUAUGUGCAGCUCAUAUCAUGCGUGUAAUAUGUCAAAUUGUUCCUCUCAACGAGUACUUCAUUUCAUUCCAUUACAUCAUGUUCAUUGAGCUCAUCUUGAUGCCUGAAUCAUCGUUGCAAGAGUGCAUCAUAAUGUUGUCUGCUGUCUGUUAACAGAACUUGCUCUUUUGUCAUUUUUGCCAUGAUUGAUGUGUGCAUCCUAUGAGGUUGAUGUCUAGAUGUGUUUUUAACUAUGCCAUGCCAUCUUUACAGGGGUGUAUGCCAUGUAUUUUUGUGAUCAAUGUGGUGAUUAGCACAAGCAUGUAAACUAGGCUUCAUGAUGUUGCUGAUUUUAGUCUCUGUUCUGCUGUUAUUUUGAUGUCAUGUAAACAUGAUGCUACAGAGAGAUCCAUGCUUAUUUUGAGAUACUUCACUAAGGGUGUUUUGUUCUACAUGUUAUGCCCUAUCCACCCAUGCCCCUGGUUGCAUUUAUAGCCUGCUGUAGCUUGUUGUUAUCUUGCUCCAAAGUUGCUAAAUAAUGUUGUUGUCAGCCUGUUAACAUUAAGUUCAAUUGUUGCCAUGCUUGUUGUUAGUGAUACAUGUAUCCUAUGGACUUGCUAUUGCCAUGCUUAGCUUCACAAACAUGCCUUCUUACUGUUGGUUACCUUGCCAUGCCAUAUAUUGCUCUGUGGUGAGUGGUACAAGCUCACCAACAUGCCUUCAUAAUUCUGUUCCUGCCAUGUAUGAAUCUGUAUUGUAACUUGCUAUGUUUACAUGGGUGCUAUCAUAUUUUCUUAUUCUUUUUAGCUCAUGGUCAGUAAGGGAAUUUUGUUCUAUGCAUCUAGUAGUAUCAUGCCAUGCCUUUGUUUGCCAUGAUAAGUUCCUGUAACAUGUUGUUUGAUACCUCUGAACAUUGCAACCUGAUUUUAUUUUAUUUAAAGUCUGAAACUAUUAUCGUUUGCAAUCUUGCCAUGUGUGUUUGAGCAUGUUCUAGUGAUUUCUGGAGAUAGCUCAGUGUUCAUGUUUUGUUAUGCUUUAGCUGUACAUCAUGCCCAUGCCUUUAUUUUUCUUGUUGAGGUCAUGUAGCAUUUUGUUUUGAUGCUUGCAAUAUGCCUAGUUGUUGUUUUGGACAGCUUGUCCUUUAAACUUGUAUAGAGUGUAUGUGUUGCACCGUUGCUCCGUUUUGAGUGUGCUCUAUAUGAAACUUGCUUGAUUUUGCAUGUAGUUUCAUAUUAUCAUGUUGCAUCCUUGUUUUGAGGUGUUUGCUUGAUGUAUGUAUGCAUUUUGCAUCAAUGCCAUGUUUUACUUGUUUUGCUCAUAUCUUCUAGGCCGUAGCUCCGAACUAAAUGAACUUUAUAUGUAACUUGACUAGAAUCUCGGGUAGAUCAUCUUGGUGCAUUUUAACUUGCUGCUUAACAACUUGAACAUAAUGUUUAUUCAGAUCUGGACCAAUUUCGAAACUUGCAUAUGAGGACUUACCAAAAUUGUUAUAUGUCGUUACCGGCCUCAUUUAAACUUGCCUUGAUGUGUUGCUCUUGUUUGCAUCAUCUCUUGCCAUGAGUAGCUUCAUGUAGUCUUGUCAUGCAUCAUGCUUGUUUGUGCUUCAUGCCUUGUUCAUGUGUGGUGUGUUUACCAUGUUGUGUGCUUCUUCUCGAUAGUUCCCGUUUCGUUGUGAUCGUGAGGAUUCGUUCAUCUACGCUUGGUUUGUCUUUGUGGCUUCAUCUUCUUCAUGGACUCGUUCUUCUUCCUUGUGGGAUUUCAGGCAAGAUGACCGCUACCCUGGAUCUCACUACUAUCAUUGCUAUGCUAGUUGCUUCGUUCUAUCGCUUUGUUGCGCUACCUAUCAACUGUUUAUCAAGCCUCCCAAAUUGCCAUGGACCUCUAACCUUUGACACCAUUCCUAUGCAAACCAUUGUUUGGCUAUGUUACCGCUUUUCUCAGCCCUCUUAUAGCGUUGCUAGUUGCAGGUGAAGUUGAAGAUUACUCCAUGGUGGACAGGAUUAUGUUGGGAUAUCACAAUAUCUCUUCUUUAACUAAUGCAUCUAUAUAUUUGGUAAAGGGCGGAAGGCUCGGCCUUAUGCCUGGUGUUUUGCUCCACUCUUGCCGCCCUAGUUUCCAUCAUACCGGUGUUAUGUUCCCGGAUUUUGUGUUCCUUACGUGGUCGGGUGAUUUACGGGACCCCCUUGACAGUUCGCUUUGAAUAAAACUCCUCCAGCAAGGCCCAACAUUGGUUUUACCAUUUGCCUCACCACCACCUACUUUUCCCCUGGGAGUCGCCCUCUCGAGGGUCAUAUUUAUUUUAGCCCCCCCCCCGGGCCAAUGCUUGUUUAAGUGUUGGUCCAAACUGAGCGAUGUCCGGCACCCCUUGGGCAACCAGGGUCUAUGCCAACCCGACGUCUGGCUCAUCCGGUGUGCCCUGAGAACGAGAUAUGUGCAGCUCCUAUCGAGAUAUGUGCAGCUCAUAUCAUGCGUGUAAUAUGUCAAAUUGUUCCUCUCAACGAUUACUUCAUUUCAUUCCAUUACAUCAUGUUCAUUGAGCUCAUCUUGAUGCCUGAAUCAUCGUUGCAAGAGUGCAUCAUAAUGUUGUCUGCUGUCUGUUAACAGAACUUGCUCUUUUGUCAUUUUUGCCAUGAUUGAUGUGUGCAUCCUAUGAGGUUGAUGUCUAGAUGUGUUUUUAACUAUGCCAUGCCAUCUUUACAGGGGUGUAUGCCAUGUAUUUUUGUGAUCAAUGUGGUGAUUAGCACAAGCAUGUAAACUAGGCUUCAUGAUGUUGCUGAUUUUAGUCCCUGUUCUGCUGUUAUUUUGAUGUCAUGUAAACAUGAUGCUACAGAGAGAUCCAUGCUUAUUUUGAGAUACUUCACUAAGGGUGUUUUGUUCUACAUGUUAUGCUCUAUCCACCCAUGCCCCUGGUUGCAUUUAUAGCCUGCUGUAGCUUGUUGUUAUCUUGCUCCAAAGUUGCUAAAUAAUGUUGCUGUCAGCCUGUUAACAUUAAGUUCAAUUGUUGCCAUCCUUGUUGUUAGUGAUACAUGUAUCCUAUGGACUUGCUAUUGCCAUGCUUAGCUUCACAAACAUGCCUUCUUACUGUUGGUUACCUUGCCAUGCCAUAUAUUGCUCUGUGGUGAGUGGUACAAGCUCACCAACAUGCCUUCAUAAUUCUGUUCCUGCCAUGUAUGAAUCUGUAUUGUAACUUGCUAUGUUUACAUGGGUGCUAUCAUAUUUUCUUAUUCUUUUUAGCUCAUGGUCAGUAAGGGACUUUUGUUCUAUGCAUCUAGUAGUAUCAUGCCAUGCCUUUGUUUGCCAUGAUAAGUUCCUGUAACAUGUUGUUUGAUACCUCUGAACAUUGCAACCUGAUUUUAUUUUAUUUAAAGUCUGAAACUAUUAUCGUUUGCAAUCUUGCCAUGUGUGUUUGAGCAUGUUCUAGUGAUUUCUGGAGAUAGCUCAGUGUUCAUGUUUUGUUAUGCUUUAGCUGUACAUCAUGCCCAUGCCUUUAUUUUUCUUGUUGAGGUCAUGUAGCAUUUUGUUUUGAUGCUUGCAAUAUGCCUAGUUGUUGUUUUGGACAGCUUGUCCUUUAAACUUGUAUAGAGUGUAUGUGUUGCACCGUUGCUCCGUUUUGAGUGUGCUCUAUAUGAAACUUGCUUGAUUUUGCAUGUAGUUUCAUAUUAUCAUGUUGCAUCCUUGUUUUGAGGUGUUUGCUUGAUGUAUGUAUGCAUUUUGCAUCAAUGCCAUGUUUUACUUGUUUUGCUCAUAUCUUCUAGGCCGUAGCUCCGAACUAAAUGAACUUUAUAUGUAACUUGACUAGAAUCUCGGGUAGAUCAUCUUGGUGCAUUUUAACUUGCUGCUUAACAACUUGAACAUAAUGUUUAUUCAGAUCUGGACCAAUUUCGAAACUUGCAUAUGAGGACUUACCAAAAUUGUUAUAUGUNNNNNNNNNNNNNNNNNNNNNNNNNNNNNNNNNNNNNNNNNNNNNNNNNNNNNNNNNNNNNNNNNNNNNNNNNNNNNNNNNNNNNNNNNNNNNNNNNNNNNNNNNNNNNNNNNNNNNNNNNNNNNNNNNNNNNNNNNNNNNNNNNNNNNNNNNNNNNNNNNNNNNNNNNNNNNNNNNNNNNNNNNNNNNNNNNNNNNNNNNNNNNNNNNNNNNNNNNNNNNNNNNNNNNNNNNNNNNNNNNNNNNNNNNNNNNNNNNNNNNNNNNNNNNNNNNNNNNNNNNNNNNNNNNNNNNNNNNNNNNNNNNNNNNNNNNNNNNNNNNNNNNNNNNNNNNNNNNNNNNNNNNNNNNNNNNNNNNNNNNNNNNNNNNNNNNNNNNNNNNNNNNNNNNNNNNNNNNNNNNNNNNNNNNNNNNNNNNNNNNNNNNNNNNNNNNNNNNNNNNNNNNNNNNNNNNNNNNNNNNNNNNNNNNNNNNNNNNNNNNNNNNNNNNNNNNNNNNNNNNNNNNNNNNNNNNNNNNNNNNNNNNNNNNNNNNNNNNNNNNNNNNNNNNNNNNNNNNNNNNNNNNNNNNNNNNNNNNNNNNNNNNNNNNNNNNNNNNNNNNNNNNNNNNNNNNNNNNNNNNNNNNNNNNNNNNNNNNNNNNNNNNNNNNNNNNNNNNNNNNUGUUGGUCCAAACCGAGCGAUGUCCGGCACCCCUUGGGCAACCAGGGUCUAUGGCAAACCGACGUCUGGCUCAUCCGGUGUGCCCUGAAAACGAGAUACGUGCAGCUCCUAUCGAGAUAUGUGCAGCUCCUAUCAUGCGUGUAAUAUGUCAAAUUGUUCGUCUCAACGAGUACUUCAUUUUAUUUCAUUGCAUCAUGUUCAUUGAGCUCAUCUUGAUGCCCGAAUCAUCAUUACAAGAGUGCAUCAUAAUGUUGUCUGAUGUCUGUUAAUAGAACUUGCUCUUUUGUCAUUUUUGCCAUGAUUGAUGUGUGCAUCCUAUGAGGUUGAUGUCUACAUAUGUUUUUAACUAUGCCAUGCCAUCUUUAUAGGGGUGUAUGCCAUGUAUUUUUGUGAUCAAUGUGGUGAUUAGCACAAGCAUGUAAACUAGGCUUCGUGAUGUUGCUGAUUUUAGUCCAUGUUCUGCUGUUAUUUUGAUGUCAUGUAAACAUGAUGCUACAGAGAGAUCCAUGCUUAUUUUGAGAUACUUCACUAAGGGUGUUUUGUUCUACAUGUUAUGCUCUAUCCACCCAUGCCCCUGGUUGCAUUUAUAGCCUGCUGUAGCUUGUUGUUAUCUUGCUCCAAAGUUGCUAAAUAAUGUUGCUGUCAGCCUGUUAACAUUAAGUUCAGUUGUUGCCAUGCUUGUUGUUAGUGAUACAUGUAUCCUAUGGACUUGCUAUUGCCAUGCUUAGCUUCACGAACAUACCUUCUUACUGUUAGUUGCCUUGCCAUGCCAUAUAUUGCUCUGUGGUGAGUGGUACAAGCUCACCAACAUGCCGUCAUAAUUCUAUUCCUGCCAUGUAUGAAUCUGUAUUGUAACUUGCUAUGUUUACAUGGAUGCCAUCAUAUUUUCUUAUUCUUUUUAGCUCAUGGUCAGUAAGGGACUUUUGUUCUAUGCCUUUAGUAGUAUCAUGCCAUGCCUUUGUUUGCCAUGAUAAGUUCCUGUAACAUGUUGUUUGAUACCUCUGAACAUUGCAACCUGAUUUUAUUUUAUUUAAAGUCUGAAACUAUUAUCGUUUGCAAUCUUGCCAUGUGUGUUUGAGCAUGUUCUAGUGAUUUCUGGAGAUAGCUCAGUGUUCAUGUUUUGUUAUGCUUUACCUGUACAUCAUGCCCAUGCCUUUUUUUUCUUGUUGAGGUCAUGUAGCAUUUUGUUUUGAUGCUUGCAAUAUGCCUACUUGCUGUUUUGGUCAGCUUGUCCUUUAAACUUGUAUAGAGUGUAUGUGUUGCACCGUUGCUCCGUUUUGAGUGUGCUCUAUAUGAAACUUGCUUGAUUUUGCAUGUAGUUUCAUAUUAUCAUGUUGCAUCCUUGUUUUGAGGUGUUUGCUUGAUGUAUGUAUGCAUUUUGCAUCAAUGCCAUGUUUUACUUGUUUUGCUCAUAUCUUCUAGGCCGUAGCUCCAAACUAAAUGAACUUUAUAUGUAACUUGACUAGAAUCUCGGGUAGAUCAUCUUGGUGCAUUUUAACUUGCUGCUUAACAACUUGAACAUAAUGUUUAUUCAGAUCUGGACCAAUUUCGAAACUUGCAUAUGAGGACUUACCGAAAUUGUUAUAUGUUGUUACCGGCCUCAUUUAAACUUGCCUUGAUGUGUUGCUCUUGUUUGCAUCAUAUCUUGCCAUGAGUAGCUUCAUGUAGUCUUGUUAUGCAUCAUGCUUGUUUGUGCAUCAUGCCUUGUUCAUGUGUGGUGUGUUUACUAUGUUGUGUGCUUCUUCUCGAUAGUUCCCGUUUCGUUGCGAUCGUGAGGAUUCGUUCGUCUACGCUUGGUUCGUCUUCGUGGCUUCAUCUUCUUCAUGGACUCGUUCUUCUUCCUUGCGGGAUUUCAGGCAAGAUGACCGCUACCCUGGAUCUCACUACUAUCAUUGCUAUGCUAGUUGCUUCAUUUUAUCGCUUUGCUGCGCUACCUAUCAACUGUUUAUCAAGCCUCCCAAAUUGCCAUGGACCUCUAACCUUUGACACCCUUCCUAUGCAAACCGUUGUUUGGCUAUGUUACUGCUUUUCUCAGCCCUCUUAUAGUGUUGCUAGUUGCAGGUGAAGUUGAAGAUUACUCCAUGGUGGACAUGAUUAUGUUGGGAUAUCAUAAUAUCUCUUCUUUAACUAAUGCAUCUAUAUAUUUGGUAAAGGGUGGAAGGCUCGGCCUUAUGCCUGGUGUUUUGCUCCACUCUUGCCGCCCUAGUUUCCAUCAUACUUGUGUUAUGUUCCCGGAUUUUGCGUUCCUUACGCGGUCGGGUGAUUUACGGGACCCCCUUGACAGUUCGCUUUGAAUAAAACUCCUCCAGCAAGGCCCAACAUUGGUUUUACCAUUUGCCUCAGUACCACCUACUUUUCCCUUGGGAGUCGCCCUCUCGAGGGUCAUCUUUAUUUUAGCCCCCCCGGGCCAAUACUUGUUUAAGUGUUGGUCCAAACCGAGCGAUAUCCGGCGCCCCCUGGGCAACCAGGGUCUAUGCCAACCCGACGUCUGGCUCAUCUGGUGUGCCCUGAGAACGAGAUAUGUGCAGCUCCUAUGGGGAUUUGUCGGCACAGCGGGAGGCUUUGCUGGUCUUGUUUUACGAUUGUCGAAAUGUCUUGUAAACCGAGAUUUCGAGUCUGAUCGGGUCUUCCUAGGAGAAGGUAUAUCCUUCGUUGAUCGCGAGAGCUUAUCAUGGGCUAAGUUGGGACACCCCUGCAGGGUAUAAUCUUUCGAAAGCCGUGCCUGCGGUUAUAGGCAGAUGGGAAUUUGUUAAUGUCCAGUUGUAGAUAACUUAACACCAGAUACGAACUAAAACGCAUCAACCGUGUGUGUAGCCGUGAUGGUCUCUUUUCGGCGGAGUCCGGAAAGUGAACACGGUCUUUGGGUUAUGUUUGACGUAAGUAGGAGUUCAGGAUCACUUCCUUAUCAUUGCUAGCUUCACGACCGUUCUGUUUGCUCUCUUCUCGCUCUUGUUUGCGUAUGUUAGCCACCAUAUAUGCUUAGUCGCUGCUGCAGCCUCACCACUUUACCCCUUCCUUUCCCUUUAAGCUUUGCUAGUCUUGAUACCCAUGGUAUGGGAUUGCUGAGUCCUCGUGGCUCACAGAUUACUACAACAACAGUUGCAGGUACAGGUUAUGUGAUGAUCAUGACGCGAGAGCGAUGUUUGCUUGUCUUGGAGUUCUUCUUCUGCUUCUUCUUCAAUCAGGGAUAGGUUCCAGGUCGGCAGCCUGGGCUAGCAGGGUGGAUGUCGUUUGAGUUUCUGUUUGUGUUUCAUCCGUAGUUGGAUGAUGCUCUUAUGUAUUGUGAUGUUGUAUUCAUGUGGCAUUGUAUGCCUCUUGUAUGUAUCCCCAUCUAUUAUGUAAUGUUGAUGUAAUGAUAUCCACCUUGCAAAAGCGUUUCAAUAUGCGGGUCUAUCCUUGGUGGGACCUUCGAGUUCCUUUUGGAUAGGGUCGCAUAUUGGGCGUGACAAAAGAGUAACCACUUGAGAAGAAUUUAAGUUGACUCUGCAAAGGUCUCGUCUUGUGUCCCAGAAGUUGAGGCCUUAUGGAAAGGAUAUGAAGAAACCUUGUGCAUACAAGCUUUGUGGAGAAAUAGGACACAACCAUAAAUAAAACAAGGACGAAUCCCUCAUAAGCUGGGGAUUACCAAAGGAAGUUAGCCGAGGAUCUCAGGGAACUUCGGUUGGAGAUUGUUCGCGAAGGUUUUGUUGCAGCAAUGGAAGUUCAGUCUACAUUGUUGGGAAAGAUUCGUGAAGCUCAGAAUGUAUGACAAAGAGAUUGCUGAGAUAAAAGAGAGGAUGAGCAAAGUAAAGGCCAAAGGUUUUCGUAAGGAUGAGCACGACAUCUUAUGGUUCGAGGAUCGUGUAUAUGUUCCCAAAAAUGCAAAGAUGAGGAAGUAAAACUUCAGGAGGCUCAUGACUCACCAUACUCGAUUCGCCCCGGAAACACCAAGAUGUAUUUGGAUUUGAAGGAGUGUUUCUGGUGGACUGGUAUGAAGAAGGAUAUUGCGGAGUAUGUAGUCGUAGGUGAUGUAUGCCAGAGAGAGUAAAAGCAGAGCAUCAGAAGCCAGCAGGAUUAAUACAGCCUAUGCCGAUACCUGAAUCGAAGUGGGAUAAACUUGGCAUGGAUUUCAUUACCGGAUUUCCUAGAACCCGAACGGGAUAUGAUUCUAUCUGGGUAGUUGUUGAUUCGCUUGACCAAAGUGGCUCACUUUAUCCCAGUGAAAACCACCUAUACAAGUGCGAGGUUGGCCAAGAUAUAUUUGACCAGGAUCGUAUGUCUGCAUGGAUUUUCGAGGACCAUCAUAUCAGAUAGAGGAACACAGUUUACCUCAAAGUUUUGGAAUCAGCUGCACCAGACUUUGGGUACUAGGCUAGAGUUCAGUACAACCUUUCAUCCGCAGACAAAUGGAUAGACCAAAAAAGUCAAUCAGAUUCUGGAAGACAUGUUGAGAGCGUGUGCGCUAGAUUAUGGAUCUAGUGGGGAUGAUAAUCUACCUUACGCGGAGUUCUCAUACAACAACAGUUACCAAGCCAGUUUGAAGAUGGCCCCUUUUAAAGCUUUGUAUGGGAGAAGGAGCCAGACACCAUUGAUGUGGGAUGAAGUUGGAGACCGUAAGUUGUUUGGAUCAAAUGUAAUCAAGGAUUCAGAAGAGAAUGUUAAAGUUGCUUCGAGAUAGACUGAAGGUAGCUCAGUCCUGGCAGAAGAGUUAUGCAGACUCAAAAACGCAAGGAGGUAGUCUAUGAAAUUGGAGAUAGAGCAUGUCUUCAUGUGUCCCCUCUGCGAGGAGUUAAACGAUCUGGAGUUAAGGGGAAGUUAGCCCCGAGAUUUGUAGGACCAUACCGAGUUUGGAGCGUAUGGGAGAAGUGGCCAACAAGUUGGAGUCACCCGAAGGACUGUCAGGAGUUCAUGAUGUAUUUCACGUUUCCCAGAUUGAAGAAGUGCUAUGCAGAGAUGGCCAAUAUUUCCCUGUAAGGACGCUUGACCCUGGAAAGGAUAAUGAUGUUCCACAAAGUGGAGUAUGGACUUCAUAAGUAUAAGUUUUUAUCUCGAUAUGUGGGAUAUCUGUUGGAGAUAUGCCCUAGAGGCAAUCAUGUAUGACGAUAUUUCCUAUGUGUUUAUGAAUAAAGAUAGUCCUUGGACAUUAUCAAUGAUGUGUAUCAGCAAGUACGUGACUUGUUUGUGGGACUAUGCAUUGUAUGUGACUGUCCUAAAAGGUCCCUAGUCGAAAGGGCUGUGUGGAUGCGCAGCCGACUAGACUAGCAUAUGACACGGUCGAUGGCUUGGUCUCACUAGCCAUGGAGCAUUGGAUGCUAACCAGAUAAUAUGGAGUUGGAAAGGUCUGGUCGAAUUCGACGUAGUGCGAUCUGAGUCGAGAUAAGGUCUGAGUCGGACAGAUCCAACUAUGAGACGUAGCGAUAUGUCAUUUGUGAGUCUCUAGUACAACAUACGUUCUAUGUCCUAAGACCUGAGCUGAUGCAUGUACUCGGGAUGGUGACAUACUUGCUUUAGCCGACCAAACGCUACUCCGUGACUGGGUAGUUACAAAGGUAGGUUUCGGGCUUGUCUAGACCCAUGCUGCGAGACGUGGUCGAGCAAGAUGGGAUUUGCCCCUCCGAUAAGGAGAGAUAUACUCUGGGCCCCUCUUGUGAUCCGACCAGGAUAAGCAUGGCCAUGCGACAAGGAUUAUGAGAUAAUCCGGAUUGUGGUCGGCAUCACUGGAACGAGAAAGAGGUCAGGCUAGCACAAGGAUGAUUGUCUCGCCUUGAGCCCGACAACAUAUAUCGUGUGGCAAAGGGAACAGAAGUGUGACACGUUGUACAGGUUCGCCUAACCAGCUUCAUAGUCUGCUUGGUGGUCGGCACGCCUUGCUAGAGGCCGCUACCAACCCUGUAGGUCGGAGGUGAUCCGAACUGUGACCAAGCCGACUUGAACCUAAGGGGUCGCGCACUUAAGGGAAGGAACCUACGAGGUCGGUUCAUAGGACACUGGUCGGAUGUGAUCCGAACUGGACUAGGGCUUUAGGGUCCGUGCGAGGCCCAAGUGUUGUGCCUGCGACGGACGCCUAUAGAAAGUGGAGGUAUGGCACACUCAUGUGGUUGAUCGCUUCGGCGCUGCGAUUAGGGUUUGCGUGUGUUGCGAAUAGCCACCUCCACUCACUGCCGACUGUGUGAUCGGACCUGGCAGUCCGCCGCAUGGUGUUCCUCCUGCAUGCAUGGAUACCGUUAGAGGCGGUGCACUUGCACCGCUCCGGCGAACUUGUACGUGGGAUCGGACAACCAGCUGUUCGAGGGAGAUCGGACGAGGAGGAGACCAUCCACGCGGACACGCUGCCCCAACUCUUCUUCCGCUGCACGGCACUGCGCGUCUAGUGGUAACGAACUGUGAUCCAUCUCCCGUAGCAUGUUCCUGGAUGUUCUGCGCAUAGGAAAAUUUUAUUUUGCAGUCGACACACCCUACCAUAGAACCCAACAGUGGUAUCAGAGCCUCUGCUAUAGGAUUUGGAUUCAGAUCGUAUGCAUAUUAGAUAUGUGGAGGCGGCAGAUGAGAUCUGUUGUCCUUGAAGAGAUCAGCUAUGUGCACGGUUGAUGUGAUCAAGUGCACAUGGGGUUCAUUGAGGCUACAUUUUCUGUAAAUCGGGAUCGAUGAGGUCGUGACAUGAUCUACCCCAACCGGUCAGUCAUCCGCCAUUGGGGUUAACAGUGAAACGUAAAUCCGAAUCGGAUUCACGAUGAUCGAUUAAAUCGGUCAGAUCAGAGAAUUUGGCGUGAUCGGAGUUCAGAUGUGAUCUGUGAUUUCCGAAUCGGGACUGCCGUGUGCGUAGCGCCGUGUAUUUCGUACCCGACACACAAACCAGUAGAAUGUGAUUCUAUGCAUAACUUUUGUUUUGCAGGUUUGAUGUGAAUAGUAUGGCUCAUGUGUAUGUGAUGUAUGUGUGUAAUUUAUACGUGGCAUGCGUGUCAUGUUUGUCAGCCGGCAGGAGCCAAAGUGCUGUCAUUAUAUUGUAUAAUGACAUGCAUGUCGACUUGUGACUCUAUGUAAAAUUCAUUACUAGUUGUAGUAGUUGGAUAAUAGAUAUCAUGUUAGUGGCUUGGCGUCCCGGCGUGACAAACAAGAUGGAGUUCAUAGAUGGUCAUCGGAGUUGGAGCCAACCUGGAAGAAUGUCCAUGAAGGAGCCAUACUAUUUCACAAUAUAUGUUCAUUUGUGAUUGUUAUGCUUCUUUGUUUCUAUGCUUGUUAGAAUGGUAGAAAGAUCCCUCAUGAAUAUCAAGCGAAUUGCCAUCCCCGAUGUUGCACCUUCGCACAUCAAGUACGUCUAGUAGUGGGCUCAUAAAAUUGGGGUGCUGCUGGAUGUCCUUGAACUGAAGGGUUCGUGUCGGACACAGACAUGCACUGCAUCAGGUUAACUUACAAGGCUAUCAAAACGGUUUUGGGCCUUGUGGCAAAGAAGGUUGGGAGCCGGGGUAUAAGAUACCUUUCCCGACCGACAGGAGUCAUAUAGAGAUACGACUAGCAAGGAGUUGCUUACCGGAUAGGUAUGUUGGCUAGCAGUGAUACUAAAGCUCACUAGUCGCAUGCGCUAGUCGGAUCCUGAAUCACUGAGAGUUUGCGGAGGGAUUAUGACUUCAGUGGGAGUAUUUCUGUUUAGGCUAGAACUACUCUACAUAAACACAUUGCUCAGUGAUUGCAUAUUUUCUGUUGUAGAUCAAUGACACCACCUGCUCAACCCAACUUUGCAUUGAAAUCAAUUCUGGAAAAGGAUAAACUGAAUGGAACAAACUUUACCACCUGGUAUAGAAAUCUGAGAAUUGUUCUCAAGCAUGAUAAAAAGGAACAUGUUCUAGAGGAUACACUUCCAAAGGAACCUAUCGAUAAUCCUAAUGCCACAACUAAGAAUGCCUGCCAAAAACUCGUUGAUGAAUCAACAUAGAUCAGUUGUCUGAUGCUGGCUUGUAUGGAGCCCGAUUUGCAACAGCAUUUCGAAAAUGUUGAGGCUUACGAUAUGAUCGAGAGUCUCAAGAGCAUGUUUCAGACACAGGCUAGGACCGAAAGGUUCAACGUCUGGUGAUCCUUGAUGGAUUGCAAGCUGAAGGAAGGUGAUCCACUGAGCCCACAUGUGAUCAAGAUGAUCGGAUAUGUGCAAGCUUUGGAUUGUUUGGGCUUCCAGCUCUUGGAUGAGCUGGCUACAGAUGCAGUUCUGGGUUCUCUUCCGCCCAGCUAUGGGACGUUCAUCUCGAACUAUCAUAUGCAUGGCAUGGAUAAGAAGCUCACUGAAUUGCAUGGGAUGCUCAAGGUGGCAGAGCAGGAUAUUAAGAAAGGCACGCAUCAAGUGUUGAUGGUGCAGAAAUCGGCUAAGUUCAAGAAGAGUUGGUCCAAUAAAAAGGCUAAGGCAAAGGGCACGGAGACGGUAACCUUUGCCGUUGCGCCGAAGUCUGGACCGGACUCGAAGACCGUUUGCUUACUGUAAGGAGACCGGUCACUUGAAGAGGAACUAUAGCAAGUGGCUUGCAGAGCAUGGCAAGAAGGCCGGAAAUGCUUCUUCAGGCAAAGGUACUGAGGGAGUCCUGGAUUAGGGGGUGUCCGGAUGGCCGGACUAUGACCUUCGGCCGGACUCCCGGACUAUGAAGAUACAAGAUUGAAGACUCUGUCCCGUGUCCGGAUGGGACUUUCCUUGGCGUGGAAGGCAAGCUUGGCGAUACGAUAUGAAGAUCUCCUCCCAUUGUAACCGACUUUGUGUAAUCCUAGCCCUCUCCGGUGUCUAUAUAAACCAGAGAGUUUUAGUCCGUAGGACUCAUACCAUAGGCUAGCUUCUAGGGUUUAGCCUCUCUGAUCUUGUGGUAGAUCCACUCUUGUACUACCCAUAUCAUCAAUAUUAAUCAAGCAUGAGUAGGGUUUUACCUCCAUCGAGAGGGCCCGAACCUGGGUAAAAACAUCGUGUCCCUUGUCUCCUGUUACCAUCCGCCUAGAUGCACAGUCUGGGACCCCCUACCCGAGAUCCGCCGGUUUUGACACCGACAUUGGUGCUUUCAUUGAGAGUUCCUCUGUGUCGUCGCCUUUAGGCCCGAUGGCUUCUUCGAUCGUCAAUCACGACGCGGUCCAGGGUGAGACCUUUCUCCCCGGACAGAUCUUCGUAUUCGGCGGCUUCGCACUACGGGCCAACUCAUUUGGCCAUCUGGAGUAGAUCGAAAGCUACGCCCCUGGCCAUCAGGUUAGGUUUGGAAGUUUAAAUUACACGGCCGACAUCCGCAGGGACUUGAUCUUCGACGAAUUCGAGCCAUGGCCGAGCACGCCGUACUGUCACGAUGGGCAUGAUUUAGCUCUGCUGCCGGACAAUGCCCAGAGCGUCGCUCAGGUGUCCGCUCCGACCAUUAGCUCAGAGCCUACUGCGCUAGUCGGGGAUGGACGGUUGGACGCCACCCCGGGAGCCGCAAUCUCAACGGCGAUAGAGCCAAAUACCAGCCUAGUCCUUUGCAGGGCCCGUGACUCUAAGGUGCCGGACUCCGUUCCGGACUCCGUAUAUCACGCACCUCUUCCGAUCGAACCCGAUUGGGCUCCGAUCAUGGACUUCACCGCCACGGACGUCUUUCAGCACUCGCCCUAUGGCGAUAUCCUGAAUUCACUAAAGUCUCUCUCUUUGUCAGGAGAGCCCUGGCCGAACUACAGUCAGCAUGGUUGGGAUACGGAUGACGACGAAAUUUGAGGCCCACCCACCACCCACUUCGUAGCCACUGUCGACGAUUUAACUGACUUGCUCGACUUUGACUCCGAAGACAUAGACGGUAUGGACGCCGAUGAAGGAGACGACCAAGAACCAGCACCUAUAGGGAACUAGAAAGCCACCUCGUCAUAUGACAUAUACAUGGUGGACACCCCCAAAGCAAGGGAUGGCAUGGAGAAAACGGAGGAUGACCCCUCCAACAAGCAACCCAAGCGUCGACGUCAGCGGCGCCGCUCUAAGUCCCGCCAAAGCAAAAAUGGCGAUUCCGGCACCGGAGAUAACAACACGCCGGACGGUGCCGAAGACAACCCCCUCCAGCAGGAUUCAGUGCAGGAGGACGAAGGAGCCAGCCCUCAUGAGAGAGCGGCCGACAGAGAGGUUGAGGAUGACAACUAUAUGCCUCCCUCCGAAGACGAGGCAAGCCUCGACGACGACGAAUUCGUCGUGCCAGAGGAUCCCGUCGAACAAGAGCAUUUCAAAAGCAGGCUUAUGGCCACCGCAAGCAGCCUCAAGAAAAAACAGCAGCAACUUAGAGUUGACCAAGACUUGCUAGCCGACAGAUGGACCGAAGUCCUGGCGGCCGAAGAGUAUAAACUCGAACGCCCCUCCAAGAGCUACCCAAAGAGCAGGCUGCUACCCCAACUUGAGGAGGAAGCAACUAAACCUACAUCUCCAGCGUACGAUGCGCCCGAUCGGCCACCCCGUGGCCGCGAUAGAGAGGCCUUCAGGCCCUCGACCCAAGCCGCACCCCGUCACCGCUCAAAACAUACCAGAGUACGGGGAGACGCAACAGACCUGCGAGACAUAUUGGAGAAUAAGGCAAGGCAAACAAGAUCGAUCUACGGAUCGCAUGGGCACCCCGCUUCACGUGACGCUAGCCGUCCCGUCGGACAUGAUAAGUACGGCCAGGCCGAAUACAAGAGACCAAGCUCAUCCGAGGUGCGUCGUGAUAUAGCCCAGUACAGGGGCGCCGCACACCCACUAUGCUUCAUAGACGAAGUAAUGGAUCAUCAAAUCCCCGAGGGCUUUAAACCCGUAAACAUCGAAUCAUACGAUGGCACAACAGAUCCUGUGGUAUGGAUCGAGGAUUAUCUCCUUCAUAUCCACAUGGCCCGUGGUGAUGAUCUACACGCCAUCAAAUACCUCCCACUCAAGCUUAAAGGACCAGCUCGACAUUGGCUUAACAGCCUGCCAGCAGAGUCAAUUAGUUGUUGGGAGGACCUGGAAUCCGCAUUCCUUGACAACUUCCAGGGCACUUAUGUGCGACCACCAGACACCGAUGACCUAAGCCACAUAAUCCAGCAGCCAGAGGAAUCGGCCAGACAAUUUUGGACACGGUUCCUAACCAAGAAAAAUCAAAUAGUCGACUGUCCGGACGCCGAGGCCCUUGCAGCCUUCAGGCACAACAUCCGAGACGAAUGGCUUGCCCGGCACCUAGGACAGGAAAAGCCGAAAUCUAUGGAAGCCCUCACGACAUUCAUGACCCGCUUUUGUGCGGGAGAAGACAGCUGGCUAGCUCGUAGCAAUAACAUAACCAAGAGCCUUGGCAAUUCGGAUACCAAGGACAAGAACGGCAGGUCACGUCGCACCAAGCAUAAGCACCGCAUUAAUGGCGACAAUACUGAAGAUACGGCAGUCAAUGCCGGAUUCAGAGGCUCUAAACCCGGUCAGCGGAAGAAGCCAUUCAAAAGAAACCCUCCGGGCCCAUCCAGCUUAGACUGGAUACUCGAUCGCUCAUGCCAGAUACACGGCACCCCCGAACAGCCAGCCAACCACACCAACAGGGAUUGUUGGGUGUUCAAGCAGGCAGGCAAGUUAAGUGCUGAAAACAGAGACAAGGGGCUGCAUAGCGAUGACGAGGAGGAGCCCCGGCCGCCGAACAACAGAGGACAGAAGGGAUUCCCCCCGCAACUUCAGACGGUGAACAUGAUAUACGCAACCCACAUCCCCAAAAGGGAGCGGAAGCGUGCUCUCAAGGACGUCUAUGCGUUGGAGCCAGUCGCCCCAAAGUUCAACCCGUGGUCCUCCGGCCCGAUCACUUUUGAUUGAAGGGACCACCCCACUAGCAUCCGUCAUGGUGGAUUCGCCGCAUUGGUCCUAGACCCAAUUAUCGAUGGAUUGCACCUCACCAGAGUCCUAAUGGAUGGCCGCAGCAGCCUGAACCUGCUUUAUCAGGAUACAGUGCAAAAAAUGGGCAUCGAUCCCUCAAGGAUUAAACCCACAAAGACAACCUUCAAAGGCGUCAUACCAGGUGUAGAAGCCAGCUAUACAGGCUUGGUUACACUCGAAGUGGUCUUCGGAUCCCCGGAUAAUUUCCAAAGUGAAGAGUUAAUCUUCGACAUAGUCCCAUUCCGCAGUGGCUAUCACGCCCUGCUUGGAUGAACCGCAUUCGCAAAAUUCAACGCGGUGCCGCACUACGCAUAUCUCCAGCUCAAGAUGCCAGGACCUCGCGGAGUCAUCACGGUAAAUGGAAACACCGAAUGCUCUCUCCGAACGGAGGAGCACACGGCGGCCGUGGCGGCGGAAGUACAGAGUAGCCUCUCAAGGCAAUUCUCCAAUCCAGGUGUCAAACGUCCGGACAACGUCAAGAAAGCCCGAAGUAACCUACAAAAAAUCAGGCUGGCACGUUCCGAGCAAGCAUAGCAGUGCGGCCCCAACCCCAGCCCUCGCCAAAUGGUGAUAUCGGUACCACGCGUACAUAAUUACGCCUUAGAGAUACCAUGGGCAUAAGGGGAGGGGCACAACUACGGCACGCCCAGAAUGCGGCUCAACCGCACUAAGGGGCUCCCUAUUCCGUUGUUUCCUUUUUACACACUUUCAGGACCCAACUAUUCGGAAGGCCUGUCCGGCAAUACAUUCGCCGAACACACGAUGCAACAGCCAGGGAGAGAACAAGCCGCGUCAAAUGUCCAGGUGGUCUCUAUAACGAGCUUAAUACCUGUUUUACUUAAAAUCCUGCAGCUUGCCCCUGGAGGGGAACAUGUCAAAUAAUCCCAUCUCUUUCUUAUCGCACUACUUGUAUCGUUCUGCUUUCGCAGCAGCCCUUUUUUAAUAAACAAUACAUAGCUCUUAUCUAUUAUUGUACUCAUCUAUUUUCUAUAUACACAAAUAUGUUCAGUCAUGACAUUCUGCAACCGUACACUUUGGUACGGCCAAUACACCAGGGGCUUAAACACCCCAUAACAUGGUGUGAGAAGACUGAACACUCUCAUGAGUGCGGCACCCCGAACUUAUAGCACUAUAUGCAUCGGCUCCGAAUCAUGUCUUUGGUCAAUAGUUGGGUUUGCCCGGCUCCCAUGUUUUGGUACCUUACGUUCUGCAAUGUUGGCUAAGGUAGCGUUGGGAGAACUACUGCGAUUGUGCCCCAGUUGAGCUGGGUUAACACCUCAGUAGAGAAAGCUAAAACUGACCGUCAUGAUAGUGCAAGAGACCGGUCGCUGUUCGCGAGGUUUUUCGAGUCCUUAAAGACUUAUGCCGCUUAGAGCGAGGAACCGGACUUAUCCUCCCUAGGCGUGGAUAGCGCCCCGAACUCGGUCUUCUGAAUACUAGGGGCUUUGCCAAAAUUUAAAAUUAUAGAAUUUAUGGCUAAGUGAGAGUGAUAAAGCAUUAUAAGUCCGACGGCCUGGUUCGUUGUGCUGAGCACCUCCCUAGAUGGACCCAAGAAUGGGAACAAGAACACUCAGGUUUAUCCUAAACACGCCAGCACUCGUGGCAUGGGGGUCGAAGCCGACGACUUGCAUCUCUCGGAUUUGAUAAACGGCCGCACAGAAGGUAAUAUUUUAAAUUAACAAGCGUUGCUUAACACACAUGAACAAAGUUUUCAGUGUACAGGAUAACAAAUGUGAGUCUACUGAAAAAUUACAUCUUUGGAGCACUCAUCCGCUAUACGGCGGGAACCCUUCAGGAUGCCUUUAUAAUACAUCUCGGGCGUGUGAUACUCCUUGCCCGUCGGUGGCGCGUCUGUCAAAAGCUUCUCCGCGUCCAGCUUGCCCCAGUGCACUUCAGCACGGGCAAGGGCCCGACAGGCACCUUCAAUGCAGACGGAGCGCUUGAUGACCUCAAUCCACGGACAAGCGUCCACCCGCCGCCACACCAAACCGAAGUAGCUCCCAGGCAUGGCUUCCCUAGGCCAUAGUCGAACUAUGAGGCCCUUCAUGGCCUGUUCGGCCACCUUGUGGAGCUCGACCAGCUGCUUCAGCUGGUCGCUCAGGGGCACCGGAUGCUCGGCCUCAGCAUACUAAGACCAGAACACCUUUUCCGUCGAGCUCCCCUCCUCGGCUCGGUAGAACGCGGCAGCAUCAGACACACUACAGGGCAGAUUGGUGAACGCUCCUGGAGAGCUCCGGAUUCGGGUAAGUAAUAGAUAAUUUACUUUUACAUGCUUGCUUUGCAUAAAGAAUGCCUUACCCGCCGCUAUUUUCUUUAUCGCCUCGAUCUCCUGGAGGGCCUUCUGGGCUUCAGCCUUAGCGUUUUUGGCACACUCAAGAGCCAAGGCGAGCUCGGACUCUCGAGUCUUCGAGUCACGCUCCAAACUCUCGUGUUUUUCCACGAGAGCCUGGAGCUCUUGUCGCACCUCCGCCACCCGCGCCUCCUGCUUCUCUCGCUCGGUGCGCUCCAAGGCCGCACUGUUCUCGGCCUUGGACACUGCCUCCUUCAGGGUCGCCACCUCGGUCGUGGCCCCUGCAACAUUUAUAUUGGUCCUGUCAUUAUUUGCAACCAAGUAUUUCUAUAUACAUUUACAUGCGGUACUACGUACCCUCUUUAUCCUCGAGUUGCUUCUUGGCACGGCCGAGCUCGCUCUCGGACCGCUCGAGGCUUUCCUUCAAUGCAUUGACCUCCGCAGUCAGUGCGGCAGAGGUCAGCAGCGCAGCCUGCAUUCCCAUAUUGACAUAUUUUUAUUAGACUCCUGAGUAUAUCUUUUUAGAUCCUCAGCUCGGCUUUUCUUUCCGAACGCCGAACUGAGCAUCAGGGGCUACUGUCUAUGCGGUAAAAAAAAUAUAUGUUUUUGAACACAUACCUCAAAGCCUGUUAACAGGCUUGUACAGGCUUCUGUCAGCCCGCUCUUGGCGGACUGAACCUUCUGAAUCACCGCACUCAUAACAGCGUGGUGUUCCUCGUCGAUGGAGACGCCGUUAAGCACCUCCAGCAAAUUGUCCGGCGCCUCUGGAUGGACGGAGGUCGCCAGCGUUGUAGGCUUGCCAUUCUUAUGAAGGCGCCGCCUGUCGGACUCUGGAACCAUUAAUGGUUCCGGAGCAGUGUCCGGCCCGGGGCCAGACUUGGAUCCCUCCAGGGCUUUACCCCCUUUGGGCCUGGGGUCCGGGAGGUCGCCUUGCGGCGCCUCCAAGACCACCUCCUCCUAGUUUAGUCCCUUUCAGGACUCCACCUCAGCAUUGUCCGUAGGGAGAGGGGAGGAGGCCGUCGAGAGUGAAACGCUAUUCACAUCCGACAAAUCCAAGGAGCCGCUCGUCGAAUCGUCGAGCUGAGCCUUGGGCGGACUGCAUGAUCAAAUACGGCGUGAGCAAAUGCCAAAUAAUGGAGGGGCAUCAUAAGUUAUUCGGAUGACCGGAUGCUUACGAUUUUGCCAGGGGCUUGACCCUGGAUGGCCAUUCCUCCCCGCCGUCUUCGGCGUUGGAGGUGUAGUCCGGAAGGAGGGUUCUCCCCUUCUUGGACCCUCCGGCCUCCCCAGUCGGGGCGGCUUUCCUUUUCUUCCCUUCCCCCAUUGGAGGGGGAGAGGCUUCUUCUUCCUCCUCCUCCUCGUCCUCAGAGGCGGAGGGUGCUUCGGGGUUGUUAGGCGAUGAAUCCGACACCACCAGGCGCCGGGAACUCUUUCGAGUCCCCGUGGCCUUCUUCUUGGCCUUCUUCUCUGGCACCACAUGAGGUGCCGGAACCAGCAGCUUCGUCAAGCGAGCGUCUGCUGGGUCUUCGGGCAAGGGAGCCGAACAGUUGAUUUGUCCGGCCUUUUUCUGCUAGUCCUGUUAAAAAGAUGGGGGUUUAGUUCCCGCAUAGAAUCAAAUCUAUGAAAAACAAAUACCCCGUAAAGGGAAAAAUAAGCUCACCACGCUGGCUUGGCGCUCGGUGCAGAAACCGCGAUCCUCGGUGACGGGAGGAGAGACCUCGGAGCUCUUGAAUAGCACCUUCCAGGCGUCCCCAUGCUUUGUGUCGAAGAGCCGGGACAGAGUCUGAUGCUGGGCUGGGUCGAACUCCCACAAGCUGAGAGCUCGUCGUUGACACGGGAGAAUCCGGCGGAAGAGCAUGACCUGGACUAUGUUAACGAGUUUAACCUUCCUACCGAUCAGGUCUUUGAUGCAGGUUUGAAGUCCGGUCACUUCCGCCGAACUACCCCACGACAGGCCCGUCUCUUUCCAAGAUGUGAGCCGUGUGGGUAUACCAGAUCGGAAUUUGGGGGCUGCUGCCCAUUCAGGUUCACGCGGCUCGGUGAUAUAGAACCACCCUGAUUGCCACCCUUUGAUGGUCUCUACGAAGGCGCCCUCGAGCCAUGUAACGUUGGCUAUCUUGCCCACCAUGGCACCUCCGCACUCCACUUGGUGGCCGCCCACGACCUUCGGCUUGACGCUGAAGAUCUUCAGCCAUAGGCCAAAGUGAGGCUAGAUGCGGAGGAAGGCCUCGCACACGACGAUAAACGCCGAUAUGUUGAAAAUGAAGUUCGGGGCCAGAUCGUGGAAGUCUAGGCCGUAGUAGAACAUGAGCCCCCGGACAAACGGGUGAAGAGGAAAACCCAGUCCGCGGAGGAAAUGGGGGAUAAAUACAACCCUCUCAUGGGGCCUAGGGGUGGGGAUGAGUUGCCCCUCAUCUGGAAGUCGGUGCGCGAUGUCGUCAGACAAGUAUCCGGCCUUCCUCAGCUUUUUGAUUUGCCCCUCCAUGACGGAGGAAGCCAUCCAUCUACCUCCCGCUCCGGACAUGAUUGGAGAAGGUUGAGGUGGGAAGUGCGGGCUUGGGCAUUGGAGCUCGAGCGCGCAGGGGCGAAUAAGCAAAGGAGGAAGAAGGCGUGAAUGGAAAGGGCGGAUUCUUAUCCCCUUAUAUGGGCGGCCGAAACUACGAGCCCCCACCAGCCUAAUAAAACUCGCUUAUCUCCCAAGUGCUGCGGUUAAUGGCGCGGUUGGGUUACCCAUGCCCGUAUUGAUGAGAAUCCCGGAAUAAGGGGACACGAUCUCCGCUUUGACAAGACGUGCCAAGGAAACUACCUCGCUAAACGCGCUAAGGUGGAGCGGUAUAAUGAAUAAAAGCCUGGCUGUGGCGUGAUGUCAUGUUGCGUAAUACGUCAGUAGAUCUGAUUGGUGCAAAUAUUAUUCUCUCUACGGUGGAAUGUGGAACUUAUUUUGCAGAGCCGAACACUAUCCUGGUGUUCAACAUCUUCUAUGAAGUAUUCGGAGGAGGAACCCGCCUUGCAAUGCCGAAGACAACUUGCGUGCCGGACUCGUCGUCAUUGAAGCCUGGUUCAGGGGCUACUGAGGGAGUCCUGGAUUAGGGGAUGUCCGGAUGGCCAGACUAUGACCUUCGGCUGAACUCCCGGACUAUGAAGAUACAAGAUUGAAGACUCUGUCCCGUGUCCGGAUGGGACUUUCCUUGGCAUGGAAGGCAAGCUUGGCGAUAUGAUAUGAAGAUCUCCUCCCAUUGUAACCGACUCUGUGUAACCCUAGCCCUCUCCGGUGUCUAUAUAAACCAGAGAGUUUUAGUCCGUAGGACGAACAACAAUCAUACCAUAGGCUAGCUUCUAGGGUUUAGCCUCUCUGAUCUCGUGGUAGGUCCACUCUUGUACUACCCAUAUCAUCAAUAUUAAUCAAGCAGGAGUAGUGUUUUACCUCCAUCGAGAGGGCCCAAACCUGGGUAAAAACAUCGUGUCCCUUGUCUCCUGUUACCAUCCACCUAGACGCACAGUCCGGGACCCCCUACCCGAGAUCCGCCGGUUUUAACACCAACAGGUACACUUGUUGCAUAUGUUAUAGACAUUUACCUUGCUGACAUACCUAGUAGCUCUUGGGUAUUUGAUACCGGAUCGGUUGUUCAUAUUUGCAACUGGAUGCAGGGGCUGGUAAGAACUAGGCGUGUCGCACAAGGGGAGAUUGACAUCAGGGUCGGCAACAAAGCAAGAGUUGCUGCGUUGGAGGUCGGCAUGAUGCAGCUCCAGCUUCCUUCCGGAUUCAUAAUGGAAUUAAAUAAUUGUUAUUACAUUCCUGCACUUAGUCGGGACAUUAUUUCUACCUCAUGUUUGAUGAGUCAAGGUUAUGAAUUCAAUUUAAAGGAAAAUGGUUGUUCGAUAUUUUUGAAUGGUAUGUUCCACGGCUAUGCACCCAUUGUUGAUGGGCUAUUUAUAUUGAAUCUAGAACAGGAACUGUUCUAUAACGUGAAUGUCAAGAGGCAUAAGCCUAAUGAGAUAAAUCCGACAUACUUCUGGCAUUGCCGGCUUGGACACAUUAGUCUGAAAUGCAUGACGAAGCUCCAUGAUGAUGGGUUCCUAACUUCGUCCAACUUCGGGUCGUUCGAGACAUGUGAAUCAUGCUUGCUCGGCAAGGUGACUAAGUCUCCUUUCACAAAGAGUUGCAAGAGGGCGUCUGAUCUAUUGGAACUCAUACAUAGUGAUGUGUGUGGUCCAAUGAGCACAACUGCCAGAGGUGGCUAUCAGUACUUCGUGACUUUUACCGACGACUUGAGUAGAUAUGGAUAUAUCUAUUUAAUGAGGCACAAGUCGAAGACUUUUGAAAAGUUCAAAGAGUUUCAGAACGAGGUUGAGAAUCAGCUCGGCAAGACUAUAAAGCUUCUGCGAUCUGAUAGUGGAGGUGAGUACAUGAGCCAGGAGUUUGAUGAUCAUCUGAAAAGUCGAGGUAUAUUACCUCACCUCACACCUCCGGGUACGCCAUAGAGAAAUGGCAUGUCGGAAUGGAGGAAUAGGACCUUGUUGGACAUGGUCCGGGCUAUGAUAAGCAAAUCGGAUUUUCCCUUGUCAUUCUGGGGAUACGCUCUAGAAACCGCAACUUUCAGACUUAAUAGGGUACCAUCAAAAUCCAUAGACAAGACACCACAUGAGAUGUGGACCGGGAAUAGUCCCAGUUUGUCUUUUCUAAAGAUUUGGGGUUGUGAAGCAUUUGUCAAGUGACUUAUGUCAGACAAGCUUACACCUAAAUUAGAUAAAUUCAUAUUCGUGGGAUAUCCGAGGGAAACCUUGGGAUAUAGCUUCUACAACCGGGAAGAGAACAAAGUGUUUAUUGCUCGGAACGGGGUUUUCCUUCAGAAAGAGUUUCUUAGUCGGGAGGCCAGUGGGAGGACAGUUCAACUCAAAGAAAUUCGAGGACCACUCGGGGACGGCUCGGCUGGUGAUGAGAUCAUACCGGAGUCAGUCAGGGAACCUGUAGUGGAAGCGGCACCGGAACCACAGAGGUCAGAAAGAUUGCGCAGAGUGUGUGAUGUAUUGGUGCUAGAAAGCGACGAGCCGACCACGUAUGCGUAAGUGAUGGUGAGCCCAGAUUCCGAGGCAUGGAUACAGGCCAUGAGAUCCGAGUUAAAGUCCAUGGAUGAGAAUCAAGUCUGGGACUUGGUUGAUCCGCCGCCUGGCGUAGCGGCCAUUGGUUGCAAAUGGGUCUUUAAGAAGAAAACCGAUGUGGAUGGAAAUGUUCAGAUCCACAAAGCCCGGCUUGUCGCUAAGGGUUAUGGACAAGUUCAAGGAAUUGACUACGACGAGACUUACUCGCCAGUAGCGAUGCUAAAAUCGGUGAGGAUCAUACUAGCUAUAGUUGCAUAUUUCGAUUACGAGAUAUGGCAGAUGGAUGUAAAAAUGGCUUUCCUACAUGGAAAUUUAACCAAGGACGUGUAUAUGAUACAACCCGAGGGUUUUGUCAAUCCGACUAGCACUAGUAAGGUAUGCAAGCUCAAGAGAUCCAUUUAUGGGUUGAAGCAAGCAUCUCGGAGUUGGAACAUUCGUUUCGAUGAGGUCAUCACUGGUCUCGGUUUUAUCAAAAUUGAAGAGGACUAUUGUUUAUACAAGAAGAUAAGUGGGAGCUCGAUAGUGUUUUUGAUCUUGUAUGUGGACGACAUACUACUGAUCGGAAAUAAUGUUUCGAUAUUGAACUCGGUCAAGGAAUCAUUGAAUGGCAAGUUUUCGAUGAAAGACCUUGGUGAGGCAGUGUAUAUUUUAGGCAUUAAGAUCUAUAGAGAUAGAUCGAGGAGGCUGCUCGGCUUAAGCCAGAGCACGUACAUAGAUAAAGUGUUGAAGCGGUUCAACAUGAGUGAGGCGAAGAAAGGGCUCUUGCCACUCUCACAUGGUAUAAGGCUAAGCGAGACUCAGAGUCCUUCGACAUUUGAUGAGCGAAGCAGGAUGAGUAGGAUUUCGUAUGCCUCGGCAAUCGGAUCCAUCAUGUAUGCCAUGAUAUGUACAAGGCCUGAUGUUGCUUUUGCAAUAAGCCUAACAAGCAGAUACCAGGCCAACCCAGGUGAGAGUCACUGGGCAUCGGUAAAGACUAUUUGGACAUACCUGAAAAGGACUAAAGAGAUGUUCCUAGUUUAUGGAGGUGAGGAAGAGCUUGUGGUAAAGGGUUACACCGAUGCUAGUUUCCAAACCGACAGAGAUGAUUGUCGAUCACAGUCCGGAUUUGUGUAUGUCCUGAACGGAGGAGCAGUGCACUGGAUGAGUUCCAAGCAGGAUAGGGUGGCCGAUUCUACCACAGAAGCCGAAUACAUUGCGUCUUGUGAAGCUGCAAAGGAAGGUGUUUGGAUCCGGCAUUUUCUGGAUGAUCUUGGUAUUUUCCCAGCCUCGGUGAAACCGUUGGACCUUUAUUGUGAUAAUUCUGGUGCCAUCGCACAAGCCAAGGAGCCGAGGAAUCACCACAAGGUCAGGCACAUAGACCGGAAAUAUCACCUGAUACGAAAGAUCCUAAAGAAUUGUGAUGUAGAGUUAUGCAAGAUUCACACGGAUGCAAAUGUUGCAGAUCCGUUGACUAAGCCGCUUCCACAACCCAAGCAUGAGGGGCACGUUAGAGCUAUGGGCAUUCGAUGUCUAUUUGAUUGACUCUAGUGCAAGUGGGAGACUGUUGGAGAUAUGCCCUAGAGGCAAUCAUGUAUGAUGAUAUUUCCUAUGUGUUUACGAAUAAAGAUAGUCCUUGUACAUUAUGAAUGAUGUGUAUCGGCAAGUACGUGACUUGUUUGUGGGACUAUGCAUUGUAUGGUGACUGUCCUAAAAGGUCCCUAGUCGAAAGGGCUGUGUGGACGCGCAGCCGGCUAGACUAGCAUAUGACACGGUCGAUAGCUUGGUCUCACUAGCCAUGGAGCAUUGGAUGCUAACCGGAUAAUAUGGAGUUGGAAAGGUCUGGUCGGAUUCGACGUAGUCGGAUCCGAGUCGAGAUAAGGUCUGAGUCGGACAGACCCAACUAUGAGACGCAGCGAUAUGUCAUGUGUGAGUCUCUAGUACAACAUACCUUCUAUGUCCUAAGACCUGAGCUGACGCAUGUACUCCGGAUGCUGACAGACUUGCUUUGGGCCGACCAAAUGCUACUCCGUGACUGGGUAGUUACAAAGGUAGGUUUCGGGCUUGUCUAGACCCAUGCUGCGAGACUGUCAGGACCCCGACUCGAUGUCACAUCGAUCUAGCAUGUAACACCUCAUAUCACUUUGCGGCCUCACGCACGGUAUUCCCACGGGUGUCGUCUUACCUUUGCCCGGGACCGUUUGCGCCUUUUGGCACACAUAUAUGAUAGUGUCGCUAGCAUCCAUAUGGUAAGGAGCCCGGGCUGACAUGGCUAGUCGUAAACCCAAAGCGGCACAAACUUACAGGGACAGGCAUCCAUGACCCAGCAUCGAACGUGUCGGUCAUCAGCAAGUGAAUCCGGGCUGUAGCACUGGGCUAGCAGGACUCCGGUAAACCGGGCUGUAGCGGGCUAACAGGACUCCGGUAUCCAUUGCGUGACAUUUCCCCGAAGGGACAGACACAGGAACGAAGAAGGACACAUGUCGGCCAGCCUAAGUGUUCCGGAGCAGUAGCAAGCUACCAAGGCUCAGUGCAGACACUAGGAGACAUUUCCCGGUAAGAGAGGCUACUAAGAAUAAACAACUAGAUAGUCAGACCCCACACAUACCAAGCAUUUCAGUCAUACACACAAUAUGCUCGAUAUGUGCAAAUACAACAAGGCAUCACAACAUGACUCUAUGACACCAGUACUUUAUUUAAGGCUCAGAGAGCCAUUCAUAACAUACAUACAAGUACGGGUCACAUGACCCAGCAUUCAUGUCAUACAGACAUACAAGCCAGCAGCGGAAGUAACUUGUCUGGGUACAGACAACUAGUAAAAUAAAAGAGGCUUGGAAAGUCUCGCUAUACUACGUGGUCCUUCACAAGCUUAGGAUCACCACCUGGGCCUCAGUCUACUCAUCAAUGUCAACGUCUAUGAAGAACCCAUCAGAAGGGGUUGCAGCGUCUUCUGAAAAAUGUAAAUUAAAGCAACAUGAGUACAAAGGUACUCAGCAAGACUUACAUCAGAUCCUACAUACAUGCACAUUAUCAAGAGGGGUUGGUGGAGUUAUUGCAGCAAGCCAGCUUUGACUCUUGGCUAAGCUAUCCUACGGUACACCAACUUGAAAUGGUUUUGCGCACACGAGUCCACUACUCACCACUUCAAUACACCACCGAGGAUCCACCUCCGUCAUCCUACGGAAGAGCCAUCCUCGGCACUCACGCUUAUCUUGAGAUUUUUAGUAGUAUCCAUUUACUUGUCUAUGAACUGUAUAGGCAACCAAGUAGUCCUUUACCGCGAUCGCGGCUAUUCGAAUAGAUAAUGUUAACCCUGCAGGGGUGUACUUCUUCACACACGCUCUCACCACUUACCGCCGUUUACACGACAUGUACUCGGCAACCUUCAAGCGGAAGCCCAACGUGGGUGUCGGCCGCGACCUACCUAAACACCUAAGUCUCUAGUCCAGGUUUAUCGCCUAUCCAGGUUCCAUCCGCAGGGAGUCCGGCCGAGGUUUCCCAUACGGCCCCGAACGAUGUGUACAGGGUUCCCGAGAUACCUAACGGGUAUUCGGUACACCCGGCCACGUACCUACCGCAUCACAGCCCACCCCUACGGUCAGCGCUGUCCACGGCCUUCAGUAGGCUACAAACACUAGAAACUACUUGCAACUCCUGGACAGAGGACUAGGGUGAAUAAGAAGUCGAGAGGGUCCAUUGGUUUCGGGCCCAAUGCAUGGUAGUAGCUGAUUCUUAAAUCACACAUACAGAUCUCAGUGCUUAGGGACGGCUUCAAUGAAACAACCCACCAUGUACUCCUACAUGGCCUCUCAUCGAUACCUUUACCAAAUCGUGUUCACCACAUCAUUCUCAUUACCGGCACGAUCAUUUCACUCUAGCCCAUCACCCAGAUGAACCAGACCUGACACGACUCUAAGCAUAGCAGGCAUAGCAAGGUAGGAACAUCACACAAACAUGGCUCAAUCAACUCCUACACAUGCUAGUGGGUUUCAUCUAGUUAAUGUGGCAAUGACAGGUCAUGCAGAGGAAAUGGGUUCAACUACCGUAGCACACAGCAGUUUGAAACGCGUUGUCUUAAUGCAGUAAAAGAGAGCAGGAGCGAGAACAUGGGAUUGUAUCGAUAUGAUCAAAUGGUUGGUUGCUUGCCUAAUGGGUCUAUGCACUGAUAUGGUUCUUCGUUAGGGUGAUCGUGGUACUCCACGGAGGCAGAACCUGCCGCAAAGAGCACGAUACACAACAUCACCAAACAAUAUGCAACAAUUUGAUGCAUGCAUGAAACAUGGCAAAAUGAGUGUAUUGGGCUAAUGCAACUAAGACCAGAUGGGUUUGAACCAUUUUGAAUCAAAGAUUCAAGUUUCAAACUCAUACAUGGCCCUUAUAAGUGAUUUAUCUAGUUUUGCUCUAAACACCAGAUUAACUUGCUUAAACAUGCAUGAAACCAGUACAGAUGGAUAGAUUGGAUUUUUCUGAUCAUUUUUCAUAUAUAAAACUUUGCAUUUGGAGCUACAGAUUAAUUUCUAUGAUUUUUUUGAAGUUUGGGUUAUUUUUUGGAAUUUAUAAAUCAUUCUGGAUUUAUUUUAAUUCCAGAAAAGGAUUACUGCGUCAGCAUGAGGUCAUGCUGACCUCAGCAAGUCAACAGACUGGUCCAGGUCAAACUGACCAGUGGGUCCCGCAUGUCAGCAGUUUAAUUAACUAACUAAAAUUAGUUUAAACUAGUCUGGGUUAAUUAGCAGAGGGGGCCCCACUUGUCAUAGACUCAGGGGAGUCAAACUGGGCCCACCCUGGUCAAGGUCAAAGUCAAACACGCCGGCGACUAGCCGCCGGCGAGCCCGGUGCGGCGGCGGAAGUGACUUUGGCCGUUCCGGCCACCAAAUGGGUCGCAGAAGGCAUCUAAGUGGAGCUAGGGACAACCCGCAGCUCUUGGUGGAGUUAGUUGGGGUCGGGGUGGCCGGAAUCGGCGCCGGCGACGACCUAGGCGGCCGCCGGAGUUCGGGUGGAGGCGAACUCGUACCUAGGGUGUGCGGUGAGGUGCGGGGAGUGCAUGGCUAGACCCUACGCGACAUGGUGAGUGCGAUGGACACCGAGAGGUGACCGGAGGAUGACCGGGAGCACGUCGGCGACGAUCUCCGUGGCGGUGCGUGCGGUUGAUCUUCGUGUGCUCAUGCCGGUGCACGAGAGCGAGCAAGGAAAGGGGGGAGAGGUAUCUAGGCUCACGGUGAUCUCAAGGGAGCAAACGAUGAGGUCGGAGAUGAGCUGGUGCGGCGGCAACGGUGAAGGGGAUCUCCGGCGAUGGUGGUUCGGUCGAGGUCAGCGUGGUGGCCUCGGGGCACGCGAGCGCUCGGGGCUCGGCUUGCUCGAAGGAGAGGAGGGUGGCAGAGCUCUUGGAAAUGGUGGCGCGGCGCGAGGUUGACGAGAGCGCGUCUAUGGCGAAGGUGCGGCGGCGGUGGCGUCGGCCAUGGCUGGGGAGCGCGAGGGAGAGGAGCUGGGGAGAAGAGGAGAUGUAUGGGGGGUUUGGGGGAGAGAGGGGGAGCGAUCCCCGUCAUCAGCUGGACGAGGGGAGCGGCAAGGCAGCGACCAGGUGCGUGGCACCCAUGCGGUGCUCGUCGCCGAGCACCUGCCUGCCUGCCUGGCCGAGCCAAGCAGCUCGGUGGCGUGGCAGCUGGGCUGGGCCGGCAGGCGGGCCGGUUAGUAGGCGCCAGGUAAGAUUUCCCCUGUUUUUCUGUUUUUAAUUAUUCUGUAAGUUUGUGGACUUAUUAAAAAUACCUACACAACUCCUAAAUUCACCAAACUGCUCCUGGUCCAUAGUUGGAAUAUUUCCAACAUGAAACAUUUUAGUUUGGGAAUAUUUGGGCAUUUGAAAUAUUUUAUAUAAUUUAAAUGCCCAAACUCAAAUACUUAUGAAUUAAUUCAAAGACCUUAGGAUGACCUAGAAAACUGUGCAUCACUUUUGGCAGAGGUUCUGAACCAAGACAAAAAUGAUGGACAUUUUAGAAGGGCAUUUCAGGUUCAUUGAAAAUAUUUUUAGUAAACCCUAGUUGUUUCAGAGGGGGCUGGGGGUUCUGUCAUCCCCAUUUCAAGUUUCUGAUAAAAGAAUAAACAUGAUGCAACACUCUAAUGCAUGAACUAGCUAGGGUGUGACAGAGACGUGGUCGAGCAAGAUGGGAUUUUCCCCUCCGAUAAGGAGAGAUAUACUCCGGGCCCCUCGUGUGAUCUGACCAGGAUAAGCGCCAUGCGACAAGGAUUAUGAGAUAAUCUGGAUUGUGGUCGGCAUCACUACAACGAGAAAGAGGUCGGGCUAGCACAAGGAUGACAGUCUCGCCUUGAGCCCGACAACAUAUAUCGUGUGGCAAAGGGAACAGAAGUGUGACACGUUGUACAGGUUUGCCUAACCAGCUUCAUAGUCUGCUUGGUGGUCGGCACGCCUUGCUAGAGGCCGCUACCAACCGUGUAGGUCGGAGGUGAUCCGAGCUGUGACCAAGCCGACUUGAACCUAAGGGGUCGCGCGCUUAAGGGAAGGAACCUACAAGGUCGGUUCAUAGGACACUGGUCGGAUGUGAUCCGAACUGGACUAGGAACGUCACCGAGUAGACUUUGGGCUUUAGGGUCCAUGCGAGGCCCAAGUGUUGAGCCUGCGAUGGACGCCUAUAUAAAGUGGAGGUACGGCACACUCACGCGGUUGAUCGCUUCGGCGCUACGAUUAAGGUUUGCAUGUGUUGCGAAUAGCCACCUCCACUCGCCGCCGACUGUGUGAUCGAACCUGGCAGUCCGCCACACGGUGUUCCUCCUGCAUGUGUGGAUACUGUUAGAGGCGGUGCACUUGCACCGCUCCGGCGAACUUGUACGUGGGAUCGGACGACCAGCUGUUCGAGGGAGAUCGGACGAGGAGGAGAUGAUCCACUCGGACGCGCUGCCCCAACUCUUCUUCCGCAGCACGGCACUGCGCGUCUAGUGGUAACAAACUGUGAUCCAUCUCCCGUAGCAUGUUCCUGGAUGUUCUGCGCGUAGGAAAAUUUUAAUUUGCAGUCGACGCACCCUACCGUAGAACCCAACAAUAUCCCACGAGGAUGAAGAUAUGUAUUACUAUUGGAUAUAAAGGAGGUAUGAUGUUGGAAAUAUGGAUCAAUGGAAAUUCCAUGAUGAGCCUGAGUAAUUAUGUCGUAGUUUGGUGCCAAUAGAAGGAAGGAAGACAAUACAAUUGGAUGGAUUUUAAGUAUGCUAGGAAGCUGGAAGUUUGAUGUUGGAAUAACGAUCAGUUGCCCAGAGGAUGAGUUCAAGGUUUACAAGUGAUGAGAUGGGCCAUAACCCACAGGCCCCAGGACCUUCCAAGAAGCAAGCACACUCUUGCUGAAGGAAAAACCCUGGAAGAAGUUACGUUUAUCGACAGAUGAUUUUAUAGGAGUAACGCAAAACCUGAGAGUUGUGAAGGACCGAUAGAUGUUUGUUUGGCUUGCAGAAUCAAUGGAUUUAUCCGAACUUGGUUCGUCGACAAGAGAAAUUCUGCAAUGCUUAUGAGGAUGACCGAGUGUUAGCAUGUGAGAUUUGCUAAACCAUAUACAAGAUAAUGAUUUGGGUGCGGGAUGGAUUGAUCACCAUACCGACUUACUCUUAUUAUUCGCCUUGCUAUAUGGGAUGGUAAAUCUGAGUGACUUACCUAUAGUAUAGAGACGAUGAUAUUAAACCUUGUUUGAACCUUAGAAUGGUAUAAGUAUUUUCCCCUGUACAAGGCAGCUGUUGCCAAUCGUAGGAUAUACGGUGAGGCUCAACCCAGACCUGUUUUCUGCAGGAGAAACCAUAAAUUGUUGACCACCAUGAGAUAUCUAUAGUUGUUUAGUAUUGGUGCCAGACCAGUCAGCUAAGAGGACCCAGUCUCGGAAUAACCUUACCAAGAUGAAAUGGAUACAGGAAUCAAGAAAAAGGUUAUGCCACCACUGGAAGAACCCAGAGAAGGAAUUAUCCUGAAGAACUGAGAAGACUGCCACUGUCAACAAUAAUGAUGGAGUAUAUGAGUUUUAAUGGAACCGUAACCAUGCUUCUAAGGGUGGUAGCACCUAGACCCCGGAGAUGAUCGAUGGAUUUUGAGAAGACCCCAAACCUAACCUAUUUCUUGCUAGCCUCUCUGAAUCUCGAGGACGAGAUUCAUUUUAAGGGUGGUAGGUUUGUAACAUCCCAAAAUUCUAAAUUUUGGAAUGUUAUAAUAAAUAGAUAGUUUUGAUUGAUUGUGUGAUUGAUUGACUGAAAGUGAGUGAAUUCGAAACUUUUUGAAAGUAAAAUGAGAGGGAAUAAAAGGACUUUCCCAAACUUUCAUUUUCUUUUAUGAUCUCUGUGAAUUCAAAUUCUUUUCAUCACAAAACCCUGGAGAGAAGAUGACAUGACUUCUUCCAUUUUAAUAAAUGAAAGGGGUUUUUGAAAAUAUUUGAAUUUCACCUGGAAAUAUUUCAAAUUCAGAAACUUCAAGCAACUCAAUGAUUUUCAUGAGGGAAGAUAAAAUGACUUCUUCAAACAUAUGAGAUAUGAGUUGGGAGUUUAAAAGAAAUCCAAUUUAAAGUCCUUUUGAAAUUAUUUUCAAUUGGGAGUUACUUGGGUUUUAUUCAAAUUAUUUUUCUCCAAAUAUAAAAUAUAUGGAAAAUAGGGUAACAUGAUUCCCUACAAUAGAAAAUUGGAGAUAAAUAAAUUUGAUAUCAUUUUGGUAUUUUUAAAAUGAUUUUUAUUGGAUUUUACUAGAGCAGAAGCACUCUUUGCUUUAUUUGAAUUUAUGUGUAUUUUAUUUGAUAUUAAAGAAAUGUUCAGGUUGUAGGAAAUAUUUUUCUGAAAAUUUUGAUAUAUAAUAUGCAUAUAGUAUGUUUUUAUUUUGGUGGUUUAUUUCUAUUUAUUGUUUUCAGGAAAAUGUAAAAAAAAACACUUUCGUCCACCAUCGAACUGGGCCGGCCCAACAGGCCGCAGCGCAGCCCAGCGCGCAGCUCGUCCCCGACCCCGAGCGGAGUCCGCCGCCCGCACACCUCACCGGCGACGCUGUGUCCGCCCCGGUCUCCUCGCACCCCAACCCCUCCCGCACGCCACCACCCUCCCCUGGCCUUUAAAAGGUGGGUACCGAUGCCCCCCCUCUGUCUCUCUCCUCGCGCCACCAGAUCCGCCGCCGCCAUCGUCUGUCGCCGCCACCGCCUCGCAUCUCGCCGCCACACUCUGCUAGCGCCGCCGCCGCAUUCCACAUCGCCACCGCCGCCGUUGCCACACCUCGCCGGACACCGCCGCUGCCCCGACGCCCGCGCCGGAGUUCACCGCCGGCCGGAUCCGCUCCGCCACCCGACCGCCGGUUUUCCCGGUCCGGUAAUAAACCACCCCGGUUUUCUCCGAUUUUUCCUUUAGGGUUCGGUUUUUGUUUAAAACGUGUUUUUAUAUAGUUAGUUAGGUAGCGAACAUUUUCUGUUUAGUUAGUUUCGGCAAAUGUUUUUGUUCGUUAGCGUUCGGUAACGAACGUUCGUUAUUUAGCUCUUCUUCUUUUUCUGUUAGUUUUAUUCAGGGACUUCUUUGUAGAUGUUUUAUUUACAAUUUAGCCCCUGGACUUCAAAUGAUCACUACUUUUCAACCAACGCCCACUUCUUCCUUAUGAUCCCCUCUAUCCAGUAAUCCAACUCCAACAUGUUUUUGGAAGUUUAAAAUUUGAAUUAGACCAGAUUUGUAUUCAAACUUCGUUUGAUCAUAACUUGAGUUUUAUAACUCCAAUUUAGUUGAUUCUUUUUGCAAAUCGAAGCUCUUGACCUAAACUUUCUGAUAAGGCCAAAUCCAUCUAAUUUUGGUACUGUUAGAAAUUGUUUUGCAAGAGUCAUUUGCUUGUUUUCGAAGCUUUCUGAGAUCUUUUCUUUGAUUCUUUUGCAUGAUUGCUUAUGUGUGGUUACUAUUGCUUGCUUACGAUAGAUUGACUGGAGUGUGCUGAGUAGAACUAUCAAGAUUUUUGAGUGUGAAUCAUCUUCAUCAACAUUGCAGGCAAGUUCACAGUUUGAUCAUAUUUCCUUUCAUACCCAGUUUUAUUGCAUUAGAUCAACCCUCAAACAAUUGCAUGAUUAGGAUCUGAUUAAUAUGUGGGUUUUGGGAAGUAGAUGAGGUAGUACCUAUCACCAGCUUUAUUAUCAAACCCUUGGGAGUUACUUCUAUGUUUGCUUAUUAUGCCAUGCUAUGCUAGUAGAUGUGGAUUCGGUGAGUGAAUUUCCAUGACAGAUGAGAGAUUGUUAAUUAAUGGUUUAUUUAAGGUGGCAACUUUAAUACACACCUGGGCUCAAAGGGAUUGUCUGUUUGUUUUGGACCGCCACCCAGGCUCAAAGGGAUCAUAAGAUUAUUCAUGCUAGAAACUUCCGUGUGCAGCCACAUGCUAUUAUGGGAUCUAGCAUAGUUGAUUAAGUCGUGCGAACUCUUACAGUGGUAGACUAGCAGAUAUAGGGGAAAGUUGGUGUACAUGUCUACCCAUCGUAAGGUGCUAGCGCUUCUGAAAGACUAUGUCUCAGUCAUCCAUUUCUCAAACACCAUGUAGUGUGAGAAAACCAACGGAGGGGAUCGAGUCAUGUGGGGAAAAGUGCGCAAACUUCUGCAGAGUGUAUAAACUAAUCAUGAUUAGUCGUGUCCCCGGUUAUGGACGUUUUGAGUAUCUAGUACUUGGAUUAUCAUGUGAAUCUCAUCAUGUUACUUUAAUUAAACUUGUCGGGUUUUAAUGAUGAUGUUACUUAAUUGGGAUUCAGAAUGCUGUCAACCAUUCUCAACGUUCAACAACCACCAUGAUAGUUAAAUAAAACUUAUUCCUUUGUAGUAGGGAAAAAUUGGCUUUUCGCAAAAACAUUAUAACCAUAGAGCCUCCACUAGCCAAAUAUGCAUGUAGUGAUAGCCUUUAUUCAUCAUUGCUCUAUGGUGUGAUUUAGCCAGUACGUUCAAUGUACUGUCCCUCUGUGGCUGCAACGUCUCAUGUAGCACGACGAGUAAGUGUUACGUUAGGGUUACAAUUUCUACACUCAACUUCGCCGUUGGUGUUGAUGGGAAUCCACAACCUUGUUGCUUCCGCUAUUUGGAUUGUGGUAAUAGUAUUUACGCUACUUUAUACAUGUGAUUUACCUCUGUUAUAAAUCCUCGAGUACUGUGUGUGUCAGCAUACCGAUCCAGGGAUGACACUUAAGCACAGAGACUUGAUCCAUUCGGGUCGGGUCGCUACAAGAUGUCCUCAUGAACCAGCUCCCGAAGGACUUGUUGCUGAUCGUGGUUGGUUAGCGGGUCGAACGAUGCGAUGGAGAUAUCAUCACAAGCGUCAUCACGAUGGACCGACGCCCGGGGUGGCCGGGAUGGAGGUGGGGAGUGCACCAUGGCCGCAUCGCCUCCUACACGGCCUCUGCUGGCCUGUGGUGGCCCGACGAAGCGACGGCCUACGGGUCCCAUCGGCCGCAACUCAUCGUUGUUGGUGAUGCCGACGAGGCUCUGGAUGGUGGCCCUCCAUUCGUCGAGGUUCUCCGCGGCGGGAGGAAAGUCGAGGAGCAGCUGCACGCGUGCUAGGGCUUCUGCUGGCGUGGGUGGCGGCGAAAGCUGGGUGGACCGCGAUGCACCUCGACUUGUAACCAUGUUAGAAGGAGCCGCGUCACGGCCCCGCAGCCGUUCGCCACCUCCGUCUGCACCUCGGCGCGCAUGCUGGUCCUCCUUAUCAUGUGAUGGGCGCACGGGACUCUUCCCUUGGCGGCGCGCAGGGUCACUGGCAGGGUGACACUGCUCAUCGCGCACAACCUGAGAAGAGAGCGCCGUGGGCGCCAGUGUCGGUGUCUUGGAGGUCGCCGUGCCGCCAUCUGGUGGGAUGGCGACGCCCCUGGAGGGCCCCAUGCUGCCUGUGGGGGGCCUUACUCCGUCUCUGGAGCCCGCGACUGGUGGCUCGUCGCCUGGCGCGCGAACGACGCCACUCGCCAUGCCCGGACCGCCAGGGUGAUGUGGAUGUUCGCGGGCCGCGCCAUGGGUUCUCUCCGCGAGUGGCCCGCUACUGGUCUGCGCUGGUACUGGCAACCCGGUCCCGGACAAACCGAUCACCGUGGUCGUCUUCUUCUUAGGAGCCAUGGUGAUGAAGAACAGCUAGGUCAGCUGCUAGACCAGAUUCUCACAAUUGCGCCCCCUACCUGGCGCGCCAAAGAUGUCGGUAGGAAACAACACCUAUCGGAUCACUGGAAUCCCUACUAUGGUUGCGGGGCGCGGGGAUCGUGAGAAGAGCAGGACUAGCAGACAGCACACAAGGGGAUUUACCCAGGUUCGGGCCGCAAAGAUGCGUAAAACCCUAUGAUCCUGCUUUGGUGGAUGUAUUUAGUGUUCUUGAGCUCUUGAACUAGCUCUGGGUGCUGCUAGGUUCGAAAGAGCCGAAUCCUUCUCCAGUGCGCCAUGGGCCUCCUUUUAUAGGCGAAAGGGGCUGCCACAGUGGCACACAGGAUGUCAGGACCCCGAUCCUGAGUCACACCGAUCUAGCAUGUAACACAUCAUAUCACUUUGCGGCCUCACACACGGUAUUCCCACAGGUGCCACCUUACCUCGCCCGGGACCGUUUGCGUCUUUUGGCUCACGUAUAUGAUAGUGCUGCUAGCAUCCAUAUGACAAAGAACCCGGGCUAACAUGGCUAGUCGUGAACCCAAAGUGGCACUAACUUACAGGGACAGGCAUACAUGACCCAACAACGAACGUGUCGGUCAUCAGCGAGUGAAUCCGGGCUGUAGCAACUGGGCUAGCAGGACUCCGGUAAACCGGGCUGUAGCAGGCUAACAGGACUCCGGUAUUCAUCGCGUGACAUUUCCCCGAAGGGACAGACACAGGAACGAAGAAGGACACAUGCCGGCCAGCCUAAGUGUUCCGGAGCAGUAGAAAGCUACCAUGGCUCAGUGGAAGCACUAGGAGACAUUUCCCGGUAAGAGAGGCUACUAAGGAUAAACAACUAGAUAGUCAGAUCCCACACAUACCAAGCAUUUCAAUAACAUACACACAAUAUGCUCGAUAUGUGCAAAUACAACAUGGCAUCACAACAUGACUCUAUGACUCAAGUAUUUAUUCAAUAGGCUCCGAGGAGCGAGAUAUUACAAACAUGGGUCUCAUGACCCAACACUCAGAGCAUACAAGUCAAAGCACAAGCAGAAGCUUAACAUGUCUGAGUACAGACAUCUACAAAUGAAAAAGGCUAAGAAGCCUGACUAUCUACCAGAUCCUGCCGAGGGCACAAGAUCGUAGCUGAGGUAACGAGCUAAACGUCGAAGUCCACGCCGAACUACUAGCGAGACUGAAGUCUCUCUGCAAAAACAUAAAUUAAGCAACGUGAGUACAAAUGUACCCAGCAAGACUUACAUCAGAUCUAACUACAUAUGCAUCAUCAUCAACAAAGGAGAUGGUGGGGUUUAACUGCAGCAAGCCAGCUUUGACUCGGUGGCUAUCCUGAACUACGACUGCAAGUAACUCUUUUGAGGUGGCGCACACGAGUCCACAUAUUCACCAUAUCAAUACAACACUAUGGAUCCGCUCCCGUCUCCCUACGAGAACGCCAUCCAUAGCACUCACGCUUAUCUUGCGUAUUUUAGAGUAUCCACUUUCACUUGUCUAUGAACUGUACAGGCAACCCAGAAGUCCUUUUCCGCGGACACGGCUAUUCGAAUAGAUCAUAUUAACCCUGCAGGGGUGUACAUCUUCGCACACGCUCUCACCACUUACCGCCAUUUACACGACAUGUACUCGGCAACCUUCAAGCGGAAGCCCACCAAGGGUGUCGGCCACGACCUGACUAACCACACAAGUCUCUCGUCCAGGUUUAUCGCCUAUUCGGGUUCCAUCCGCAAGGAGAUCCGGUCGGGGUGUCGCUCACGGCCCCAAACGAUGUGUGCAGGGUUCCCAAGCCCACCAUCCGGGUUCCACUUGGUACACCGGGCCACUGUGCCUAGUCUGUCCCAAGCCCACCUGUACCGGGUGCCACUUGGUAGACUACUAACACUACCUACAAACACCAGAAACUAGUUGCAACUCCUGGACAGAGAUCAAGUUGAUUAAUAAGUCGAGAGAGCUUGGAGCGCCCGAAGCCCAAUGUGUGGUAGUAGCUAUUCAUGGAUCACAAACACAGAACUCAGUUCCUGAGGAUGGCUGCAAUGAGACAACCCACCAUGUACUCCUACAUGGCCUCUCACCACUACCUUUACCAAAUCGUGUUCACACACUUAGCUCACACACAGUAGGACAUGUUUACACACCUCCGAUUCAUUCCCGAUGAAUCAGACCUGACUCAACUCUAAGUAGUAGCAGGCAUGACAAACAAGCAUGAAUGAGUAGGCACAUCAGGGCUCAAACAACUCCUACUCAUGCUAGUGGGUUUCAUCUAUUUACUGUGGCAAUGACAGGUCGUGCAGAGGAUAAAGGGGUUCAGCUACCGCAGCAAGUAACAGUUGAAUCGUUGUUGUCCUAAUGCAGUAAAAGAGACCAGGAGCGAGAGAGUGGGAUUGUAUCGGAAUGAACAAGGGGGUUUUGCUUGCCUGGCACUUCUGAAGAUAGUAUAGCUCUUCAUCGGUGUCAUCGAUCGCAUCGUCGAUACACGUCUACUGAGAGCGGACAUGCACCGACAAACAAAGAAGAAAGACAAUCAAUGCAAUGCACAAUAUGAUGCAUGCUCAUGACAUGGCAAUAUGAGUGUGUUGGCCUAAUGCAACUACAACCAGAUGGAUUUGGGUCAUUUUGAACCAAAGGUUCAAUCCCAAACUCAAAUUAUGAAUUUAAAUAGUGCGUUAUCAUGUUUUGCACUAAACAGCAAGGUUAAGUUGUUUAAACAUGCAUGAAACCAGUACAGAUGGAUAGAUUGGAUUUUUCUGGUAAUUUUUCAUAUAUAAAUUAUUUCAUUUGGAGCUACGGUUUAAUUUCUAUGAUUUUUAGAAGUUUAGGACAUUUUCUGGAAUUUCCUGAAUUAAAACUAAUCCAGAAAAUGAGUUAUGGCGUCAGCACUACGUCAUUGUGAUGUCAGCAGGUCAACGGGGCGGUCCAGGUCAAACUGACCAGUGGGUCCCGCAUGUCAGUGUUAUUAGUCUAACUAAUUUUUAGUUAGUCCUAAUCCUAACUUAAUUAGCAGGCGGGUCCCAUUUGUCAUUGACCCAGAGGGGUCAAACUGGGCCCACCCGGGGUCAACUUGGUCAACAGGUCAAACCUGCCGGCGUUGAGCCGCCGGCGAGGCCGAGACGGCGGAGAGCGUCGGAAACACUGCCCCGGCCACGGUUCGAUGCGCGGGUGGGUGCUAUGGGUAGCUGGCGGUGUGGCGCAUCCAACGGUGGCGGUGGUUGGUGCUGGGGUGGCCGGGAACAACGACGGCGUCGAGCCGGGCAGCGGCCGGAGCUCGGGUGUUUUCGGGACCGGCGCUGCGGUGUGCAAACGAGCGCAACGUGGCGCUGGGAAGACUCUACGCGCGACAGUGAGCAUGUUGGGCGCACGCCCGGGACCAAAUGGUCACCGGAGAGUCACCGGCGACGAACGCAGGCGGCGGCGUGUGCGGGUGAACACGGUGCAGCAUCUACGGCGUGCGAGAGAGGGAGCGGAGAAGGGAACCAGGGGAAGGAGCUCACUGCGGUUGCGUCGGGGCGAACGGCGAGCUCGGGGAGGGGUCGGAGCAAGCGGGGCGGCGAUGGCGAUCUCGGCGGACCGAGGUUGAAGAAGACGGCGUGGUCGGCAUUCGAGGGCGUCCGGCGGGGCAUGGCUCGGUGAGGGGGUCGAGGACGACGUUGCCGAGCUUCUGGGCGUGUCGAUGAGACAUGGGGUGGCCGGUCAUCAUGCCAACGACGGGCGGCGGCGACGCCUGCGCUCGGGCAUGAGAGGGAGAGAGAGCAGAGGAGGGAAAGAGCUCGAGAGAGAGUGAGGGGCGGUCGGGGAGGCUGCGUGGCAUGCGCGGAGGGAUCCAGGGCGGCGGGGACGCAGGCAAGCAAGGAGCUCGCGUGGCGCGUGGAGCGCACGCGCGCGUCGGGCACGCGCCCUGUCCGACUGGCGGGAGGACAACGACGACUGGCACAGGCCAGUGGGCUGGGCCGUGCUGGGCCAGGCCAGGUGAGCGCCAGGUAAGACCCUCUCUCUCUGCUUUCUGUUUUUCUUUUCUAUUUUUCUUUCUGUGUUCUAGUUUAGUUUAGGCACUAAACCAUUUUUCAUAAAUUCUGAAAUUAUUUGUGGGAGCUCUCUGCAAUAUACAAGUGACCCACAAUUAUUUUCAAAAUAUCUGGAGCUAUAAAAUUAUUUAUAGCUUUUAUUUGCUCCAACUCAAAUACAAUAUGGAUUACUUCAAAAAUCCAAAUUGUCCUAGAAAUAUACUCAUCAUUUUUGGCAGAGGUUUCCACCUUAACCAGAAAUCAUGAGCAUUUUUAAAGGCAUUUUGGGAUCAUUGAAAAGAUUUUAUUUAAUUCUAUUUGAAGUCAUUUGGUGCUAGGGUUUGAAUCAAUCCCCAUUUCAAGAUUAAGAGCCAAAUAAACAUGAUGCAACACAUGACUAGCUAGCCCAGAGCAAAUCAGAACUAGGGAUGUGACACAGGAGGUGGAAAGUGCUAAAGCGCUGUGAGCUUAUCGCUGGUAUUACAAGACAAAGUGCAUUUAAUGCAUGCCAUAGAUGUCCCUCACUUUAUCGGGGAUGGGAGCGAGGCCCGUCCCAUCCGCCGCCGCUCCUCCUUGCUUUGACACACGCCCUAGCCAGCGAUGCAUGCGGUGCCAUGUAGGCAAGCAAGCAGCUGAGGUGGCGCGGUGGUGGAGCAUCCACGAAGAUCUGCAUGCCGCCACGCAUGUGCGUGCUGAGUUAGCCUGGAAGCUGCAUGUUGCCACGCAGGUGCCUGCCCAGCUGGUUGGGCUGGCAGCUGCAUGCGAACAGCGGCGGGGAGUUGGCUGGUACGGGCCUGGCAGUGGCCCCGUGGUUGCCUCUGGUGUGGGUCUUGUCGGGUGGCCCGGAAAGGGUCUUGCCAUGGCGCGCUGGCGUCCCCAGCAAGGAUCUUGGUGAGGAUUGUUGCCUUCCUAUCCUCAUUUGAUCUUGACUAUUCUUUUGUCUUCACAAAGAUCUGCAUGCCACCACGGAGGUGCCUCCGGAGCCCUGUCCCAAUGCGUUUGUCUAUCGUUUGUGGGCUCAAAGGUGGCUCGCUCGGCUGGUGGGGGAGAUCUCCCCCGGCAAAGGUCUUGCCGGGGCCGCUGAGGCUGCCCUGGCAAGGGUCCUUGCCGGGGAAACCUGCUUCAUCCAUCCGAUCUUUGUGGCCUUGGUCCUUAUCAUUGCUUUGUUUGUCUUGUGCCUUCGGCUUCUCUCCGGCUUCCCUUUCCUUCCCUGUUAUGCGUGGCUGUGGCGGGUAGCUCUGACUGCCCAUGCACAAGUAAAGGGGUCAAAAGGAGAGCCCCUACUUUUGUACACCGACAGGAGCCCCCGGGCCUGGGCCGUACAUAGGUGCAGCAUGUUGUUGGGCCAGGCCCAGAACGGUGCGCGGGCAGUUGGGGCAGAUUUUUAUGGCAGUAACUGCUCCGUCCGCUGUGCUUCCCCAUGACCCGCGUUAAACGCGCGAUGUGGGGGUCGUGCGCGUGCAUGAUGGAGGCAUGAUGGCGCAUCCCGCGGUGGAUAGUAAAGAUCCGGCUUGCGUGUCUCUUUGAGACUGCACGGCCGCUGCUCAUUUAGUGCCCUCGUUUGGGAACCGUCGUUCCACGCGUCCCACUGCGCCUAUCCCUUGCGCCAUGUUCGCUGCAUGUGAUGCAGGGCGAAUGACAGGCGCGCGAGAUGUGGGAAGUCAUGCACGUGUGUGGGUUGAUUCCCACGCGCCUUCAAUGGAGCGGGGAGGGCGGUCGACGACCCUGCUUGCUAUCACUUCAACGGGCCGGAUUGGCCGAGAGGGGGCGGCCGAGCCUCGGCCCCGCCCCUUUAUAAAGAGGGGAGCGGGAGGAACGGUGCCUCUCAACCCUCCGCCAUCUGCCUCUCCCCAUUCCUGCUUCCCCCUUUCUUCUGCCAUGGCGAGGGGGCGUGGCGACGCUUCAUCGGUGGCGGCGAGGGUCUCGGCUCGACAACGCAUCGCUCCUCCCCUAGAGCUCGUGGCGGCGGAGCCGCCUGUUAGAGGGAGGGGGAGGGGGUGAGGUCGAGGCCGCCGUGGUGCUCGUGACAUCGAAGACAAUCCUUUCCGUCAUGUGGUUCAGCUUGCCUCCGAAUGUCACGGGCAGCGUGACCUUUCCCUUUGGCUGGCUCCUCCCCGGGUUAACCCCUUGGAACGUGCCCGUCUCCUCGAGGUCUCCAUCGGGGAUCUGCAGCCUUUUGACCACAACAGGCGAGAUUAAGUUCAGGCCGGCCCCGCCAUAACCAACAUCUUUGUCACCUUGAGGUUGCGGAUUGUUGGUGAAACCAACAAUGGCAAGCACCCGACCGUAGUAGUGCGGUCAGUGUGGUCCUCGGUGUCGAAGAUGAUGGGCAAGUUGGACCAUUUCAGCGGCUUCCGUGCAUCGAGCGAUGGCUCCAACGCCGUGAUCUCACGCGCCCAUUGCUUGAGUUGGCGGUGGGACGUAUGCAGCGAGGCGCCACCAUCGACGCACAUGGCCUCUAUGGCUUUUUGAAACUCGUGGUCGCCGGACUCGUCGUCCUCGUCAUGAUCAUCGUCUUCCUGCUUCUUGUCGCGGCCCCGGGCGGGCCUCUCCUGCUGAUUAUCCUUGCCGCGGCGGCUUCCUUGGCCGCCACGUUUCUUGCCGGAUCCCUCGGCACCUUCUAGGCCUUUCUCCUUCCGCCUCUCAUACUCGGCUUUCUGCUUCUCGGCGAGCAGCUCUACCUGCCGGCAGUUUUGGAGGUCAUGGCCCUUGGUGCGGUGGAUCUUGUAGUACUGCUUGUCAGAGCCUCCUGGCUUGUCGGCAGCCGCCAAGGCCCGACAAGCGACACACCCGGCAACCUCCUUGCCGGGGUCGCUCGCCUUGGUCUUCUUGGUGGCGCCGGUGUCAUCGGGUCCCUCGAUGGCAAGCACGGCCUUGCCCUUGCGCUUCCAGUUACGGCGUCGGCCCUUCUUCACUGGGGUGGUGGUGUCGCCAGUGGAGUCGGUUUCCGCGCCGGCAUCUUCACCGGGGUACUUCCUUCCCUCUUCAGCGCGAGCGCAUCGAUCAGCCAGGACAUAAAGCUCGGCCACAUCCUUGACCUUGUUCAUCGCCAGCUCAUCACGCAUCUUGCGGUUGCGCACGUUCUGAUGGAACGAACUGAUCACGGCGGUGGGAUGAACAUCGGGGAUGUUGUACUGCACCCGGUUGAACCUUUGGAUGUACUUGCGCAAGUUUUCUCCUUCCUUCUGGGGGGAUGAUGUGUAAAUCACUCACCUAACCAUGAGCUUGGUGACCUCCGGUAAAGGCGCCAACAAACUCAUGGCACAGAUCCGCCCAUGAAGAGAUUGAAUCCACCGGCAAGUGCAUCAACCAUGACAUAACAUUAGGCUUGAGUGCCCACGGGAACUAGUUGGCAAGCACCUUAUCGUCGCAGGCCCCAGCAGCUUGCAUCGCGAUGGUGUAGAUGCUUAGGAACUCUGACGAGUGAGUCUUGCCGUUGUACUUCUCACCAACGUCAGGCUUGAACAUACGGUGGGAGGGCCACUAGAAUUGCCGCAGCUCACGGGUAAAAGUCGGACAACCCACCUCGUAGGGUAGGCCACCGUAGCCUCCCAGCGCUGGGCGGUCCAUAGCGGGCCAUGCCCGCCUGUCCGACUGGUGGCACACGUCACGUCGGCGCUCGAUGGUAGUUCGAGCGUCCUCAUGAACCCGCUCCCGAAGGACUUGACGCUGAUCGCGGUUGGUUAGCGGGUCGUAUGACGCGAUGGAGAUAUCAUCACAAGCGUCAUCGCGAUGGACCGACGCCCGGGGUGGCCGGGAUGGAGGUGGGGAGUGCACCGUGGCCGCACCGUCUCCUGCACGGCCUCUGCUGGCCUGCGGUGGCCCGGCGGAGCGACGGCCUAUGGGUCCCGUCGGCCGCAACUCAUCGCUGUUGGUGAUGCUGACGAGGCUCCGGACGGUGGCCCUCCAUUCGUCAAGCUUCUCCACGGCGGGAGGAAAGUCGAGGAGCGGCUGCGCGCGUGCUAGGGCUUCCGCUCGCAUGGGUGGCGGUGAAAGCUGGGUGAACUGUGAUGCGCCUCGACUUCUAACCAUGUUAGAAGGAGCUGCGUCACGGCCCCGCAGCCGUUCGCCACCUCCGUCAGCACCUCGGCGUGCAUGCUGGUCCUCCUCAUCAUGUGAUGGGCGCACGAGACUCUUCCCUAGGCAGCACGCAAGGUCACUGGCAGGGUGACACUGCUCAUCGCGCACAACCUGAGAAGAGCGCGUCAUGGGCGCCGGUGUCGACGUCUUGGAAGUCGCCGUGCCGCCGUCUGGCGGGAUGGCGGCGCCCCUGGAGGGCCCCGCGCCGCCUACGGGAGGCCCGACUCCGUCUCUUGAGCUGGCGACUGGUGGCUCGUCGCCUGGCGCGCGAACGACGCCCCUCGCUAGGCCCGGACCGCCAGGGCGAUGUGGAUGUUUGCGGGCCGCGCCAUGGGUUCUCUCCGCGACUGGCCCGCUACUGGUCCGCACCGGUAGUGGACCCGGUCCUGGACGAACUGAUCGCCGUGGUCGUCUUCUUCUUAGGAGCCAUGGAGAUGAAGAACAGCUAGGUCAACUGCUAGACCAGAUUCUCACAAUUGCGCCCCCUACCUGGCGCGCCAAAGAUGUCGGUGGGAAACGACACCUAUGGGAUCACUAGAAUCCCUACUACGGUUGCAGGGCACGGGGAUCGUGAGAAGAGCAGGACUAGCAGACAACACAAAGGGGAUUUACCCAGGUUCGGGCCGCAAAGAUGUGUAAAACCCUACGAUCCUGCUUUGGUGGAUGUAUUUAGUGUUCUUGAGCUCUUGAACUAGAUCUGGGUGCUGCUAGGUUCGAAAGAGCCGAAUCCUUCUCCGGUGCGCCAUGGGCCUCCUUUUAUUGGCGAAAGGGUCUGCCACAGUGGCACACAGGAGGUGGAAAGUGCUACAGCGUUGUGAGCUUAUCGCUGGUAUUACAGGACAAAGUGCAUUUAAUGCAUGGCUUAAGUGUCCCUCAUUUUAUCAGAGACGGGAGCGAGGCCCGUCCCAUCCGCCGCCACUCCUCCUUGCUUUGACACGCGCCCUGGCCAGCGAUGCAUGUGAUGCCAUGUAGGCAGGCAAGCAGCUGAGGUGGCGCGGUGGUGGAGCGUCCACGAAGAUCUGCAUGCCGCCACGCAGGUGCGUGAUGAGUUGGCCUGGAAGCUGCAUGUUGCCACGUAGGUGCCUGCCUAGCUGGGUGGGCUGGCAGCUGCAUGCGAACGGCGGCGGGGAGUUGGCUGGUGCGGGCCUGGCAGUGGCCCCAUGGUUGCCUCUGGCGUGGGUCUUGUCGGGUGGCCCGGCAAGGGUCUUGCCGGGUGGCCCGGCAAGGGUUUUGCCGGGUGGCCCAGCAAGGUUCUUGUCGUGGCGCGCUGGUGUCCCCAGCAAGGAUCUUGGUGAGGAUUGUUGCCUUCCUAUCCUCAUUUGAUCUUGACUAUUCUUUGUCUUCACAAAGAUCUGCAUGCCACCACGGAGGUGCCUCCCGAGCCCUAUCCCAAUGCAUUUGUCUAGCGUUGGUGGGCUCAAAGGUGGCUCGCUCGGCUGGUGGGGGCGAGCUCCCCCAGCAAGGGUCUUGCCGGGACCACUAAGGCUGCCCCGGCAAGGGUCCUUGCCGGGGAAACUUUAUUCGUCCAUCCAAUCUUUGUGGCCUUGGUCCUUGUCGUUGCUUUGUUUGUCUUGUGCCUUCGGCUUCUCUCCGGCUUCCCUCUCCUGCGCUGUUAUGCAUGACCGUGGUGGGUGACUCUGACUGCCCAUGCACAAGUAAAGGGGUCAAAAGGAGAGCCCAUAAUUUUGUACACCGACAAAGUCUGGACCGGACUCAAAGACCAUUUGGUACCAUUGCGAGGAAACUGGUCACUAGAAGAGGAACUAUAGCAAGUGGCUUGCUGAGCAUGGUAAGAAGGCCAGGAAUGCUGCUUCAGGCAAAGUUACACUUGUUACAUAUGUUAUAGACAUUUACCUUGCUGACAUACCAAGUAGCUCUUGAGUAUUUGAUACUAGAUCGGUUGUUCAUAUUUGCAACUUGAUGCAGGGGCUGGUAAGAACUAGGCGUGUGGCACAAGGGGAGAUUGACAUCACGGAUAGCAAGAAAGCAAGAGUUGCUGCAUUGGAGGUCGGCGCAAUGCAACUCUAGCUUCCUUUUGGAUUUAUUUUGGAAUUGAAUAAUGGUUAUUACAUUUGUGCACUUAGUCAGAACAUUAUUUCGGUCUCAUGCUUGAUGAGUCAGGGUUAUGAAUUCAAUUUAAAGGACAAUGUUUGUUCAUUUUAUUUGAAUGGUAUGUUCCUCGGCUAUGCACCCAUUGUUGAUGGGCUAUUUAUAUUGAAUCUGGAACAGGAACCGGUCUAUAACAUGAAUGUUAAGAGGCAUAAGCCUAAUGAGAUAAAUCCGACAUACUUCUGGCAUUGCCAGCUUCAACACAUUAGUCUGAAACGCAUGAAGAAGCUCCAUAAUGAUGGGCUCCUAACUUCGUCCGACUUUGGGUCAUUCGAGACAUACGAAUCAUGCUUGCUCGGCAGGACGACUAAGUCUCCUUUCGCAAAGAGUUGUGAGAGGGUGUCUGAGCUAUUGGAGCUUAUACAUAGUGAUGUGUGUGGUCCAAUGAGCACAACUGCCAGAGGUGGCUAUCAGUACUUCAUAACUUUUACCGACGACUUGAGUAGAUAUGGAUAUAUCUAUUUGAUGAGGCACAAGUCGGGAACUUUUAAAAAGUUCAAAGAGUUUCAGAAUGAGGUUGAGAAUCAGCUUGGCAAGACUAUAAAGCUUCUACGAUCUGAUCAUGGAGGUGAGUACAUGAGCCAGGAGUUUGACGAUCAUCUGAAAAGUCAAGGUAUAGUACCUUAGCUCACACCUUCGGGUAUGCCAUAGAGAAACGGCGUGUCGGAACGGAGGAAUAGGACCUUGUUGGACAAGCUCCAGUCUAUGAUGAGCAAAUUGGAUUUACCCUUGUCAUUAUGGGGAUACACUCUAGAAACUGCAGCUUUCACACUUAACAGGGUACCAUCAAAAUCCGUAGACAAGACACCACAUGAGAUGUGGACCACGAAGAGUCCCAGUUUGUCUUUUCUAAAGAUUUGGGGUUGUGAAGCAUUUGUCAAGCGACUUAUGUUAGACCAGCUUACGCCCAAGUCAGAUAAAUGCAUAUUCGUGGGAUAUCCAAGGGAAAUCUUGGGAUAUAGCUUCUACAACCGGGACAAGAACAAAGUGUUUGUUGCUCGGAACGGGGUUUUCCUUGAGAAAGAGUUUCUCAGUCGGGAGACCAAUGGGAGGACGGUCCGACUCAAAGAAAUUCGAGGAACAGUCGGGGACAGCUCGGCUAGUGAUGAGAUCAUACCAGAGCCAGUCAGGGAAUCAUAGUGGAAGCAGCACCGGAACAAUGGAGGUCGAAGAGAUUGUGCAGAGUAUGCGAUGUAUUGUUGCUAGAAAGCGACGAGCCAGCCACAUAUGCGGAAGCGAUGGUUAGCCCAGAUUUUGAGGCGGGCUGGAGGCUAUGAGUUUCGAAUUGAAGUCCAUGGAUGAGAAUCAAGUCUGGGACUUGGUUGAUCCACCGCCUGGCAUAACAACCAUUGGUUGCAAAUGGGUCUUUAAGAAGAAACCCGAUGUGGAUGGAAAUGUUCAGAUCCACAAAGCUCGGCUUACCACUAAAGGUUAUGGACAAGUUCAAGGAAUUGACUACGAUGAGACUUACUCGCUGGUAGCGAUGCUGAAGUCGGUGAAUAUCGUACUAGCUAUAGCUGCAUAUUUCGAUUAUGAGAUAUGGCAGAUGGAUGUCAAAAUGGCUUUCCUUCACAGAAAUUUAACCAAGGACGUGUAUAUGAUACAGUCCAAUGGUUUUGUCGACCCGACCAGCACUAGUAAGGUAUGCAAGCUCAAGAGAUCCAUUUGUGGAUUGAGGCAAGUAUCUCAGAGCUGGAAUAUUCAUUUUGAUGUGGUCAUCACUGGUCUUGUUUUCAUCAAAAGCGAAGAGGACGCUUGUUUAUACAAGCAGUUAAGUGGGAACUUGAUAGUGUUUUUGAUCUUUUACAUGGAUUACAUAUUGUUGAUCGGGAAUGAUGUUUCGAUGCUGAACUCGGUCAAGGAGUCAUUGAAUGGCAAGUUUUCGAUGAAGGAUUGGUGAGGCAGUGUAUAUUUUAGGCAUUCAGAUCUAUAGAGUAGAUCAAGGAGGCUACUCGGCUUAAGCCAGAGCACGUACACAGAUAAAGUGCUGAAGUGGGUCAACAUGAGUGAGGCGAAGAAAGGUUUCUUGCCACUCUCACAUGGUAUAAAGCUAAGCGAGACUCAGAGUCCUUCGACAUCUGAUGAGCGAAGCAGGAUGAGUAGGGUUCCAUAUGCCUCGGCAAUCGGAUCCAUCAUGUAUGCCAUGAUAUGUACAAGGCCAGAUGUUGCUUUUGCAAUAAGCCUAACAAGCAGAUACCAGGCAAACCCCGGUGAGAGUCAGUGGGCAGCGGUGUAUAAUAUUCUGAAGUACCUGAAAAGGACUAAGGAAAUGUUUCUAGUUUAUGGAGGUGAGGAAGAGCUCGUCGUAAGGGGUUAUGCCAAUGCUACUUUCCAAACCGAUAGAGAUGAUUUUUUAUCACAGUCCAGAUUCUUGUAUGUCAUGAACAGAGGAGCAGUGAGCUAGAUGAGUUCCAAGCAAGAUAUGGUGGUCGAUUCUACCAUAGAAGCUGAAUACAUUGCGGCUUGUGAAGCUGCAAAGGAAGGCGUUUGGAUCCGGAACUUUUUGGAUGAUCUUGGUAUUUUCCCAGCCUCGGUAAAACCAUUGGACCUUUAUUGUGAUAAUUCUGGUGCCAUCAAACAAGCCAAGGAGCCGAGGAAUCACCACAAGGUCAGACACGUAGAUCAGAAAUAGCACCUGAUACGAAAGAUCGUAAAGAAUGGUGAUGUAAGUUAUGCAAAUUUCACAUGGAUGCAAAUGUUGUAGAUCCGUUGACUAAGCCGCUUCCACAACCCAAGCAUGAGGGGCAUGUUAGACCUAUGGGCAUUAGAUGUCUAUUUGAUUGACUCUAGUGCAAGUGGGAGACUAUUGGAGAUAUGCCCUAGAAGCAAUCAUGUAUGACGAUAUUUCCUAUGUGUUUAUGAAUAAAGAUAGUCCUUGGACAUUAUGAAUGAUGUGUAUCAGCAAGUACGUGACUUGUUUGAGGGACUAUGCAUUGGAUGAUGACUGUCCUAAAAGGUCCCUAGUAGAAAGGUUGUGUGGACACGUAGCCAACUAGACUAGCAUAUGACACGGUCGAUGGCUUGGUCUGACUAGCCAUGGAGCAUUGGAUGCAAACCGGAUAAUAUGGACUCUGAAGGAUCUGGUUGGAUUCGACGUAGUCGGAUCCGAGUGGAGAUAAGGUCCGAGUCGGACAGACCCAACUAUGAGACGCGGCGAUAUGUCAUCUGUGAGUCUUUAGUACAACAUACGUUCUAUGUCCUAAGACCUGAGUUGGCACAUGUACUCGGGAUGGUGACAGACCUGCUUUGGGCCGACGAAAUGCUACUCCAUGACUGUGUAGUUAGAAAGGUAGGUUUCAGGCUUGUCCAAAUCCAUGCUGUGAUACAUGGUCAAGCAAGAUGGGAUUUGCCCCCUCUGAUCAGGAGAGAUAUACUCUGGGCCCCUUGUGUUAUCCGACCAGGAUAAGCAUGGCCAUGCGACAAGGAUUAUAAGAUAAUCUGGUUUGUGGUUGGCAUCACUGGAACGAGAAAGUGGUCGGGCUAGCACAAGGAUGACAGACUCACCUUGAGCCCGACAACAUAUAUCGUGUGUCAAAAGGAAUAGAAGUGUGAUGUACAGGUUCACCAACCGGCUUCAUUGUCUACUUCGUGGUCGGCACGCCUUGCUUGAGGCUGCUACUAGCCGAGCACGUCGGAGGUGAUCUGACCUGCGACCAAGACAACUUGAAUCUAAGGGGUGGCACGCUUAAGGGAAGGAACCUGUGAGGCCGGAUCGGACUCCAUGAGUCAGGUGAUCCUACUCGAACUCGGAUCCUGGCCGAAUAGAUUUUGUGCUUUAGGGUAUGUGCGAGGCCCAAGUGUUGAGCCCGCGGAGGAUGCCUAUAUAAAGUGGAGAUGCGGCGCACUCAUUCGGUUGAUCGCUUUGGCGCUGUCACUAGGGUUUGCACAUUUUGUGAAUAGCCACCUCAACUCGCUGCCGAUUGUGUGAUCGGACCUAGCAGUCCUCCGCACGGUGUUCCUCCUGCACAUGCGGAUAUUGUUAGAGGUGGUGCACCUGCGCCGCUCUGGCGAACUUGUACGUGGGAUCGGGCGACCGGCUGUUUGAGGGAGAUCAGACGAGGAGGAGAAGAUCCACGUUGACGCAAUUCCCCAACUCUUUUUCCGCUGCACGGCACCACGCGUAUAGUGGUAACGAUCCAUGAUCCAUCUCCUGUAGCAUGUUCUUGGUUGUUCUACAUGUAGGAAAAUUUUAAUUUGUAGUCGACGCACCCUAUUGUAGAUUCCAACACCGACAGUCGUGCCUUACAGGUAGAACUUGCAGAGAUGCUCAAUAUUUCAUGAGUUUUGCAACCGAAUGCCACCUCCGGUUUCCAGACGGACUGCGCAAGGUCUGGUGACUCGUACUACCCGGUAAGGGCCUUCCCACUUUGGCGUCAACUUGUUUGCACCCUUGGCGGACUAAACGCGCCUAAGGACAAGGUUGGCUUCCUCAAAACACCAGGCGUGAACCCUGCGACUGUGAUAGCAACGCAGGGCUUGCUGGUAGCAUGCAGCACACGUAGCAGCCCGAAGACGGUUCUCCUUGAGAAGCACAGCGUCAUCACGCCUAUGUUGUUCCUGCGCUACUUUAUUGUAGGCAAGCACUCGAGGUGACCCAUAAAUGAGUUUCGACGGGAUAAUUGCUUCUGCCCCAUAGACUAGGGAGAAGGGAGUCUGCCCGGUAGCUCAAUUUGGUAUCGUUCUGAGGAACCAAAGAACCACCGGCAGAUCAUCGAUCCAUCGCCUGCCACACUUCUGCAGCUUAUCAGAGGUUCUUGUCUUGAGUCCUCGCAAUACUUCAGCAUUUGCCCUCUCAGCUUGCCCAUUGCUUCUGGGAUGUGCAACAAAGGCAAAUGAGACCUUGCUUCCGAGGGCAUAAACAUAUUGCAUGAAGGCGUGACUCUUGAAUUGGGUGUCGUUAUCGGUGGUGAUCUGGGCAAGGACUCUGAAGCGGCACACCAAUCCUUUCAAGAACUUGAUAGCUGACUGAGCAGUCACCUUUAUCAUGGCUUCUACUUCCGGCCACUUUGUAAACUUGUUGAUUGCUACGAACAAGAAUUCAGAGCUCCCGGUAGCACAGGGGGGGCGAGGAUAUCGAGCCCCUAGACCAAAAAUGGCCAUGACAAAGGGAUUGUCUGAAGAGCUUGGGUAGGCAGAUGGAUGUUCUUGGAAUCGAACUGGCAUGCUUCAAAUUUGGUGACUAGCUCGACAGCAUUUUGGAGGGCAGUGGGCCAAUUGAAUCCUUGACAGAAUGCUUUCCCAACCAAAACCCUUGAUCCAAUGUGGGAGUCGCACAUGCCUUUGUGUAUUUCUGCCAGCAGUUCCUUUCCUUCUUCCUGGCAAAUGCACUUCAGUUUCACACUGUUGGGCCUUCUUCUGUAUAGCACAUCAUUGACGAACUGAUACAUACUGGCCCUCUGGGCUACUCUCUUAGCUUCUUCUUGCUCUUCGGGAAGUUCUCCAGUUUGGAGGAAAUGAACUAUGUGUCGUGCCCAAGUUGGAUCCUGAGGCUCGGGAACAAGGACUAGAGGCACCUCCUCCUUCGCGGGAGCAGACCUCUCGACCAUGGGGACCGGUGGUCUGGUGGGAUGGGGUAGCUCAGCAGCUGAAGGGGAGUUGUUCCCAUCAAGCUUCCUAUUGGGAGCCUCGAGAAGCUCUACCGAGAGAGGCUUGCCGGAGUCCAGUUUCCUCCUCUUCCGGGCUAUUGUUGUCGAGGAUACGGAGGGCUGAGUAAGAUGGAGAACAAAAGUUCCUGGUUCCACAGGGAGAUUUUGCGCAGCGCACUUUGACAGAUGAUCAGCAAUGUUGUUUUCCGCAUGGGGUACAUGCUCUAUUUGCAAUCCUUCAAAGUGCUCCUCCAGCCUCCAUCAACGGACUUUGGUAAUCAUUAUUCACUUGUCGCACCAUGAUCUAUGAGUCUCCGCGGAUGAUCAUCUUCUUGAUCCCCAGUUCCGUGGCAAUCCUGAGCCCGGCAAGGAGCCCUUCAUACUCUGCAGUAUUGUUGGUGGCCUUCUCCCAUGGAAAAUGCAUCAAGACGACGUACUUAAGGUGCUCCCCAGUGGGAGCAACGAGAAGCAUGCCAGCCCCUGCACCUUGUAGGGAGAAGGCACCAUCGAAAUACAUGAUCCAUUCUUGGGGCGUUUCCUUGCCAGGAAUAACUGUCUCUAGCAUUUCUUCAUCAGGGGUUGGCGUCCAUUCUGCGAUAAACUCCACCAAUGCUCUACUUUGGAUAGUUGAUGUGCUCUCAAACUUCAAACCAAAGUUGGAUAAUUCCAAGGCCCAUUCCACUAUCCUGCCGAUGGUCUCAUGGUUUCUGAGUAUCCAUUGCAGAGGGAAGCGGGUGACAACAGUGAUCUCAUGGGCUUGGAAGUAGUGGUGCAGUUUCCUUGAGGCCAUGACAAGGCCAAAAAAUGAACUUUUGCACGCCAGAGUACCUCGACCUAGCCCCCUGCAAUAGGGAACUCAGAAAGUACACUGGGCGCUGCACCAGUUUCUUCCUUGCCGCAACCUUGGGGUUGUCUCCACUGCCUUGCUCUUCUCUGCCUUGAUCUGCAUUUGACUCUGCUGGUGUGUGCUCACUUCCCUCUUCGGAGGGGACACUUGACGUGGCUGCCACUUCCGCUACUUCCCGUUGUGCCACUAGUGCUGCGACAACUACUUGAUUAGUUGCCACCAAGUAUAGCAACAACGGCUCCUGUGGUUUGGGAGCGACCAAAGUGGGCACAGAGGACAAGUAGGCCUUCAAAUCUUGUAGUGCAGCGUCUGCCUCUAGAGUCCACUCCAUGGAUCCUGCCGUCUUCAAGAUUUUGAAGAAUGGUAGGGCAGGCUCAGCAGACUUGGAAAUGAACCUGCUGAGCACGGCAACGCAUCCAGUCAAACGCCUCACAUCCUUGACUGUCUUGGGUUCUUGAAUUUGCUCGAUAGCCUUGAUCUUAUCGGGAUUGGCCUCUAUCCCAUGAUGGGGCACAAAAAACCAAUUAGCUUGAUAGAGGGAAUGCCAAACACACACUUCUCUGGGUUCAGCUUCAAGUUGAUCUGGCGCAGAUUGGCAAAGGUCUCUUCCAAAUCCUGGAGAAGGGUUAAUUUGUCCUCGGUCUUGACUGCAAUAUCAUCCAUAUAAGCUUCAACGUUUAUGUGCAGCUGUGACUCAAAACCAAUCCGGACUACCCUUGCAAAGGUAGAUCCAGCGCUCUUCAAUCCGAAGGGCAUACGUACAAAGCAGUAAGUGCCACAUGGAGUGAUGAACACUAUCAUUUAUUCGUCUUCCUUGGACAUAAAGAUCUGAUGGUACCCAGAGUAGGCAUCCAAAAUAAAGCAGGUCCCACCCAGAGGUGGAAUCCACGAUCUGAUCGAUGAACAUCAAGGGGAAUGGGUCCUUUGGGCAGGCACUGUUCAGUUCAGUGAAAUCUAUGCACAAGCUCCAUUUCCCAUUAGCCUUGUGCACUACCACUGGGUUUGCUAGCCACGUUGGAUGCAGUACUCCUCUAACCAAACCAGCUGCCUCAAGUUUCUUAAUUUCCUCGGCAAUGAACUAUUGCCGCUCCAAAGCUUGCUUUCAGACCUUCUGCUUGACGGGUCGGGCAUGUGGGCACACAGCAAGGUGGUGAUCAAUUACCUCCCUGAUAACACCGGGGAUGUCAGAUGGUUGCCAUGCAAACACAUCGACAUUCGCCUGCAAGAAGGCAACGAGUGUGCUUUCCUAUUUGUUGUCAAGGGUGGCACUGAUUGUAAAGGUACCAUCAGCGCCAGCCAGCCCUGCUGGCACCCUCUUCACAGCAGGUGCAGCAGCUUUGGAUCUCUUGCUAUUGGAACUCUCCGGCAAGUCAUCAACAGGUGUAGCACACUCCAAAGAGGCACGCUUCCCGGAUUCCUCACCGGAUACCUUGUUAGCUUUCUUCUUUUUCUUGUUUUCCUUGGCAGGAACGGCGGCCUCUGCCGCAACUGUGUCCCGAUACAUCUUGUCCACGCAAACGAUUGCAUCCUUCUCGACUGAUGGAAUGGAAAUGACGCCCACUGGCCCUGGCAUCUUCAAGGCAUAGUGUGAUGCCGCCAUGAAUUUGGCAAGAGCUGGGUGUCCGAGGAUUCUGUUGUACAACUGAGGGAGGUCGACCCCAUAAACCACAACUUUCUCAGUCUGGUAAUUCAACUCUCCCCCAAAUGUCAUCGGCAACAUGAUCUUCCCCUUAGGACGACUCCUGCCGGGGUUAAUCCCUUGGAAUGUGCCAGUAACCUCAAGCUCUUCCUCUGUAAUCUGAAGUUUCCUGAUGACCUUCGGAGAAAUCAGAUUCAACCCGGCCCCACCGUCAACCAACAUCUUUGUGACUUUGAGGUUGCGGAUGUUGGUGAGACCAACAAUAGCAAGCACCCUACCGGAGUGGUGCGGUCAGGGUGGUCCACUUCAUCGAAGAUGAUGGGCGUGCGGGACCACUUGAGCGGCCUCCGAGAAUCUGUCGCUGGCUCCAUGACAUUGACUUCACGCGCCCACUGUUUAAGUUGGCAAUGAGAGGAGUGCAGAGAUGCACCUCCGUCAAUGCACAGGGCAUCAGUCGCUUUCUGGAGUUCCUAAUCGCAAGUUUCCUCUUCAUCCCCUCCAUCACUUUCAUCGUUGCAAUCUUCCUUAUCAUGGCCCAUGUCGGGUUUCCCUUGGUUCUGAGCAGCCUUGUCAGGACGACCUGCUUUGCCGCUGUGGCUCUUCUUGCCAGCGCCAUUCUGACCUCUUUCCUUAUCACGCUUCUCAUAUUUAGCCUUUUGCUUCUUGACGAGCUGCUCAACCCGACGACACUGCUAGAGAUCAUGGCCUUUGGUCUGAUGGAUUUUGCAGUAUGGGCCAUCACCUUUCCUAGCCUUCUCGGCAGCCGCGGCCUCCCGGCAAUCAGUGCAUGCAACAUCUUUCUUGCUGGGUACCUCAGUCCUAGCCUUCUUGCCGGUAUUAGGUGUGCCCGAUCCCUCAAUGGUCAUCACUGCCUUAUCCUUGCGCCUUUUAUUGCGCUUCUUAUUCUUCUUCUUCUGACUGGUGGCCUCGUCAUCAUCCUAUGAGUCGACGUUGAUGCCAUCCUCUUCGCUGGGGAGCCGCCUCCCCACCUCCACCCGAGCACACUUGUCCACCAAGGUGUAAAUCUCCUUCACAAUCUUGGGCAAUUGAACGUUCAUCUUGGCACGUAUCCAUCGAUGGUGCACAUUCGACUGGAACGCAACUAUCACAGCCGCCGGGUGGAUGUCUGUAAUAUUUCUAUGAACUUGGUUGAACCUCUGCAUGUACUUCCGCAGAGUCUCUCCUCCUUUUUGUGGGAGAAGCUGCAAGUCGCUGGGCCGUCCUGGUUCUUGAUGGCCACCCGUGAAGGCGCCAAUGAAGCCGUGGCAAAGCUUGGCCUAGGUUGAAAUGUAGUUCUCCAGUAGAUGCAUCAGCCAAGACCUCACAUUUGGCUUGAGUGACAAAGGGAAGUAAUUGGCGAACACCUUCUCAUCUCUUCCUCCGGCAGCUUGAACAGUAAUGGUGUAGAUACUCAAAAACUCUGCCGGGUUUAGCCUCCCAUCGUACUUCUGGUAUCUCUGGCUUGAACAGGCGGGCAGACGGCCAAUGGACUUGCUAUAGCUCUCGGGUGAAGGCGGGGCACCCAGCCUCGAAAGGCAGGUACCCGCCUCGUCGACGUUGGGGCCAUCGCGCCCAUCGGACCGGUGGAUGGUGUCACGGAGUUGCUCGAUGGUGACGUGCGCGCCUUCCCACUGCCUGUCCUCCGAGGCCCACCAUUGGCCUUGUCGUGCUCGAGGAUCGGACGAGGCCAUCGAGAGUUUGUCGGGUUCUUGGUUAUGAGGCUCCCGUGCUGGCUGCCGUGGAGGGGACGACACUGUGGGGGUGGCCCCUUUGGUACGGCCAGUAGCACGGGCGUUGUCGUCACCUGGGGAGGCUUUGGCGGGCCAACUCGCUGUGAUCCUCCUGCCUCAGCGAAACCAACCAGGCUUUGGAUGGUGGCUCACCACUCAUCCAUCUAAUCGGCUGCCGACGGAAAUCUCAACAGCAGUUGGGCCUGCAACACGGCCACCGAGGCGGUGCUUGGCAUGGGUGACGACAAUGUAGACCACACCGUCGCCCUGCUCCUAACGGUGCCAGUAGCGACCGCAUUGUGCUCUCGUUGCUGUGAGCCAGCCGCUUGGAUGGCGUGUUGACGAGGUGGAGGUGCUUGAGGACCAGCGUCUGCGUUCGGCACAACGGCUAGGUCAGCUUGCUCCGAGGGUGGUGCGUGCCCUGCGGUCGCGCCCACAGCAGGAGCACCCGAAGAGUUGCGAUUCACCCCAGAGCAAUCGCCACUGCUGUGGCUGUGCCCUUUGCCCGGGUGGAGGGGUAGCGACGGAAUAAUCUCUCCACCCAUACCUCAUGGAGUGUCACUGCCGGGGUGCUGCUGACGUUAUCCUUCCCUAGUGCCUCCUGCUCCUGUUUCGGCCGCAAGGGAGGUGGUGACGACACCGCCCGCGUCGACCACAUUCCCCGCUAAGGGAGUUCCGGACUAGGGGUGUCCAGAUAGCCGAACUAUCAUCAUCGGCCGGACUCCAAGACUAUGAAGAUACAAGAUUGAAGACUUCGUCCCGUGUCCGGAUGGGACUUUCCUUGGCGUGGAAGGCAAGCUUGGCGAUACGGAUAUAUAGAUUUCCUACCAUUGUAACCGACUUUGUGUAACCCUAGCCCUCUCCGGUGUCUAUAUAAACCAGAUGGCUUUAGUCCAUAGGACGAACAACAAUCAUACCAUAGGCUAGCUUCUAGGGUUUUAGCCUCCUUGAUCUCGUGGUAGAUCUACUCUUGUAACACAUAUCAUCAAUAUUAAUCAAGCAGGACGUAGGGUUUUACCUCCAUCAAGAGGGCCCGAACCUGGGUAAAACAUCGUGUCCCUUGUCUCCUGUUACCAUCCGCCUAGACGCACAGUUCGGGACCCCCUACCCGAGAUCCGCCGGUUUUGACACCGACAUUGGUGCUUUCAUUGAGAGUUCCUCUGUGUUGUCACCGAUAGGCUCGAUGGCUUCUUCGACCAUCAUCAAUGAUGCAGUCUAGGGUGAGACCUUUCUCCCCGGACAGAUCUUCGUAUUCGGCGGCUUUGCACUGCGGGCCAAUUCGCUUGGCCGUCUGGAGCAGAUCGAAAGCUACGCCCCUGGCCGUCAGGUCAGAUUUGGAAGUUUGAACUUCAUGGCUGACAUCCGCGGGGACUUGAUCCUCGAUGGAUUCGAGCCACAGCCGAGCGUGCCGUGCUAUCACGGCGAGCAUGAUUUAGCUCUGCAGCCACACAGUACCCUGGAGGCUGCACUCGAACCCGCUCCGAUCUUCAAUUCGGAGCCGGCUACGCAGAUCGAGGACGGAUGGCUAGACACCGCCUCGGGGGCUGCAACCUCUACGGCGAUGGAGCCGAACAAUGACCUUGUCCCUCAUGAAGUUCGUGACUCCGAGGUGCCGGACUCCUUGCCGGACUCCGAACCUCCAGCGCCCUCUCCGAUCGAAUCCGAUCGGGCACCAAUCAUGGAGUUCACCGCAGCGGACAUCUUUCAACACUCACCUUUUGGCAACAUCUUGAGUUCGCUAAAGUAUCUGUCGUUAUCAGGAGAGCCCUAGCCGGACUGCGGUCAGGACGGUUGGGAUGCGGACGACGAAGAAAUUGAAAGCCCACCCACCACCCACUUGGUAGCCGCUGUCGACGAUCUAACCGACAUGCUAGACUACGACUCCGAAGACAUCGGCGGUAUGGACGAAGAUGCCGGAGACAACCAAGAACCAAGAACCACCUCAUCAUAUGACAUAUACAUGGUGGAUAUCCCAAAGGAUGGGAAUGGUGAAGGAACAGAGGAGGAUGACCCCUCCAAGAAAUAGCCCAAGCGUCGGCGUCAGCGGCGCCGCUCUAAAUCCCGCCACAGCAAGAAUGAAGAUUCCGGCACCGGAGACAAUAAUACACCGGAUAGUGCCGAAGACAACCCACUCCAGCAAGAUCCAGCGCAGGAGGAUGGAGACGCCAGCCCUCAUGAGAGAGCGGCAGAAGAAGAGGUAGAGGAUUAUAUGCCUCCCUCCGGAGACGAAGCAAGCCUCGACGAUGAUUAAUUCGUCGUGCCUGAGGAUCCCGUCGAACAAGAGCAUUUUAAACGCAGGAUUAUGGCCACGGCGAACAGCCUCAAGAAAAAGCAGCAACAGCUUAGAGCUGAUCAAGAUCUGCUAGCCGACAGAUGGACUGAAGUCCUCGCGGCCGAAGAGCAUGAGCUCGAACGCCCCUCCAAAAACUACCCUAAACGCAAGCUGCUCCCCCGAUUAGAGGAGGAAGUGUAUGAACCCGCAUCACUAGGAGACAAUACGGCUGACCGACCACCCCGUGGUCGCGACAGAGAGGCCUCUAGGACCUUCACUAGACCCGUACCCCGGCAUCGCUCAAAAAGCACAAGGCCACAAGGGAAUGCUCCGGACUUGCGAGAUAUAUUGGAGCAUAAGGCAAGACAAUCAAGAUCAAUCUAUGGAUCGCGUGGGCGCCCCACGGUACGUGACGACAGCCGUCCCGCCAGACACAGUAAGUCCGGCCGGGUCGAUCAAAACAGACAAAGUUCUUCUGAGCUCCAUCGUGAUAUCGCCCAGUACAGAGGCGCCGCACACCCACUAUGCUUCACAGAUGAAGUAAUGGAUCAUCAAAUCCCCGAAGGGUUUAAACCCGUGAAUAUCGAAUCUUACAAUGUCACAACAGACCCCGCAGUUUGGAUCGAAGACUAUCUUCUUCACAUCCACAUGGCCCGCGGUGACGAUCUUCACGCCAUCAAAUAUCUCCCCCUCAAGCUUAAAGGACCAGCCCGGCAUUGGCUUAACAGCUUGCCAGCAGAGUCAAUUGGGAGUUGGGAAGACCUGGAAGCUGCAUUCCUCGAUAACUUCCAAGGCACGUAUGUGCGACCACCAGACGCUGACGACCUAAGCCACAUAAUUCAAUAGCCAGAUGAAUCGGCCAGACAAUUCUUGACACGGUUCUUAACCAAGAAAAACCAAAUCGUCGACUGUCCGGAUGCGGAGGCCCUCGCGGCCCUCAAGCAUAACAUCCGCGAUGAGUGGCUUGCCCGGCACCUGGGACAGGAAAAGCCGAAAUCCAUGGCAGCCCUCACAUCACUCAUGACCCGCUUCUGCGCGGGUGAGGAUAGCUGGCAAGCACGCAGCAACAACCUCAGCAAAAAUUCUGGCAGUCCGGAUUUCAAGGACCGAAAUGGCAGGUCGCGUCGUAACAAAAACAAGCGCCGCAUCAACGGCGACAAUAGUGAGGAUACGGUAGUCAAUGCCGGAUUCAGAGGCUCUAAACCCGGUCAGCGGAAAAAGCCAUUCAAAAGAACUGCUCCGGGUCCGUCCAAUUUGGACUGAAUACUCGACCGCUUGUGCCAGAUACACGGCACCCCCGAAAAGCCAGCUAACCACACCAAUAGGGACUGUUGGGUAUUCAAGCAGGCAGGCAAGUUAAUUGCCGAAAACAAUGACAAGGGGUUGCGUAGCGAUGACGAGGAACAGACCCGACCGCCGAACAAUAGAGGACAGAAGGGUUUCCCCCCAUAGGUGCGGACGGUGAACAUGAUAUACGCAACGCACAUACCUAAAAGGGAGCGGAAGCGUGCACUCAGGGAUGUAUACGCGAUGGAGCCAGUCGCCCCGAAGUUCAAUCCAUGGUCCUCCUGCCCGAUCACUUUUGACUGAAGAGACCACCCCACCAGCAUCCGCCAUGGAGGAUUCGCCGCAUUGGUCUUAGACCCAAUCGUCGAUGGAUUUCACCUCACCAGAGUCCUGAUGGACGGCGGCAGUAGCCUGAACCUGCUCUAUCAUGAUACAGUGCGCAAAAUGGGCAUAGACCCCUCAAGGAUUAAACCUACCAAGACGACCUUUAAAGGCGUCAUACCAGGUGUAGAAGCCAAUUUUACAAGCUCAGUUACACUGGAAGUGGUCUUCGGAUCCCCGGAUAACUUCCGAAGCGAGGAGUUAAUCUUCAACAUAGUCCCAUUCCGCAGCGGCUAUCAUGCCUUGCUCGGGCGUACCGCGUUUGCAAAGUUCAAUGUGGUGCCGCACUACGCAUACCUCAAGCUCAAGAUGCCAGGCCCUCGAGGAGUCAUCACGGUCAACGGAAACACUGAACGUUCUCUCCAAACGGAGGAACACACAGUGGCUCUCGCGGCAGAAGUACAAUGCAACAUCUUAAGGCAAUUCUCGAGUCCGGCCAUUAAGCGGCCGGACAUAGCUAAGCGCGCCCAGAGUAACCUACAACAAGACCACUUGGCACGUUCCGGGCACGCGUAGCAGUGCGGCACCAACCCCAGCCCCUGCAAAAAGUCAAAACAGGUCCUUCGCGUACACCAUUACGCUCUGAAGAUACCAUGGGCAUGGGGAGAGGGGCACGACCACGAUAAGCCCAGACUGCGGCUCAACCACACCAGGGGCUCUCAAGUGUGUCGUUCUUUUUUUUCUUCUUUUUACCUUUUAUUUUUUACCCACAGGACUCCGUUCGUCAGAAGCCCUGUCCGGCAGCAGACCUGCCGAACUCACGAUGCAACAGCCAGGGAAGGAUAAAGGCUACAACGAAUAUACAGGUGGUCUCCAUUACGAGCAUUUUUAUACACCAAUCCGCAGCCUACCCCUGGAGAGGGACAUGUUUAACAGUCCCAUCCCUUCCUUAUCGCACUAUUUGUAUCGUUCUGCAUUCAUAGCAGUACUUAUUGAAUAAAACAAUGCAGCACCUUUUUGCUUAUAAUUGCAUUUCUUUUCAUACAUAUGUUCAUUUACGACAUGUCGCAUCCGUACACUUUGGUACGGUUAAAACACACCAGGGGCUUAUGUUUCCCGCAUCAUGGUGUUAUAAGUCCGAACACUUUCACAAGUGCGGCACCCCGAACUUAUAGCAUUAUAUGCAUCGGCUCCGAAUCAUGUCUUGGGUCAAUAGUUGGGUUUGCCCGGCUCCCAUGUUUUGGUACCUUACGUUCCAUUGUAUCGGCUAAGGUAGCACUAGGAGAACCACUGCGAUUGCGCCCCAGUUGAGCUGGGUUAACGCCUCAGUGGAGAAAGCUAAAACUGUCGUCAUGAUGAGGCGAGAGCCGGUCGUUGUUCGAGAGGUUUUUGCGAGUCCUUAAAGACUUAUGCCGCUUAGAGCGAGGAGCCGGAUCUUGUCCAGCCCAGGCGUGGAUAGCGCCCCAAAUUUGGCCUUCCGAAGACUAGGGGCUUCCCCGAAAUUUAAAAUUAUAGAAUUCUAUGGCUAAGUGAGAGUGUUCAAGCAUUAUAUGUCCGGUUGCCUUGUUCGCUGUGUUGAGCGCCUCCCUAGAUGGACCCAAAAAUGGGAACAAGAGUGCUCAAGUUUAUCCCGAACACCCCAGCACUCGUGGCAUGGGUCCGAAGCCGACGACUUGCCAUCUCUCAGAUUUGAUAAAUAGCCGCACAGAAGGUAAUAUGUUAAAUUAACAAACGUUGCUUAGUGCAUAUGAACUAAGUUUUCAGCGCACAGGAUAACAAAAUGCGAGUCUACUCAAAAAUUACAUCUUUGGAGCACUCCCCCGCAAUAGUGCGGGCGCCCUUCAGCACACUCUUAUAAUACAUCUCGGGCAUGCGAUGCUCCUUGCCCUCUGGUGGCGGGUCCGUCACAAGCUUCUAGGCAUCCAUCUUGCCCCAGUGCACCUUUGCGCGGGCAAGGGCCCGACGGGCACCCUCAAUACAGGCAGAGUGCUUGAUGACUUCAACCCACAGGCACGCAUCCACCAGCCGCCGCACCAGGCCGAAGUAUCUCCCAGGCAUGGCCUCCUAAGGCCACAGCCGAACUAUGAGGCCCUUUGUGACGCCCGGGUAAUCAAGCUACAGUAACCCUGCGCUAAUGAUGCCACGUCACCUAGGUUACUGCUAGUAAACUCGUGUUAGUUCAAAACGAUUCAAAUUCAAAUUUAAAAUAUAAGCAAACAACAAAAGUUUUUCAAAAUUUAAAACAAAAAUGUUCGGGAGAUGCCAUAUUUUACAUAAGUCAAUAUGGUGUAAUAGACACAAUUUUAUAAAAUGUCUAAAUAAUUUAAACUGAUUUAAAACAGAAAAGUAAAUAAAUAAAAGAAAAGAAAUAAAGACUAAAACAAAACAAAAGAGAAGAAACCCCCCCGGGGCUCCGGCCCAGCAGGCAACCGGCCCAACUGGGCCACGACCUGCCAGGCCGGCCCAAAUCCCCACCGGCCCCAUCCGGCCCACCCCGUGCCCCAUAACCUCCCCCCACUCCCCCAUGGACCCACCGACACUCCCCCGCACCCCCCUCGCAAAAUAUCUCUCCCCUUCUCCCCCGAUUGGAUCGGGAUCGAGGGAGGAGGCCCUCGCCGCAGUCGGGACCGCGCCGACGCCACCCGNNNNNNNNNNNNNNNNNNNNNNNNNNNNNNNNNNNNNNNNNNNNNNNNNNNNNNNNNNNNNNNNNNNNNNNNNNNNNNNNNNNNNNNNNNNNNNNNNNNNNNNNNNNNNNNNNNNNNNNNNNNNNNNNNNNNNNNNNNNNNNNNNNNNNNNNNNNNNNNNNNNNNNNNNNNNNNNNNNNNNNNNNNNNNNNNNNNNNNNNNNNNNNNNNNNNNNNNNNNNNNNNNNNNNNNNNNNNNNNNNNNNNNNNNNNNNNNNNNNNNNNNNNNNNNNNNNNNNNNNNNNNNNNNNNNNNNNNNNNNNNNNNNNNNNNNNNNNNNNNNNNNNNNNNNNNNNNNNNNNNNNNNNNNNNNNNNNNNNNNNNNNNNNNNNNNNNNNNNNNNNNNNNNNNNNNNNNNNNNNNNNNNNNNNNNNNNNNNNNNNNNNNNNNNNNNNNNNNNNNNNNNNNNNNNNNNNNNNNNNNNNNNNNNNNNNNNNNNNNNNNNNNNNNNNNNNNNNNNNNNNNNNNNNNNNNNNNNNNNNNNNNNNNNNNNNNNNNNNNNNNNNNNNNNNNNNNNNNNNNNNNNNNNNNNNNNNNNNNNNNNNNNNNNNNNNNNNNNNNNNNNNNNNNNNNNNNNNNNNNNNNNNNNNNNNNNNNNNNNNNNNNNNNNNNNNNNNNNNNNNNNNNNNNNNNNNNNNNNNNNNNNNNNNNNNNNNNNNNNNNNNNNNNNNNNNNNNNNNNNNNNNNNNNNNNNNNNNNNNNNNNNNNNNNNNNNNNNNNNNNNNNNNNNNNNNNNNNNNNNNNNNNNNNNNNNNNNNNNNNNNNNNNNNNNNNNNNNNNNNNNNNNNNNNNNNNNNNNNNNGCGGCCAGUCGCCGGCCACCACUCGCCUGGCCGGCGCCUUCGCCACCGGCGCCCCGCAUCGCUUUGUUGGGCUGCGCCCGCGGCGCCCAGCGCCCACGCCCGUUCGGGCGAGCGCCCGCACCCGCGCCCGUUUAGCCUCAUGGGCCACUGACCACAGUGGCCCACGCCCCAGAACGUUAAAAAAAGAGAAUUAAAAAUAAAAAUAAUAAAUAAAAAUAAAAAUGAUUUAAUAAAAUUAAUUAUUAAUUAAUUAAUUAUCUAAUGAAUUAAUUAAGUUAAUUAAUCCGGUUUAAUUAAUUUAAUUAACUAGUUAGGUUAAUUAAAUAGUAAUUAAAUUAACUAAUCUGUAAUUAACCUAAACAGUGUAUGACAGGUAGGUCCCACUGGACCCACCUGUCAGGUUGACCAAGUCAACUCUGUUGACUGCUCAUGUCAGCAUGACAUCAUGCUGAUGUGAUUAAUCUGUUUUCCAAAUUAAUUAAAUAAUUAAUUAAAUUCCAGGAAUUAAUAAAAUCUUUAGAAAAUCAUAUCUUUUAAUCCGUAACUCGGAUUAAAAUGUUUUCAACAUGAAAGUUGCUCAGAACGACGGGACGAAUCCAGGUACGCAGUCAGUUCGUCCGCCACACACCCCUAACCUAUCGAACCCGCAACUUUCCCCCUCCGGCUCCUCUGCCCGAAAACACGAAACACCGGGGAUAUUUUCCCGGAUGUUUCCCCCCUUAACCGGCAUCACCUCACACCACGUCAGGUCACGCCUAGCAUCAUUACUUGUCAUUUCAUGCAUCAAUAUGCAUUUGUUUACAUGGUAUUCAUUGUUUCUUCCCCCUCUUCUCUCCGGUAGACUAAGAGACCGACNNNNNNNNNNNNNNNNNNNNNNNNNNNNNNNNNNNNNNNNNNNNNNNNNNNNNNNNNNNNNNNNNNNNNNNNNNNNNNNNNNNNNNNNNNNNNNNNNNNNNNNNNNNNNNNNNNNNNNNNNNNNNNNNNNNNNNNNNNNNNNNNNNNNNNNNNNNNNNNNNNNNNNNNNNNNNNNNNNNNNNNNNNNNNNNNNNNNNNNNNNNNNNNNNNNNNNNNNNNNNNNNNNNNNNNNNNNNNNNNNNNNNNNNNNNNNNNNNNNNNNNNNNNNNNNNNNNNNNNNNNNNNNNNNNNNNNNNNNNNNNNNNNNNNNNACUCUAUACUGCUUGCAUUAGAGUGGUGUAGCAUGUUACUUCUUUCUGUUAUACCUAUCCUGAUGCAUAGCCUGUCCUUGAUACUACUGUUGUUACCUUUACCUGCAAUCCUAUAUGCUUAGUAUAGGAUGCUAGUAUAUUCAUCUGUGGCCCUACAAUCUUGUCCGUCAGCCGUGCUAUACUAUCGGGCCGUGAUCACUCGGGAGGUGAUCAUGGGUAUAUACUAUAUACUUUAUACAUGAUACAUGUGGAGACUAAAGUCGGGUCGGCUGGUGGAGCACCCGCGAGUGGAUCUUUGUGGCGGAGCGACAGGGCAGGUUGAGACUGCCUAGGAGAGAGGUGGGCCUGGCCCUGUUCGGCGUUCGCGGAUACUUAACACGCUUAACGAGAUCUUGGUAUUUGAUCUGAGUUGGCUACGAGCCUAUACGCACUAACCAACUACGUAGGAAAGAUAUGGGCACUCGGCGUCGUGGUAUCAGCCGAAGCACUUCGUGACGCCAGCGACUGAGUGGCGCGCGCCGGAUUGGAACGUAAGCCUGCUCUUGUAUUAAGGGGGCUAGUUCUGCUUUGGGCCGCGUACGCAACAUGCAGGUGUGCUAUGGGCGAUGGGCCCAGACCCCUGUGCGCUUAGGUAUAGACCGGCGUGCUGGCCUCUCUGUUGAGCCUAGGUGGGGCUGCAACGUGUUGAUCUUUCGCGGCCGGGCAUGACCCGGGAAAGUGUGUCCGGCCAAAUGGGAUCAAGCGUGUUGGGUAAGUUGGUGCACCUCUGCAGGGAAGUUAAUCUAUUCGAAUAGCCGUGAUCUUCGGUAACAGGACGACUUGGAGUUGUACCUUGACCUUAUGACAACUAGAAUCGUAUACUUAAUAAAACACACCCUUCCAAGUUCCACAGACAACCCGGUGAUCGCUUUUCCACAGGGCGACGAGGGGAGGAUCGCCGGGUAGGAUUAUGCUAUGCGAUGCGACUGGAGAUGCUACUUGGAUAUGCUACUUGGAGAUGCUACUUGGAGAUGCUACUUGGAGGACUUCAAUCUACUCUCUUCUACAUGCUGCAAGACGGAGGCUGCCAGAAGCGUAGUCUUCGACAGGAUUAGCUAUCCCCCUUUUAUUCUGGCAUUCUGCAGUUCAGUCCACCGAUAUGGCCCUUUACACAUAUACCCAUGCAUAUGUAGUGUAGCUCCUUGCUUGCGAGUACUUUGGAUGAGUACUCACGGUUGCUUUUCUCCCUCUUUUCCCCUUGCCCUUCUACCUGGUUGUCGCAACCAGAUGUUGGAGCCCUGGAGCCAGACGCCACCGUCGACGAUGAUUCCUACUACACUGGAGGUGCCUACUGCUACGUGCAGGCUGCUGACGACGACCAUGAGUAGUUUAGGAGGAUCCCAGGCAGGAGGCUUGCGCCUCUUUCGAUCUGUAUCCCAGUUUGUGCUAGCCUUCUUAAGGCAAACUUGUUUAACUUAUGUCUGUACUCAGAUAUUGUUGCUUCCGCUGACUCAUCUAUGAUCGAGCACUUGUAUUCAAGCCCUCGAGGCCCCUGGCUUGUAUUAUGAUGCUUGUAUGACUUAUUUAUGUUUUAGAGUUGUGUUUGAGUCCCUGAUCUUGAUCGUACACAUUUGCGUGCAUGAAUAGUGUAUGAUAGAAUCGGGGGCGUCACAAGUUGGUAUCAGAGCCAACUGCAUGUAGGAAUUCCCCCUUCCAUACUCCUUGGCCGAAGUCGAGUCUAGACAUUGCAAAACUUUUACUAACAUGGCUGUGUGCCUUACGGGCCCACGUCGCCAUCUGGGUGGUAUUAGGAUCUUUUACUCCUCGAUCCUUACUCUGGGAGUCUGAGCUCUCUUCUACUCGGGUUAAAUGAAUUUUGCUAAAUCUAACAUUAGGAUCUCAUUAUCUCUUUCACCCGGAGAGCCCCUUAUUACUGAUGAUCGUGUGCUACACGCGGAGACCCUGAAGAUACUCUCCGCUGUUAACCCGAGAACUUGUGUUCAUCGCGUUUGCAAUUCCCUUCCACCAUCAACCCUUAUGGAUAACUACUUGCAGUUGUUAUUCUUACAUUCAUCCCCAGUUGGUCUUGUUAUUACAAGAUACCCCGAAUUACUCGUCGAUGUUUCGAUAAUCCUUUAAGCUUACUGCCUUGCAGUUAUUUGUCACCUGAAUACCCCUAUGGAAAAUUCUCACACUUAUCGAGUAUCCGCUCAUCCCCCAGUUGUUCAUGUGUUUCACAAUGGUCUUCGAAAUACUAUUUGAUCUUUCGAAAAUCCCGAGCAGCCUAUUGCUCUUGAAAUUCUCGCUUUCUUAAAUUGCGGUUAAUCCAAUAAGUUUCGUAAUCUUAUUGGCCUCCCUUGUCUUUAUCAUUUUAAGUCCGUUGAUUCAAUAUGUUGAGGAUGCCCGCAUUCCUCGGUCGAAUCCUAGGAUUCAUCCUUCCGGCUCAGACGUCAUUUGGAUAUGAGUUGGUUCUUGACCAAUCAAUGCCUUGAUCGUUUGUGCUUCUAAGUCUAUUGAACUUAUUCAUUUUUGAUCAGAACGAUUGCUUCUGAUCCCUUGAUUUGGGAAUCAUAAAAUUUCUUUGCAUUAAGCUUUGAAUUAGUCAGUUGUUUCUAUAAUCCGAUGCCUUGGCAUUCCUUCUUCCUUUGAUUGAGUACCGAUACUCACAUCAGCCCCGUUGUGGACCGCCAUACCCAUUGCCGGGUUAUUUUUCCGACAAUGUCCUCCACAACCAAAAUUCUUGUGAGUUCUUUACCUAAUACAUAAUGCCCUUGUAAAUUGUAUACUCUACUUUUGUCAGCCAUGCUCUACUUUGACCUUGUGUUAUUUACUCCUGAAGUUCAUGGUAUAUGUUCUAAGAAGCCCCGAUGGGUUGAACCUAUGCCUUCCUUAAUCUGUGUGAACCCGAAAGUUUUCACGGGUCAUACUCCUCUGGUAAUUCACCGGGUAGGUUUUGACACUAAGAUCAUUUUUACCUAGAGCAAUGAAUGAAAGGUUAUGCAUUGAAGAAGUGGGAGUCGACCUUGAACUUUGUGUUCAUGCCCAUGGACAUGAUGUAGAUCUUACCAUUAAAGCUUCUCUUUAAUUAAUUAUUCCCUUGGUAGAAGUUCAUCUUAUAUCUGGGAUCUGGCCUUCUACAAUCGUGGUUCCGACCAUGUUCUUCUCUGAUCCCAUUUCUCAGGCAAGUUUAAGAACUUGUUUUCUGUAGGUCAAUACACCAGUCCAACCUUUACUUUGACAUGUCGUCGAGUAUUACCCCCUGGUAUCUCGAGAUUAUCAUGGAACUGCAUAACCUCUUAUGAGUUCUUCAUCAGGUAUUACAUUCGCACGGACUCCAAUUUUUCACGGGCUUUGAGUUAUGAAACACUCAAGGACACCGAUAACGGAAUCGAGUCUGCACUGUGAUUCAACGAGGAUUAGAGAUCUUCAUCGCUUACAAGUUUAAUACUCCAUGUCUGUCCUAGCCUGAACGGAUACAUCAUUAUCGUGCUAAUUUUAAUCAUCAACAUUCUGAGCUCUUCAAGGGUAUCAACUAAAUUCAUGAUGAGAAAUACCAUCCUUGCCCCUGAUGAUUUGUGUUAUCAUCGGCCACUUUAUUGCCUUCCCUCCAACACAAACUUGUUCAUGUUUUGUGUUAUACCUUGAGUUCCUUGCUAUCCAACAUUUGUCCUUCUUUACCUUGGAACAUUACCACCUUUUAUGUCAAGAAUGUCGUGGCAAUUUUACCACCUCUUGAGAAUUCUUGAUAUAGUAAUAUCUCUCGCCAUUUGCGUUCAUUCUUGGUCUCCGUGUUGUUUCUAACCGGAAUACCGACAAAUAGUCUGUGAUGUGUAAAUUCUAAACUUCUAGCAACCCUAUUGCUUUGAAGUUAUUGGUCUACAGUUUCUUUAGAAAUUCUAUUGCUUAUUGAAUCAUCAUUCGAACAUUGAUCGUGCUACCUAGUCCAGAUUCCUGGGUGCACCCUUCUAUCAUUGUUCAGUUGAGUAUGUUCCCCUCGAGCAUACAUCAUUAUAUCAUUGAUCCGACAAAUGAUAUUUCCUUGUUCACAUAAUUGUGGAAAUCCAUCUUUUGGAAAUCUUGAUGAAUUGUCGUUGAGUUUAUCAGCCACCUCCUCAUCCUCUCCUUCGUUUACUGAUGAACUCUUGUUUCAGAACCCGCUUCCAUUGUUCAUUUCCCAAGAAUCUUAUGAUGUCUUCUCGUCAAUUUGUGUUGCACCUUUUCUUCUCAGACAUUCUGAGUCUGAUGUAUCCUGACACCAAUCAGAUCUGAAUCUCGGUCAGAUAUGAUGGUUGGAACAUAUUUCCAAGAGUUAUAACCUUGGUCUUAUGUGACCCGGUCAGGUGAUGUCGUGCCUAGAACACCUGGCCGGUUGGCCCUAUUGUUAUAGAUUCCUUUUCAGCAAGGUUAUCCAUUCGUCCAUGAGGAAAUUAUAAGACUUAUUCUACAAGUUAUUCCUGAUGGAUCCUUGUGUUUCCAAAGUCUGAUCUUUGCUUAAAGACCUUGUCAAUGCUAUCUCGAAGCAUGUAUGUGGUACUUCGAUUUUCAACAAGAAAGUUUGAAAUCCAAUGCUAAAUGUUUCUUGCUCAAUUAUCCAAACACCGUUGUAUGGGUAAUGUCAUGAAAUUUCUCUCUCCCCUUACCUAAAGGGUUUUCUACCUUAUGUCCUGUCUUGGAUAUCAUGCUCUGCUUGACUUUGGGAAGGAUAUACCCCUGACAUAUGUGUUUAAACACAUUUUCUUUUCAUUGUUCUAUUUAAAUCUGAUGAUCACAAUGUCCUUUCCAUUGUCUUGUUUAAACUUUCUCGUGGUUUAUAUGAUCUAAGCAGUAAUGAUACACUGCUUAUAUAAACACCUCGGUUGUACGACUCUGUCAAUAAGACCUUGUUACUAUUGUUGAUGACAUUCUAGUAGCCACCGAUGGACGAGAACCUUGCCUAUUGGUCCGCCUCAUUCAACGAGCAGGAAAAUGGUUCUCUUCGUCCCUCGCCCUUGGUACUGACAUUGUUGCCGACAUAACUGAUAGGAUAUCCUCUAACAUGCCUUGCUUGCAUGAUUGUGCAAGACGUCAUCGCUUUUCCUACUUUUAACCCACAUUGUGGGCCCAUAACCCACAGUUCUACAGGAUCAAAACCUGACUCUCCUAUACACCCUAUUGCCAAAGUUAUUCCUAGAGCUUGACUUCGAAUGUAAUUUGCGAGCCACCUUCCUAGUGAUCAAUUCUGGUAUCGGAGACAAUACUUAUUCCCGUUGCUCUGAACCCCAUUCACACUCUGUUUCAGGCAAUGAACGAUUGCCUAUCCGUUUGAAACUUCUAAUUGCACCGUAUUACUUUGUUCUCGAUGUGUUUCAUUUGUUCAACUCGAGAGAUACUCAUAUGAUCAUACUUGGGAAACCCCCAGAAGAUUUUCCCUUAUAACAUCAUAUCGUUGUAGAGCUGCCCCUUACCUAUUCGUAAGUACGAUGGAGAUCCCGAAGAAAGGAUGACAAUUGAUCAUGGUGACUUGAAGCAGUGAAAUGAAGCAAUCAACGAAAGGGAUCAACCUCUUAGAAAGGGCAGCCAAGACCGAGAAGACUCGUUAGGUUUUUCGCUACCAACACCUUCGCCCCUUACUCCACCGCUUAAAUCUCGGGACGAGAUUUCUUGUAGUGGAGGAGAAUUGUGACGCCCGGGUAAUCAAGCUACAGUAACCCUGCGCUAAUGAUGCCACGUCACCUAGGUUACUGUUGGUAAACUCGUGUUAGUUCAAAACGAUUCAAAUUCAAAUUUAAAAUAUAGGCAAACAACAAAAGUUUUUCAAAAUUUAAAACAAAAAUGUUCGGGAGAUGCCAUAUUUUACAUAAGUCAAUAUGGUGUAAUAGACACAAUUUUAUAAAAUGUCUAAAUAAUUUAAACUGAUUUAAAACAGAAAAGUAAAUAAAUAAAAGAAAAGAAAACAAGACUAAAACAAAACAAAAGAGAAGAAACCCCCCGGGGCUCCGGCCCAGCAGGCAACCGGCCCAACUGGGCCACGACCUGCCAGGCCGGCCCAAAUCCCCACCGGCCCCAUCCAUCCCACCCCGUGCCACAUAACCUCCCCCCCCCACUCCCCCAUAGACCCACCGACACUCCCUCGCACCCCNNNNNNNNNNNNNNNNNNNNNNNNNNNNNNNNNNNNNNNNNNNNNNNNNNNNNNNNNNNNNNNNNNNNNNNNNNNNNNNNNNNNNNNNNNNNNNNNNNNNNNNNNNNNNNNNNNNNNNNNNNNNNNNNNNNNNNNNNNNNNNNNNNNNNNNNNNNNNNNNNNNNNNNNNNNNNNNNNNNNNNNNNNNNNNNNNNNNNNNNNNNNNNNNNNNNNNNNNNNNNNNNNNNNNNNNNNNNNNNNNNNNNNNNNNNNNNNNNNNNNNNNNNNNNNNNNNNNNNNNNNNNNNNNNNNNNNNNNNNNNNNNNNNNNNNNNNNNNNNNNNNNNNNNNNNNNNNNNNNNNNNNNNNNNNNNNNNNNNNNNNNNNNNNNNNNNNNNNNNNNNNNNNNNNNNNNNNNNNNNNNNNNNNNNNNNNNNNNNNNNNNNNNNNNNNNNNNNNNNNNNNNNNNNNNNNNNNNNNNNNNNNNNNNNNNNNNNNNNNNNNNNNNNNNNNNNNNNNNNNNNNNNNNNNNNNNNNNNNNNNNNNNNNNNNNNNNNNNCAACCGCGCCGGACCGCCCCGCCCCGUCUCCUCCUUUCCCCGCGCUCGUCGCGCUCACCGUGACCCUCGCGUCCAUGGCCGCGCCCUCUCCCCCCAGGUCGGCUCGCCGUCCGCGCUCGGUGCGUGACCGCACCCCGGCCUCCUCACCCUCCGGCGACGCCGGCCCCUCCCCGCUCCCCCGUGCUGCUCCCCUACCUCUGCCUCGCGCGAGCGCGCCCCUGAACACCGUCCCGUGCCUCCUCUACUGACCGCACUGGUCGCGGCCAGUCGCCGGCCACCACUCGCCUGGCCGGCGCCGUCGCCACCGGCGCCCCGCAUCGCUUUGUUGGGCUGUGCCCGCAGCGCCCAGCGCCCACGCCCGUUCGGGCGAGCACCCGCACCCGUGCCCGUUUAGCCUCAUGGGCCACUGACCAGAGGGGCCCACGCCCCAGAACGUUAAAAAAGAGAAUUAAAAAUAAAAAUAAUAAAUAAAAAUAAAAAUGAUUUAAUAAAAUUAAUUAUUAAUUAAUGAAUUAUCUAAUGAAUUAAUUAAGUUAAUUAAUCCAGUUUAAUUAAUUUAAUUAACUAGUUAGGUUAAUUAAAUAGUAAUUAAAUUAACUAAUCUGUAAUGAACCUAAACAGUGUAUGACAGGUAGGUCCCACUGGACCCACCUGUCAGGUUGACCAAGUCAACUCUGUUGACUGCUCAUGUCAGCAUGACAUCAUGCUGAUGUCAUUAAUCUGUUUUCCGAAUUAAUUAAAUAAUUAAUUAAAUUCCAGAAAUUAAUAAAAUCUUUAGAAAAUCAUAUCUUUUAAUCCGUAACUCGGAUUAAAAUAUUUUCAACAUGAAAGUUGCUCAGAACGACGGGACGAAUCCGGAUACGCAGUCAGCUCGUCCGCCACACACCCCUAACCUAUCGAACCCGCAACUUUCCCCCUCCGGCUCCUCAGCCCGAAAACAUGAAACACCGGGGAUAUUUUCCCGGAUGUUUCCCCCCAUAACCGGCAUCACCUCACACCACGUCAGGUCACGCCUAGCAUUGUUACUUGUCAUGUCAUGCAUCGAUAUGCAUCUGUUUACAUGGUAUUCAUUGUUUCUUCCCCCUCUUCUCUCCGGUAGACUACGAGACCGACGCUAUUGCUGCCCAGUUCGACUACGGAGUUGACGACCCCUCUCUCUUGCCAGAGAAACCAGGCAAGCCCCCCCCCCUUGAUCAGCAGAUAUCGCCUAUUCUACUCUAUACUGCUUGCAUUAGAGUAGUGUAGCAUGUUACUGCUUUCUGUUAUACCUAUCCUGAUGCAUAGCCUGUCCUUGAUACUACUGUUGUUACCUUUACCUGCAAUCCUAUAUGCUUAGUAUAGGAUGCUAGUAUAUUCAUCUGUGGCCCUACAAUCUUGUCCGUUAGCCGUGCUAUACUAUCGGGCCGUGAUCACUCGGGAGGUGAUCACGGGUAUAUACUAUAUACUUUAUAUAUGAUACAUGUGGAGACUAAAGUCGGGUCGGCUGGUGGAGCACCCGCGAGUGGAUCUUUGUGGCGGAGCGACAGGGCAGGUUGAGACUGCCUAGGAGAGAGGUGGGCCUAGCCCUGUUCGGCGUUCGCGGAUACUUAACAUGCUUAACGAGAUCUUGGUAUUUGAUCUGAGUUGGCGACGAGCCUAUACGCACUAACCAACUACAUGGGAAAGAUAUGGGCACUCGGCGUCGUGGUAUCAGCCGAAGCACUUCGUGACGCCAGCGACUGAGUGGCGCGCGCCGGAUUGGAACGUAAGCCUGCUCUUAUAAUAAGGGGGCUAGUUCUGCUUUCGGCCGACGUGCAGGUGUGCUAUGGGCGAUGGGCCCAGACCCCUGUGCGCUUAGGUUUAGACUGGCGUGCUGGCCUCUCUGUUGAGCCUAGGUGGGGCUGCGACGUGUUGAUCUUUCGCGGCCGGGCAAGACCCGGGAAAGUGUGUCCGGCCAAAUGGGAUCAAGCGUGUUGGGUAAGUUGGUGCACCCCUGCAGGGAAGUUAAUCUAUUCGAAUAGCCGUGAUCUUCGGUAACAGGACGACUUGGAGUUGUACCUUGACCUUAUGACAACUAGAAUCGGAUACUUAAUAAAACACACCCUUCCAAGUUCCACAGACAACCUGGUGAUCGCUUUUCCACAGGGCGACGAGGGGAGGAUCACCGGGUAGGAUUAUGCUAUGCGAUGCGACUGGAGAUGCUACUUGGAGAUGCUACAUGGAGAUGCUACUUGGAGAUGCUACUUGGAGGACUUCAAUCUAUUCUCUUCUACAUGCUGCAAGACGGAGGCUGCCAGAAGCGUAGUCUUCGACAGGAUUAGCUAUCCCCCUUUUAUUCUGGCAUUUUGCAGUUCAGUUCACCGAUAUGGCCCUUUACACAUAUAACCAUGCAUAUGUAGUGUAGCUCCUUGCUUGCGAGUACUUUGGAUGAGUACUCACGAUUGCUUUUCUCCCUCUUUUCCCCUUGCCCUUCUACCUGGUUGUUGCAACCAGAUGCUGGAGCCCUGGAGCCAGACGCCACCGUCGAUGAUGAUUCCUACUACACUGGAGGUGCCUACUGCUACGUGGAGGCUGCUGACGACGACCAUGAGUAGUUUAGGAGGAUCCCAGGCAGGAGGAUUGCGCCUCUUUCGAUCUGUAUCCCAGUUUGUGCUAGCCUUCUUAAGGCAAACUUGUUUAACUUAUGUCUGUACUCAGAUAUUGUUGCUUCCGCUGACUCGUCUAUGAUCGAGCACUUGUAUUCAAGCCCUCGAGGCCCCUGGCUUGUAUUAUGAUGUUUGUAUGACUUAUUUAUGUUUUAGAGUUGUGUUGUGAUAUCUUCCCGUGAGUCCCUGAUCUUGAUCGUACACAUUUGCGUGCAUGAUUAGUGUGCGAUUGAAUCGGGGACGUCACACCCUUCAUGGCCUGUUCGGCCGCCUUGUGGAGCUCGACUAGCUGCUUCAGCUGGUCGCUAAGGGGCACCGGAUGUCCAGCCUCAGCAUACUGAGACCAGAAGACCUUCUCCGUCGAGCUCCCCUCCUCGGCCCGGUAGAAUGUGGCAGCAUCGCACACGCUGCAAGGAAGAUCUGUGAACGCUCCUAGAGAGCUCCGAAUUCGGGUAAGCAACAGGUAAUUAACACUCACAUGCUUACUUUGCAUGAAAAAUGCCUUACCUGCUGCUAUUUUCUUCACCGCCUCAAUCUCCUGGAGGGCCUUGUAGGCUUCGGCCUUAGCGGCUUUGGCACUCUCAAGAGCCGUUGCAAGCUCAGACUCUCGAGUCUUCGAGUCACGCUCCAGGCUCUCAUGUUUUUUCUUGAGAUCCUGGAGCUCUUGUUGUACCUCUGCCACCCGCGCGUCCUGCUUCUCUCGCUUGGUGCGCUCCGCGGCCGCAUUGCGUUCGGCCGCAGCCACCGCCUCUUUUAGGGUCGCCACCUUGUUAGUGGCCCCUACAAUACCCAUGUUAUCCUUGUCAUUCUUUUGCAACCAAAAUCCUUUUCUAUAAGGUACAAUUUUAAUAAGGUGUUACUCACCUUGCUUGUCCUCGAGCUGCUUCCUCGCACGGCCGAGCUCGUUCUCGGACCACUCAAGGUUUUCCUUCAAAGUAUUGACCUCCGCAGUCAAUGCGGCAGAGGUCAGCAGCGCAGCCUGCAAUCCCAUAUUGACAUAUUUAUUAUGACUCAUGCGUAUAUCUUUUUAGAUCCUCAGUCCGGCUUUUCUUUCCGAACACCGAACCGAGCAUCAGGGGCUACUGUCUAUGCGGUACCAUUCUAUACAUAUUGAAAUUCUUACCUCAAAGCAUGUUAGAAGGCUGCUGCAGGCUUCGGUCAGCCUGCUCUUGGCGAGCUGCACCUUCUGAAUCACCGCACUCACAGUGCGGUGUUCCUCUUUGAUGGAGGCGCCAUUGAGCUCCUCCAGCAAGCUAUCCAGCGCCUCCAGUUGGACGGAGGCUGCCGGCGUCACGGUCUUGCCCUUCUUACGAAGGGGUCGCCCGUCGGACUCCGGAGCCACUGUGGGUUCCGGGGCCGAGUCCGGUGCAAAGUCCAGGAGGUUGUCCUGCGACACCUCCGGGGCCCUCUCCUCCUGGUGGGUCCCUUCCUGGGAUCCUACCUUGGCAUCAUCCGCAUCACGGGGGGUGGAGGUAGUCGGAAGAGAAUCCAUAUCCGACGCACCUAAGGACCCGCUCGAUGAAGCGGGAAGAUCAUCCUUAGGCGGACUGCAGGGUUGUAUGCGGCAUUAGAAAGACAUUAUGUGGCGAAAAAUAUAAACCUUGAAGUUAUUCGGUAGUCCGGAUACUUACGAUCUCGCCAGGGGCUUGGCACUUGGAGGCUAGUCCUCGUCGUUGUCACUGGCGUUGGCGGAGCAGUCCGGGGGAAGAGUUUUUCCCUUCUUGGACCCUUCGGCCUCCCUUGUUGGGGAGGCCUUCCUCUUCUUCCCUCCCCCACUGGGGGAGAGGCUUUCUUCUUCUCCUCCUCGCCUUGGUGGGAGGAGUCGGCCUCGGAUUCAUCAUCCGAUAGCACCUGAAAACGGGAACUCUUCCAAGUCCCCGUGGCCUUCUUCUUGGCCUUCUUCUCUGGCACCACGUGGGGUGCCGGAGCCAGCAGCCCCGUUAGGCAGGUGUCCGCUAGGUCCUCUGGCAAUGGGGUCGGACAGAUAGUCCGUUCGGCCUUCGCCAGCUAGUCCUGUCAAAGGUAAAGGGAGUUUAGAUCCCGCAUAGAGUCGAACUAUGGAAAACAAGUGGCAAAGUCACUUACCUCGUCAGCUGGACGCUGCGAGCGGAAUCCGUGAUCUUCGGUAGAGGAUGCGGGAGCCUCGACGCCCUUGAACAGCAUCUUCCAGACAUCUUCGUACAUAGUGUCGAAGAGCCCGCUCAGAGUCUGGUGCUGCGCCGGAUCGAACUCCCACAUGUUGAAGCCCUGUCGUUGGCACGGGAGAAUCCGGCGGAUGAGCAUGACCUGGACUACGUUGACAAGCUUGAGCUUCUUGUCCACCAGCUUCUGGAUAUAGGCUUGCAGUCCGGUCAGCUCCUCCGAAUCCCCCCAGAUCCGGCCACUCUCUUUCCAGGAGGUGAGCCGUGUAGGGCUGCCGGAUCUAAAUUCGGGGGCCGCUGCCCAAUCAGGGUCACGCGGCUCGGUGAUGUAGAACCACCCCGAUUGCCACCCCUUAAUGGUUUCCACAAAAGUGCCCUCCAGCCAUGUAACAUGGGACAUCCUGCCCACCAUGGCACCUCCGCACUCCGCUUGGCUUCCCUUCACAACCUUCGGCUUGACACUGAAGGUCUUGAGCCACAAGCCGAAGUGGGGCUGGAUGCAGAGGAAGGCCUCGCACACGACGAUAAACGCCGAGAUGUUGAGGAUGAAAUUCGGGGCCAGAUCAUGGAAAUCUAGGCCGUAGUAGAACAUGAGCCCCCGGACAAAGGGAUGAAGUGGGAAGCCCAGUCCGCGGAGGAAAUGGGGAAGAAAUACUACCCUCUCAUGGGGCCUGGGGGUGGGGAUGAGCUCUCCCUCGUCGGGGAGCCAGUGCGCGGUGUCGCUGGACAAAUAUCCGGCGUCGCGCAGCUUCUGGAUCUGCCCCUCCGUGACGAAGGAGGCCAUCCACUUGCCUCCCGCUCCGGACAUAGUUGGAGAAGGUUGAGGUGAGAAGUGCGGACUUGGGCGCUAGAGCUCGAGUUCGCGGAGAUGGAUAAGCCAAGGAGGAAGAAGGCGCAGGUAAAAGGGUUGGAUCUUUAUCCCCUUAUAUGGGCGGACAAAAACAUGUGUCCCCACCGGCCUGGUAAAACUCGCUUAUCUCCCAAGCGUCACAAUCAAUGGCGCGGUUGGGUUACCCAUGUCCGUAUUGAUGGGAAUCCCGGAAUAAGGGGAACACGAUCUCUGCUUCGACAGUACGUGCCAAGGAAACCGCUUCGCUAAACGCGUGGAGGUGGAACAAUAAAAACAAUUUGAGUAAAGGCUUGGUAGUGGUAUGACGUCACGCCACAAAAUACGUCAGCAGAUUGAACUUGUGUAAUAUUAUUCUCUCUACGGUGGUACGUGGAAUUUAUUUUUGCAGAGCCGGACACUAUCCUGAUGUUCACAAUCUUCUAUAAAUUAUUCGGAGCAAGAACCCGCCUAGCAAUGCCGAAGACAACAUGCGCGCCGGACUCGUCGUCAUUGAAGCCUGGUUCAGGGGCUACUGAGGGAGUUCCGGACUAGGGGGUGUUCGGAUAGCCGAACUAUCAUGAUCGGCUGGACUCCAAGACUAUGAAGAUACAAGAUUGAAGACUUCGUCCCGUGUCCGGAUGGGACUUUCCUUGGCGUGGAAGGCAAGCUUAGCAAUAUGGAUAUGUAGAUUUCCUACCAUUGUAACUGACUUUGUGUAACCCUAGCCCUCUCCGGUGUCUAUAUAAACCGGAUGGCUUUAGUCCAUAGGACGAACAACAAUCAUACCAUAGGCUAGCUUCUAGGGUUUUAGCCUCCUUGAUCUCGUGGUAGAUCUACUCUUGUAACACAUAUCAUCAAUAUUAAUAAAGCAGGACGUAGGGUUUUACCUCCAUCAAGAGGGCCCAAACCUGGGUAAAACAUCGUGUCCCUUGUCUCCUGUUACCAUCCGCCUAGACGCACAGUUCGGGACCCCCUACCCGAGAUCCGCCGGUUUUGACACCGACACCCGCAGCGUCCACAUCCCUGUGUGUCUCCGUAGCCCCCGCGGCGUCGGCAGCCACGCAUGAUGGGGCCUUCGAGGUGGGCAGGUGAGCUGCGGCACCGGGCUUCUUCUUGGGCGCCAUGGUCGAUGGAGCCGCUAACGAAGAAAAUGAUGAUGAAGAUGAUGUGCUACGCUCUCUUCUCGGGCUCGCGCAAGUGCACGCCACCUACCCGGUGCGCCAAAUAUGUCAUGGGAAACCACGAUCACCUAUGGUACCAUGAGCCCCUUUGUGGUUCGGCGGGGGGAUGGGCACGCUGCACAAAGAGCGGAGAAGCGUAACACAGCACGGCAGAGAUCGCACAGGAAGUUUUACCCAGGAUCGGGCUACCGCGAGGCGUAAAACCCUACUCCUGCUUUGGUGGAUUAUGGUGGAAAAUGCAACGUUCUUGCCCAGCAGAGUUGCCUCGGGGAGAGAGUGACUACACGUGUAUGAGAACGCGAGGGUCCGAAUCCUCUCUAUGGUUGCCAUGGAACUCCUUUUAUAGAUCAAGGGGUCACCACAGUGGCAAAUCAUUCUUUAUGCACUGAUUAGAUAGAAAACGGAGCUAUCAUGCCUAACUCUACAGGUGGACAGAGCGCAUUAAAUGCACCACUUACUGUCACAUCACAGCGUGCCCGGCAAGGCUGUUUUGCCAGCUAUGCACCUGCUUGCUUGACACGUCUCAGGACGGGCGUCAUUUGGAGGUGUUUUCCGUAGGAAGUGGCUGCCAUGUGGCAAGAAACAGCCACUUAGUUACUCAGGGGCUUGACACCGCACUAAUUGAUGACUUGCGUUGCUGUGAGGUGGAGCGGUGAAGUUUUGGUGGGGCAGCUCGCCCUUGCCGUGCCCGACAAGCCUACCGGGGCGGUCUGGUGGCUUAUCUUCUAGGCAAUCCUCGUCCUCGCCAGGCUCGCCUGCACGGCAAGGGAAGUUUUUCCCUUAGUGACAUCUGGUCUCUCUGGCUUGACUUGGUCUUCUUGAUCUGCACUUUGAUUCUUCAAAGAACUGAUCUCUAGUGCUUGGUCUGAUCUCAGGUGCCGCAAUCUCAUCCUUAAGCAUGUGCUCAGUCUGGGCAACAGACCCAGGGUUUGUUGCACCAACACCUGGACAUCCGGCCCCCCUUGCCCCGGACAUCAAGCACCCCCUCGAAGUCCCAGACAUCCAGCCUGACGUCCCGAACAUCCUCCCCCCUGUCUACGCACAGUAAAGGGCCGAGGCCCAUGUAUCCCUUCACCCCCUAGACUAUAUAUACUUCUUCUCCUCCCUCUUUUUAUGAUCAGCAAUAUGAUAGCUCAUUUGAGAGAUAGAGCUUUUCUCAUCCACUUGAUUACUUCUCCAUCGGAGUUCACGACCUCUACGGAGAAGAUCUCCCAAGUGGAUUCAAGACCCCUCACGGGAAGACCCCCUCAAGACCUCCUCAUGGAGAAGAACUACCGCCUCUUGUAUCGUCCUUUGUUGCAUUUGGAUCUUGUAUCACUCUUUAUGCUCAUGGAUCUAACAUAUGUGUGAUUGGAUCUCGUCAAUUUGAGUGUUUUCCCUCGUUUUCUUCAUGCUCAUCAUAGGAUCACAUCCAAAUCGUGAAAGAUCGGCCCUAGGGUUUCCACCCUACAUCUUCUUCUUGUCUUGAAUUGGGAGAAGUGCCACUUUAUGGUUAAUGAAGGUAUUGUCUUGGGGCAUAAAAUUUCUGAACGAGGUAUUGAGGUGGAGAAAGCUAAAGUUGAUGCAAUUGAGAAAGUGCCAUGUCCUAAAGAUAUUAAAGGUAUUCGUAGUUUCCUUGGUCAUGCUAGUUUCUAUAGGAGGUUUAUUAAAGACUUCUCUAAAAUUUCUAGGACUCUUGCAAACCUUUUAUAAAAGGAUGUUCCAUUUGUUAUCAAUGAUGAUUGUGUAGAAGCCUUUGAAACACUAAAGAAAGCCUUAAUUUUUGCACCUAUAGUUCAACCACCUAAUUGGAACUUGCCUUUUGAAAUUAUGUGUGAUGCUAGUGAUUAUGCUGUUGGUGUUGUUCUAGGCCAAAGAAUUGAUAAGAAAUUAAAUGUUAUCCAUUAUGCUAGCAAAACUCUAGAUAGUGCCCAAAGAAAUUAUGCUAAUACUAAAAAAGAAUUUUUAGCAGUUGUCUUUGCUUGUGAUAAAUUCAGAUCUUACAUUGUUGAGUCCAAAGUAAUUGUUCAUAUUGAUCAUGCUGCUAUAAAAUAUCUUAUGGAAAAGAAAGAUGCUAAACCUAGACUCAUUAGGUGGGUUCUCUUGCUACAAGAAUUUGGUUUACAUAUCACUAAUAGGAAAGGAGCUGAGAACCCUGUAGCUGAUAACUUUUCUAGGUUAGAAAAUAUUCUUGAUGACUGAUACGUCUCCAUUAUAUCUAAUUUUCCAAACACUUUUGUCCUUCUUUUGGACUCUAACUUGCAUGAUUUGAAUGGAACUAACCUAGACUGAGGCUAUUUUCAGUAGAACUGCCAUGGUGUUAUUUUUGUGUAGAAAUAAAAGUUCCCGGAAUGAUCUGAAAAUCCACGGAGCAACUUUUUGGAAUUAAUAAAAAAUAUUUGUGAAAGAAUCAGCAUCAAGGGGCCCACACCCUAUCCACGAGGGUGUUGGGCGCCCCCCCCCCUAGGGUGCACCCCUGCCUCGUGGGCCCCCUGGGACUCCACCGACCUCAACCCCAACUCCAUAUAUUCACUUUCGGGCAGAAAAAACAGGAGAGAAGGAUUCAUCGCGUUUUAUGAUACGGAGCCGCCGCCAAGCCCUAAUCUUCCUCGAGAGGGCUGAUCUGGAGUCCGUUCGGGGCUCCGGAGACGGGAAUCCGUCGCCAUCGUCAUCAUCAACCAUCAUCCAUCACCAAUUUCAUGAUGCUCACCAACGUGCGUGAGUAAUCCCAUCGUAGGCUUGCUGGAUGGUGAUGGGUUGGUUGAGAUUUACCAUGUAAUCGAGUUAGUUUUGUUAGGGUUUGAUCGGGACCACUCCCGGUGAUGACCGUAGUUUGAGGAGUUCAUGUAUUCACUAAGUGUUAAUGCUUUGGUCCGAUACUCUAUUAAAAGGAGGCCUUAAUAUCCCUUAGUUUCCAAUAGGACCUCGCUGCCAUGGGAGGGUAGGACAAAAGAUGUCAUGCAAGUUCUUUUCCAUAAGCACGUAUGACUAUAUUCGGAAUACAUGCCUACAUUAUAUUGAUGAACUGGAGCUAGUUAUGUGCCACCCUAUGUUAUAACUGUUGCAUGAGGAAUCGCAUCCGACAUAAUUAUCCAUCAGUGAUCAAUUGCCUACGAUCUUUCCACAUAUUGUUCUUUUCUUAGUCAAUUUUCCAUUGCCACUGUUACGAUUGCUACAAAACUGCUACUGUUACUUUUGCCACCAUUACUGUUACUUCCAUACUACUUUGCUGCAGAUAUUAAGUCUUUCAGGUGUGGUUGAAUUGAAAAAUCAGCUGCCAAUACUUGAGAAUAUUCUUUGGCUCCCCUUCUGUCGAAUCAAUAAAUUUGGGUUGAAUACUCUACCCUCGUAGCUGUUGCAAUCCCCUAUACUUGUGGGUUAUCAAGACUAUUUUCUGGCGCUGUUGCCGGGGAGCAUAGCUCUAUUCUUUGAAUCACUUGGUAUUUAUAUUUGUUGAUCACUAUGAGGAACUUUAAAGAUGAAAGAACCAAGAUUUUUCCCUCAACUACAAGGGGAGGUAAGGAACUGCCAUCUCGCUCUGCACUUGAUUCACCUUCUGUUUUGUGUAAACUUGCGACGCCUGCACCUACUACUAAUUCUGAUAUGUCGCAUGUUAUUGAUGAUGCCACUUCUGCUAUGCAUGAUGCUUCUGAUGAAACUACUUCUAGGCUUGAUAAUACUGUGCCAUUAGGUGAAUUUCUUGAUGAACAACUUGCUAGCGUUAGAGAGAAUGAAAUUAUUGAAACUGAUAAUAUUGAUGAAAGUGAUGAUGAAGAUUCUCCCCCUACAUAUGAAUUGCCUAAUGUGCCUAAGGGUUUUGUUAUGGAUGAAGAAACUGCUAGAGACCUUUUUGCUUGUAAAGAUAGAUAUGAUCUUAAAAACUGUUAGCUAAGUUGAAAGAAAAAUCUCUGAAUGCUAGAAUGAAAUAUGACCCUGAUGUCUACUACGCAACCUUAUCCUUGUAGACGUUGUUGAGCCUCCAAGUGCAGAGGUUUGUAGGACAGUAGCAAAUUUCCAUCAAGUGGAUGACCUAAGGUUUAUCAAUCCGUGGGAGGCGUAGGAUGAAGAUGGUCUCUCUCAAGCAACCCUGCAACCAAAUAACAAAGAGUUUCUUGUGUCCCCAACACACCCAAUACAAUGGUAAAUUGUAUAGGUGCAGUAGUUCGGCGAAGAGAUGGCGAUACAAGUGCAAUAUGGAUGCUAGAUAUAGGUUUUUGUAAUCUGAAAAUAUAAAAACAGCAAGGUAACAAGUGGUAAAAGUGAGCGUAAACGGUAUUGCAAUGCUAGGAAACAAGGCCUAAGGUUCAUACUUUCACUAGUGCAAGUUCUCUCAACAAUAAUAACAUAAUUCAAUCAUAUAACUAUCCCUCAAGAUGCAACAAAGAGUCACUCCAAAGUCACUAAUAGCAGAGAAAAAAACAAGAGAUGAUUGUAGGGUAUGAAACCACCUCAAAGUUAUCCUUUCUGAUCAACCUAUUCAAGAGUCUGUAGUAAAAUAACACGAAGCUAUUCUUUCCAUUCGAUCUAUCAUAGAGUUCGUACUAGAAUAACGCCUUAAGAUACAAAUCAACCAAAACCCUAAUGUCACCUAGAUACUCCAAUGUCACCUCAAGUAUCUAUGGGCAUGAUUAUACGAUAUGCAUCACACAAUCUCAGAUUCUUCUAUUCAACCAACACAAAGAACUUCAAAGAGUGCCCCAAAGUUUCUACCGGAGAGUCAAGGCGAAAACGUGUGCCAACCCCUAUGCAUAGAUUCCCAAGGUCACAGAACCCGCAAGUUGAUCACCAAAACAUACAUCAAGUGGAUCAAUAGAAUACCCCAUUGUCACCACGGGUAUCCCAUGCAAGACAUACAUCAAGUGUUCUCAAAUCCUUAAAGACUCAGUCUGAUAAGAUAAAUUAAAAGGGAAAACUCAAUCCAUUACGAGAGAGUAGAGGGGGAGAAGCAUCAUAAGAUCGAACUAUAAUAGCAAAGCUCGCGAUACAUCAAGAUCAUACCACCUCAAGAACACGAGAGAGAGAGAUCAAACACAUAGCUACUGGUACAUACCCUCAGCCCCGAGGGUGAGCUACUUCCUCCUCGUCAUGGAGAGCGCCGGGAUGAUGAAGAUGGCCACCGGUAAGGGAUCCCCCCUCCGGCAGGGAGCCGGAACAGGGUCCCGAUUGGUUUUUCGUGGCUACAUAGGCUUGCGGCAGCAGAACUCCCGAUCUAUUGUGCUCCCCGGUGUUUUUAGGGUAUAUGGACAUAUAUAGGCGAAAGAAGUUGGUUAGGGGAGCCACGAGGGGCCCAUGAGGGUGGGGGCGUGCCCAGGGGGCAGGGCGUGCCUCCCUGCCUCGUGGCUUCCUCGAAGCAUCCCUGACAUCUACUCCAAGUCUCCUAGAUUGCUUCCGUUCCAAAAAUAACUCUCCCGAAGGUUUCAUUCCGUUUGGACUCCGUUUGAUAUUCCUUUUCUUCAGAACACUGAAAUAGGCAAAAAAAUAGCAAUUUGGGUUGGGCCUCCGGUUAAUAGGUUAGUCCCAAAAAUGAUAUAAAAGUGUAGAGUAAAGCCGAGAAACAUCCAAAACGGGUAAUAUAAUAGCAUGGAACAAUAAAAAAUUAUAGAUACGUUGGAGACGUAUUAAGCAUCCCCAAGCUUAAUUCCUGCUCGUCCUCGAGUAGAUAAAUGAUAAAAACGGAAUUUUUGAUGUGGAAUGCUACCUAGCAUAUUUCUCAAUGUAAUUUUCUUUAUUGUGUCACGAAUGUUCAGAUCCAAAUGACUCAAAAUAAAAGUUCAUAUUGACAUAAGAAAUAGUAAUACUUCAAGCAUACUAACAAAGCAAUCAUGUCUUCUCAAAAUAACAUGGCUAAAGAAAGUUCAUCCCUACAAAAUCAUAUAGUUAGGCUAUGCUUCAUUUUCAUCACACAAAAUACUCCCAUCAUGCACAACCCCGGUUCAGGCAAGCAAUUGGUUCAUACUUUUUAACGCGCUUCAACUUUUUCAACUCUCACGCAAUACAUGAGCGUGAGCCAUGGAUAUAGCACUAUGGGUGGAAUAGAAUAGGAUGAUGGAGGUUGUGUGGAGAAGACAAAAAGGAGAAAGUCUCACAUUGACGAGGCUAAUCAACAGGCUAUGGAGAUGCCUAUCAAUUGAUGUCAACAUGAGGAGUAGGGAUUGUCAUGCAACGGAUGGACUAGAGCUAUAAAUGUAUGAAAGAUCAACAAAAGAAACUAAGUGGGUGUGCAUCCAACUUGCUUGCUCACAAAGACCUAGGGCAUUUUGAGGAAGCCCAUCAUUGGAAUAUACAAGCCAAGUUCUACAAUGAAAAAUUCCCACUAGUAUAUGAAAGUGACAACAUAAGAGACUCUCUAUAUGAAGAACGUGGUGCUACUUUGAAGCACAAGUGUGGAAAAGGAUAGUAACAUUGUCCCCCUUUUUUAUUUUCUUUUUUUAUUGGGCUUUAUUUUUUAUCUCUUUUUUAUUGGUCUUUCCCUUUUUUUUAUUUGGCCUUUCUUUUUUAUAAGGGACAAUGCUCUAAUAAUGAUGAUCAUCACACUUCUAUUUAUUUACAACUCAAAAAUUACAACUCGAUACUAGAACAAGAUAUGACUCUAUAUGAAUGCCUCCGCCGGUGUACUGGGAUGGGCAAUGACUCAAGAGUGACAUGUAUGAAAAAUUAUGCAUGGUGGCUUUGCCACAAAUAUGAUGUCAACUACAUGAUCAUGCAAGGCAAUAUGACAAUGAUGAUGCGUGUCAUAAUAAACGGAACGAUGGAAUGUUGGAUGGCAAUAUAUCUUGGAAUGGCUAUGGAAAUGCCAUAAUAGGUAGGUAUGGUGGUUGUUUUGAGGAAGAUAUAAGGAGGUUUAUGUGUGAUAGAGUGUAUCGUAUCACGGGGUUUGGAUGCACUGGUGAAGUUUGCACCAACUCUCAAGGUGAGAAAGAGCAAUGCACGGUACCGUAGAGGCUAGCAAUGAUGGAAGGGUAAGAGUGCGUAUAAUCCAUGGACUCACAUUAGUCAUAAAGAACUCAUAUACUUAUUGCAAAAGUUUUAUUAUCCCUCAAAGCAAAGUACUACUAUGCAUGCUCCUAGGGGAAGGGUUGGUAGGAGUUAACCAUCGCGCAAUCCCGAUCUCCACUCAUAAGGAAGGCAAUCAAAAGAGCACCCCAUGCUACAAAUUUUUUACACAACUUUUACCAUACGUGCAUGCUACGGGACUUGCCAACUUUAACACAAGUAUUUCUCAAUUUCAUAAUUACCCAACUAGCAUGACUCUAAUAUUACCACCUUUAUAUCUCAAAACAAUUAUCAAGCACCAAAUUGAUCAUAGUAUUCAAUGCACUUUCUAUGAUAGUUUUUAAAACGAAAGCAAAUUACCAUGCUGUUCUAAGAGACUCUCAAAAUAUUAUAAGUGAAGCAUGAGAGAUCAAUAAUUUCUACAAAAUAAAACCACCACCGUGCUCUAAAAGGAUAUAGGAGAAGCACUAGAGCAAAUGACAAACUACUCCGAAAGAUAUAAGUGAAGAUCAAUGAGUAGCCGAAUAAUUAUGCAACUAUGUGAAGACUCUCUAACAUUUAAGAAUUUCAGAUCUUGGGAUAUUAUUCAAACAGCAAGCAAAACAAAACAAAAUGACAUUUCAAGGAUAGCACACAUCAUGUGAAGAAGUAAAAACUUAGGUUCAACCGAUACUAACCGAUAAUUGAUGAAGAAGAAAGGUGGGAUGCCUACCGGGGCAUCCCCAAGCUUGGAUGCUUGAGACUUCUUGACAUAUUAUCUUGGGGUGCCUUGGGCAUCCCCAAGCUUGAGCUUUUGUAUCUCCUUAAUUCCUUUUAUAUCUUGGUUUCCUAAAUCUCGGAAGCUUCAUCCACACCAAACUCAACAAGAACUCGUGAGAUAAGUUAGUAUAAACCAAUGCAAAAACCUUAUCAUUUUCUACUGUAAAAAAUCACAAAAGUUAGUAUUCAACAUUUCAUACUAAAUGUCUCUGCAUAUUUAAUACUCCUAUCCUAAAAUAGAAUCAUUAAACAAGCAAACAUAUGCAAACAAUGCAAACAUAACAGCAAUCUGCCAAAACAGUAUAGUUUUUAAAUAAUGCAAGAUUCAUCAUACUUCCCUAACUCUAAAAAUUAUGAGAAAAAUACUAAACUGUAUAAGAUUUAUCAGAUCUCAAUAUGAAAAAAGUUUCAAUAUUAUAUCAUUCUCUGACUUUUCUAGAGAAUUUUUGCAACAGCGGUAAACUUUCUGUUUUGAAACAGCAACAUGUAUACUUGCAAAAUAAGCAUGGUAAAGGCUAUCCUUAACAUUUUUAUUGAAAAUAUAGAUACAAAAAAUAUUAUAAAUAACAGCAUUCAAAUACUAACAAUAGGAAAUGAUGCUCCAAGCAAAACACAUAUCAUGUGGUGAAUAAAAAUAUAGCUCCAAGUAAAGUUACCGAUGAACAAAGACGAAAGAGGGGAUGCCUUCCGGGGCAUCCCCAAGCUUAGGCUCUUGGUUGUCCUUGAAUAUUACCUUGGGUGCCUUGGGAAUCCCCAAGAUUAGGCUCUUUCCACUCCUUAUUCCAUAGUCCAUCGAAUCUUUACCCAAAACAUGAAAACUUCACAACACAAAACUCAACAGAAGAUCUUAUGAGCUCCAUUAGUAUAAGAAAAUAAAACCACUUAUAGUACUGUUAUGAACUCAUUCUAAAUUCAUAUUGGUGUAAUAUCUACUAUAUUCCAACUUCUCUAUGGUUCAUACCCUCUGAUACUACUCAUAGAUUCAUCAAAAUAAGAAAACAACACAUAGAAAACAGAAUCUGUCAAAAACAGAACAGUCUGUAGUAAUCUGUAGCUCUCGAGUACUUCUAUAACUCCAAAAAUCCUAAAACAUUAGGAAAUCCUUACCAAUUUGUGUACCAAUCCAGAGUAAAAAGAAUCAGAUCAAAAUCAAGUUUCUGUGAAUUAUCAAAACUAAUUUACUGGGUGCAAAAGUUUCUGGUUUUCAGCAGGAUCAAACCAACUAUCACCGUAAGCUAUCCUAAAGGUCUUACUUGGCACUUUAUUGAAACAAAAGCUGUAAAAAAUGAUUACUACAGUAGCAUAAUCAUGUGGGCACACAAAAACAUUAAAGGUAAAUAUUGGGUUGUCUCCCAACAAGCGUUUUUCUUUAAUGCCUUUCUAGCUAGGCAUGAAGAUGACAAUGACGCUCACAUAAAAGAUAAGAAUUGAAACAUAAAGAGAGCAUCAUGAAGAAUAUGACUAGCACAUUUAAGCCUAACCCACUUCCUAUGCAUAGGAAUUUUGUGAGCAAACAACUUAUGGGAACAAUAAUCAACUAGCAUAGGAAGGCAAAACAAGCAUAACUUCAAGAUUUUCAACACAUAGAGAGGAAACUUGAUAUUAUUGCAACUCCUACAAGCAUGUGUUCCUCCAACAUAAUAAUUUUCAGUAGAAUCAUGAAUGAAUUCAACAAUAUAACCAUCACAUAAAGCAUUCUUUUCAUGAUCUACAAGCAUAGAAUUUUUAUUACUCUCCACAUAAGCAAAUUUCUUCUCAUGUAUAGUAGUGGGAGCAAACUCAACAAAAUAACUAUCAUGUGAAGCAUAAUCCAAUUGAAAUUUAAAAUCAUGAUGACCAAUUUCAUGGUUAUAUUUAUUCUUUAUAGCAUACGUGUCAUCACAAUAAUCAUCAUAAAUAGUAGGCAUGCUUUCAUCAUAAUAAACUUGCUCAUCAAAACUUGGGGGACUAAAAAUAUCAUCUUCAUCAAACAUAGCAUCCUCAAGCUUGUGGCUUUGCAUAUCAGUAGCAUCAUGGAUAUUCAUAGAAUUCAUACUAACAAAAUUGCAAUCAUGCUCAUCAUACAAAGAUUUAGUGCCAAACAUUUUAUAGACUUGUUCUUCUAGCACUUGAGCACAAUUUUCCUUACCAUCAUUUUCACGAAAGUUAUUAAAAAGAUGAAGCGUAUGAGGCAAACUCAAUUCCAUUUUUUUGUAGUUUUUCAUAUAUACUAAACUAGUGAUAAAACAAGAAACAAAAAGAUUCGAUUUCAAGAUCUAAAGAUAUACCUUCAAGCACUCACCUCCACGGCAACGGCCCCAGAAAGGAGCUUGAUGUCUACUACGCAACCUUCUCCUUGUAGACGUUGUUGGGCCUCCAAGUGCAGAGGUUUGUAGGACAUUAGCAAAUUUCCCUCAAGUGUAUGACCUAAGGUUUAUCAAUCCGUGGGAGGCGUAGGAUGAAGAUGGUCUCUCUCAAGCAACCCAGCAACCAAAUAACAAAGAGUCUCUUAUGUCCCCAACACACCCAAUACAAUGGUAAAUUGUAUAGGUGCACUAGUUCGGCGAAGAGAUGGCGAUACAAGUGCAAUAUGGAUGAUAGAUGUUGUCGGUGUACUAGAAUAGGGGUACCCUAGUAUCCCGAACUUGUGCACGGGCAGUUGCAGCGCCCCGCGGCAAGGCUUGCCGGGCGACCGCCAAGGUCCUCCAUGGUUCCUUUGGAGCCAUUCAAGAACAAAGUAUUCAAGCCAAGGCCCCGGCAAGAGGAGCUUGCCGGGAAGGCCAACCAAGGCAUCCCAAGGAACUUUCCGCGACGCUCCACGCGUCCCGGCAAGGCGACAAGGCCCCGACAAGAGGAGCUUGCCGGGAAGACCAACCAAGGCAUAUCAGGGCCCGGUGAGCGACAAGCUUCCGGACCCGACAAGACAACGGCCGCGGCAAGGCGCUUGCCGCGGCAGGCGGCCACUCUGUGCCCACGCUCCAGCAUUCCACCAACGUGUCGCUCUAGGGGCCUUUCCAGGCGCGCGUGGUGGGAGGCUGUGCAGCCAGCGGUGCGCGGUGGCAUGCGAAGCUGACAAGAUCGCCAUCGUGGCGAGCGGUGGCGCCCCUGACGGUCCUUUUCUACACUGUUUGGGCUACACAGACGGGCAUUUAAUGCCCUUGUCCCCUACCGUCAGGGUUAGGUAGGUAACAUUGUACAAGUAACUGUACCAACCACCUCGCUUUUUACGCUUUUACCCUUCUCUGCGUUGCCACCUGUCGGUGACCCCUUGAGCAUAUAAAAGGAGGCCCAUGCGCAACAUAGAGGGGGUUCGACUCAUUCGUAAGCCAGAAAACACUUAGCUCUCUCAAGCAAGAACACAAUACAAUCAGACAAGCAGCAGUAGGAUUAUUAUCUCUUCGGAGAGCUCCGAAGCUGGGUAAACUGCUCGUGUACUUUGCCUCGAUCUGCUCUUCGUNNNNNNNNNNNNNNNNNNNNNNNNNNNNNNNNNNNNNNNNNNNNNNNNNNNNNNNNNNNNNNNNNNNNNNNNNNNNNNNNNNNNNNNNNNNNNNNNNNNNNNNNNNNNNNNNNNNNNNNNNNNNNNNNNNNNNNNNNNNNNNNNNNNNNNNNNNNNNNNNNNNNNNNNNNNNNNNNNNNNNNNNNNNNNNNNNNNNNNNNNNNNNNNNNNNNNNNNNNNNNNNNNNNNNNNNNNNNNNNNNNNNNNNNNNNNNNNNNNNNNNNNNNNNNUCCACCGGCCCCAUAGGUGUUCGUGGAUCAGUUUCCCCGACAUCUUUGGCGCGCCAGGUAGGGGGCGUCGAGAUUGCGUGGACCUGAUCCGGCGUUCACACGAGCUAGAUCUUCAUUUUCUUCAUCAACAUGCCACCGAACAAGAAGGCUUCGGAGGCAGCUGUUCUGUCCACGUCGAUCCCACUGCCACCGGAGCAAACGGGUGGUGGGGUAGACGCCGGCGGAAGGACGGACGUCGACGAGGAAGCUCACGACGCUGCCAGGUCCAAGGGCAAGGCGGCGCAGACCUCGACGUCCGCGCUUGUUCCGCGCCCAUCUCAGGAGGCGCAGGACCGACAGCGUCAUGGUACUCGCAGUACCAUAUGUUUGUUGGGACAAGAUCAAGAUGGUGGAUCCCGGGGCGCUCAAGACCAGCAUGCACGCCAACGUGCCAGCACGAGAGAGACACGGUCGCCCGGACGGGAAAAUGCUCCUUCUAAAAUAGUUAGAAGUUCAAGCAUAUCCCGCUCCUCGCGCCGUCCGCCACUGCCACCCACCACUCCGGCAGAAGCUUUGGCGCGAGCUCAACUGCUCCUGGAUUACCCUCCGACGUCGGACAAGAUCGACGAAUGGAGGGCCACCAUUCAGAGUCUCAUCGGCUACGCCAAUGGCGACACUCCGCGGCAGCCGAGCGCGUCGCUGCCGCGGCAGGGUUGCCAGGCGCGAGCCGGUGGCGACGAAACUGGUGGGGGUGCAACAACCAUGCAAUCACCACGCCGAAGGCCAAGAUCGCCGACUCGCCGGAUCCACAUCGACAGCGACUCCACCGCAUCUUCGGAUCCACGAGCUCGUCGUGAUCAGCGCCAAGUUCUUCACGAUCGACAACAAGAAGACGCUCGUACUCACAUCGAGCGCCGAAGAGAAGCGCGACGUCAAUCCGACAAGCGCGCUGGGCCCUCUGUUGACAUGCAUGAGCUAGGGGAACCAGGCGACUUGCCGUACGCGGUAGGUUGCCCUACGUUCACUCGUGAGCUGCGGCAAGUCCAGUGGCCCAACACGAAGAACUUCAAGCCAGACGUACCGGAGAAGUACGACGGCAAGACGCAUCCGUCGGAGUUCCUCAGCAUCUACACCAUUGCGGUGCAGGUUGCUGGGGGACGGGACGACAAGAUCCUUGCCAACUACUUCCCGCUGGUGCUCAAGCCCAACGUCAGAUCCUGGCUCAUGCACUUGCCGGACAACUCCAUAUCCUCUUGGGCCAAUCUAUGCCAUCAGUUUGUCGGCGCCUUCACAGGCGGCCACAAGCCUCAUGGCCAAGAGAGUGACCUUCAUCUGCUCGCCCAGAAGGAAGUAGAGCCCCUGCGCAAGUACAUUCAGAGAUUCAGCAGUGUACAGCACAACAUCCCAGACGUCCACCCUGCCGCGGUGAUCAGCGCGUUCCAUCAGAACGUGCGAAACCGCAGGAUGUGGGAGGAGAUGGCGAUGUGCAAGAUCAGAGAUGUCAGUGAGCUAUAUGCCCUGGCCGACAAAUGUGCACGUGCUGAGGAAGGAAGGAGACUCCCCGGAGAGAAUAUAGGAGCAGGAGGAUCUGACAGUGAGGAUGCAGCCCCGGCAAGGAAGAACCGGCGGCGAAAUAACAGGAAGAAGAAAGGCAAAGAGGUGCUAGUUGUUAAGCAGUCCGGCAACGGUGGUGGCGCCAAGAAAGCCAAAGCUGGUGACUCCGGCAAGGAGAUUACCGCAGAAGCUGUGGCGGUCGCCGACAAGCAGGACGGCACCAACAAACAGUACUACAAGAUCCACCGCACCAAGGGCCAUGACCUCCAGAGCUGCAAGAAGGUCGAGCAGCUCGUUGAGCAACAAAAAGCUGAAUACGAGCAGCGCGACAAGGAGAAAGCCCAGGAAGGUGCUGGAGGAUCCGGCAAGAAACGUCCUGGCCGAGGAGGAUGCCGCGGCAAGGCCAAGCAGCGGCAAGGAGACAGACCUCCUCGCGGCCGCGACAAGGAUGAAGAUGACGACGACGAUGAAGACAUGGAUGAUGAGGAGACCAAUGAGCAGGAGUUCCAGAAAGCCACAGAGGUCCUGUGCGUUGACGGCGGUGCUUCUCUGCAUACUUCACACCGCCAGCUCAAGCAAUGGGUGCAGGAAGUUAAUGCAGCAGAACCACCCGUCGAGUCACGCAAGCCUCUGAAAUGGUCCAGCACGCCUAUCAUCUUUGAUAUUGAGGACCACCCUGAUCGCAUAACUGUGGUCGGGUGCUUGCUGAUGUUGGUUUCACCAACUAUCCGCAACCUCAAGGUCACCAAGAUGCUAGUUGACGGCAGGGCCGGCUUAAACUUGAUCUCCUUCGCGGUACUCCAGAAACUCCAGAUCCCUGAUAGCGAGCUCGAAGAGACUGGCACAUUCCAAGGAAUCAACCCGGGAAGGAGCAAGCCAAAGGGAAAGAUCACGUUGCCGGUAACAUUUGGCAGCGAGUUGAACUUCAGAACUGAGAGGGUCACUUUUGACGUUGCUGAUUUUCCAUUACCCUACAAUUGGAUACUCGGCCGUCCAGCACUCGCCAAGUUCAUGGCAGCCUCUCACUAUGCCUACAACAUGCUCAAGAUGCCAGGCCCGAUAAGUGUCAUCUCUGUCCCUGGCGACAAGAAAGAUGCUCUUAUCUAUGCCGACAAGAUCUACCGGGAAGCAACAGCCGCAAUAGAUCGCAAGUCACUUGCCGCUGAAGCUCCCGGGGGGAAGAAGAAGACCAAGUCCGGCAAGAGUUCUGAUGCCCACUCCGGCAAGCGCACCUCUUCGGAGUGCUGCACUACCGUCGAGGACGCACCAUCGAGCUCCACCGGCAAGUGUAAGAAGGCAAUGGCAGCUCCACCUGAGACCAAGAAGGUGUCCGCCAAGGAGGACAGCACUGGUGGUACCUUCACCAUCAGUGCCACUCUCGACCCCAAAUAGGAAAGCGCGCUCGUUGCUUUCUUGCGGGCGAAUGUCAACGUGUUUGCGUGGCAACCGUCUGACAUCCCCGGUGUUCCCAGGAAAGUAAUUGAGCACCACCUUGCUGUCUGUCCUCAUGCGCGGCCCGUCAAGCAGAAAGUUAGGAAACAUGCAGUGGAGCGCCAAGAAUUCAUCGUAGAAGAAAUCAAGAAGUUGGAAGCAGCAGGCCUUGUCAGAGGAGUGCUCCAUCCUACGUGGUUGGCCAAUCCUAUAGUUGUGCGCAAGGCUAACGAAAAAUGGAGGCUUUGUAUCGACUUCACUGAUGUCAAUAAAGCUUGUCCCAAACACCCAUUUCCCUUGCCGCGCAUCGAUCAGAUUGUUGACUCCACGGCCGGAUGUGAUUUGCUCUCAUUUCUUGAUGCAUACUCAGGAUACCAUCAGAUCUUCAUGGCAGAAGAGGAUGAGGAGAAGACCGCAUUCAUCACCCCGUGUGGCAUGUACUGUUUCGUACGGAUGCCUUUCGGUUUGAAGAAUGCUGGUUCAACAUUUGUAAGGGUAGUCCACCACGCUUUUGAGCCGCAGAUGCACAGAAAUGUGGAAGCCUACAUGGAUGACAUAGUGGUCAAGAGCAAGGACAGGGCGACCCUGAUUCAAGAUUUGGACGAAACAUUUGCAAAUCUGCGCAAGAUCAACCUCAAGCUCAACCCCGAGAAGUGCGUGUUUGGAGUCCCUUCCGGCAAGCUUCUCGGGUUCUUCGUGUCUCAGCGGGGAAUUGAAGCCAAUCCCGACAAGAUCAAGGCCAUUGAGCAGAUUGAAGCACCAAAGCGCGUCAAGGAUGUACGAAGACUUGCCGGUUGCAUGGCUGCUCUCAGCAGGUUUAUCUCUAGAUCUGCUGAGCGCGCCCUGCCGUUUUUCAAAAUAUUGAAAAAGGCAGGUCAAUGAAAUGGACUCUGGAAGCGGAGGCUGCGCUGCAGGACUUGAAGAGAUACAUGUUCUCCACUCCAACACUUGUCGCACCUAAACCACAAGAGAAGUUGCUGCUGUAUAUAGCGGCAACCAAUCAAGUGGUUAGUGCUGCGUUAGUGGCGGAGAGGGAGGCAGAUGACGAGCCAGCAACCACGGCAGACACAUCCAGCGACAAGCAGGGGGCUUCACCGACAAGCUCUGGUCCCGACAAGGAUGGAUCUGCGCAGGAGCAUGAUAAGAUGCAGAAGAGAAUGGUGCAGCGCCCAGUUUACUUUGUCAGUUCCCUUCUGCAGGGGGCUAGGUCAAGGUACUCUGGCGUGCAGAAAUUGCUUUUCGGCCUUCUCAUGGCCUCGAGAAAGCUGCGCCAUUACUUCCAAGCACAUGAGAUCACAGUCGUCACUCGUUUUCCGCUAAAAAGGAUACUGCAAAAUCCAGAAGCGACAGGCAGGAUUGUCGAGUGGGCGCUGGAACUGUCAAGCUUUGGCCUCAAGUUUGAAAGUACUUCAACUAUCCAAAGCAGAGCAUUGGCAGAGUUCAUAGCAGAGUGGACGCCAACACAAGAUGAAGAAACUCUAGAGACAAGCAUCCCCGUCAAGGAAGCGAGAAAAGAGUGGCUGAUGUACUUUGAUGGUGCCUUCUCGCUGCAAGGCGCCGGUGCGGGCAUGCUGCUUGUCGCACCCACCGGAGAGCACCUCAAGUACGUAGUCCAGAUGCACUUUCCCAAGGAGCAAGCAACCAACAAUACUGCGGAGUAUGAAGGAUUGCUUGCCGGUCUCAGGAUCGCAGCAGACCUUGGGAUCAAGAAGCUCGUUGUCAGGGAUGACUCACAGCUUGUCGUCCGCCAAGUGAACAAGAACUAUCAGAGUCCAUUGAUGGAAGCAUAUGUUGAUGAAGUGAGAAAGCUAGAAGAGCACUUUGACGGCCUACAGAUGGAGCAUGUUCCGAGAGCUCAGAAUGACAUUGCUGAUGGCCUGUUGAAGUGCGCCGCACUAGAGUUACCUGUGGAACUAGGGAUCUUUGUGCUCAAGCUGACUCAACCGUCCGUAAUGCCAUCAACUGGACAGAACAAGAAGAGGAAGUUGAUUUCUGGUGACUAUUUUCCGGCAGAGCUCCCUGAAGCCGCCACCAAGAAGGUCCCCAAGAUCAACGCCAAGGAUGCUGAGGAGCAGUCUACUCCGGCAAGCCUUAUGGUUUGUUCCGUCGCAGCAGACGCUCCCGACAAGCUUUGCUCCGGCAAGCUUGCCGGGGAACAUCAAGCUCCGGCUGAGCCGCAGGUUCUCACCGUGGAAGCGGAUGUUCCCGCAGCAGCAGAUGUGCCUUUAGUCCUUGUUGUCGAGCCACAAGCUCCAGCAUGGGCACAGCAGAUUGUCCAUUUCCUUCAGACAGGAGAACUUCCCGAAGAGCAAGAAGAAGCGGAAAAAGUAGCCCGGCAGUCAAGUAUGUACCAGUUUCUUGACAGCACACUGUACAGAAGAAGACUCAACGGUGUGAAAUUGAAGUGUAUUUGCCGGGAAGACGGACAAAAGUUGUUGGCAGAGAUACAUGGAGGCAUAUGUGGCCACCACAUUGGCGCAAGAGCACUUGCCGGCAAAGCGUUCCGGCAAGGUUUCUUUUGGCCGACAGCCCUCCAGGAUGCAACUGCACAAGUAACCAAGUGUGAAGCGUGCCAGUUCCAUUCCAAGCAGAUACACCAGCUAGCUCAAGCUCUCCAGACGAUCCCUUUAUCCUGGCCAUUUUCGGUCUGGGGGCUCGACAUCCUCGGCCCCUUUCCCCGAGCUGUCGGGGGCUUUGAGUACUUGUACGUCGCAAUCGACAAGUUCACAAAGUGGCCGGAAGUGGAACCAGUGAGGAAGGUGACAGCACAGUCAGCAAUCAAGUUCUUCAGGUCGAUUGUUUGCCAUUUCGGGAUCCCUAACAGGAUCAUUACCGACAACGGCACACAAUUCACGAGCCGCACCUUCAUGCAGUACGUCCAAGAUCUUGGCGCCAAGGUCUGCUUCGCUCCUGUUGCUCAUCCGAGAAGCAACGGUCAAGCGGAGAGGGCAAAUGCUGAAGUGCUGCGCAGGCUCAAGACCAGGACUUUCGACAGGCUGCGCAAGUGCGGAAGGAACUGGAUCGAGGAGCUGCCGGUGGUUCUUUGGUCGAUCAGGACGACGCCAAAUCGAGCCAUUGGCCAGACGCCUUUCGCUCUAGUCUAUGGAGCAGAGGAAGUUCUCCCCAUGGAACUUGUAUACGGGUCACCUCGAGUGCUUGCUUAUGAUGAGCUUGAGCAAGAGCAGCUGCGACAAGAUGACGCGCUGCUCCUUGAGGAGGAUCGUCUUCAGGCUGCUGUACGAGCUGCUCGAUACCAGCAAGCUUUGCGCCGCUACCAUAGCCGCAAAGUUAAAGCCAGAAGCUUCGAGGAAGGCGACCUUAUUCUUCGGCGCGUUCAGUCCGCCAAGAAUUCCAGCAAGUUGACGCCGAAGUGGGAAGGCCCUUACCGGGUGAAACGAGUCACUAGGCCUGGCGCUGUCCGCCUUGAGACCGAAGAUGGCACUCCGGUGAGCAACUCCUGGAACAUUGAGCAUCUUCGUAAGUUUUACCCGUAGGGCGCGGUUGCCGAAACCCGUUCCGGCAACCACUUUUUGUACAAGUCUUGCCGAUGUUGCAUGUAAUCCUUUGUACAAAGCUGGGCGCAGAUCCCGUGCAUAAGUAAAGCUCAUGUGCUCCGCACAUCUUGUCAAUUUCAUGCAUUAUAUUCUUUCUUGCAUGUGUUAUCUGACACUUUGUGCAGCACCUACCCCCAGUAAGCAAUAACGAGCCGAAAGGCUCCAUAUCUUUAUUUUCUCUUCUUUCUUUUUCUCAACAAAGGAAAGGAAGGUUCCCUCGCACACAAGUUUGCCGGGGGGGAAAGGAGAAGAUAAGGGUGUGGACCAGGCGUCGUUUAAGGAAGUUUCGCCUUGCCGGGAAGUGAACGAUAGAAAAGCUAAGUUGCCAAAGUUUGAGCAAUUAGUUUUAAUUUUUAAGUUAUCUUCCUCAAACGACCGGACUUUGUAUGGAAAACCUGUGCACGGAGGAACCAACUCAUAGCUAGUUGCGCCCUUACUUUGUUUCGAGUCCGCUCAACAACUUAAGUGUGCUGCAACUAGUCGCGACAAGGUUUCUUGUCGGAAGCGGCACCGCCAGCAGGCUGCUGACGUCCCGCACUCAGCGCUCGCGGCUCGGGUGCCCGCGCCGACAAGUCCCCUAAAAGCGUAGGGUAAAAACAUACAAAGGAAGGAAUCUAGUAAAGGAAAUAACGUAGCAAUUGAUAACACAAAUAGAGUUGCAUUACAAAAUAACUUGUCGCAGCUCUAACAGAUUGAUCUUAUAAUAUGGCUAGCAGCGACAAGGAGAAAGAGAAAACGGGCGGCCUAGUCUACGCGAUCGCCCUCAACCCUCUUGAUCUCGCUCACCUUGUCCACAAUGGGUGCGACAAGGGCCUUGAGCGCAUCCAGAUCGGCGUCAGGCGGCAAAGACUUGAGGACGUUGGUGAGGUUGAGGCCUGGGUUGCGGAAGGCCACCUUCAUCAGCACCUUCUGGAGAGCCCCCGCGCAAAUCCUGCGCGACUCGUCGGCCAGCUGCUUUGGGAUCCUCUCCCGGAGCCGCUGGAGUGCCGUCGCCACGCCUUUGAAGAACAGGCUGAGCUUGGCGCUGGGUUGGAGAUGCUCGUCGGAGGGAUACCCCAAAUCCUCCAUCCCCAGCUGCGCCAACUCCUCGUCGAUGGCAGCGGCAGCAUCCACUAGACCUUCAGUCCAAUGCUCCACUGUCUCCCUGAAGGCGUCGUGGGCGGCAGCAGCAUUCGCCAGCAGUGCCUCGUCGGCCUUGAUCUUCUCCGACAAAGUCACCUCUCGCUCCCUGGUGACGUCCAGCGUCUGAGUCAACAUGGCCAGCUUCAACUCCAGGUCUGCAUUUGAAUCCUUGGCGGCGCUGAGUUCCUUGCCCCUCUCAGCGAGAAGACCCUGCAGCUCACCAUGAGCGGCGGCGUCCUUCUCGCGCUCGCGCUUAAGCACGGCAAGCUCCUCGCCGCUCGCCUUGAGGUCUGCCUCCAGCUGCGCCACCUUCAUCUCCAGCUCCUUCUUGGCGGCCUCAGCAGCUACGGCGGCGUCCUUUGCUUCCUUGAGCGCCCCGCCUAUUGCUUGCUCGCACGCGGCAUGCUCCUCCUCGUGGCUGUCAAGAUUGACCUUGCGCUGCGCCAACUCUCCCUCCUGCGCAGAUAGCUUCUCGGCCGCAAGCCUUUGUUUCUCUUCGACCUCAGCCUUCUCGAGGAGGAAAGCUUUCCGCUCCUUGAGAAGUUGCUCCCGCUCCUCCGCCAAGGACCGGAGAGUUUCCUGCCUGAGGCCCCAGAGCUCCUCCGCACGCUUCUAAAUGUCAACCCCCGCCUUCGCAACGAGCGCCUCUCGGGACGCCAGUUUGGCUUGGCAGGCGUGGUUGAGUGACAGCAGCUUCCAUAGCAGUCGCUCCUCCUCAGACUCGCCGCUACUGCUGCUUGGCGCAUCGACAAGCGCCAGCCCAGCGGAGGCGAGCACCUCUUCGUCGAAGGUUUCUCCUUCGACCGGCGCCCUGGAGCUUGACGCCCAGGGAAGUUUGAUGAAGAUACCGUCGCCGCCCUUCAAGUAGGCGCCGGGCUGAGGCUCUUCAGAGCCUGGCUCCGCAGCAGCGGCGGAGGGAUCGGCGGUCGGUGCAGCGCCUAGCGCUCCUGCGGCCUCAGGGCCGUUAGUGCGAUCGCCGGACCCCUCGCCAGCCUCUGCAGCGGCAUCCUUGGCGGCCUCUUCGCCGGCGGGAUCAUCAGCGCUGGCCUCUUCUUCGGUGGCGGCGGCGUCGUCGUUGCUGCCACGCGCGCCUUCCUCGUCGGCGUCCUCAGUCUCCAUUGGCUCCGCAGCAGAUGGAUCUGAAGAACGAAGAAGGGAGAAAAGUCAAGCAAAAAUCCAAGAAAGGAAAUUCAGAAGAAAAAGAUCCCAAGGGAGGUUUUCAGGCAAGGAGAUUACCUGUACUAGGAUCUGCGGUCGUGGUCUCGACCGCCGGAGGAUCACUGGUGCCGUCCCUUCCUGGAGGAUUGUCCCUUGCCGGGGAGUUCUCCCUUGCCGGAGAGCGCUCCCUUGCCGGGGACUCCUCCCUUGGCGGCGUAGUCGAAGCAGAUGGCACUUCGGGAGCAGCUUCCGGGCACUCCUGAUGAGGCUAUUCUGCUCCUACACAAUUCAACAGCCAAGAUGUCAGUAGAGAGCACCCAUGCGCGCCUGACAGCAAAAAGUGAACUACAAACUUACGCUGGGGGCUGCACUGGGGGCUGCUCUGGGGAGUAGUUGCCAGGUCCGUCAAGGUGGUCUCAGACACACCACCUGCUGACACGGUGGGAUCAUCUUCGAUGACAAUCACCGGGGCCUUGGCUCUCUUCGCCGCUCUCUGGGCCAGCGUCCUGAAAAGGAAUGGAUUCAGAUCGAAGCAAGUCAGAUACAAGACAAAACCAACAAGAAUUGAAGAACUACAAGAGCACCAAAGAAACUUACUCUUCCUCUUCCUCGUCGGAGCUGAGCGCGGAGAGGUCGAAGUCCGGCUCUCCUCCGGUGCGGCGAGGCGGAGGAGAAGGUUCCCUUGCCCGCUUGGCAGGGGCGGUAGCGGUGGACCGGGAAGAUCCCGCUCCAGUUGCCGCAACAGCAUGAGGCGCUCCCGCGGCAACAGUACUUGCCGUGGUAGAGCAUGUUGCACGGCUUGGCGGCUGUUGGCUCGUUUGUCGCCCCGCUACGUCCCCGGCCCUGCGGAGACGCCUUCUUGGUGCAGCUGGGGGCUCCACUUGCGGCACGGUAUCUGAAGAUUCGGGCCCGACAAGGUCUCCCUCACCGGGCUCGCUCGGUUCGUCUUCAGGACCGGCAAGCUCUUCCUCGCUGACAAACUCCUCGUGCUCGGCAAGGCUUGCCGCCUCUGCUGCCUCUGCCUCCUCUACGGUGAACCCGAACGCGCCCGCGGCAGCUACUGCCGCAGCCUCUUCCGCCCUAGUGGCGAUGCGCUGCAGCUCCGCGUCGGUCGUGUCGCGGGUGAGGCUCUUCUGUUCGUCGGCGCGGACCGGCACUUCUACCAAGUCGUCGAAGAACGCUUGUACGAUGUCAUCCGCAGGUUCUUGCCAAGUUGGUGCGAUUCCGUGCGAAUCGCACAACGGCAUCAUCGCGCGGAUCCGGUCAAGCGACGAAUUGUUGCACAACGGAACGACGCUCCUCGGCAGUGUGAAUGGAUGUUGGGGAUCUCGUUUGAACAACUCCAGGAGCAUCGCAUCCAGCUCCAGGACAGUGAAGUUGAAGUUGAGGCCCGGGCGCAGCCUCAUGAUAUCCGCCGAGUUCUUGAACUCCCAGGCGGGUCUCCCCCUCUCUUGCAGGGGGCGAUGCGGCGGCGAAGGAAAUCUGCACCGACGGCACCUACAGUGAGCCCAGCAAGCCUAAGGCGAAGGAUUCGGGUGACGGCAAUCUUCAGCCUGUCGUCCUCCGGGGCCACAUUGCUCCAAUCAUUACCACGCACUAUUGGGGCUUGGUGCAGGGCAGUGAAGAGCUGCGGCUUCUCCUCGACGAUCCAGCACCACUCCGCUCUCCACUCCUCCCACUUGCUGCGGAGCUCACCCUCCAGAUACGCCUCCUUCUUGCCGACUCUCGAGAUCCAGGCGAUCCCUCCGGCAAGCGGCUCUCCUCUCUCGACCCGAGGCAUGAAGAAGUGGCGGAAAAGGGCUACAUUUGGGUGGACUCCGACAAAGUUUUCGCACAAAUGUGUGAAAACUUCCAUGGUCAGAACGGCGUUGGGGGUGAAGUCAAGGAGGCGGAACCCGUAGGUGUUCAUAAUGUCGCAGAAGAAAUCAGAAAAGGGCGGGCAAAGCCCGCAGUAGAAGAACAAUGCGAAGAACGGGUACCCGCUUGGAGCCAGUUCCAAAGCUGCAGCCGGGAGUACCCUCGUGCGCGGAUGCGCACGCGUCUCCGUCGACCAGAAGAGGUAGUAGUACUCCCUCAGCUCCUGCGCACCGAGCUGAGGGGGGAAGAGGGCCCGCUCCUUUCGCAGCGCCGCGAGCCGCUGCGCCUCGGCCGACUUCACGCCCUUCCCCUUGUCGGCUUUUGGAGCCAUGGCGGAGGUGGCGGGGGAGAUCGGCGGCGUUGGUGAUGCUGGUGGCAAUGGGGAGUGGAGCGCUGCUCUCUUUUUGCUUCGAGAAGAAGGGGGGAGCGGCGGAGAUUUCUGGAGUUGAAGCAACAAACGGUGAGAUGGGCAAACUGCCCCUGUUUCCCCUGCUUAUAAUGAGGGAGGGGGCGGACGUUUCGCCCUUCCAAAUAAAGAAACCACCCAUGAUCUCUCCCACGACGCCGCAUUCGACGCGUGCCGUUAGGGAGGGCGCGGUGGAUACGGAGUCAGAUACGGCGUAACCCAGGCCGCGUGUGCCCGUGCCCUGUUUUGGGCCUGGCCCAACAGCGCUCGGCACCGUGUAUGGCCCAGGCCCGGGGGCUCCUGUCGGUGUACUAGAAUAGGGGUACCCUAGUAUCCCGAACUUGUGCACGGGCAGUUGCAGCGCCUCGCGGCAAGGCUUGCCGGGCGACCGCCAAGGUCCUCCAUGGUUCCUUUGGAGCCAUUCAAGAACAAAGUAUUCAAGCCAAGGCCCCGGCAAGACGAGCUUGCCGGGAAAGCCAACCAAGGCAUCCCAAGGAACUUGCCGCGACGCGCCAUGUGUCCCGGCAAGGCGACAAGGCCCCGGCAAGAGGAGCUUGCCGGAAGACCAACCAAGGCAUAUCAGGGCCCGGUGAGCGACAAGCUUCCGGACCCGACAAGACAACGGCCGCGGCAAGGUGCUUGCCGCGGCAGGCGGCCACUCUGUGCCCACGCUCCAGCGUAUCCACCAACGUGUCGCUCUGGGGGCCUUUCCAAGUGCGCAUGGCGGGAGGCUGUGGAGCCAGCGGUGCGCGGUGGCAUGCAAAGUUGACAAGAUCGCCAUCGUGGCGAGCGGUGGCGCCCUUGACGGUCCUUUUCUGCACUGUUUGGGCUACACGGACGGGCAUUUAAUGCCCUUGUCCCCUACUGUCAGGGUUAGGUAGGAAACACUGUACAAGUAACUGUACCAACCACCUCGCUUUUUACGCUUUUACCCUUCUCUGCGUUGCCACCUGUCGGUGACCCCUUGAGAAUAUAAAAGGAGGCCCAUGCGCAACGUAGAGGGGGUUCGACUCAUUCGUAAGCCAGAAAACACUUAGCUCUCUCGAGCAAGAACACAAUACAAUCAGACAGGCAGCAGUAGGAGUAUUAUCUCUCCAGAGAGCUCCGAAGCUGGGUAAACUGCUCGUGUGCUUCGCCUCGAUCUGCUCUUCGUGCGAUCUCCGCCGCUCGCCGAACCGAAAGGGGCCCGGUCCGCCGGCCCCAUAGGUGUUCGUGGAUCAGUUUCCCCGACAGAUAUAGGUUUUUGUAAUCUGAAAAUAUAAAAAUAGCAAGGUAACAAGUGGUAAAAAAGUGAGCAUAAACGGUACUGCAAUGCUAGGAAACAAGGCCUAAGGUUCAUACUUUCACUCGUGCAAGUUCUCUCAACAAUAAUAACAUAAUUGGAUCAUAUAACUAUCCCUCAACAUGCAACAAAGAGUCACUCCAAAGUCACUAAUAGCGGAGAACAAACAAAGAGAUUAUUGUAGGGUACGAAACCACCUCAAAGUUAUCCUUUCUGAUCGACCUAUUCAAGAGUCCGUAGUAAAAUAACACGAAGCUAUUAUUUCUGUUCGAUCUAUCAUAGAGUGCAUACUAGAAUAACACCUUAAGACACAAAUCAACCAAAACCCUAAUGUCACCUAGAUACUCCAAUGUCACCUCAAGUAUCCAUGGGCAUGAUUAUACGAUAUGCAUCACACAAUCUCAGAUUCAUCUAUUCAACCAACACAAAGAACUUCAAAGAGUGCCCCAAAGUUUCUACCGGAGAGUCAAGAUGAAAACGUGUGCCAACCCCUAUGCAUAGAUUCCCAAGGUCACGGAAUCCGCAAGUUGAUCACCAAAACAUACAUCAAGUCGAUCAAUAGAAUACCCCAUUGUCACCACGGAUAUCCCUUGCAAGACAUACAUCAAGUGUUCUCAAAUCCUUAAAGACUCAAUCUGAUAAGAUAACUUCAAAGGGAAAACUCAAUCCAUUACAAGAGAGUAGAGGGGGAGAAACAUCAUAAGAUCCAACUAUAAUACUAAAGCUCGCGAUACAUCAAGAUCGUACCACCUCAAGAACACGAGAGACAGAGAUCAAACACAUAGCUACUGGUACAUACCCUCAACCCCGAGGGUGAACUACUCCCUCCUCGUCAUGGAGAGCACCGGGAUGAUGAAGAUGGCCAUCGAUGAGGGAUCCCCCCACCGGCAGUGUGCCCAAACAGGGUCCCGGUUGGUUUUUGGUGGCUACAGAGGCUUGCGGCGGCGGAAUUCCCGAUCUAUUGUGCUCCCCAAUGUUUUUAGGGUAUAUGGACAUAUAUAGGUGAAAGAAGUCGGUCAGGGGAGCCACGAGAGGCCCACGAGGGUGGGGGCGCACCCAGGGGGUAGGGUGUGCCUCCCUGCCUCGUGGCUUCCUCGAAGCAUCCCUGACAUCUACUCCAAGUCUCCUGGAUUGCUUCCGUUCCAAAAAUAACUCUCCCGAAGGUUUCAUUCCGUUUGGGCUCCGUUUGAUAUUCCUUUUCUUCGAAACACUAAAAUAGGCAAAAAAAACAGCAAUCUAGGCUGGGCCUCCGGUUAAUAGGUUAGUCCCAAAAAUGAUAUAAAAGUGUAGAGUAAAGCCCAUAAACAUCCAAAACGGGUAAUAUAAUAGCAUGGAACAAUCAAAAAUUAUAGAUACGUUGGAGACGUAUCAGACCCUGCUUUUGCUACUUCACCUAUCUAUAUUUAUGAUAAGGAUUAUGAUUUAUGUGUCGAUCUUGAGUUAAUUACUUUGGUUGAAUCUGAUCCUUUUUAUGGCUAUGAAUCUGAAACUGUUGUGGCACAUCUUACUAACUUGAAUGAUAUAGCCACCCUAUUUACUCAUGAGGAAAAAAUUCGUUAUUACUAUAUCCUUAAAUUGUUCCCAUUCUCAUUAAAGGGUGCUCCUAAAUUAUGGUUUAAUUCUCUUUCUCUUGGUUGUGUGUGUAGUCCCCAAGAUAUGAUUUAUUACUUCUCUGCUAAAUAUUUCCCCGCUCAUAAGAAACAAGCUGCCUUAAGGGAAAUAUAUAAUUUUGUGCAAAUUCAAGAAGAGAGUCUCCCGCAAGCUUGGGGGAGGCUUCUCCAAUUACUUAAUGCUUUGCCUGAUCACCCUCUCGAGAAAAAUUAAAUACUUGAUACCUUUCUAAUGGACUAACUGAUGCUUCCAGAGACCACCUGGAUAGUUGUGCUGGUUGUGUUUUCAGGGAAAGAACUGUUGAGCAAGUUGAAUUUCUAUUGAAUAAUAUAUUGAGUAAUGAUAACGAUUGGACACUUCCUAAACCAACUCAUAAGCCAACUCCGAAGAAAAGGGGUGUUCUAUUUCUCAGUCCUGAAGAUAUGCAAGAGGCAAAGAAAUCUAUGAAAGAAAAAGGUAUUAAAGUUGAAGAUGUUAUGAAUUAACCACCUAUUGACGAAAUACAUGGUCUUGAUAACCCGACAUAGGUAGUAAAGGUAAAUUCUCUCUAUAGAUUUGAUGCAGGUGAUAUCCCUUGUUAUAAGUCUGCUAGCCAAUGCUUGGAUGAGUUUGAUAAUUUUAUUAUUAAACAAGAAAACUUCAAUGCUUAUGUUGGUAGACAAUUGCAACGUAAUGCAUAUGAUUGAACACUUGAGUGAUUAUAUGUCUAGAGUUAAAGGUGACCUUAAGAUUAUUAGUAAACAUGCAUCUAUGGUUACCACUCAAGUAGAAAAAGUGCUUAAAGUACAAGAUGAUUUGCUCCGUGAAUUAAACAAUAAGAAAAAUGAUAAUGUUGUUAGAGUUAUGAAUAGAGGUGGUUGAAUGACUCAGGAACCUUUGUAUCCUAAGGGCCAUCCUAAGGGAGUUUAGCAAGAUUCUCAGAGAACGAAUGUUGAUGCACCUAGUCCUUCUAAGAAAAAGAAAAGGAAAAAUGAUAGGACUUUGCAUGCUUCUAGUGAACCUGUCAUAGACACACCUAAGAAUCCCAAUGAUAUUUCUAUUUUUGAUCCUGAAACACAAUCUGGUAAUGAAAAUGAGCCUAGUGAUAAUGUUAAUGAUGAUGUUCAUGUUGAUGCUCAACCUAGUAAUAACAAUGAUGUAAAAAUCGAACCUGUUGUUGAUCUUGAUAACCCACAAUCAAAGAAUCAAUGUUAUGAUAAGAGAGACAUCGUUGCUAGAAAGCACAGUAAAGAAAGAGAACCAUGGGUUCAGAAACCCAUGCCUUUUCGUCCUAAGACAUCCAAGAAAAAAGGAUGAUGAGGAUUUUGAGCGAUUUGCUGAAAUGAUUAGACCUAUCUUCUUGCGUAUGCGUUUGACUGAUAUGAUUAAAAUGAAUCCCUAUGCUAAGUACAUGAAAGAUAUUGUUACAAAUAAAAGAAAGAUAGCGGAAGCUGAAAUUUCCACUAUGCUUGCUAAUUAUAAUUUCAAGGGUGGAAUACCUAAGAAACUUGGAGAUCCAGGAGUACCAACUAUACCAUGCUCCAUUAAAAGACUAUAUUAAAACUGCUUUAUGUGAUCUUUGAGCCGGUGUUAGUGUUAUGACUCUCUCUUUAUAUCGUAGACUUGACUUUAAUAAGUUGACACCUACUGAACUCUCUUUGCAAAUGGCUGAUAAAUCAACUGCUAUACUUAUCGGUAUUUGUGAGGAUGUGCCUGUUGUGGUUGCAAAUGUUACUAUUUUAAUGGGAUUUGUUAUUCUUGGUAUUCCCAAGGACGACAGUAUGUCGAUUAUCCUUGGUAGACCCUUUUUGAAUACUACAGGGGCUGUUAUUGAUUGCAACAAAGGCAACGUCACUUUUCAUGUUAAUGGUAAUGAGCAUACGAUACACUUUCCGAGGAAACAACCUCAAGUCCAUAGUAUCAAUUCUGUUGGAAAAAUUUCAACGAUUACUAUUGGAGGUUUUGAAUUCCCUCUUCCUACUGUCAAAAAGAAAUAUGAUAUUCUUAUUGUUGGGGACAUGCAUAUCCCCGUUGAGGUAACCUGGUGUUAUUCGAAAAUUCUCCGGUUUCAUGUUAUCCGAAAGAAGUUUGUUAACAAGACUUGAUCAACCUUGUUAGUGGAUUCCUUUUGAUGAGCAUGAGAUGGAUGAAGUUAGAAAGCACAACUCUCUGUACCCUCCUUUUACUUUCUGUUAUUUAGAUGAAAUAAAGCAAAAAUAGUAUUUCUCUGUCUGUUUUCUGAGUUAUCAAUGCAAUAAAAAAUACCCCAAAAAUAAAAGUUCUCCAAAUGUCCAGAAAAUGAAGUAUGAUUUUUUGUAGAAUAUUUAAGAAUUUCUGGCACUGAGAACACACCAGGGGGGCCCACCAUUUGACCAGGAGGGCACGGGGCGUGCCCACUGAUAGAGGCAAAGGUGUCCCGUCUUUCGAUGAGAUGAUGGAUAUCGCUUUGGUGGAAAUCGACUUUGACGAUCCGACUACGAACGUGCGAGGACACCGCGCCUUAGCAAUCGCUAAACCAACUCCGAGAGGUUAUCGACCACACCGGAGUACGAUCAACCUGACCACGAGGGUCUUUUUCCUGCGAGCAAAUGAAGAACAAGCAAGAAACUGAGAUUGCAAUCUGGAUAUUGCGAAUAUAAGAUGAAAGCUUUAUUGAUCAAGGUGGGGUUCUGUGACGCCUUUGUCUGGUUGUUGAACACAAACGAAGUACGCGAAGUUGCAGCUAUGGCGAACUUUUAAGCUAAACAAAACCCAAAGUCUAAACGACGCCCUAAGGGUUGUAUAUAUGGAGGAAGAGGGGGGAAUUUCGUGGCCCUUGGGGAAGGGGUCCGAAACCAACCCUAUCUCUUGUUUCCCCACACAUACGGACUCUAAAAACAGCCUAUACUCAAGUAUUUCGAAAAUACAUGGGCCUGGCCCAAUAAUAAGGUGACGCAUCACCUAGAAUAGCCUCUGGACGAAAGUUAUGAAGUAGCAUCUUGUAUAUUUCGUCCAAGGCUUCAUCCACUCAUUAUGGUGGCUUCAACGUCCUCAAAUCAUCACUUGUAACUAGGUUCUUGUUCCCCUUGCGCAUGCCAUCAUCUCCAUGCUUGUUCUUGCUCCAAUGUUCAUCCUUCUCCAAGCUAGGCCCUUCAUUUGUAAGCAAAACAAAUGGCAGCAUCAUAUUCUCAUGAACAUUAGAAUCAUUACCAAGAAACGAAAGUACCUGCUAAUUUAAUUGGCGUGCGCGAGCUCUAGUAAUUGGUCCAGUAUGUAUAGCAGCAGGGGUUGUGGGUGUAAUAAUGGUAUUGAUGUCCUCAUCAUCCUCCCCGUCUUAAAUGAAGUCGUCCUCGACGGAAGCUCAUCUUCCUCACCCAAAUAAGGCUUCAAAUCUGCAAUGUUAUAAGUGGGACUAACCCCAAAAUCUGCAGGCAGCUCAAGUUUAUAUGCAUUAUCAUUCAUAUUCUCUAACACCUUAAAAGGACCAUCAGCACGUGGCAUUAGCUUUGAUUUGCGCAAAUCAGGAAAUCUAUCCUUACGCAAAUGUAACCAAACAAGAUCUCCAGGUGCAAACACAACAUGUUUUCUACCUUUAUCUCCAGCAAGUUUAUAUUUAGCAUUCAUACGCUCAAUGUUUUCCUUAGUUAACUCAUGCAUUUUUAAAAUCAAUUCAGCACGUUGUUUAGCAUCAAAAUUAACCGUCUCCGAAGAUGGAAGAGACAACAAAUCAAUAGGUGCACGAGGUAGGAAACCAUACACAAUUUCAAAAGGGCACAUCUUAGUAGUAGAAUGCAAUGAACGAUUAUAAGCAAAUUCAAUAUGAGGCAACCAUUCUUCCCACAUUUUCUUAUUAUUCUUCAAAACAGCCCUAAGCAUAAUAGACAAUGUUCUAUUGACUACUUCAGUUUGUCCAUCAGUUUGGGGGUGACAAGUAGUACUAAAAAGUAGUUUAGUCCCCAACUUAUCCCAUAAACAUCUCCAAAAGUGGCUAAGAAAUUUAGUAUCACCAUCUGAAACAAUAGUAUUUGGCACACCAUGCAAGCGAAUUAUUUCACGGAAUAAUAAAUUAGCAACAUUAACAGCAACAUCGCUUUUAUGACAUGGUAUAAAGUGUGCCAUUUUCAAGAAUAUAUCCACGACAACAAAUAUGCUAUCCCUCCCCUUCUUUGUUCGAGGUAAACCUAAAACAAAGUCCAUAGAUAUAUCCUCCCAAGGAACACUAGGUACAGGCAAAGGCAUAUAUAAACCAUGAGGAUUGAGUCGUGACUUACUUUUUGACAUGUAGUGCAGCGAGCAACAAAGCGCUCAACAUCACGUCUCAUCUUUGGCCAAAAGAAAUGUGUAGCAAGUACGUCCUCUAUCUUCCUCACGCCAAAGUGUCCCAUUAGUCCUCCUCCAUGCGCCGCCUGCAACAACAGAAGACGAACAGAGCUAGCUGGAAUGCAUAGCUUGUAAGCACGGAACACAAAUCCAUCAUUAAUGACGAACUUGUUCCAAGUUGUUCCUUCUUUACAAUUCUGCAAUACAUCUUUAAAAUCAGCAUCAUGCACAUAUUGAUCUUUGAUGGUCUCCAAACCAAAUAUUUUGAAGUCAAGUUGUGAAAGCAUAGUAUAGCGACGAGAUAAUGCAUCAGCAAUAACAUUUUCGUUACCAUUCUUGUAUUUAAUGAAAUAAGGGAAAGUCUCAAUGAAUUCAACCCAUUUAGCAUGUCUACGAUUCAGUUUAGCUUGACUUUUAAUAUGUUUCAAAGAUUCAUGAUCAGAAUGUAUAAAAAAUUCUUUGGGCCAUAAAUAAUGUUGCCAUGUUUCUAAAGUCCGAACAAGAGCAUAUAAUUCUUUAUCAUAAGUAGAAUAAUUCAGACUAGGGCCACUCAAUUUUUCAGAAAAGUAUGCAACAGGUUUGCCAUCUUGUAAUAACACACCUCCUAAUCCAAUUCCGCUAGCAUCACAUUCAAGCUCAAAAGUCUUAUUAAAAUCAGGAAGUUGGAGUAAAGGAGCAUGUGUCAACUUAUCUUUCAACACCGUGAAGGCUUCUUCCUGUGCGGUACCCCAAACAAAAGGCACAUCCUUCUUUGUAAGCUCAUUGAGAGGUGCAGCAAUGGUGCUGAAAUCUCUCACAAAACGCCUAUAGAAUCCAGCGAGGCCAAGAAAACUCCUCACUUGUGUGACCGUUUUGGGCUGCGACCAACUCUCAAUAGCUUCAAUCUUGGCUCUAUCAACUUCAAUUCCCUAUGGAGUAACAACAUAGCCAAGAAAAGACACUCGGUUGGUGCAAAAGGUGCACUUCCCAAGGUUACCAAACAAACGUGCAUCACGUAGAGCAAUAAAAACAACACAUAAAUGUUCCAAAUGUUCCUCCAAAGAUCUGCUAUAAAUCAAUAUGCCAUCAAAGUAAACUACCACAAAUCAUCCAAUGAAAGCACGUAAAACUUCGUUCAUUAAUCUCAUGAAAGUACUAGGUGCAUUAGUUAACCCAAAAAGCAUGACUAACCACUCAUAUAAUCCAAACUUAGUUUUAAAUGUUGUUUUCCAUUCAUCCCCCAAUUUCAUACGAAUUUGAUGGUAUCCACUACGCAAAUCAACUUUGGAGAAUAUUGUAGAGCCACUCAAUUCAUCAAGCAUAUCAUCUAGCAUAGGAAUAGGAUGACAAUAACGAAUAGUAAUAUUAUUAAUGCCUCUACAAUCAACACACAUACGCGAUGUACCAUCCUUUUUCGGCACUAGAAUAAUAGGAACGGCACAAGGACUAAGGGAUUCGCGUAUAUAAUCUUUGUCGAGAAGCUCUUGUACCUGACGCAUAAUAUCCUUCGUCUCCUCUGGAUUGGUACGGUAUGGCGCACGGUUUGGCAGUGAAGCACCGGGAAUUAAGUCAAUCUGAUGCUUAAUCCCUCGAAUAGGCGGUAAUCCCGGUGGCACGUCUUGUGGAAAGACGUCAGCGAACUCCUGCAAAAUGUUAGUGACAGCAAAAGGCAAAGAGGAAGGCACGUCCUCGAAUAAAAAUAAUGCCUCUUUGCACACAAAAGCAUAGCAAACAGAUUUGCUAAAAUCUAGCUCAUCAAUAUCAGAUUUAGUGGCAAGUAAACAUGCACUUUUCAAUUUAAUUUCAGAAGCAACACUAGAUGGUUUACUAUUAGGCUUCAUUUGUUGCUCAAAUUCUUUUGCCACAAUCUGAUUUUCACUAUUAUUUUUCUCCUGUUUUGUUUUAUUAGCUCUAUUAAUAUCAUCUUUCAAAAUGGACUCAGGAGUCAUAGGAAGCAAAGUAAUAUUUUUAUCCUUAUGAACAAGAGUAUACUAAUUGUUUCUACCAUGGUGUACAGAAUUUUUAUCAAAUUGCCAUGGUCGACCAAGUAAUAAAGAACAUGCUUGCAUAGGUACCACAUCACAAUCAACAUAAUCAGCAUAUGUAGAUAUACUAAAAUGCACACGAACAGUACGUGUUACCUUGACCUUGUCGUUGUUGUUGAACCAUUGGAUGCAGUAAGGAUGUGGAUGUGGUCUUGUGGUGAGAGAUAGCUUCUCCACCAUCUCCAUGCUAGCCAAGUUGUUGCAACUCCCUCCAUCUAUGAUGACGCGCACAGAAUGUUCCUUCACAACUCCCUUUGUAUGGAACAAAUUAUGCCUCUGAUUUUGCUCAGCUUGUGUAACCUGCACACUCAAAACACGUUGAGCAACUAAACAUUCAUACCUAUCAGCAUCUUCAGGGGCCAUGUAUUGCGUCUCAUGAUCAGAAUCAUCUCCACCGUGUUCUUCACUUGUAAUAAGGGCUAAAGUCUCCUCAUCAUAGUCACUAGCAGACUCAUACCCACCAUCCUCAGUAGCAAUCAUCACACGCUAAGAUUUGCAUUCUCACGCAUAAUGUCCUCUUCCCUUACAACGAUGACAAAUAAUAUCACUUGUGUGCCAUGUUGAUGCCAUAGACGAAGAAGAGCUCUGUGCAGGCCCGGCAGGUGCGCUCUUGGCAGAUAGUGGUGGUUGUGCCUGCUUUCUUGUAUCACGGCUGGAGGUAGCAGCUGAUGGAGGUGCUGGUGCAGUGGAAGUAGAGGAUGCAUGCGGUGUCCAUGAUGAAAGUCGACCUGCAGAAAAGUUAGUUCGCGCCAAUGCUUGUCGAUCCUGCACUUCACGUUCAGCUUUACAAGCAAGAUGGAAUAAACGAGUGAUAUUAGUAUACUCCUUAUACCCUAGAAUGGUCUGAAUCUCUCUAUUUAAUCCACCCAUGAAACAUGCAAGCAUAGUUUCAUUCUCCUCAACAAUACCACAUUUAAUCAUGUCAUUUUCUAAUUCCUGAUAAUAUUCUUCUACAGAAUUUUUUCCUUGUCUUAAACACUGCAAUUUUUGAAGCAAUUCACGUUGAUAAUAUGGUGGAACCCAACGAGUACGCAUAGCAGUUUUCAAAGCAGCCCAAGUAGUUGGAAUAGUAUAUAAUCUACAAUGUUCAGACCACCAUACACAUGCAAAACUAGUGAAAGCACAAACAGCUGCAGCAACCCGUCUCUCCUCGGGAUAUUAUAAACAUGUAAAACGUUGUUCAGUUUCUAACUCCCAAGUAAGAUAUAUAUCAGGAACAUAUCUACCCUCAAAUGGUGGAAUAUUCAAUUUCAGUUUCGGAAUAUGGUCAUUAUCUCGUACCUGAGGUGGUGGUGCAGGCCUACUGUUGCGAAUAUAUACCUGAGGUCGACCUGCUGGUGGUGGUGUUGGUGGCUGCACGUAGUUUUGAUUUUGAUCAACCUCAUCCUCGUAAUAGUCCUCCACCUCUGCACUAACAGCAGGAGCUACAGAAGCACCAACAGUAGUAGUAGCGGCACCAGAAUUUUGUCCUGGCUCAAUAGGAACACGCUGUGCUCGCCCUACUGUAUCGCGGCGUAGAGCUGGUUGUGGGAGACGUUUGAGUAAUUCAUCAAACUUGGCGUCCAACUUGGUGUCAAUUGACUUCUCAAUGUCAUCCAUCUUCUCCAUUGCCUUUCCAAAGCUGGCCAACACGUCUUCCACCUGUUGACCCAACAUUUGAUGAAACUUAUCAUGAAGCUCCUUGUUCGUCAUGUUCUCCAAGUCAAUCUUGUCGACUUGUGUUCCUGCCAUAGUUAGCAACAAUAGAAACAGACAAGAAUAUGAUCCUACAGACUACUGGAAUAUGGUGGUGGUGGGGUGUCACAAAUCCGUCCAGCGAAUCUGACAUUCUUACCUAUUCUUACCCAGCAGCAGGUGGUGAUCGGCAACCGUUGUAGUCAAAACUCUCAAAGCUUGGAUAGAGCGAUUACAAGGGAGAGUCAAACGCACGACGUAGAUGUAUGUGGAGCUGGGAAGGCUUAUAAUAUGGUAGCAAAAAAGAUCAGCAAUAAUCAAUUCAGAGAUGCAAAGUAGAAUAAACGCUCAACGACGGUACUGUGCUGGUCCUAGGCUAGACCGUGCUAUAGACGCGAGCCUAGAACACUAACAAAAUCACAGCGCUGCACGUAAACAAGGGAGAAGCACACUGUGGGAAUUUUUUUUCGCUCUUUUCUUUUUCGCUCUGCUUUUUUUGCGCUCCUCUUUUUUUUGCGAAAAAUCACUAUAAUGGCGAGUGUCUCAAAACUCUUCGCAGGUCAAACUGACAGGAUGGGCACGAAAUUUUUUUGACAUUUUUUUUCCGGAAAUCAGGGCAGCGACGAUGAAAAAGUGCGACAAAAAAUCACUAUGAUGGCGAGUGUCUCAAAACACUCCCUAGGACCUAAAAAUAGGAUAGGGAAAAAAUAUUUUCGGUCGCCGAAUUUUGCCCUAAAAACUGCCCGGGGGUCUCCAGACUUUUUUUUCCGAAACCUACUCAGGCAAGGAAACACGAAUCGGAAAUUAGAUGGAUCUCGAAAACAAACCUAAUAUGCAAGGAACUCGGAUUGGUGGUGGAUAUAUGGUGGUGGUAUAUGGGAGCGGUGGUGGUAUAUGGUAGCGGUGGUAGUAUAUGGAUAUGGAUCGGUGAUGGUACCUGGAUUCGGAGCGGUGGUGGUAUAUGGAUACGGAUUCGGAGCGGUGGUGGUAGGUGGCAGGGGCGAUGAUGAUGGUGCGGUGGCGGCGUGACAACUUAUGACCAGAACUCGAAACUCUAAAAGACUAGACGCUAAGACCAGCAACUUGACGCGACGAUGCAACCGCAAAUUCAACAAAGCAAAAUACUGAAAAGACUAUGCAAAGGCUCAGACUGGUUUGGAUAGGAUGAACUAACCCUAUUUUUUUGGCUUCUUCGUGGACUAUAGGUAUGAAGAACAAACUCGAUCUAAACUAGGAAAAACUGUAAAAUCUCAACGAGCAACCUGGAAAUCUGAUACCACUUGAUAGAGGCAAAGGUGUCCCGUCUUUCGAUGAGAUGAUGGAUAUCGCUUUGGUGGAAAUCGACUUUGACGAUCCGACUAUGAACGUGCGAGGACGUCGCACCUUAGCAAUCGCUAAACCAACUCCGAGAGGUUAUCGACCACGCCGGAGCACGAUCAACCUGACCAUGAGGGUAUGUUUCCUGCGAGCAAACGAAGAACAAGCAAGAAACUGAGAUUGCAAUCUGGAUAUUGUGAAUAUAAGAUGAAAGCUUUAUUGAUCAAGGUGGGGUUCUGUGACGCCUUUGUCUGGUCGUUAAACACAAACGAAGUACGCGAAGUUGCAGCUAUGGCGAACUUUUAAUCUAAACAAAACCCAAAGUCUAAACGACGCCCUAAGGGCUGUAUAUAUGGAAGAAGAGGGGGAAUUUCGUGGCCCUUGGGGAAGGGGUCCGAAACCAACCCUAUCUCUUGUUUCUCCACACAUACGGACUCUAAAAACAGCCUAUACUCAAGUAUUUCGAAAAUACAUGGGCCUGGCCCAAUAAUAUGGUGACGCGGCACCUAGAAUAGCCUUUGGACGAAAGUUAUGAAGUAGCAUCUUGUAUAUUUCGUCCAAGGCUUCAUCCACUCAUUAUGGUGGCUUCAGCGUCCUGAAAUCAUCACUUGUAACUCUGUUCUUGUUCCCCUUGCGCAUGCCAUCAUCUCCAUGCUUGUUCUUGCUCCAAUGUUCAUCCUUCUCCAAGCUAGGCCCUUCAUUUGUAAGCAAAACAAAUGUAUCCAAUUUAGGUAGCAUCAUAUUCUCAUGAACAUUAGAAUCAUUACCAAGAAACGAAAGUACCUGGUAAUUUAAUUGGCAUGCGCGAACUCUAGUAAUUGGUCCAGUAUGUAUAGCAGCAGGGGUUGUGGGUGUAGCAAUGGUAUUGAUGUCCUCAUCACCCACCCCCUAGGGCGCGCCCCUGCCUUGUGGGCCCCACGUGGACCCCACUCCACUUAUUCCAGCACCCACUCACUUCGUCUUCCUCUAGAAAAAAUCCUCCCAUAGCUCAAACCCAUGUUCUAGCUCAUCUUGCUGCCAUUUUUGAUCUCCUUGCUCAAAGCUUCAUUCACAAAACUCUUUUGGGAGAUUGUUCUUCGGUAUGUGACUCCUCCAAUGGUCCAAUUAGUUUUUGUCUAGUGGUUUAUUUAUUGCAAUUUUUUGCUGCUAAGGUGACCCUGUUCUUGAGCUUGCAUGUCAAAUUUAUAUGGUCCAAAGUAGUUUUAAUGCAUGAUAUAGCCUCUAGGCACUUGUGGGAGUAGUUGCUAUCAAUCUUGUUGAGCUUGGUUCCCUUUUAUUUUGAGUCACUAAAAAAUUUAGAAAUUUUUCAGAGAAAAUGAUGAAGAGAUUGUUGAGGGGUCUUCGAGCCGAAUCUCGAAGGAUAAGCAGAAUGAGGAGAACAAAAAUCCCAAGUACAAUCUUCCUCGCACCGUGGAAGUCCGGCCAUGCGAAUGGCCUUGUGAUGCAUUCUUGAGGGCCGCCGGAAUUCAUGAUGACUUUUAUUACUUGGCUGAGAAUGCAGGCAUCACCAACUUUCUCCAUGACUAGCGCGAACAAUAUCGCCUACUCACUAAUAUUUUCGUGCAAAUUUUUCAUUUCCAUGCUAAGAAAUCACCACCUUCAAUGGAGUUUCACUUAUAUGAUGAGGUUAAGGAGAUGUCACUCCGUGAUUUUUGUCGGGUCUGCAAGAUACCCUUUUUGGGUAGCAUCAAGGAACCACAUCAUAGUGAUGUGGAUGAAUUUAUUGAUAGAAUUGUUGUAGGGGAAACGAGGAAAGUUUCCGAUGCACGAAUUACCAGUAUACGUUUUCCUGUUCUAUGUUACUUUGCGAUAUUUGCUAGUAGAUGCUUAAUUGGUCACGGGAACAGUGGAAAUCUUACUGCUCCUGGUCUUGUUAUUUUGCACCAUGCCUUGUUUCGUGAUAUAGCUUUUAGCUUAGGUGAUAUUGUCGCUAACCUGUUAAGUCUAAACCAUACAAAGGGCCCCAUGUUUGGUGGUAUCUUUGCUUCACGCCUUGCUGGACAUUUUGAGAUACCUAUUAGGCAUUAUGAGAAAGAGGAAAAGUUGUUGCCCACUAUUUUUCUAGAUUAUAAAAGUAUGGUAGCACAUGAGUUUAUUGUUAAAAAUAAGAAGAAGAUGCUUAAGUAGAAUUUGAUAUUUGAUAAAACUCACUGUGAGACUAUUAUCUUGCCUGCACCCUCUUUGUUUAACAUAUUUUCAGGCAUGUACCUCAUCUUGCCCGAGGCCAUUUAUGCAUACUGGAGGCUGACACCAGCCCCAGAGCCUGAGCCUGAGUCACCACUUGACCCAUAUAGACAAUCUGUUUAUCAAUGGGAUCCGGAGGAGAUCGCUAACCAGCGGCACUCGGAGGAUCCUCCUCAGUACACCGGAGAGAGUAGCUUCGAGCAAUGGCCAUAGACCAACUUAGGCCAAAAGCCUAAGCUUGGGGGAGUACGUAUUUCUCACCGACAUUACAUUCAUGCUCGCACACUCAUGCUAGUUGUCAGUGCUCAUACUUUUUCAUUGUACUAUCCAUGCUAGUUUAUUUUCUUUUCUUGCUUUUUUUCUUGUGUGUUUGAAAAACCUCAAGAAAAACCAAAAAAAAAUUAGUUGUAGCCUUUAGCUAGUUUACUUUCCAUGCCUCCUGUAGUAAUUAAAAGAAAACCCAAAAAGAUUUCUCGUUCUUCUUUUUCUUGUUGGGAGCUUUCCCGUGUAAAUAUUUUUAUUUCUUUUCUUUCCUUUGGGGGUUGAGAGGAGAAGACCACGAUGAAAAUGUUGAGUGGCUCUCAUAUCCAUUAUUGUUGAUCUAACCAAGAGACCAUAUUACCUUGUCUUCUCCUUUGUAUUUAAUGCUUGCAGAUUCCAGCUUAGUCCAAUGCACGUGCACUGUUAUUAUUAUCUACACCGUUUGUUCAUGCGAGUGAAAGGCAAUAAUGACGAUAUAUGAUGGACUGAUUGAGAUGAGAGAAGUUGGUAUGAUCUCGACCUAUCUUGCUUCUGUAAAUAUGAUUAGUCCAUCGUUCCUGAUUCAGCCUAUUAUGGAUGAAACAUGUUUGCAAUGACAAUUGGAGAUUAUAGUUGCUCAUGCCAUGCUUAGUUAGCUAGGAGUUUAUAAUGGUUUACCUUGCAUGCCAAUAUGCUAUUAAAACGGUUGUGAUGUGGUAUGAUAGGGUGGUAUCCUCCUUCGAAUGAUUCGAGUGGCUUGACUUGGCACAUGUUCACGCAUGUAGUUGAAACAAAAUCAACAUAGCCUCCAUGAUAUUUAUGUUCAUGGUGAUUUAUAUCCUACUCAUGCUUGCACUCAUUGUUGAUUAAUCUUAAUGCAUGUUCAUGACUGUUGCCGCUCUCUAGUUGGUCGCUUCCCAGUCUCUUUCUAGCCUUCACUUGUACUAAGCGGGAAUACUGCUUGUGCAUCCACUUCCAUAAACCUCAAAGUUAUUCCAUAUGAGUCCACCAUACCUUCCUUUAUGCGGUAUCUACCUGUCGUUCCAAGUAAAUUUGUAUGUGCCAAACUCUAAACCUUCAAAUGAAAUUCUAUUUUGUAUGCUCAAAUAGCUCAUGUAUCAACUAGGGUUGUCUAUAUCUUCCAUGCUAUGUGGGUUAUUCUCAUGAUGAGUGGACUCCGCUCAUCAUUCACGAGAAAAUGGUUGGAAACCGGGAUGCCCAGUCCCAUGCUCAAAUCAAAUCAAAAUAAUUGCAAACAAAACUCCCCCAGGAUUGUUGUUAGUUGGACGACACCGUUGUUUCGGACAAGCCAUGGACUGAUGUUUGUUGGUGGUGGGGGAGUAUAAACUUUACCAUUCUAUUUGGGAACCGCCUAUAAUGUGUGUAGCAUGGAAGAUAUCGAGAUCUCUUGGUUGUUAUGUUGACACUGAAAGUAUGCCGCUCAAAAUAUUAUUUAUCUCUGUUUCAAAACUCAAGCUCUGGCACCUCUGCAAAUCCGUGCCUCCCUCUGCGAAGGGCCUAUAUAUUUACUUUUAUGUUGAGUCACCAUCCUCUUAUUAAAAAGCACUAGUUGGAGAGCACCGCUGUCAUUUGCAUGCAUUGCUAUUAAUUUACAUUGAGUAUGACUGUGACUGGAUCUCUUUUACCAUGAAUUACAAUGUCUAGUCAGUCCUUGAUCUUCAGGGGUGCUCUGCAUUUAUGUUUUGCGGUCUCAGAAAGGGCUAGUGAGAUACCAUCUUGUUAUAUCAUAUUAUGAUUGUUUUGAGAAAGCGUUGUCAUCCGAGAUUUAUUAUUAUUGCUCGCUAGUUGACUAUGCCAUUGAUAUGAGUAAAUGUGAGACCUAAAUGUUAUUUUGAAUAUGCUUAGUUCAUAAUCUUUAGUGAAUGAUGGCUUUACAUAUUUGCAACAACAAGAUCAAACAGAGUUUGUAAAAAAAUUCUUUAUCACUUUUAGUUUGUCAACUGCAUUUCUUGAGGACAAGCAAACGUUUAAGCUUGGGGGAGUUGAUACGUCUCCAACGUAUCUACUUUUCCAAACACUUUUGCCCUUGUUUUGGACUCUAACUUGCAUGAUUUGAAUGGAACUAACCCAGACUAACAUUGUUUUCAGCAGAACUGCCCUGGUGUUAUUUUUGUGCAGAAAUAAAAGUUCUUGGAAUGACCUGAAAAUCCACGGAGAAACUUUUUGGAAUUAAUAAAAAGUAUUGGCGAAAGAAUCAGCAUCAGGGGGCCCACACCCUGUCCAUGAGGGUGUAGGGCGCCCCCCUAGGGCGUGCCCCCUGCCUCGUGCGCCCCCUAGGACUCCACCGACCUCAACCCCAACUCCAUAUAUUCACUUUCGAGGAGAAAAAAACCAGAGAGAAGGAUUCAUCUCGUUUUACGAUACGGAGCCGCCGCCAAGCCCUAAUCUUCCUCGGGGGGCUGAUUUGGAGUCCGUUCGGGGCUCCGGAGAGGGGAAUCCAUCACCAUCGUCAUCAUCAACCAUCCUCCAUCACCAAUUUCAUGAUGCUCACCGCCGUGCGUGAGUAAUCCCAUCGUAGGCUUGCUAGAUGGUGAUGGGUUGGAUGAGAUUUACCAUGUAAUCGAGUUAGUUUUGUUGGGGUUUGAUCCCUAGUAUCCAUUAUGUUCUAAGAUUGAUGUUUCUAUGACUUUUCCAUGCUUAAUGCCUGUCACUGGUGCCCGUAUGGCAUGAUUUCAGAUCUGAACCUAUUAUGGUUUCAUGAAUAUAGGUGAGUUCUUGAUCCUAUCUUGCAAGUCAAUAGUCACCUACUAUGUGUUAUGAUCCAGCAACCCCGAAGUGACAAUAAUCGGGACCACUCCCAGUGAUGACCGUAGUUUGAGGAGUUCAUGUAUUCACUAAGUGUUAAUGCUUUGGUCUGGUAAUCUAUUAAAAGGAGCUCUUAAUAUCCCUUAGUUUCCAAUAGGACCCGCUGCCACCUGAGGGUAGGACAAAACAUGUCAUGCAAAUUCUUUUCCAUAAGCACGUAUGACUAUAUUCAGAAUACAUGCCUGCGUUACAUUGAUGAACUGGAGCUAGUUCUAUGUCACCCUAUGUUAUAACUAUUGCAUGAGGAAUCGCAUCUGGCAUAAUUAUCCAUCACUGAUCCAUUGCCUACGAGCUUUCCACAUAUUGUUCUUUGCUUAGUCACUUUUUCGUUGCCAUUGUUACAAUUGCUACAAAACUGCUACUAUUACUUUUGCCACCGUUACCGUUACUUCCAUACUACUUUGCUGCAGAUAUUAAGUCUUUCGGGUGUGGUUGAAUUGACAACUCAGCUGCUAAUACUUGAGAAUAUUCUUUGGCUCCCCUUGUGUCAAAUCAAUAAAUUUGGGUUGAAUACUCUACCCUCGAAAACUAUUGUGAACCCCUAUACUUGUGGGUUAUCAAUGACCCACUACCUAUUGAUGAUAGCUUUCCUAAUGAACAACUAGCUGCAGUAAAUUUUCUCAUAACACUCCUUGGUAUGCUGACUAUGCUAAUUAUUUUGUUGCUAAAUUUAUACCACCUAGUUUCACAUACCAACGAAAGAGAAAAUUCUUCUAUGAUUUAAGACAUUACUUUUGGGAUGACCCACAUAUUUAUAAAGAAGGAAUAGAUGGUAUUAUUAGAUAUUGUGUACCUGAGCAUGAACAGGAACAAAUCCUAUGAAAAUGUCACUCCGAAGUUUAUGGAGGACAUCAUGCGGGAGAUAGAACUGCUCGCAAGGUAUUGCAAUAUGGUUUUUAUUGGCCUACUCUCUUCAAGGAUGCUCGUAAGUUUGUUUUAUCUUGUGAUUAAUGUCAAAGGAUAGGUAAUAUUGGUAUGCGUCGGGAAAUGCCUAUGCAUUAUUCACUUGUUGUUGAACCAUUUGAUGUUUGGGGUUUUGAUUACAUGGGACCUUUUCCUUCCUCUAAUUGGUAUACACAUAUUUUGGUUGUUGUUGAUUAUGUUACUAAGUGGGUAGAAGCUAUUCCAACUAGUAGUGCUGAUCAUAACACUUCCAUUAAAAUCCUUAAAGAAGUUUUUUUCCCAAGGUUUGGAGUCCCUGGAUAUUUAAUGACUCAUGGUGUUUCACACUUUAUUCAUGGUGCUUUCCGUAAAAUGCUUGCUAAUAUAUGAUGUUAACCAUAGAAUUGCUUCACCCUAUCAUCCUCAAUCUAGUGAUCAAGUUGAACUUAGCAGCAAUAGGGAAAUAAAAUUAAUAUUACAAACAACUGUCAAUAGGUCCCGAAAGAAUUGGUCUAAGAAAUUAGAUGAUGCUCUUUGGGCCUACAGAAUGGCAUAUAAAAAUCCUAUGGGUAUGUCUCCAUAUAAAAUGGUUUAUGGAAAAGCUUGUCAUUUGCCUCUUGAGUUAGAACAUAAAGCAUAUGUCACAGCCCUAGAUUAGUCUUUGUUUGUCUUUGCUUGAUCAUCAUGUCAUCAUGUUUAUUUUCAAAUGAUUUUGAAUUGGGGAUGUUCAAACCCAAGCAUCAAAUGGAAUUCAAAUAGGUGCAACCUAAAAAUAUUUUCAAUGAACCUGAAAUGCCCUUCAUAAAUGUUCAUCAUUUUUGUUUUGGUCCAGAACCUCUGCAAAAAAUGGUGCACACUUUUCUAGGACACUCUGGGUUUUUGAACUAAAGCAUACAGUAUUUGUUCCUGGACAUUUAAAUGCUAUAAAUAAUUUUAGAUGUCCAAAUAAUCUUGAAGGUAAAUGAGGGCUGUUGGAAAUAAUCCAAACAGUGCCCACAAAUAUUUUCAGGAUUUUUGAAUAUGCUCUGGCAUUUUUAAUAAGCCAAAACAAGUGUAGAAAAUAGAAAACAGAAAAGAUUUAGAAAAGAGAGAGAGAGAGAGAGAGAGAGAGAGAGAGAGAGGAAAGCUUACCUGGGCCACCUACCUGACUGGGCCGGCCCAUCUGGCCCGUGCCAGUCAUCACCUACUUCUGCCAGUAGGCAGAGGAGGGAGACAGCGCACGCGCGCUCGCGGCGCCACGCCUCCUCUCUACUAGCAUGUGUCCCCCAGGACAGCGUGAUGCCGCUGGUCCUCUCCUCGGUGUCGUCCUGAUCUGCCCGACCUCCUCACUCGCCCCCCUCCUCUCUCCCUCGCCUCUCGUAUCCAUGGCCGAACCUCGCCCGACCUCGCCAUCGUCGUUGUCGUAGCCACAGCCUCCCUCUUGCCUCUCUGACGUAUACAAGAGCUCCGCCGCCUCGUUUACGUCCUCCUCACCGAGCCACGCGACCGGAAGAGCACCAAAACGCCGUCCCCGACCUUUCUUCCCCGUCCACGGCCGCCGGAUGCCGUCGUCUGAUUUGCCAUCUCCACCACCUCCCCGAGCCCACUGAGUUGCUCUAUGACCUCCCUGUGAGACCCGCCUUCAUCUCCCCCUCUCCCCAUCGUCGAUUUCUCGCUGCAACGCCGAUGACCGCGGGUCCCGCAUUUCACCGCUGCACGAGCUCGUCGUUGACGAGGCUCUAGUGACCAAAGGGUCCCCUGCGUGCCUUCGUUUGGUUCGUGAGCUCUCGUAGAUCCCGUAGGUGCAAACCACUGGUCCUCCCACACGCCGUGUUGUCGAUUCCGUCAACACCCGAGCUCCGGCCGCCGCCCAACUCACCGCUGCCGCCGCUAUAGACCGCCCCGCGACCUGCUACCGCCUCCGCUAGAUGCGCGGGAGCACAGGCUCCCUCCUGGUGCCCUCAGGGCACCCAGCCAUUGCCCCUAGCGCCACCACGGUGAGGCACCGCCGCUCUGGCUCGUCACUGUUGUCUAACCUUCGGCGCAGCUGAUGUGGCGCCACAUUUAGCUGCUAAACCCAAGUAAUCACCCCUGGGACACUGACUAGUGGGCCCCAGGCCAUUAUUAGUUUUGGUUAAGAUUAGUUUUAACCUUAAUUAACCUCUCAGUCACUGACUGAUGGGUCCCACAUGUCAGGUUUGACCCUGGCCGCCCAGUUGACUCGCUGAUAUCACCCUGACGUAGUGCUGACGCAAUAAGUGAUUUUCUGGAUUUAAAAAAUCCAGGAAAUUCCAGUAAAUAGUUAUAACUUCUAAAAAUCAUAGAAAAUAAUCUAUAACUCAGAAUGAAAUAAAUUAUAUAUGAAAAAUUAUCAGAAAAAUCCAAAGAAUCUGUUUAUGGCAUUUUCAUGCAUGUUUGAGAAACUUAUGCCUGCUGAUCAGGUCAAAUCAAUUAAAUGUCAUUUGAAUAUUAACAUAUGGAGUUUGAAUUUGAACCCUUGGUUCCAAUCAACUUCAUUUAAGUCACUACUAGUUGCAUUAGCUCAAAUCACAGCAUGUUGCCAUGUCAUGAGCAUGCAUCAUAUUGCUGCAUUGCAUUGAUUGUGUUCUUUCUCUAUUGCCGGUGGUUGUUCCCCCUCAGUAGACGUAUGUUUCGAUGAUAUGAUCAAUGACACCGAUGAAGAACAAUACUAUCUUUAGAAGUGCCAGGCAAGCAAAAAACCCUUGUUCAUUCUGAUACAAUCCCUCUCUCUCGCUCCUGCUCUCUUUUACUGCACCAGGACAACAACGACUCAUGUGUUACUUGCUGCGGUAGUUGAAUCCCCUUUCCCUCUGCAUGACAUGUCAUUACCACAGUAAAUAGAUGAAACCCACUAGCAUGAGUAGGAGUUGUUUGAGCCAUGUUGUGCCUACUCAUUCAUGUUUGUUGUCAUGCCUGCUACUACUUAGAGUUGAGUCAGGUCUGCUUCAUCGGGGAUGAACUGGAAUGUUGUGAACAUGUUCUACUGUGUGUGAGCUAAGUGUGUGAACACGAUUUGGUAAAGGUAGCUAUGAGAGGCCAUGUAGGAAUACAUGGUGGGUUGUCUCAUUGAAGCCGUCCUCAAGAACUGAGUUCUGUGUUUGUGAUCCAUGAACAGUUACUACCACUCAUUGGGAUCCUUAAUUGACCCUCUCGGCUUCUUAACCACCCUUGUCCUCUGUCCAGGAGUUGCAAGUAGUUUCUGGUGUUUUUAGUAUGCUGGAGGUCGUGCACAGCGUUGACCCGAGGGGUGGGCUGUGAUACGGUAGGCACAUGGCACGGUGUACCGGGCGCCCGUUUGGUGUUUUGGGAACCCUGCUCACAUCGUUCGGGGCCGUAUGUGGAAACUUCGGCCGGACUCCCUGCAGAUGGAACCUGAAUAGGCGAUAAACCUGGACUAGAGACUUGAGUGUUUAGGUAGGCCGUGGCCGACACCCUCGCCAGGCUUCCACUUGAAGGUUGCCGAGAUACAUGACGUGUACAUGGCGGUAAGUGGCGAGAGCGUGUGUGAAGAAGUACACCCCUGCAGGGUUAAGAUCAUCUAUUCGAAUAGCCGUGUCUGUGGUAAAGGACCUCUGGGUUGCCUAUACAGUUCAUAGACAAGUGAAAGUAGAUACUCUAAAAUGCACAAGAUAAGCGUGAGUGCUAUGGAUGGCGUUUUCCUAGGGAGCCAGGAGCGGAUCCAUAGUGGUGUAUUGAUAUGGUGAAUAUGUGGACUCGUGUGCGCCACCUCAAAAGUGUUACUUGUAGUCGUAGUUCAGGAUAGCCACCGAGUCAAAGCUGGCUUGCUGCAGUUAAACCCCACCAUCCCCUUUGUUGAUAAUGAUGCAUAUGUAGAUAUCUCCGAUGUAAGUCUUGUUGGGUACAUUUGUACUCAUGUUUUCCUAUUUUAUGUUUUUGCAAAGAGACUUCAGUCUCACUAGUAGUUCCGUGUGGACUUCGACUUUUAGCUUGUUACCUCAGCUACGAUCUUGUGCCCUCGGCAGGAUCUGGUAGAUAGUCAGGCUUCUCAGCCUUUUUCAUUUGUAGAUGUCUGUACUCAAACAUGUUAAGCUUCCACAUGUGUUUUGACUUGUAUGCUCUGAAUGCUGGGUCGAGAGACCCAUGUUUGUAAUAUCUCGCUCCUCGGAGCCUAUUGAAUAAAUUACUUGAGUUGUAGAGUCAUGUUGUGAUGCCAUGUUGUAUUUGCACAUAUCGAGCAUAUUGUGUGUAUGUUAUUGAAAUGCUUGGUAUGUGUGGGAUCUGAUUAUCUAGUUGUUUAUUCUUGGUAGCCUCUCUUACCGGGAAAUGUCUCCUAGUGCUUCCGUUGAGCCCUGGUAGCUUGCUACUACUCCGGAACACUUAGGCUGGCCGGCAUGUGUCCUUCUUCGUUCAUGUGUCUGUCCCUUCAGGGAAAUGUCACGCGGUGUCUACCGGAGUCCUGCUAGCCUACUACAACCCGGAUUCUCCGGAGUCCUGUUAGCCCAGCUGCUACAGCCCGGAUUCACUCGCUGAUGACCGACACGUUUGUUGCUGGGUCAUGUAUGCAUGUCCCUGUAAGUUAGUGCCACUUUGGGUUUACGACUAGCCAUGUCAGCCCGGGUUCUUUAUCAUAUGGAUGCUAGCGACACUAUCAUAUACGUGAGCCAAAAGGCGCAAACGGUCAUGGGCUUGGUAGGGUGACACCCGUGGGAAUACCGUGCGUGGGGCCCCAAAGUGAUAUGAGGUGUUACAUGCUAGAUGGGUGUGGCAUAGGAUUGGGGUCCUGACAACUUUGGUAUCAGAGCCUGACUGCAUGUAGGAUUACCAAGCCAACUGGUCGAAGUUGAGUCUAGAAAUUCUUUAGUUAUAUAAGGGAAUUGAUUGUGGGAUGGAAUGUAAGGCUCUUUUUACUCCUUAUACCUUAUGCCUUCAGAUCCGAGUCAUCCUAUCUUUCCUACGACGUUAAGGAACUAGGCUUUCUCUUCUUUCUAUCAGGAUCACGUGCUACUAAUCUGUAGACUUAUAGGAACGAUGAAUUCAAGUCUUAGUUCGGUUUAUUCUGUUGGGGAACGUAGUAAUUUCAAAAAAAAUCCUACGCACAUGCAAGAUCAGGGUGAUGCAUACAAACGAGAGGGGAGAGUGAGUCCACGUACCCUCGAAGACCGAAAACGGAAGUGUUAUCACAACGCGGUUGAUGUAGUCGUAUGUCUUCACGAUCCGACCGACCAAGUACCGAAUGUAUGGCACCUUGAUGUCUACUACACAACCUUCUUCUUGUAGACAUUGUUGGGCCUGCAAGUGCACAGGUUUGUAGGACAGUAGCAAAUUUCCCUCAAGUGGAUGACCUAAGGUUUAUCAAUCCGUGGGAGGCGUAGGAUGAAGAUGGUCUCUCUCAAACAACCCUGCAACCAAAUAACAAAGAGUCUCUUGUGUCCCCAACACACCCAAUACAAUGGUAAAUUGUAUAGGUGCACUAGUUCAGCGAAGAGAUGUUGAUACAAGUGCAAUAUGGAUAGUAAUAAAGGUAUUUGUAAUCUCAAAAUAUAAAAACAGCAAGGUAACUAAUGAUAAAAGUGAGCGUAAACGGUAUUGCAAUGGUAGGAAACAAGGCCUAGGGUUCAUACUUUCACUAGUGCAAGUUCUCUGUCAGGACCCCGACUCAAUGCCACAUCGAUCUAGCAUGUAACACCUCAUAUCACUUUGCGGCCUCACGCACGAUAUUCCCACGGGUGUCGCCUUACCUUUGCCCGGGACCGUUUGCGUCUUUUGGCACCGUAUAUGAUAGUGUCGCUAGCAUCCAUAUGAUAAGGAGCCCGGGCUGACAUGGCUAGUCGUAAACCCAAAGUGGCACAAACUUACAGGGACAGGCAUCCAUGACCCAACAUCGAACGUGUCGGUCAUCAGCGAGUGAAUCCAGGCUGUAGCACUGGGCUAGCAGGACUCCGGUGAACUGGGCUGUAGCGGGCUAACAGGACUCCGGUAUUCAUCGCGUGACAUUUCCCCGAAGGGACAGACACAGGAACGAAGAAGGACACAUGCCGGCCAGCCUAAGUGUUCCGGAGCAGUAGCAAGCUACCAUGGCUCGGUGGAAACACUAGGAGACAUUUCCCGGUAAGAGAGGCUACUAAAGAUAAACAACUAAAUAGUCAGAUCCCACACAUACCAAGCAUUUCAAUAACAUACACACAAUAUGCUCGAUAUGUGCAAACACAACAUGGCAUCACAACAUGACUCUACGACUCAAGUAUUUAUUCAUUAGGCUCCGAGGAGCGAGAUAUUACAAACAUAGGUCUCAUGACCCAACAUUCAGAGCAUACAAAUCAAAGCACAAGCGGAAGCUAUCAUGUCUGAGUACAGACAUCUAUAAAUGAAAAAGUCUGAGAAGCCUGACUAUCUACCAAAUCCUGCCGAGGCACAAGAUCGUAGCUGAGGUAACAAGCUAAACGCCGAAGUCCACGUGGAACUACUAGUGAGACCGAAGUCUCUCUGCAAAACAUAAAAUAGGCAAACGUGAGUACAAAUGUACCCAGCAAGACUUACAUCAGAACUAACUACAUAUGCAUCAUUAUUAACAAAGGGGAUGAUGGGGUUUAACUGCAGCAAGCCAGCUUUGACUCGGUGGCUAUCCUGAACUACGACUGCAAGUAACUCUUUUGAGGUGGCGCACACGAGUCCACAUAUUCACCAUAUCAAUACACCACUAUGGAUCCGCUCCCGUCUCCCUACGAGAACGCCAUCCAUAGCACUCACGCUUAUCUUGCGUAUUUUAGAGUAUCCACUUUCACUUGUCUAUGAACUGAUAUAGGCAACCCAGAAGUCCUUUUUCGUGGACACGGCUAUUCGAAUAGAUGAUGUUAACCCUGCAGGGGUGUACUUCUUCAUACAUGUUUCCACCACUUAGCGUCUGCACACGACAUGUGCUCGGCAGACUUCAAGCGAAAGCCGACGUGGGUGUAGACCACGACCUACCUAAACACUCAGGUCUCUAGUCCAGGUUUAUCGCUUAUUCGGGUUCCAUCCAUGAGGAGAUCCGGCCGGAGUUUCGCUCAUAGCCCCAAACGAUGUGAACAGGGUUCCCGAGACACCAAACGGGUGCCCGGUACACCGUGCCACGUGCCUACCGCAUCACAGCCCACCCCUCCGGUCAGCGCUGCCCACGGCCUCCAGCAUACUACAAACACCAGAAACUACUUGCAACUCCUGGACAGAGGACAAGGGUGAAUAAGAAGUCGAGCGGGGUCAUAUUUCAGGGCCCAAUGUAUGGUAGUAGCUGAAUCAUGGAUCACAAACAUAGAGCUCAGUUCCUGAGGACGGCUUCAAUGAGACAACCCACCAUGUACUCCUACAUGGCCUCUCACCGCAACCUUUACCAAAUCGUGUUCACACACUUAGCUCAUACCCAGUAGGACAUGUUCACACACCUCUGAUUCAUCCCCGAUGAAUCAGACCUGACUCAACUCUAAGCAGUAGCAGGCAUGACAAACAAGCAUGAAAGAGUAGGCACAUCAGGGCUCAAACAACUCCUACUCAUGCUAGUGGGUUUCAUCUAUUUACUGUGACAAUGACAGGUCAUGCAAAGGAUAAAGGAGUUCAGCUAUCGCAACAAGUAACAGAUGAAUCAUUGUUGUCCUAAUGCAGUAAAAGAGAGCAGGAGCGAGAGAGUGGGAUUGUAUCGGAAUGAACAAGGGGGUUUUGCUUGCCUGGCACUUCUGAAGAUAAUAUAGCUCUUCAUCGGUGUCAUCGAUCACAUCGCCGGUACACGUCUAUCAAGAGGGGACAAUUACCGGCAAACAAGGAAGAACACAAUCAAUGCAAUGCGACAAUAUGAUGCAUGAAUGUGACAUGGCAAUAUGAUGUGAUUUGGGCUAGUGCACCUAGCUAUGAUUUAAAUGAAGUUGGUUUGAAUACAUGAUUCAAAUUCCAACUCCAUAUAUGGUUAUUUAAAUGCCCUUUAUUUGUUUUGUCCAAAACAGAGGACAAACAUUGUUCAAACAUGCAUGAAAAUGGUACAGAUGGAUUCCUUGAAUUUUUCUGAUAAUUUUUCAUAUAUAAAUUAUUUCAUUCUGACUUACGGUUGAUUUUCUAUGAUUUAUUGAAGUUUGGGGUAUUUUCUGAAAUUUAUAAAUCAUUUCCUGAUUUAUUUUAAUUCCAGAAAUACUUACUGCGUCAGCAUUGCGUCACUAUGACGUCAGCAGGUCAACAGACGCUGCUGCAGGUCAAACCUGACCAAUGGGGUCCACUGGUCUGUGACUGGGGCUGGUUAGUGCGCUGACGUGUGGGGCCGGUCAACGGCCACGUCAGCUUGGUCAAAACUGACGCGUGGGGCUGCUCUGGUUUAGUUAAUCCUAAACAGAUAUUAAACUGGGGUUAAUUAGGGCAUGGGGCCUAGGUGUCAGUGACACGGUGCGGUGUUUAGUGGCUAAUUAGGCCAGCCACGUCAGCAAGUGACGCCGGCGACCACGGCGACGGCGAGACCUCGCCGGAGUUGCUCGGGACGGCGCUACAGCCCGCGGCUGGUCGCGCUGAGGGCACCGAGAGGGAGCCCGUGCUCCCGCGCAUCUAGGGGCGCACACAGCUGGGCACAGGGAGGCCGGGGUCGACGGCGGCGACCACUUAGGCGGCGGCCGGAGCUACGGCAAUGACGGUUAGGCGAUGUAGGGCGCCAGGGGAGGCGUUGGUGAGUGCUAUGUGCUCCUGGGACUGUGGUGAGCAUGACGGUGGGCUCGAGAAUGAGCUGCGGUGGCUGUGGCCACGGCCACGCCAUGGCCGGCGGCGAGAAACUCUCGGCCGCGGUGGGAGAUGGGGCUAGGGGGCGAGAACAGAGGGGGCGAGCACAGGAGAAGCAGCGGAGGCUCACAGCGGAUCCAUUCGAGGCGGAGACGAGGCCGGGGACGGUCCGGAGCCGACGAAUCGGGCGACGGCGACCGGCGGGUCCGAGGAGGGGAAAAACGUCGGGGCAGCGCUUCGGGGGCUUCUGGAGGGGCGUGGCUCGGUGAGGUGGGUCGAGGACGGAGUGGCGGAGCUUGUGGGCUAGUCGGGGAAGCGAGGGAGGCCCGGUGGCUGUGGUGGCAGUGGACGGCGGCGACGAGCUCCGCUCGGUGGCUGCAUGCGAGAAACAGAGGAGGGGGGGAGGAGCGAGGAGAGUGAGAGAGCGUCGGGGGGGUUGCGUGGCGUCGCGGGAGGCGACCAGAGCGUCGAGGGGGUAGCCAGGCAGGCAGGGAGGAGCUGGCGCAGCUCGCCUGCGCGCCGGGCACGCAGCUGCUUCAGGACGAGGGGAGGAAGACGACGAAGGGCUGCAGUGGUGGGUUGGGCCGGCCAGCUGUAGUGCUGGGCCGGUUGGCUACCAGGUGAGCGCCAGGUAAGAUUCUCUCUCUCUUGUUUUAUAUUUCUGUUCUGUUUUUCUUUUAUUAAUAUCUUUUGCCAUUGUUUUGAAUUUAAACAAAUUCAAACAAUGCCAAAAACUCCUCUGAAUAUUUUUAUUUUGCUAGAUGGACUUUUCCAAAAGCUCAUAAAAUAUUUCAGGGGUAUUUGAAAUUAUAUUCUAAUUAUAUGAAUAUAAUUCAAAUUCAAAUAGCUAAUGAUUUAAAUUCAAAGUCCCAAAAAUAAAUCCUUAAAAAUGUUCAAUAUUUUGGUUGGGACCAGAACCCUUGCCAAAAAAUUAUCAAACAUUUAAGAAGAGCAUUUUGGAACAAUGAAUGAGAUUUUAGGGUUUUUGCCCUUCUUUUAUUUAAGUUUUUGAGGCUUCCAAAUUUCCUCAGUUCAAGUUUCAAAAUUUAAACAUGAUGCAAACACUAGGCAGCACCAGAAGCUAGGGAUGUGACAACUCACCCCCACUAAACAAAAAUCUCGUCCCGAGAUUCAAGCGUAGGGUAAGGUGAAGGGGGAACGCAAACUAGCACAAUCUUCACGAUCCAGGUUGCACUUCAUAAGAACCUUGAUUCGAUCAUCAUCUUGUCUCGACGUCUUGCUCUGGGAACUCCAACCAACAUGACAACGAGAGGAGAAGGGAACUCUAGAAGGAUCAAUCUUCUCGAAGGUCGAAUAACUCAGGAUUAACUCUCGGAAUGAGACGUAGCAACAUCUCUCGAGCUGAGAGACAAAGCACACCUCUAGAGGGAUGGAGUGGAACAGAUGAUGAGGGUUCACUAGGUAGACAACAAUUUCACACUUAAAAAGGUGGUAAACGAUUGUCAACGUAGCGAGGAGUUGAGUUGCCAUGAUACCACAACGAGACACCUUAGGAACCGUGACUCGUAGAUAUAUCCCCUUAAGUGGCAAAAAGAAUUACCUUUGAUUCAAAGAUCAUUGAAACUCUUUAAACCAACCUAAGGCAAUUCUCGACCGAUCGUUUGGAGGGGGUCGGUAGAAUGGCAUACUCGGACUUGGAUGAUGUGGAUUACCUUGUUGAAGACAACGUAAUGGAUGAAUUUUCUUACCACCGGGAAUGGAAGAGACCCAUGGUAGAAUGGCACAUUGGCGGUGCAAGCUGGGAACAAAAUGCAAAUGCUGGGAAUGAUUCUGAUAACUGGGGAAGAACCCAACAAUAGAGAGUGAAUUCACUGUUUGAAAAGUCAUAGCAUUGCCGAGGAAACUGAGAGCAUCCCAGUUAGUGUCGAUGAUAACACCUAGCACAUUGUGUGUGCUCUCAAGAACUUGAGCAUUUCCAUAAUCAUCAGGGUUUUACCAACAUCCAUGUCAAGGGUGCUGACAACACAACAUACUACCAUGAUGACCAGCGAUGGACGAUGCAGAUGCAAAGGAGGAUAACACUUUCUCAUAUUUCACCUUAGCGAGGCCAAGGGGACGAAAUCAGAUGAUCGACCGAGAGACAUUUAGCACUCCGCUUCUAAUGUUCUCCUUGAUGUAUUAGCGUAUCCCAUUCCUUGAAAUGGUCUGGUAUCUAGAACAUCAGGUAAAGGUCGUACUUCGGAAACACUAAAGUCAUAAGGCAUAGCUAGGGGGUAAAUCGUACGAAGUCCUUAUGGGGAGGUGGCCAACUUCCUCAAACAAGAUACUAUAAUAAUAGGUCUACCGGAUGGGUGUGUUGGCCACGACAUCCACCUUGCCGGUUAUCGAGAGACUGAUAUUAUAGUUCUUGGGAAAUGUUCCAACCAUCACAUCUGCCUGAGAUUCAGAUCUGGUUGGUGUCAGGACAUCCCAGACUCAUCAAGUCUAGAAAGACAAAUGAAAGUUUGUAACACAAAUCGACGAGAUAAUGUUGCGGGAUUCUCGGGGAGUAAGCUACGGUAGCAAGCUCCAAAACAUGAGCUGGUUCUGCUACAAACAUGUGAACACGUUGUCCCAGACAAGCAUGACCACACAGUAGUCUUAUAAUAAAACACUACCGAGUUCAGGAGGGAAACCAUCAUCGAGGAUAUCGAAGUCCUUGCAUAAGUCUUGCUCUUAAGAAGGAACUCCUUCUCCUUGAAAAAAUCAAUCAGUGGCUUGAUGUGCUAGGGGAUACAUAUGGAAUGAGGAUGAUCAGUCUAUCAGACCAUAGAAUACUUCGCACAUGCAUGACUGACUUGGGAUGAUUCCAGAGGAGCAAAAACAAACUUUCUUGAAUUCACGGCGGCAACUUACAUCAAAUGCACAUGAGUUAAAGGAAGUCACUACCUUCAUCCAAACAUAUGCUUCAUAAACGAAACACGAAGAAAUGCUUACACAAGUUUCCAACACUAGGUUGAUGUUCAACAUGACUCAUGGGGGAGACAAAAUGCUGCUGAUGGGCUCAACAACAACUCAUCGGAAUUUCCAUAUCACUGGACUUCCACCAUCAUGUGAACACGGUGAUAGUAUUGGUCAUACCAAAGGAUGUAAUGGUAUAUGCUCGAGGGAUCAACCACGAGUAAGACAACAUUACGAGCAUCGUUGGUACUGAUUUGAUUUGAUGAUAGCCCACACUCAAAUCAAGGAUUGAUAAGACAAUAGUUCCAGCAACUGAUCACAGGGACCAAUCGAUGAAGAUAUCAUCUUUCUUCAACACACACUACACAAGAAUAUCCCUUUGGAACGAACUAAGUUAGGCAAGCUUUUAUCUUCCAAUUCUCCAAGUUGUUGUCUAGCUUAACCAUCUAGCUCCGGGAUAUCCAACACAGAUUCUUGGAGAAAGGGUGGUUCACAAGAAACCAACUUGAUCACGAGCUCAACAUAACAGUCAGGAAACAACCCGGUAACACUUCCAAGAAGAUAUUUGGAAAGUCACGAACCACCGUUAUGUUACUAAGCUCGAGAACAAUCUUGCUUUUGAGGGCAAGACGACAUGAUCAAAUGAGUGAGGACUUGAAAUAAUUCCUAACUCAUUGGUCGAGGAGUGCACCAGAAAUAGGGACUAGGUAGCACAAUCAGUCUUAGGGUGACGAUUCAAUAAUCAACACGCUAAGAAUGAGGUUAUCGUCCAUUUAACUACCAAGCAACAGAGUUGCUAGCAGUAUUGAUUUCACACGCCAUGACUCAUUUGUCGGCAUUCCGGUUACAAUAACAUAGGAACCGAGGAAUGAACAAUGAUGGCAAGAAGUAUCACUGUACCAAGAGUUCAUAGGAUGGUGUGCAAUUCCUAUAACAAUCCCGAUAUAAAAGAUGGUAAUACUCCAAGGUAGAGCAGAACAAAAGCUGGAUUAGCAAUUUGUUCUGCGGAGCACAACUUCUUGACCCAAUCCUGGAUAUGGAAGAGGUACUGGAGUUUGUUUCUCCAAGUCAUUCAGGACAGAAUGGCUUGACGGACCACAAGAACAAUAAGCAUCGAUAACACGAAUGCACAAUUACUCCUGACUAUCAAUUGAUAGACGAGGGUUAGUAGACAACUAAAGAGGGACAACUCAAAGGAACAUAUAACUUUCUGAGUUGUGGAUGCAUAGAUUAGUAUGUCGAACCAAGUUCAACAUAAUUCUUCCGGAUAACCCAUGCAGAAAGGUUGAGCUGCCAGAGUCACAAUAUAGCAUGGAGAACUCACCGAGAGCACUCUUGUUGUCAUCUUUUGGUUCAGAAGAACUCCUGCCAGGAAUGGUUCAUGGUAAUUGGAAGAAGGAUGUACCAUGAACCUCGAGGACUAUCGCAAAGGUUACUAAUAUCCUAAAGGAACUAGCAACACUAUCAACAUGAUGUAGGUAGGGUGAAUCUCGGGUUCAAGAACCCAGGAAUAGAAUACCUACUCCUAAGUAGCAUCACGAGAUGCUUUCGAGAAUGAUGGCCAGAAUUUUCACACUGGGAACACAAAAUGUUGCUAGAUUACUAGGUGACUCCUUAAAACACCUAGGGUCAUAAUAGUAGCUCCAACAUAUAUGUCAAGGCAAUAAAUUACCUCAACGCACCGGUUAGUGUGCUUAUUCUGACCAUAAGGGACAUCGGGAACGGAAAGAGAGGAUUUGCAAAUGCAUGAGACUAUUUAGAAACCUGGGAUGACUCGGACAGCAUAACGGCUAUAAAUGCUCAAAAAGAUUUGAGACCUGCUACAAAAAUGGUGGCAUAGCCACUCAGAAGCACAAUAUCAAGGUUUCGAGAUCAUCAGUUAACAUACAGAAGUGGUAGGAACUGGACUGAGGCUUAAGUCCAACAGUUCUAUAGGGCUACGGAUUAGUAACACGUGAUCCUGAUAGAAAGAAGAGAAAGCCUAGUUCCUUAACCCCGUAGAAAAGAUAAGAUGACUCAGAUCAGAAGGGCAUGAGGUAUAAGGAGUAAAAAGAGCCUUACGUUCCAUCCCACAAUCAAUUCCCUUACAUAAUUAAAGCAUUUCUAGACUCAACUUCGACCAGUUUGGCUUGGUAAUCCUACAGGCAGUCAAGCUCUGAUACCAACGCUGUCAGGACCCCGACUCAAUGCCACAUCGAUCUAGCAUGUAACACCUCAUAUCACUUUGCGGCCUCACGCAUGGUAUUCCCACGGGUGUCGCCUUGCCUUUGCCCGGGACCGUUUGCGUCUUUUGGCACACGUAUAUGAUAGUGUCGUUAGCAUCCAUAUGAUAAGGAGCCCAGGCUGACAUGGCUAGUCGUAAACCCAAAGUGGCACAAACUUACAGGGACAGGCAUCCAUGACCCAACAUCGAACGUGUCGGUCAUCAGCGAGUGAAUCCAGGCUGUAGCACUGGGCUAGCAGGACUCCGGUGAACCGGGCUGUAGCGGGCUAACAGGACUCCGGUAUUCAUCGCGUGACAUUUCCCCGAAGGGACAGACACAGGAACAAAGAAGGACACAUGCCGGCCAGCCUAAGUGUUCCGGAGUAGUAGCAAGCUACCAUGGCUCGGUGGAAACACUAGGAGACAUUUCCCGGUAAGAGAGGCUACUAAAGAUAAACAACUAAAUAGUCAGAUCCCACACAUACCAAGCAUUUCAAUAACAUACACACAAUAUGCUCGAUAUGUGCAAACACAACAUGGCAUCACAACAUGACUCUACGACUCAAGUAUUUAUUCAUUAGGCUCCGAGGAGCGAGAUAUUACAAACAUAGGUCUCAUGACCCAACAUUCAGAGCAUACAAAUCAAAGCACAAGCGGAAGCUAUCAUGUCUGAGUACAGACAUCUAUAAAUGAAAAAGGCUGAGAAGCCUGACUAUCUACCAAAUCCUGCCGAGGCACAAGAUCGUAGCUGAGGUAACAAGCUAAACGUCGAAGUCGUGGAACUACUAGUGAGACCGAAGUCUCUCUGCAAAACAUAAAAUAGGCAAACGUGAGUACAAAUGUACCCAGCAAGACUUACAUCAGAACUAACUACAUAUGCAUCAUUAUCAACAAAGGGGAUGGUGGGGUUUAACUGCAGCAAGCCAGCUUUGACUCGGUGGCUAUCUUGAACUACGACUGCAAGUAACUCUUUUGAGGUGGCGCACACGAGUCCACAUAUUCACCAUAUCAAUACACCACUAUGGUUCCGCUCCCGUCUCCCUACGAGAAUGCCAUCCAUAGCACUCACGCUUAUCUUGCGUAUUUUAGAGUAUCCACUUUCACUUGUCUAUGAACUGAUAUAGGCAACCCAGAAGUCCUUUUCCGCGGACACGGCUAUUCGAAUAGAUGAUGUUAACCCUGCAGGGGUGUACUUCUUCAUACAUGUUUCCACCACUUAGUGUCUGCACACGACAUGUGCUCGGCAGACUUCAAGCGAAAGCCUACGUAGGUGUAGACCACGACCUACCUAAACACUCAGGUCUCUAGUCCAGGUUUAUCGCCUAUUCGGGUUCCAUCCAUGAGGAGAUCCGGUCGGAGUUUCGCUCACAGCCCCAAACGAUGUGAACAGGGUUCCCGAGACACCAAACGGGCGCCCGGUACACCGUGCCACGUGCCUACCGCAUCACAGCCCACCCCUCCGGUCAGCGCUGCCCACGGCCUCCAGCAUACUACAAACACCAGAAACUUCUUGCAACUCCUGGACAGAGGACAAGGGUGAAUAAGAAGUCGAGCGGGGUCAUAUUUCAGGGCCCAAUGUAUGGUAGUAGCUGAAUCAUGGAUCACAAACACAGAGCUCAGUUCCUGAGGACGGCUUCAAUGAGACAACCCACCAUGUACUCCUACAUGGCCUCUCACCGCUACCUUUACCAAAUCGUGUUCACACACUUAGCUCAUACCCAGUAGGACAUGUUCACACACCUCUGAUUCAUCCCCAAUGAAUCAGACCUGACUCAACUCUAAGCAGUAGCAGGCAUGACAAACAAGCAUGAAAGAGUAGGCACAUCAGGGCUCAAACAACUCCUACUCAUGCUAGUGGGUUUCAUCUAUUUACUGUGACAAUGACAGGUCAUGCAAAGGAUAAAGGAGUUCAGCUACCGCAACAAGUAACAGAUGAAUCGUUGUUGUCCUAAUGCAGUAAAAGAGAGCAGGAGCAAGAGAGUGGGAUUGUAUCGGAAUGAACAAGGGGGUUUUGCUUGCCUGGCACUUCUGAAGAUAAUAUAGCUCUUCAUCGGUGUCAUCGAUCACAUCGCCGGUACACGUCUAUCGAGAGGGGACAAUUACCGGCAAACAAGGAAGAACACAAUCAAUGCAAUGCGACUAUAUGAUGCAUGAAUGUGACAUGGCAAUAUGAUGUGAUUUGGGCUAAUGCACCUAGCUAUGAUUUAAAUGAAGUUGGUUUGAAUACAUGAUUCAAAUUCCAACUCCAUAUAUGGUUAUUUAAAUGCCCUUUAUUUGUUUUGUCCAAAACAGAGGACAAACAUUGUUCAAACAUGCAUGAAAAUGGUACAGAUGGAUUCCUUGAAUUUUUCUGAUAAUUUUUCAUAUAUAAAUUAUUUCAUUCUGACUUACGGUUGAUUUUCUAUGAUUUAUUGAAGUUUGGGGUAUUUUCUGAAAUUUAUAAAUCAUUUCCUAAUUUAUUUUAAUUCCAGAAAUACUUACUGCGUCAGCAUUGCGUCACUAUGACGUCAGCAGGUCAACAGACACUGCUGCUGGUCAAACCUGACCAAUGGGGUCCACUGGUCUGUGACUGGGGCUGGUUAGUGCGCUGACGUGUGGGCCCGGUCAACAGCCACGUUAGCUUGGUCAAAACUGACGCGUGGGGCUGCUCUGGUUUAGUUAAUCCUAAACAGAUAUUAAACUGGGGUUAAUUAGGGCGUGGGGCCUAGGUGUCAGUGACACGGUGCGGUGUUUAGUGGCUAAUUAGGCCAGCCACGUCAGCAAGUAACGCCGGCGACCACGGCGACGGCGAGACCUCGCCGGAGUUGCUCGGGACGGCGCUACAGCCCGCGGCUGGUCGCGCUGAGGGCACCGAGAGGGAGCCCGUGCUCCCGCGCAUCUAGGGGCGCACACAGUUGGGCACAAGGAGGCCGGGGUCGACGGCGGCGACCACUUAGGCGGCGGCCGGAGCUACGGCAACGGCGGUUAGGCGAUGCAAGGCGCCAGGGGAGGCGUUGGUGAGUGCUAUGUGCUCCUGGGACUGUGGUGAGCACGACGGUGGGCUCGAGAACGAGCUGCGGUGGCUGUGGCCACGGCCACGCCAUGGCCGGCGGCGAGAAACUCUCGGCCGCGGUGGGAGAUGGGGCUAGGGGGCGAGAACGGAGGGGGCGAGCACAGGAGAAGCAGCGGAGGCUCACAGCGGAUCCAUUCGAGGCGGAGACGAGGCCGGGGACGGUCCGGAGCCGACGAAUCGGGCGACGGCGACCGGCGGGUCCGAGGAGGGGAAAAACGUCGGGGCGGCGCUUCGGGGGCUUCUGGAGGGGCGUGGCUCGGUGAGGUGGGUCGAGGACGGAGUGGCGGAGCUUGUGGGCUAGUCGGGGAAGCGAGGGAGGCCCGGUGGCCGUGGUGGCAGUGGACGGCGGCGACGAGCUCCGCUCGGUGGCUGCGUGCGAGAAACAGAGGAGGGGGGAAGGAGCGAGGAGAGUGAGAGAGCGUCGGGGGGGUUGCGUGGCGUCGCGGGAGGCGACCAGAGCGUCGAGGGGGUAGCCAGGCAGGCAGGGAGGAGCUGGCGCAGCUCGCCUGCGCACCGGGCACACAGCUGCUUCGGGACGAGGGGAGGAAGACGACGGAGGGCUGCAGUGGUGGGCUGGGCCGGCCAGCUGCAGUGCUGGACCGGUUGGCUACCAGGUGAGCGCCAGGUAAGAUUCUCUCUCUCUUGUUUUAUAUUUCUGUUCUGUUUUUCUUUUAUUAAUAUCUUUUGCCAUUGUUUUGAAUUUAAACAAAUUCAAACAAUGCCAAAAACUCCUCUGAAUAUUUUUAUUUUGCUAGAUGGACUUUUCCAAAAGCUUUUAAAAUAUUUCAGCGGUAUUUGAAAUUAUAUUCUAAUUAUAUGAAUAUAAUUCAAAUUCAAAUAGCUAAUGAUUUAAAUUCAAAGUCCCAAAAAUAAAUCCUUAAAAAUGUUCAAUAUUUUGGUUGGGACCAGAACCCUUGCCAAAAAUUAUCAAACAUUUAAGAAGAGCAUUUUGGAACAAUGAAUGAGAUUUUAGGGUUUUUGCCCUUCUUUUAUUUAAGUUUUUGAGGCUUCCAAAUUUCCUCAGUUCAAGUUUCAAAAUUUAAACAUGAUGCAAACACUAGGCAGCACCAGAAGCUAGGGAUGUGACAUUCUCUCAACAAUAAUAACAUAGAUAGAUCAUAUAACAAUCCCUCAACAUGCAACAAAGAGUCACUCCAAAGCCACUAAUAGCGGAGAACAAACGUAGAGAUUAUGGUAGGGUACGAAACCACCUCAAAGUUAUUCUUUCGGAUCGAUCUAUAAAAGAGUUCGUACUAGAAUAACACCUUAAGAUACAAAUGAACCAAAACCCUAAUGUCACCUAGAUACUCAAUUGUCACUUCAAGUAUCCGUGGGCAUGAUUAUAGAUAUGCAUCACACAAUCUCAGAUUCAUCCAACCAACACAAAGUACUUCAAAGAGUGCCCCAAAGUUUCUACCGGAGAGUCAAGAACGUGUGCUAACCCAUAUGCAUAGGUUCAUGGGCGGAACCCGCAAGUUGGUCACCAAAACAUACAUCAAGAGGCACAUGAUAUCCCAUUGUCACCACAGAUAAACACGGCAAGACAUACAUCAAGUGUUCUCAUAAAAGACUCAAUCCGAUAAGAUAACUUCAAAGGGGAAACUCAAUUCAUCACAAGAGAGUAGAGGGGGAGAAACAUCAUAAAAUCCAACUACAAUUGCAAAGCUCGGGAUACAUCAAGAUCAUGCCAUAGAGGUAACACGAGAGAGAACACGAGAGAGAGAGAGAGAGAGAGAGAGAGAGAGAGAGAGAUCAAACACAUAGCUACUGGUACAUACCCUCAGCCCCGAGGGUGAACUACUCCCUCCUCGUCAUGGAGAGCGUCGGGAUGAUGAAGAUGGCCACCGGUGAUGGGUUCCCCCUCCGGCAGGGUGCCAAAACGGACUCCCGAGAGGUUUUUGGUGGCUACAGAGGCUUGCGGCGGCGGAACUCCCGACCUAUCUUGUCUGUGGAUGUUUUUAGGGUACGUAGGGUUAUAUAGGCGAAAGAAGUCGGUCGGGAGGUGCUCGAGGGGCCCACGAGACAGGGAGGCGCGCCCUACAGGGGGGCGCACCCUCCUAUCUUGUGGUUGCCUUGAGGAUCUUCUAACUUGAUCUCCAAGCCUCCUGGAUGAUAAUCUUCCAAAAAAACACGUUGCCGAAGGUUUCAUUCUGUUUGGACUCCGUUUGAUAUCCCUUUUCUUCGAAAUACUGAAACAGGCAAUAAAACAGCAAUAUGGGCUGGGCCUCCAGUUAAUAGAUUAGUCCCAAAAGUAACAUGAAAGUGUAUAAUAAAGCCCAUAAUCACUCAAAACACAUAGUAAUAUAGCAUGAAUGCUUCAUAAAUUAUAGAUGCGUUGGAGACGUAUCAGCAUCCCCAAGCUUAAUUCCUACUCGUCCUCGAGUAGGUAAAUGAUAAAAGAAAGAAUUUAUGAAGUGUGAAUGCUAGAAGGUGCACAAGUUUGAUCAAUGAUAAUUUCAAUCACAUUUUCUAGCAUGAUAAUAUGUCAUAACAGUAGUUCAUCUCAUAAAACUUCUCACGAUAAAGUAACAAGAAAUUCAUGUGUCAAAGGAUAGACCAUAAACUUUCUUGAAAACUAGCAAACUUCAUUCUCAGUCAUUCAAACAAUUGCAAUUCAUCUUAUUUUCAGGAAUAACAAACUCCACAUACUCAACUAUCAUAUAGUCUUCUACAAUUGCUAACACUCACGCAAUACUAAUGGUUAUGAAGUUUUAAUCAGACAGAAAGAAAGAUUGGGGCUUAUAAUGUUGCCUCCAAACGUAUUCACCUUUGGGUGAUGUCAACAAUAAUAGUUCAUACUAACUUACAUCCAAUUGGAUAUAUAAAUCAGGAUCACCCCAACACAAAUUGCUUGCCAAAGGAUAAAGUGAAAAAGGGAAAGGUGAACAUCACCUUGACUCUUGCAUAAAGUAAAAGACAUAAAGUAAAAGAUAGGCCCUUCGUAGAGGGAAGCAGAGGUUUGUCAUGCACUUUUAGGGUUGGAUACACAAAAUCUUAAUGCGAAAGAACGUCACUUUAUAUUUCCCCUUGUAUAUGGACCUUUAUUAUGCAGUCCGUCGCUUUUAUUGCUUCCAUAACAAGUUCGUACAAAGCUUAUUUUCUCCGCACUAAUAAGUCAUGCAUAUUUAGAGAGAAAUUUUUAUUGCUUGCACCGAUGACAACUUACUUGAAGGAUCUUACUCAAUCCAUAGGUAGGUGUGGUGGACUCUCAUGGCAAAACUGGGUUUAAGGAUAUUUGGAAGCACAAGUAGUAUCUCUACUUGGUGCAAGGAAUUUUGGCUAGCAUGAGGGGGAAAGGCAAGCUCAACAUGUUUGAAUGAUCCAUGACAAUAUACUUUAACUGAGAUGUCGGAAAGCAUAAACCAUUACUUGUCUUCCUUGUCCAACAUCAACUCUUUCGCAUGUCAUACUUAAUGAGUGCUCCCAAUUAUAAAAGAUGUCUACAAUAGUAUAUUUAUAUGUGAAAUCUUUCUUCCCUCAAUAUUAUUUCAUGAAAUUGUUCAAAUGACCAAUACAAUGCUUGCUAACCUUCAAUAAAUUUACAACCUCUACUUCUUAGACGUGAAGUCAUUACUCCCCAUGGGAUAAGCAAAUGAGGCAUAUAUAAUUUCAGAUUUAUGACAAUCAACUCAUUCAAUCAUUUACUCAUAGGAUAUAAGUGAAGCACACGAGUAAAUGACAAACUACUCCAAAAAGAUAUAAGUGAAGAUCAAUGAGUAGCUAAAUAAUUAUGUAACUAUGCGAAGACUCUCUCUCAUUUAAGAAUUUCAGAUCUUGGUACUCUAAUCAAACAGCAAGCAAAACAAAAUAAAAUGACAUUGCAAGGAUAGCACAAAUCAUGUGAAGAAGCAAAAACUCAGGCUCAACCGAUACUAAAUGAUAGUUGUUGAAGAAGAAAGGUGGGAUGCCUACCGGGGCAUCCCCAAGAUUAGAUGCUUGAGACUUCUUGAAAUAUUAUCUUGGGGUGCCUUGGGCAUCCCCAAGCUUGAACUUUUGUGUCUCCUUAAUUCCUCUCAUAUCAUGGUUUCUCUUUUUAUCAAAAGCUUCGUCCACACCAAACUCAACAAGAACUCGUGAGAUAGGUUAGUAUAAACCAAUGCAAAACCUUAUCAUUUUCUACUGUAACAAAUCACUAACAUUAUAAUUCAACAUUGAAUACUAAAUGCCUCUGCAUAUCCUAUCCUCAAAUAGAAUCAUUAAACAAGAAAAUAAAUGCAAACAAUGCAAACAUAACAGCAAUAUGCCAAAACAGUACAAUCUGUAAAUAAUGCAAGAGUAACAAUACUUCCCUAACUCCAACAAUUAUGAAAUAAAAUUCCCACUGUAGUAAGUUUAUCAGAGCUCAUUAUGCAAAAGGUUUCAUCAAUAUAUCAUUCUCUGACUUUUCUAGGGAAUUUUUGCAACAGCGGUAAACUUUCUGUUUUCAAACAGCAACAUGUAUACUAGCAAAAUAAGCAUGGCAAAGGCUAUCCUUGACUUUUUUAUUGAAACUAAAGAUGCAAAACAUUAUUCUAAAUAACAUCAAGCAAAUACUAACAAAAUAAAUUGACACUCCAAGCAAAACACAUAUCAUGUGGUGAAUAAAAAUAUAGCUCCAAGUAAAGUUACCGAUGAACGAAGACAAAAGAGGGGAUGCCUUCCGGGGCAUCCCCAAGCUUAGGCUCUUCGUUGUACUUGAAUAUUACCUUGGGGUGACUUGGGCAUCCCCAAACUUAGGCUCUUUCCACUCCUUAUUCCAUAGUCCAUUGAAUCUUUACCCAAAACUUGAAAACUCCGCAACACAAAACUCAACAGAAAACUCGUAAGCUCCGUUAGUAUAAGAAAAUAAAACCACCACUUAGGUACUAUAAUGAACUCAUUCUAAAUUCAUAUUGGUGUAAUGUCUAAUGUACUCCGACUUAUCUAUGGUUCAUACAACCUAAUACUACUCAUAGAUUCAUCAAAAUAAGCAAACAACACAUAGAAAACAGAAUUUGUCAAAAACAGAACAGUCUGUAGUAAUCUGUAUCAAACGUAUACUUCUGGAACUCCAAAAAUUCUACAACAUUAGGAAGGCCUGAGAAAUUUGGGUACCAAUCCAGAGCAAAAAGAAUCAGAUCAAGAGCACGUUUCCGUGAAUUAUCAAAACUAAUUUACUGGGUGCAAAAGUUUCUGAUUUUUAGCAGGAUCAACACAACUAUCACCGUAAGCUAUCCUAAAGGUCUUACUUGGCACUUUAUUGAAACAAAAGCUAUAAAACAUGAUUACUACAGUAUAAUAAUCAUUUGGACACACAAAAACAGUAAGGAUAAAUAUUGGGUUGUCUCUCAACAAGCGCUUUUCUUUAAUGCCUUUCUAGCUAGGCAUGACGAUGACAAUGAUGCUCACCUAAAAGAUAAGAAUUGAAAUGUAAUGGGAGCAUCAUGAAGCAUAUGACUAGCACAUUUAAGCCUAACCCACUUCCUAUGCAUAGGUAUUUUGUGAGCAAACAACUUAUGGGAACAAUAAUCAACUAGUGUAGGAAGGUAAAACGAGCAUAGCUUCAAGAUUUUCAACACAUAGAGAGGAAACUUGACAUUAUUGCAAUUCCUACAAGCAUAUAUUACUCCCUCAUAAUAAUUUUCAGUAGUAUCAUGAAUGAAUUCAACAAUAUAACCAGCACGUAAAUCAUUCUUUUCAUGAUCUACAAGCAUAGAAAAUUUACUACUCUCCACAUAAGCAAAAUUCUUCUCAUUCGGAAUAGUGGGAGUAUCAUAAGAGACUUGAACACUAAAAAUUGUUUCCGCAUUAAAAGAGUAAUGCUCAGAAAAAGGGUAAUCAUAAUCAUGACAAGAUUUGUAAAUAUAAUCAUCACUACUUUUUAUAGCAUAAGUUUCAUCACAAUAAUCAUCAUAAGUAGCAACUUCGUUCUCAUCAUAAUCGAUUGAAACCUCUCCCAAGAUAGUGGAAUCACUAAAUAAAGUUGACACUCUUCCAAAUCCACUUUCAUGUUCAUCACAAUAAGAUUCCACAUCCUCCAAAAUAGUGGGAUCACUACUUCCUAAAGUUGACACUCUUCCAAACCCACUUUCAUCAAUAUAAUCAUCAUAUGUAGGAGGCAUGCUAUCAUCAUAACAACUUUGCAUAUCAAAACUUAGGAUGCUAAAAAUAUCAUCUUCAUUAAACAUAGCAUCCCCAAGCUUGGGACAAACAUUAGUUUCAGCAAAUAUAUUCUCAAAUAUUUCAUCCUUAUCAAACAUAGCUUCCCCAAGCUUGGGCCCUUUCAUAUCAUAAGCAUAAUCACUCUCAUCAUUAAAAAUAUUGAUAGCACCUAUAGUAUAGCAAUUAUCAUCAUCACAAUGAGUAGUAGGAGCAACAUAAUUUGGGAGGGAUACCUUUCUACCUUUGUUGCUCCUUCUUUUCUUUUUCUUCUUCACAUUAUGUGUGGGUUCAACCUUCCUCUUUGAGCCGCUUAUUGACGAGAUUGGUUGAAUAGAAAUCUCCUCCUCGUUACCUGAUUCAUCAUAGAAAAUAAUAGGAGGAGAUUGGGAGGUCACUUCCCUUUCAUUAGUAUUCUCAUCAUCUUCUAUUUGCUUUCUUUUCUUUAUGUAAUUCGCAAAAUAAGGAUUUUCAAUGCAAUUCUCCACACAAAACACAUAAAUAUCCUCUAGAUCAAAAUCAAGAAAUCUAUCAAGAUUAAAUUUUGGAAUACCCUCAGUUAUACGUUUCAUUUCUUCACACCCCAAAAGAAGACUAAGCUCUUUUUGAUGCCCAAGGGUAAUCAAGCUAUCACAAUUUUUGGACACGGUUCGAUCAUAAAACAAUUUGCAUUGGAGAUUUAAAUGACCACAUUCAUUGCAAAGUUCACAAGGAGCGCGAAAAAUAUUGAAUCUUCUAGCACACUCAUCAAAACUUUCUUGCAAACCUUUAGUUUUUAAGUACUUAUGGUUCUUGCAAUAUCUAUUUUCUCUAUUUGGUGUGUCCAUGCAAAUCCAAUCUACUCCACAAAAAUCAACAUGCUUAUAGGAGACAUUUUCAUCAUAACCAGUGCAAUCAUCAUUAGUACUAUGGAUAAUCAAAGAGUUCAUACUAACAACAUUACAAUCAUGCUCAUCAUUCAAAGAUUUAGUACCAAGCAUUUUAAUGCAUUCUUCUUCUAGCACUUGAGCACAAUUUUCCUUUCCAUCAUACUCACGAAAGAUAUUAAAAAGACAAAGCGUAUGAGACAACCUUAACUCCAUUUUUUUGUAGUUUUUUUUAUAAACUAAACUAGUGAUAAAACAAGAAACAAAAAGAUUCGAUUGCAAGAUCUAAAGAUAUACCUUUAAGCACUCACCUCCCCGGCAAUGGCGCCAGAAAAGAGCUUGAUGUCUACUACACAACCUUCUUCUUGUAGACGUUGUUGGGCCUGCAAGUGCACAGGUUUGUAGGACAGUAGCAAAUUUCCCUCUAAUGGAUGACCUAAGGUUUAUCAAUCCGUGGGAGGCGUAGGAUGAAGAUGGUCUCUCUCAAACAACCCUGCAACCAAAUAACAAAGAGUCUCUUGUGUCCCCAACACACCCAAUACAAUGGUAAAUUGUAUAGGUGCACUAGUUCGGCGAAGAGAUGGUGAUACAAGUGCAAUAUGGAUAGUAGAUAAAGGUAUUUCUAAUCUGAAAAUAUAAAAACAGCAAGGUAACUAAUGAUAAAAGUGAGCGUAAACCGUAUUGCAAUGGUAGGAAACAAGGCCUAGGGUUCAUACUUUCACUAGUGCAAGUUCUCUCAACAAUAAUAACAUAGAUAGAUCAUAUAACAAUCCCUCAACAUGCAACAAAGAGUCACUCCAAAGACACUAAUAGCGGAGAACAAAUGUAGAGAUUAUGGUAGGGUACGAAACCACCUCAAAGUUAUUCUUUCGGAUCGAUCUAUAAAAGAGUUCAUACUAGAAUAACACCUUAAGAUACAAAUCAACCAAAACCCUAAUGUCACCUAGAUACUCCAUUGUCACUUCAAGUAUCCGUGGGCAUGAUUAUAUGAUAUGCAUCACACAAUCUCAGAUUCAUCCAACCAACACAAAGUACUUCAAAGAGUGCCCCAAAGUUUCUACCGGAGAGUCAAGAACGUGUGCCAACCCAUAUGCAUAGGUUCAUGGGCGGAACCCACAAGUUGGUCACCAAAACAUACAUCAAGAGGCACAUGAUAUCCCAUUGUCACCACAGAUAAACACGGCAAGACAUACAUCAAGUGUUCUCAUAAAAGACUCAAUCCAAUAAGAUAACUUCAAAGGGGAAACUCAAUUCAUCACAAGAGAGUAGAGGGGGAGAAACAUCAUAAGAUCCAACUACAAUAGCAAAGCUCGGGAUACAUCAAGAUUGUGCCAUAGAGGUAACACGAGAGAGAGAGAGAUCAAACACAUAGCUAUUGGUACAUACCCUUAGCCCCGAGGGUGAACUACUCCCUCCUCGUCCGCGAUACAUCAAGAUCGUGCCAUAGAGGUAACACGAGAGAGAGAGAGAUCAAACACAUAGCUAUUGGUACAUACCCUCAGCCCCGAGGGUGAACUACUCCCUCCUCGUCAUGGAGAGCGUCGGGAUGAUGAAGAUGGCCACCGGUGAUGGGUUCCCCCUCCGACAGGGUGCCAGAACGGACUCCUGAGAGGUUUUUGGUGGCUACAGAGGCUUGCGGCGGCGGAACUCCCGAUCUAUCUUGUCCGUGGAUGUUUUUAGGGUACGUAGGGUUAUAUAGGCGAAAGAAGUUGGUUGGGAGGUGCUCGAGGGGCCCACGAGACAGGGGGCGCGCCCUACAGGGGGGUGAACCCUCCUAUCUCGUGGCUGCCUCGAGGAUCUUCUGACUUGAUCUCCAAGCCUCCUGGAUGAUAAUCUUCCAAAAAAACACGUUGUCGAAGGUUUCAUUCCGUUUGGACUCCGUUUGAUAUCCCUUUUCUUCAAAAUACUGAAACAGGCAAUAAAACAACAAUAUGGGUUGGGCCUCCGGUUAAUAUGUUAGUCCCAAAAGUAAUAUAAAAGUGUAUAAUAAAGCCUAUAAUCACUCAAAACACAUAGUAAUAUAGCAUGAAUGCUUCAUAAAUUAUAGAUACAUAGGAGACGUAUCACACCUCCGAGUUCAGCACACAUUCAGCUCAAUGACGUCCCACGAACUCCGAUCAAGCAGAGCUUUGCGGGAGAGUUCUGUCAGCACGGAGGCGUGACGAUGGCGUUGAUGAUGCUACCGACGCAGGGCUUCGCCUAUGCACCGCUAUGAUAUUACCGAGGUGGAAUAUGGUGGAGGGGGCACCACACACGGCUAAGAGAUCAAUGAUCAAUUAUUGUGUCAUGGGGUGCCCCUAGCCUCAGUAUAUAAGGAGGAGAGGAGGGGAGGGGCCGACCCUCUCUAUGGAGCGCCCUGGGGAGUCCUACUCCCAUCGGGAGUAGGAUUCCCCCCUUCCAUAUAGUAGGAGUAGGAGUCAAGGAAAGGGAAAAGAGAAGAGGAGAGAAGGAGGGGGCGGGUCUGUGAGAGAAGUUCAGUCAACGGGUCUGUCACAUUCAGAGUCGUAUGUAUUUUGCAAAUAUUCUAUGUCUACAAUGCUCUGCACGGAGCUACUCUAGCUAAUUGCUCCCACUUCCAAUAUGUAUCCAGAUUGAGACUUAGAGUCAUCUGGAUCGGUGUAAAAGUUUGCAUCGACGUAACUCUUUACGACGAACUCUUUAUCACCUCUAUAACCAAGAAAUAUUUCCUUAGUCCUUACUAAGGGUCUUCUUGACCGCUGUCCAGUGAUCUACUUCUGGAUCAAAAAAUUGUACUCCCUUGCCAAACUCAGAGCAAGGUAUACAAUAGGUCUGGUACACAGCAUAGCAUACUUUAUAGAACCUAUGACUGAGGCAUAGGGAAUGACUUUUCAUUCUCUUUCUAUUUUCUUCCCUGGUCGGGUUUUGAGUCUUACUCAACUUCACACCUUGCAACACGCUAGAACUCCGUCUUUGACUAUUCCAUUUUAAACUACUUCAACAUCUUAUCAAGGUAUGUACUCAUUGAAAAAUCUUAUCAAGCGUCUUGAUCUAUCUCUAUAGAUCUUGAUGCUCAAGGUGUAAGCAGCUUCACCAAGGUCUUUCUUUGAAAAACUCCUUUCAAACACUACUUUAUGCUUUCCAAAAAAUUCUAUAUUAUUUCUGAUCAAUAAUAUGUCAUUCACAUAUACUUAUCAGAAAGGCUGUAGUGCUCCCACUCACUUUCCUGUAAAUACAGGCUUCACCGCAAGUCUGUAUAAAACUAUAUGCUUUGAUCAACUCAUCAAAGUGUAUAUUCCAACUCUGAGAUGCUUACACCAGUCCAUAGAUGGAUCACUGGAGCUUGCACACUUUGUUAGCACCUUUAAUAUUGUCAAAACCUUCUGGUUGCAUCAUAUACAACUCUUCUUUAAUAAAUCCAUUAAGGAAUGCAGUUUUGACAUCCAUUUGCCAAAUUUCAUAAAAUGUGGCAAUUGCUAACAUGAUUCGGAUAGACUUAAGCAUCGAUACGAGUGAGAAAAUCUCAUCGUAUUCAACACCUUGAACUUGUCAAAAAAAUUGCAAUAAGUCAAGCUUUGUAGAUAGUAACACUGCUAUCAGCGUUAGUCUUCCUCUUGAAGAUCCAUUUAUUUUCUAUGGAUUGCCGAUCAUCGGGCAACUCCACCAAAGUCCACACUUUGUUCCCAUACAUGGAUCCCAUCUCAGAUUUCAUGGCCUUCAAGCCAUUUCGCGGGAUCUGGGCUCAUCAUCGCUUCCUCAUAGCUUGUAGGUUCAUCAUGGUCUAGUAACAUGACUUCCAGAAUAGGAUUACCAUACCACUCUUGUGUAGUCCAUACUCUGGAAGACCUAUGAGUUUCUGUAAUAACUUGAUCUGAAGUUUCAUGAUCAUCAUCAUUAACUUCCUCACUAAUUGGUGUAGGAAUCACUGGAACUAAUUUCUGUGAUGAACUACUUUCCAAUUCGGGAGAAGGUACAAUUACCUCAUCAAAAAGUUAUACUUUCCUCCCACUCACUUCUUUCGAGAGAAACUCCUUCUCUAGAAAGGAUCCAUUUUUAGCAAUGAAUAUCUUGCCUUUGGAUCUAUGAUAGAAGGUGUACCCAACAGUUUCCUUUGGGUAUUCUAUGAAGACGCACUUCUUUGAUUUGGGUUCGAGCUUAUCACAUUGAAACUUUUUCACAUAAGCAUCACAGCCCCAAACUUUUAGAAACAACAACUUUGGUUUCUUGCCAAACCACAGUUCAUAAGGCGUCGUCUCAACGGAUUUUGAUGGUUCCCUAUUUAAAGUGAAUGCAGCUGUCUCUAAUGCAUAACCCCAAAACGAUAGUGGUAAAUCGGUAAGAUACAUCAUAGAUCGCACCAUAUCCAAUAAAGUGCGGUUACGACAUUCGGACACACCAUUACGCUGUGGUGUUCCAUGUGGUGUGAGCUGUGAAACUAUUCCACAUUGUUUUAAAUGAAGGCCAAACUCGUAACUCAAAUAUUCUCCUCUACGAUCAGAUUGUAGAAACUUUAUUUUCUUGUUACGAUGAUUCUCCACUUCACUCUGAAAUUCUUUGAACUUUUCAAAUGUUUCAGACUUGUGCUUCAUUAAGUAGAUAUACUCAUAUCUACUCAAAUCAUCUGUGAAGGUCAGAAAAUAACGAUACUCGCCACGAGCAUCAACACUCAUUGGACCGCAUACAUCGGUAUGUAUUAUUUCCAACAAGUCAGUAGCUCGUUCCAUUGUUCCGGAGAACGGAGUUUUAGUCAUCUUGCCCAAAAGGCACGGUUCGCAAGCAUCAAAUGAUUCAUAACCAAGUGAUUCCAAAAAUCCAUCUUUAUGGAGUUUCUUCAUGCACUCUACAUCGAUAUGACCCAAACGGCAGUGCCACAAAUAAAUUGCACUAUCAUUAUCAACUUUGCAUCUUUUGGCAUCAAUAUUAUGAAUAUGUGUAUCACUACGAUCGAUAUCCAACAAACUAUUUUGAUUGGGUGUAUGACCACCGAAGGUUUUAUUCAUGUAAACAGAACAACAAUUAUUCUCUGACUUUAAAUGAAUAAUCAUAUUGCAAUAAACAUGAUCAAAUCAUAUUCAUGCUCAAUGCAAACACCAAAUAACAUUUAUUUAGGUUUAACACUAAUCCCGAAAGUAUAAGGAGUGUGCGAUGAUGAUCAUAUCAAUCUUGGAACUACUUCCAACACACAUUGUCACUUCACCCUCAACUAGUCUCUGUUUAUUCUGUAACUCCUGUUUCGAGUUACUAAUAUUUAGCAACCGAAAAAGUAUCAAAUACCCAGGGGCUACUAUAAACACUAGUAAGGUACACAUCAAUAACCUGUAUAUCAAAUAUACCCUUGUUCACUUUGCCAUCCUUCUUAUCCACCAAAUAUUCAGGGCAUUUCUACUUCCAGUGACCAUUUCCUUUGCAGUAGAAGCACUUAGUUUCAGGCUUUAGUCUCGCUUUGGGAUUCUUCACAGAAGUGACAACUUGCUUGUCAUUCUACAUGAAGUUCCCUUUCUUUCCCUUUGCCCUUUUCUUGAAACUAGUGGUCCUGUCGAUCAUCAACACUUUGAUGCUCUUUCUUGAUUUUUACCUUCAUCGAUUUCAACAUCACGAAGAGCUUCGGGAAUUGUUUUCGUCAUCCCUUGCAUACUAUAGUUCAUCACAAAGUUCCAGUAACUUGGUGAUGGUGACCAGAGAACUCUGUCAGUCACUGUCUUAUCUAGAAGAUUAACUCCCACUUGAUUCAAGUGAUUAUAGUACCCAGACAUUCUGAGCACAUGCUCACUAGUUGAGCAAUUCUCCUCCAUCUUUUAGUCAAAGUACUUGUCAGAGGUCUCAUACCUCUUGACACGGGCAUGAGUCUGAAAUACCUAUUUCAUCUCUUGGAACAUCUCAUAUGCUCCAUGGCAUUUCAAAAAAAGUUUUAUAAGUCUCGGUUCUAAGCCGUAAAGCAUGGUGCACAAAACUAUCAAGUAGCCAUCAUAUUGAGCUAGCCAAACGUUCAUAACGUCUCCAUCUGCUCCUGCAAUAGGUCUGUCACCUAGCGGUGCAUCAAGGACAUAAUUCUUCUGUGCAGCAAUGAGGAUACACCUCAGAUCAUGGACCUAGUCUGCAUCUUUUCUACUAACAUCUUUAAACUUAGUUUUCUCUAGGAACAUAUAAAAAAACAUAGGGAAGCUAUAACGCGAGCUAUUGAUCUACAACAUAAUUUGCAAAAUACUAUCAUGACUAAGUUCAUGAUAAAUUAAAGUUCAAUUAAUCAUAUUACUUAAGAACUCCCACUUAGAUAGACAUCCCUCUAAUCAUCUAAGUGAUCACGUGAUCCAAAUCAACUAAACCAUGUCUGAUCAUCACGUGAGAUGGAGUAGUUUUCAAUGGUGAACAUCACUAUGUUGAUCAUAUCUACUAUAUGAUUCACGCUCGACCUUUCGGUCUCUAGUGUUCUGAGGCCAUAUCUGCAUAUGCUAGGCUCAUCAAGUUUAACCCGAGUAUUCUGCAUGUGCAAAACUGUCUUACACCCGUUGUAUUUGAACGUAGAGCUUAUCACACCUGAUCAUCACGUGGUGUCUCGGCACGAAGAACUAUUGCAACGGUGCAUACUCAGGGAGAACACUUAUACCUUAAAAUUUUAGUAAGGGAUUAUCAUAUAAAGCUACCGUCGAACUAAGCAAAAUAAGAUGUAUAAAAGAUAAACGUCAUAUGCAAUCAAAAUAUGUGACAUGAUAUGGCCAUGAUCAUCUUGCGCCUUUGAUCUCCAACUCCAAAGUACUGUCAUGAUCUCUAUCGUCACCGACACGAUACCAUGAUCUCCAUCAUCUUGAUCUAUAUCAAUAUGUCGUCACAUGGUCGUCUCGCCAACUAUUGCUAUCACAUAGCGAUAAAGUAAAGCAAUUAUUUGGCGCUUGCAUCUUAUGCAAUAAAGAGACAACCAUAAGGCUUCUGCCAGUUGUCGAUAACUUCAACAAAACAUGAUCAUCUCAUACAACAACUUAUAUCUCAUCACGUCUUGACCAUAUAACAUCACAACAUGCCCUGCAAAAACAAGUUAGACGUCCUCUACUUUGUUGUUGCAAGUUUUACGUGGCUGUUACGGGCUGAGCAACAACCGUUCUUACCUACGCAUCAAAACCACAAUGAUAUUUCAUCAGGUUAGUGUUGUUUUAACCUUCACAAGGACUGGGUGUAGCCACACUCGAUUCAACUAAAGUUGGAGAAACUGACACCCGCCAGCCACCUGUGUGCAAAGCACGUCGGUAGAACCAGUCUCGCGUAAGCGUACGCGUAAUGUCGGUCUGGGCCGCUUCAUCCAACAAUACCGAUGAACCAAAGUAUGACAUGCUGGUAAGCAGUAUGACUAGUAUCGCCCACAACUCACUUGUGCUCUACUCUUGCAUAUAACAUCUACGCAUAAACCUGGCUCUGAUACCACUGUUGGGGAACGUAGUACUUUCAAAAAAAAAUCCUAUGCACAUGCAAGAUCAUGGUGAUGCAUAGCAACAAGAGGGGAGAGUGAGUCAUGUACCCUCGUAGACCGAAAACAGAAACGUUAGCACAACGCGGUUGAUGUAGUCGUACGUCUUCACGAUCCGACCGAUCAAGUACCGAACGUACGGCACCUCCGAGUUCAGCACACGUUCAGCUCGAUGACAUCCCACGAACUCUGAUCCAGUAGAGCUUUGCGGGAGAGUUCUGUCAGCACUACGACGUGAUGACAGUGUUGAUGAUGCUACCGACACAGGGCUUCGCCUAAGCACCGCUACGAUAUUACCGAGGUGGAAUAUGGUGGAGGGGGCACCGCACACGGCUAAGAGAUCAAUGAUCAAUUGUUGUCUCAUGGGGUGCCCCUAGCCUCAGUAUAUAAAGGAGGAGGGGAGGGCAGGGGCCGACCCUCUCUAUGGCGCGCCCUGGAGAGUCCUACUCCCACCGGGAGUAGGAUUCCCCCCCCCUUCCAUGUAGUAGGAGUAGGAGUCAAGGAAAGGGAAAAGAGAAGAGAAGGAAGGAGGGGGCGCAGCCCCUUCCCCUAGUACAAUUCGGACUAGGCAUUGGGGGCGCGCGGCCUGCCUCUCCCUCUUUCCCUUAAAGCCCGAUAAGGCCCAUAUACUCCCCGGCGAAUUCCCGUAACUCUUUGGUACUCCGAUAAAUACCCGAAUCACUCGGAACCUUUCCGAUGUCCGAAUAUAGUUGUCCAAUAUAUCGAUCUUUACGUCUCGACCAUUUCGAGACUCCUCGUCAUGUCCCCGAUCUCAUACGGGACUGAGAACUACCUUCGGUACAUCAAAACACAUAACUCAUAAUAUAAAUUGUCACCGAACGUUAAGCGUGCGGACCCUACGGGUUCGAGAACUAUGUAGACAUGACCGAGACUCAUCUCCGGUCAAUAACCAAUAGCGGAACCUGGAUGCUCAUAUUGGCUCCCACAUAUUCGACAAAGAUCUUUGUCGGUCAAACCGCAUAACAAUAUACGUUGUUCCCUUUGUCAUCGGUAUGUUACUUGCCCGAGAUUCGAUCGUCGGUAUCUCAAUACCUAGUUCAAUCUCGUUACUGGUAAGUCUCUUUACUCGUUAUGUAAUGCAUCAUCCCGCAACUAACUCAUUAGUCACAUUGCUUGCAAGGAUUAUAGUGAUGUGCAUUACCAAGAGGGCCCAGAGAUACCUCUCCGACAACCGGAGUGACAAAUCCUAAUCUCGAAAUAUGCCAACUCAACAAGUACCUUUGGAGACACCUGUAUAGCACGUUUAUAAUCACCCAGUUACGUUGUGACGUUUGGUAGCACAUAAAGUGUUCCUCCGGUAAACGGGAGUUGCCUAAUCUCAGCCAUAGGAACAUGUAUAAGUCAUGAAGAAAGCAAUAGCAACAUACUAAAUGAUCAACUGCUAAGCUAAUGGAAUGGGUCAAGUCAAUCACAUCAUUCUCCUAAUGAUGUGAUCCCGUUAAUCAAAUGACAACUCAUGUUUAUGGUUAGGAAACUUAACCAUCUUUGAUAAACGAGCUAGUCAAGUAUAGGCAUACUAGUGACACUAUGUUUGUCUAUGUAUUCACACAUGUACUAAGUUUCCGGUUAAUGCAAUUCUAGCAUGAAUAAUAAACAUUUAUCAUGAAAUAAGGAAAUAAAUAAUAACUUUAUUAUUGCCUCUAGGGCAUAUUUCCUUCAUCUUCUACCUCCGUAUGUUCAUGGUUGAUCUCGAAAUGAAUUGUGAUGUUGAGUGGUUAUGCCACCAUUUUGUAGGUUGUCACAAAAUCUUUUUGAGCACUUACAGUCGUUAUGUUGUCCGAGUCAUCCCAGGUUUCUAAACAGUCUGAUGCAUUUGCAAAUUCCUUCUUACCGUUCUGGAGGUCCUUUGUGCUAGAUCAACCACACUUACUAGUGUCUUGAGGUACUUCAUUGCCUCGGCAUUUGUGUUGGAGCUAUUAUUAUGACCCUAGGUGUCUAGAGUAUUACCUAGUAACCUAGCCAUGUUUUGUGUUCCCAGUGUGAUGAUUCUGGCCAUUAUUCUCGAAAGCAUCCCGUGAUGCCACUUAGUAGUAGGCAUUCUAUCCCUGGGUUCUUGAACCCAAGACCCACCCUACUUACUUCAUGUUGAUAGUGUGAUUUCGUGGUAUAACGUUCUUACAAAUACCAUGAACUAUACUUAUGGCAAAAGUUCCUCGUUGAACUGAAAGAUCACAACCAGAGUGCUCUUGGCGAGUUCUCGAUUCUAUGUUGUUACUCUGCCAGUUCUACCUUUCUGCAUGGGUUAUCCGGAAGGAACCUGUUGAACCUGGUUCGACAUACUAAUCUAUGCAUCCACAACUCAGAAAAUCAUAUAUUCUUUUGAGUUCUUCCUUUUGACUUGUCUUCUGACCCUCGUUUGUCAAUUGAUAGUCAAGAGUAUGUGUGUAUUCGUUCAUCAAUACCUAUUAUUCUUGUGGUCCUUCAAGCCAUUCUAUUCCGGAAUGACUAGGAGAAACAAACUCCAGUACCUCAUCCAUAUCCAGGAUUGGGUCAAAGCAGUUGUGUUCCGUAGAUCAAAUACUAAUCCAGCUUUUAUUCUGUUCUACCCUGAAGUAUUACCCACUUUAUGUCAGGAAUGUCAUGAGAACUGCACCCUCACUUAUGAAUUCUUAACGUAGUGAUACUUCUCAUCAUCAUUAUUCAUUCCUCGGUUCCUUGUUGUCACAACCGGAAUGCCGACAAGUGAAUCAUGAUGUGUGAAAUCAAUACUCCUAGCACCCUUGUUGCUUGGUAGUUAAAGGACGAUAAUUUCAUCCUUAGCAUGUUGGUUAUUGAAUCCCCAUCCUAAGGUUGAUCGUGCUACCUAGUCCUUAUUUCCGGUGCACUCUCUGAUCAAUGAGUUAGGAUUGUGUCAAUCCCUCGCUCUACUGAUCAUAUCACCUUGCCCUGAAAAGCAAGAUUGUUCCCGAGCUUAGUAACAUGUCGGUGGUUCAUGAUUUUCUGAGUGUCUUCUCAGAAGUAUCACCAGGUUGUCACCUCACCGCUAUGUUAAGCUUGUGAUCAAGUUGGUUUCUCUAUGAACCACCCCUUCUCCAAGAAUCUGUGUCGGAUACCCUGAGCUAGUUCGCUAAGCUAAACAACAACUUGGAGAGUUGGAAGAUAAAAGCUUACCCGACUUAGUUCAUUUUAAGGGAUAUCUUGUAUGUGUGUUGAACAAAGAUGAUAUCUUCACCAAUUGGUCCUCGUGAUCAGUUGUUGGAUCUAUUGUCUUGUUGAAACUUUGAUUUGAGUAUGGGCUAUCCUCAAAUCGAAUCAGAACCAACGAUAUUUGUAAUGUUUUCCUACUCGUGGUUGUUUCCUCGAGCAUACCACAUUACAUCCUUUGGGUCUGACCAAUGCUACCACCUUGUUCACAUAAUCCUAGAAUUUCACUUAUAUGGAAACCUGGAUGAAUUGUUGUUGAGCCCAUCAGCAACAUUGUUAUCUUCUCCAUGAUUUGUGUUGAACAUCCAGCAAGUAUUGGAAACUUUAUAAGAAUUACCUUCAUGUCCCGUUCAUGAAGCAUAUGCUCGGAUGAAAGAAGUGACCUCCUCUAAUUCAUGUGCAUUUGACGCAAGUUGCCACCGUGAAUUCAAGAAAGCAUGUUUUUUACCUCCUCUGGAAUCAUCCCAAGUCAGUUAUGCAUGUGCGAAGUAUUCUGUGGUAUGUUAGACUGAUCAUCUUCAUUCCAUAAGAAUUCCGUAGCACACCAAGCCACUGAUUGAUUGUUCAAGGAGAAGAAUUUCCUUUUAAGAACUAACCCGGGCUUAAUCAUGGACUUCAUUAUCCGCAAUGAUGGUUCCCCACCUGAACUCGUUAGUGUUUUAUUAUAAGACUACUAUGUGGUCAUGCUUGUCUGAGACAACGUGCUCACAUGUUUGUAGCAUAACCCUCUCCUAUUUUGGAUCUUGCUAUCGUAGUUCAUUCCCCGAGAAUCUCGCAACGUCAUCUCGUUGAUUUGUGUUGCAAACUUUCAUUUUUCCUUCUAGACUUGAUGAGUCUGGAAUAUUCUGGCACCAACCAGAUCUGAAUCUCAGGCAGAUAUGAUGGUUGGAAUGUUUCCCAAGAAUUAUAAUAUUGGUCUCUCUAUAACCCGGUAAAGUGGAUGUCGUGGCCAACACACCCAGUCGGAAGACCUAUUAUUGUAGUAUCUUGAUUGAGGAAGUUGGCCACCUCCCCAUAAGGAUUUCGUAAGAUUUACUCCCUAGUUGUUCCUUAUGGAUUCUCGUGUUCCCGAAGUCCGACCUUUACUUGAUGUUCUAGAUAUCAAACCAUAUCUAUGAACGGAUUAGGCUAGCACAUCAAGGAGAACAUUAGAAGUGGAAUCCUAAAUGUCUCUUGGUCGAUCAUCCAGAUUUUGUUACCUUGGCCUCGCUAAGGUGAAAUCUGAGAAAGUGUUAUCUUCCUUUCCAUCUGCAUCCUCCACCAAUAUUCAUCAUGGUAGUAUGUUGCGCUGCCAGGAUCCUUGACACGGGUAUUGGUAAAACCUUGAUGAAUAUGGAAAUGCUCAAGUUCUUGAGAGCACGCACAAGCACUAGGUGCUACAAUUGGCACUAACUGGGAUUGCUCCUAGUUUCCUCGGUUAUGUUAUAACUUUUCAACAGUAGACUCACUCUCUAUUGUUGAGCUCCUCCCCAGCUACUAGAAUCAUUCCAGCGUUUGCAUUUUGUUUCCAACUUGCACCGCUAUUGUGCCAUCUCACCAUGGAAUACCCUUCUCAGUAAUUACUGAUCAGGAUCAUCUCCAAGUGGUCCUACCAUGGGUUCCAUCCAUUUCUGGUGAUAAGGAAAAUCACCCCUUGCGUUGUCUUCAACAAGGUAAUCCACAUCAUCCAACUGAGUCCGGAGAUGCCAUUCCUUUGAACUCCAUCAAACGAUCAUAUGGGAAUUGCCUUAGGCUGGUAUAGAAAGUUUCAAUGAUCUUUGUAUCAAAAGUAAUUCUUUUUGACACUUAAGGGAAUAAUUCUAUGAGUCAGCUCCUCCAACAUGUCUCGUUGUAUCAAACUCAACUCCUCGCUAUGUUGACAAAUGUUCACCACCUUCUUAGGUGUGAAAUUGUUGUCUACCUAGUGAACCUUCGGCAUCUGCUUCACUCCAUUCCUUGGGAUGUGUGCUUCGUGUCUCAACUCGCGAGAAGUUUCAAUGUCUCACUCCACGAGUUGAUCUUGAGUUGUUCGAUCUUCGAGAAGAUCGAUCCUUCCAGAGUUUUUCUUUUCUUCUCGUUGUCAUGUUGGUUGGAGUUCUCAGAGCAAGGCAUCGAGACAAUGAUGGUGAUCGAAUCAACGUUCUUACAAAGUGCAACCUGGAUCAUGAAGAUUGUGUUAGUUGCGUCCCCCUUUUCAUCUUACCCAACGCUUGAAUCUCGAGACAAGAUUCUUGUAUAGUGGGAGUGAGUUGUCACAGCCCUAGAUUAGUCUUUGUUUGUCUUUGCUUGAUCAUCAUGUCAUCAUGUUUAUUUUCAAAUGAAUUUGAAUUGGGGAUGUUCAAACCCUAGCAUCAAAUGGAAUUCAAAUAGGUUCAACCUAAAAAUAUUUUCAAAGAACCUGAAAUGCCCUUCAUAAAUGUUCAUCAUUUUUGUUUUGGUCCGGAACCUCUGCCAAAAAUGGUGCACACUUUUCUAGGACACUCCAGGUUAUUGAAUUAAAUCAUACAGUAUUUGUUCUUGGACAUUUAAAUGCUAUAAAUAAUUUUAAAUGUCCAAAUAAUAUUGAAGGUAAAUGAGGGCUGUUGGAAAUAAUCAAAACAGUGGCCACAAAUAUUUUCAGGAUUUUUGAAAACGCUCUGGCAUUUUUAAUAAGCCAAAACAAUUGCAGAAAAUAGAAAACAGAAAAGAUUCAAAAACGAGAGAGAGAGAGAGAGAGAGAGAGAGAGAGGAAAGUUUACCUAGGCCACCUACCUGACUGGGCCGGCCCACCUGGCCCAUGCCAGUCAUCACCUACCUCUGCCAGUAGGCAGAGGAGGGAGACAGUGCACGCGCGCUCGCGGCGCCAUGCCUCCUCUCUGCUAGCCUGUGUCCCCCAGGACAGCGCGAUGCCGCUGGUCGUCUCCUCGGUGCCAUUCAGAUCUGCCCGACCUCCUCACUCGCCCCCUGCUCUCUCUCCCUUGCCUUCCGUAUCCAUGGCAGAACCUCGCCCGAGCUCGCCGUCGUUGUUGCCGUAGCCAUAGCCUCCCUCUCGCCUCUCUGACAUAUACAAGAGCCCCGCCGCCUCGUCUACGUCCUCCUCACCGAGCCACGCAAUCGGAAGAGAACCGAAACACCGUCCCUGACCUUUCUUCCCCGUCCACGACCGUCGGAUGCCGUCAUCGGAUUCGCCAUCGCUGCCGCCUCCCCGAGCCCACUGAGUUGCUGUACGACCUCCCUAUGAGCCUUGCCGUCAUCUCCCCCUCUCCCCAUCAUCGAUUUCUCGCUACAACGCUGAUGACCGCGAGUCUCGCAUGCCGCCGCCACAUGAGCUCGUCGCCGAAGAGGCUCCGGUGACCAAAGGGUCCCGUGCAUGCCUCUGUUUGGUUCGUGAGCUCUCGUAGAUCCCGUAGGUGCAAACCGCUGGUCCUCCUAUGCGUUGUGUUGUCGAUUCCGUCGACACCCGAGCUCUGGCCGUCGCCCAACUCACCGCUGCCACCGCUACAGACCACCCCGCGACCUGCUACCGCCUCCACUCGAUGCACGGGAGCACAGGCUCCCUCCUGGUGCCCUCAGGGCACCCAGCCGCUGCCCCUAGCGCCACCCCGGCGAGGCACCGCCGCUCUGGUUCGUCGCUGUUGUCUAACCGCCAGCGCAGGUGACGUGGCACCACCUUUAGCUGCUAAUGACCCAACUAAUCACCCCUGGGACACUGACAAGUGGGCCCGAGGCCAUUAUUAGUUUUAAGAUUAGUUUUAACCUUAGUUAACCUCUAAGUCACUGACUAAUGGGCCCCCAUGUCAGGUUAGACCCUGGCCGCCCAGUUGACUUGCUAACGUCAGCCUGAUGUAGUGCUGACGCAGUAAGUGAUUUUCUGGAUUUAAAAUAAUCCAGGAAAUUCUAGUAAAUAGUUAUAACUUCUAAAAAUCAUAGGAACUAAUCUAUAACCCAGAAUGAAAUAAAUUAUAUAUGAAAAAUUAUCAGAAAAAUUCAAAGAAUCUAUUUAUGGCAUUUUCAUGCAUGUUUGAGAAACUUAUGCCUGCUGAUCUGGUAAAAUCAAUUAAAUGUCAUUUGAAUAUUAACAUAUGGAGUUUGAAUUUGAACCCUUUGGUUCAAAUCAACUUCAUUUAAAUCAUUGAUAGUUGCAUUAGCUCAAAUCACAGCAUGUUGCCAUGUCAUGAUCAUGCAUCAUAUUAUUGCAUUGCAUUGAUUGUGUUCUUUCUCUACUAUCGGUGGUUGUUACCCCUCAGUAGACGUAUUUUUUGACGAUGUGAUCAAUGACACCGAUGAAGAACUAUACUAUCUUCAUAAGUGCCAGGCAAGCAAAAACCCCUUGUUCAUUCCGAUACAAUCCCACCCUCUCGCUCCUGCUCUCUUUUACUACAUUAGGACAACAACGACUCAUGUGUUACUUGCUGCCGUAGUUGAACCCCCUUUCCCUCUACAUGACCUGUCAUUGCCACAGUAAUUAGAUGAAACCCACUAGCAUGAGUAGGAGUUGUUUGAGCCCUGUUGUGCCUACUCAUUCAUGUUUGUUGUCAUUCCUGCUACUGCUUAGAGUUGAGUCAGGUCUGGUUCAUCGGGGAUGAACUGGAAUAUUGUGAACAUGUUCUACUGUGUGUGAGCUAAGUGUGUGAACACGAUUUGGCAAAGGUAGCGGUGAGAGGCCAUGUAGGAGUACAUGCUGGGUUGUCUCAUUGAAGCCGUCCUCAGGAACUGAGUUCUGUGUUUGUGAUCCAUGAACAGUUACUACCACUCAUUGGGAUCCUUAAUUGACCCUCUCGGCUUCUUAACCACCCUUGUCCUCUGUCCAGGAGUUGCAAGUAGUUUCUCGUGUUUGUAGUAUGCUGGAGACCGUGCGCAGCGCUGACCCGAGGGGUGGGAUGUGAUGUGGUAGGCACGUGGCACGGUGUACCGAGCGCCCAUUUGUUGUCUCGGGAACCCUGCUCACAUCAUUCGCGGCCGUAUGUGGAAACUUCAGCCGGACUCCCUAUGGAUGGAACCUGAAUAGGCGAUAAACCUGGACUAGAGACUUGAGUGUUUAGGUAGGCCGUGGCCGACACCCUCGUCAGGCCCCCGCUUGAAGGUUGCCGAGAUACAUGACGUGUACAUGGCGGUAAGUGGUGAGAGCGUGUGUGAAGAAGUACACCCCUGCACGGUUAACAUCAUCUAUUGGAAUAGAUGUGUCCGCGGUCAAGGACCUCUGGGUUGCCUAUACAGUUCAUAAACAAGUGAAAGUGGAUACUCUAAAAUGCACAAGAUAAGCUUGAGUGCUAUGGAUGGCAUUUUCCUAGGGAGACGGGAGCGGAUCCAUAGUGGUGUAUUGAUAUGGUGAAUAUGUGGACUCGUGUGCACCAUCUAAAAAGAGUUACUUGCAGUCCUAGUUCAGGAUAGCCAUCGAGUCAAAGCUGGCUUGCUGCAGUUAAACCCCGCCAUCCCCUUUGUUGAUAAUGAUUCAUAUGUAGAUAGUUCUGAUGUAAGUCUUGUUGGGUACAUUUGUACUCACGUUUGUCUAUUUUAUGUUUUUGCAGAGAGACUUCAGUCUCACUAGUAGUUCCGCAUGGACUUCGACGUUUAGCUUGUUACCUCGGCUACGAUCUUGUGCCCUCGGCGGGAUUUGGUAGAUAGUCAGGCUUCUCAGCCAUUUUCAUUUGUAGAUGUCUGUACUCAAACAUGUUAAGCUUCCACAUGUGUUUUGACUUGUAUGCUCUGAAUGCUGGGUCGAGAGACCCAUCUUUGUAAUAUCUCGCUCCUCGGAGCCUAUUGAAUAAAUUACUUGAGUUGUAGAGUCAUGUUGUGAUGCCAUGUUGUAUUUGCACAUAUCGAGCAUAUUGUGUGUACGUUAUUGAAAUGCUUGGUAUGUGUUGGAUCUGAUUAUAUAGUUGUUUAUUCUUGCUAGCCUCUCUUACUAGGAAAUGUCUCCUAGUGCUUCCACUAAGCCCUGGUAGCUUGCUACUGCUCCGGAACACUUAGGCUGGCCGGCAUGUGUCCUUCUUUGUUCCUGUGUCUAUCCCUUCGGGGAAAUGUCACGUGGUGUCUACCAGAGUCCUGCUAGACUACGACAAACCGGAUUCUCCGGAGUCCUAUUAGCCCAGCUGCUACAGCCCGGAUUCACUCGUUGAUGACCGACACGUUCGUUGUUGGGUCAUGUAUGCAUGUCCCUGUAAGUUAGUGCCACUUUGGGUUUAUGACCAGCCAUGUCAGCCCGGCUUCUUUAUCAUAUGGAUGCUAGUGACACUAUCAUAUACGUGAGCCAAAAGGCGCAAACGGUCCCGGGCCUGGUAGGGCGACACCCGUGGAAAUACCGUGUGUGAGGCCGCAAAGUGAUAUGAGGUGUUACAUGCUAGAUCGGUGUGGCAUAGGAUCGGGGUCAUGAUAGCAUAUUGGGAAAUUAAAGAACUCAUUAUGAUUUCAAACUUGCCAAUGAAAAGAGGUUAUUUGAUAUUAGCUCACUAGACGAAUGGAGAACCCAAGCUUAUGAAAAUGCGAAACUAUUCAAAGAAAAACUUAAAAGGUGGCAUGACAAAAGAAUCCAAAAGCAGGAAUUCAAAGUUGGUGAACUUGUUCUUUUGUACAACUCUUGUUUUAGAUUCUUUGCAAGAAAAGUUCUUUCCAAAUGGGAAGGACCUUAUAUUAUCAAAGAGGUUUAUCGUUCUGGAGCCACUAAGAUCAAUAAUGCCGAAGGCACUAAUCCAAAGGUGGUCUAUGGGCAAAGAAUUAAGCACUAUAUCUCAGGUACGCCUAUUAAUGUUGAAACCAAUAUUAUCCCAACCAUGACACCAGAGGAAAGAAACCUUUCAGAACACUCCAGAACCCUGAAAAAGCGGAGUUACGUGAUACGGUAUGUAAAUGGACUCCGAAAAUUCCGCAAAAAUAUUUUUUGUCAGUUUUGGAAUAUUAGAAAAUUUAGGAAAAUAAGAAACAAGCAGGAAGGAAACCGAGGUGGGCACUAUAUACCAGGGCACACCUGCCCUUCCUGACUCCAUUUUUCUCACGUUUGCUUGUUUCCCAAGAUAAAAAAAAUCUUUAUAUACUCCCGGGACGUAUUGACCAAUGCAUCACAGAAAAAUCCUCUAUUCUUAUUUCGUGUUGUUUUCCUAUCAGAUCUAGAUCGCCAUGGCUCCACCAAGCUCCUACAAGGAAAAGUUCUUUGAGAGGGUAAUCAACCCCUACUUGUCGGAGCUAAUGAAGCACCCUCAAACCAUUGAGAUGUGUGAGGGGAUGCUCCACAUCCGGGAUGUUCAAGGGCCCAAGAAGACAUGAACUAUGGAGGCUAUGCUCGAAGCUAUGGAGCAGGAGGUCUUCAAGUGCCAAGCGAUGGUGGAGCGUGGACUCAGUGCCAAUCACCUCAUGAUUACGGAUUUCAGCCAUGAUCAUAAGGUGGAUGCAAUUCAUGAAAGAAUUAAUAAGGGAAGAGAGAUUCACAUGCAAAUACACUAUCUUGGACAUCUUUUAUGAUUGUGAGCUCUCAUUAAAUAUUAUAUGCCAAAUUGUUGACAUGGGACAAGGAAGACAACAUAAUGAUUUACGCUUUUUCAUAUUCGCAUAGAAGUUAUAUUGUCAUAGAUCCUUCAACAUGUGGUGCUUGCCCAAUAUCUUUGCUAGCCAAAAACACGCAGUAAGUAGAAAUACUACUUGUGCAUACAAAAACCCUUAAACCCAAAAUCUUGUUUUGAGAGUCCACCAUACCUACCUAUGGAUUGAUCAAGAUCUUCAAGUAAGUUGUCAUCGGUGCAAUAAUGUAAUAAAAAUGGCUUCUAAAUGUGUUUGACCAUUUAGUGUAAGAGAAAUUGAGCGUUGUACGAACUUGUGAUGGCAAAGUAAUAAAAGGGACGGACUGCAUUAUAAAGGUUGCCAUCAUAAGGGGCAAUAUAAUGUGACAUUCUUUUGCAUUAAGAGAUUGAGCAUACAAACCAAAAAGAGCAUGACAACCUCUGCUUCCCUCUAUGAAGGGCCUAUCUUUUACUUUAUGUAUUUCCUUUUCAUUCAAGAGUCAAAGUCUUCCCCAUUACUUUUUAUUUUUCUAUUUUUGGAAGCAUCAUGUGGUGGGGAAAGAUCUAGGCACAUAUACCCAGUUGGAUAUGAGCGGCCAUGAGUUAUUAUUGUUGACAUCACCCUUGAGGUGAAUGAGUUGGGAUGCAAAAUUAUAAGCCCCUAUCUUUCUAUGUGUCUGAUUGAAACUUUUUGCUCAUGUGUGUACGAUGAGUGUUAGCAGUCAUAGAAGGUUCAAUGAUGGUUGAGUAUGUGGACUUGCCAAAAGGCUCAGAUAUGAGACCCUUCAUGAAGAGAUGAUGAAUUAUAGUUGCAAAGUUGACUAAGAACAUAGGUUUGUUGGUUUUCAAUAGAGUUUAUACUUUUUACUUCGAUGUUGUGAUGAAUUGUUACUUGUUCAUGAGAAGUUAUAUUAUAAAGUUUUAUAAUGAAGUUUGUUGUUGUUACAAUAAUAAGCAUGAUGCUACUAUCUCUGUAUUUUGGUUUUUAUCGACACCUCUCUCUCUCUCUCUCUCUAAGCAUGUGGACAUGUUUUUCUAUAUCGGUUUUUCGCUUGAGGACAAGCGAGGUCUAAGCUUGGGGGAGUUGAUACAUCCAUUUUGCAUCAUGUUUUCUUACUGUUAUUCAUAAUAUUUUAAUGCAUAAUAAUGCUUUAUGGAGUAAUUCUAAUGCCUUUUCUCAUGCAAGGUUUACACGAAGAGGGAGAAUACUGGCAGCUGGAAUUCUGAACCUGAAAAAGCUACAUCAGAGCUACGUAUUCUGCACAACUCCAAACGAGCUGAAAAUUUACGAAGAAUUAUUCUGGAAUAUAUAAGAAAUACUGGAGCAAAUAACUAUCAGAGGGGGGCCACCUGGUGACCACAAGACAGCAGGGCGCGCCAGGGCCCCCAGGCACGCCCUGGUGGGUUGUGGUCAGCCCACCCCACCUCCGGUGCCCAUCUUCUGUUAUUCAAGGUCUUUUGACCUAGAAAAAAUAAGGAGAGGACUUUUGGGAUGGAGUGCCGCCGUCUCGAGGCGGAACUUGAGCAGGAGCACUUUUGCCCUUCGCUAACAACCCUCUCAUCUUUGGGAGGCCAAUCUCUAUCAACAUCUUCAACAACACCAUCUCCUCUCAAACCCUAGUUCAUCUCUUGUGUUCAAUCAUUGUACCGGAAUCUUAGAUUGGUACCUGUGGGUGACUAGUAGUGUUGAUUACAUCUUGUAGUUGAUUACUAUAUGGUUUAUUUGACGGAAGAUUAUAUAUUAAGAUCCAUUAUGCUAUUUAAUACCCUAUGAUCUUGAGCAUGAAUAUCAUUUGUGAGUAGUUACUUUUGUUCUUGAGGUCACGAGAGAAGUCAUGUUGCAAGUAAUCAUGUGAACUUGGUAUGUGUUUGAUAUUUUGAUGAUAUGUAUGUUGUGAUUCCCUUAGUGGUGUCAUGUGAACGUCGACUACAUGACACCUCACCAUCUUUGGGAUUAAGGGAAUGCAUUUUGGAGUAGUUAUUAGAUGAUGGGUUGCUAGAGUGAUAGAAGCUUAAACCCUAGUUUAUGAGCUACUUCGUAAGGGAUCAAUUUGGAUCCAAAUGUUUAAUGCUAUGGUUAGAUUUUAUCUUAAUACUUUUCUCAUAGUUGUGGAUGCUUGCGAGAGGGUUAAUCAUAAGUGGGAGAUUUGUUCAAGUAAGGACAACACCCAAGCACCGGUCCACUCACAGAUCAAAUUAUCAAAGUAGCGAACACGCAUAAAACCAACAUGAUGAAAGUGACUAGAUGAAAUUCCCGUGUGCCCACAAGAACACUUUGCUUAUUAUAAGAGACUAGAUGAAAUUCCAGGGCAAAGACUGCCAGGAAGCUCGAAGGGGAGGAACCUCAAGUUUCCGAGCCACCAUGCUGCCUCCGAAGCAGGGCUAACCAAGAGUUUGUGCUCACUUUCCCGCCCCGACCCGCCCCCGUGGUAAGGAAAUCAACCUCUAAGACGGGACAUCAGGAAACGAUACGUCGGCAAUCAGUACGGCAAGUCAAAUUCAAGCCCCCAUUCUCUCAGAAAGAGCUUGCCGGGGAAAGUGAGGCUUCGCAUCUGCCGAGCUCGCUGCCGCCAGCCAUCAAGAGGGCCAGGGAGACUCCCCCGCCUCCUCAAUACAACAUGAACGUCCUCCUCAAAUCUGACAACAAGGAAUAAGUAAAUCUUUGUGUUUUCCCAAUCAAGCUUUGACUUGCUCAACUAUUAUCUUGAUCUAACUUUCUCUUGUCUUCCAGGAAUGAAGAAACACUGGUGCAACAGGCAAAAUGCACCAAGACUUUGGAGGGGCGAGGCUCCCCGGUAGGUGCUGGGCAAGGGAUGCCAGUGGUUGAUUCCGUGAUCACCAGUCCCCAGUCCAGUCCCAUGCGAGAGGACGCGCCGCCUGCCCCGCCAUCUGGUGCCAGCACCGAGGUCCCUCCUCUCGGAUCUGACAAGGAGAUGGGAGACGCCCACCAAGAGGAGAAGCGCCAGGAGGCGGAUCCUGUCAUGGGGUCUCCUCAACCACCAUUCUGGAAAGUGCGUCUUUGACAAAGGUCUCCACCGAAGGGCUCGCUCGCACAGGUGCCACCCUGACAACAGUGGUUGUUGUGGGUAUUGCAUCGGCAACGCCAGCUGUCGAGGAAGUAGAUAUCCUCCCACAACAAGCGCCAACAGGUAAUCCUUUAGUCAUUCCGCACCUUCUAGUUGAAUUCUUGUUCCUUGAACUUAUAAUUUGAAUCUUGUUUUCCGCUCUGGUCCACAGUCCCAGUUUCUCCUGAAGGAAGCAUGGUCUUUGAGACAGUGUCAGUUAUUGCGAAGGUUGCUACCGAUGAGGCUGUCAAGAUUACCACGACAGAGGAUGCUGAGCGGGUGGUCAGGGACCUUCAUGAAGCCCCCACAGAACUAGAGGAGCCCCACGGCAGUAGGCCUGAACCCGCCAAGAUGGACGUGGACGAGGCACCUGUUGUGGACGUCAUUCCAGCCCCCACCAAGCAAACACCGACAAUUUCCACCUCGUAGAACACACCAAGAAAUACGGGAUUGAGUGUUCCAAAGCACGGACUUGGAUCCCCCAACUCACUCUGGGGGCGUGGGGGAAAGUACUGAUGAAGAGAUUGUGCGGAUGUAACAUCCCAAAUUUUCAAUUUGGAAUGUUAUACAUUAGAUCAUCAUUGCAUAUCAUAUUUAUUGCAUUUUGGCUCAAUCCUAGAAAUUCUACGCAACUCAAGGACCCUCGGAGAGAGUUGGGGAUUUCAUUAUUUUCAUAUUUGAGUUUUCUCAAAUUUUUGAAAAUGGGAUCAUUUGAUUUUAUUUAUUUUAUCUUCAGUUAUUUAUAUUAUAAAAAUAAGAGAGAGGGAAUAAAAUGACUGUCCCAAAAUAAAGAAAUAUUGAGGAUUUGAUAAUAAAAUCAAAUAAGAUUUUAUUUUGGAGUUUAUUGCUAUUUUAUUUGAAUUUAGGAAAAAUGCGCAUUUUUCAAAAUUGCAUUUAGGCCGCAAAUAAAUGUUCAUCUUGACCGGCUUGAUUUUAGAAGCCGGGGAAAAUUUAUUUCGGGAUUUUUGGAGUCCGUUUAGUAUUUCUUUUAUUUGUUUUUCUACGCGUAAUGUUUUUAGGAAAAAAACGCGAACCGACUUUGGGCCGUGUUCGGUUAGGACUCCACCUGGCCAGGCCUUUAUAAGGCGCCGCCCAGAGCCCGUCAGCCCAGCCAAGCCCGGCGCCGAAACCCUAGCCCCGAGCCCGCCGCCACCGCCGCCGCUGCGAGCAGCCNNNNNNNNNNNNNNNNNNNNNNNNNNNNNNNNNNNNNNNNNNNNNNNNNNNNNNNNNNNNNNNNNNNNNNNNNNNNNNNNNNNNNNNNNNNNNNNNNNNNNNNNNNNNNNNNNNNNNNNNNNNNNNNNNNNNNNNNNNNNNNNNNNNNNNNNNNNNNNNNNNNNNNNNNNNNNNNNNNNNNNNNNNNNNNNNNNNNNNNNNNNNNNNNNNNNNNNNNNNNNNNNNNNNNNNNNNNNNNNNNNNNNNNNNNNNNNNNNNCCGGACCCCACCGCCUCGUCACCAGACCGCCGCCGCCGCACCCGUCGGGCCCCGCCGCCCUGCCAAUAGCGGUUUUCCUCAGAAAACCGUCCAGUUUUUCCGUCAGUUUUUUGUUCGGUUUUGUUAAAAAAAACCUAAAUCUGUUUUUUCGGUUUAGUUUAUUUAGCGGGAAGUUCGUCCAUACGUUCUUUUAACGAACGGUUUUCGUUUUUUUCGCAGACAGCGAACGUUCGUUUGUUAGCCUGUUCAUCCGUUUUUCUUUUUCUCGGAUUUUCCGCGAUUAUUUUUGAUCGUGAUUUCUGAUCUGUUUUUUUGUUUUAGUAUAACUUUUCGCUCGUUUAUCAGAAUCAGGUGAUUCAAGCGCCUAGAGUUUCGUCUCGAAACCCUCUUUCCAUUUAACCAACUCAAACAAGUUUUUUCUACUGUAAAAUUUGACUUAGGUCCAGAUUAGUAAACGAAGCUUGUUUCUUUCGCUGUUUGAGUUUCGUUGCUUCGUUUGAUUUGAUUCUUUUUGCAAACCGGAGUUCUUAAGUUGAACUUUCUGGUUAGAUAUCUUAUUUGAGUUUUUACUUGUGCAUUAGAUGAGUGCUUAUUGUAUGCUUGUUUGUUUGCGAUAGAGUACCUGGAGUGCGCCGCUUGCUACUUCGAAUCUCUAGGUUUCACGGAUCAUCAGCAAGGCAAGUAACACUUUGAUCAUACCUCUUUAUUACCCAGUUUUAUUGCAUUAUAUCAAUCCUCAAACAAUUGCAUGAUUAGGAUCUGAUUAACAUGUGGGUUUUGGGAAGUAGAUGAGGUAGAACCUAUUACCUGUUAUUAUCAAACCCUUGGGUGUUACUUCUACGUUUGCUUAUUAUGCCAUGCUAUGCUAGUAGACGUGGAUUGGGUGAGUGUAUCCAUGACAGAUGUGAGAUUGUUUAAUUAAUGGUUUACUUAAGGUGGCAACUUAAAUUCACAUCUGGGUGGAUUGAGGCACCUCGGGAACCCAGUGUUGCCUGUAUUUUUGGAAAUCCCGGGGUACCGUGUGAUUCUCCUAUGGACCGCCACCCAGGCUCAAAGGGAUCAUGAGAUUAUUCAUGUUAGAAACUUCUAUGUGCAGCCGCAUGCUACUAUGGGCUCUAGCAUAGUUGAUUAAGUUGCGUGAGCUCUUGAAGAGGUAGACUAGCAGAUGUAGGGGAUGUAGGUUGGUACUGUCUACCCGGAGUAGGGAGUUAAUGCUUCUGAAAGACUGUGUCUCGAUCAUCCGUUUCUCAAACACCAUGUAGUGCGAGAAAUUAAGCGGAGGAGAUCGAGUCUUGCGGGGAAAAGUGUGCAAACCUCUGCAGAGUGUAUAAACUAAUCAUGGUUAGCCGUGUCCCCGAUUAUGGACGUUUUGAGUAUCUAGUACUUGGAUUAUCAUGUGAAUCUCAUCAUGUUACUUAAUUAAAUUUUGUUGGGUUUAAUGGUGAUGCUUAAUUUGGAUUGAGUUGGAGCACCCUUCUCAAUGUUUGACAACCACCAUGAUAGUUAAAUAAAAUUUAUUCCUUUGCAAUAGGGGAAAAUUGGCUUUAUGCAAAAACUGUGACCAUAGAGCUUUCCACCAGCCAUAUAUGCAUGUAGUAUAGCAUUAUUCUUUCAUUACUCUCUAUGUGUUACAUUGCCAGCAUAUUCCAUGUGCUGACCCAUUUUCGGGCUGCAACGUUCAUGUUGCAGACUUUUCAGACGACGAGUAAGGUGCCUUAGGUCGUGAUCUUAUACUCAGUGAUGCCGUUGGAGUUGAUGGACUCGCUUAUCAUCCAAGCCUUCCGUUGUUAUCGUUAUUAGAUGGCCUUAAGCCAUAUUUAUUGUAAUAAGUUCUUUUUUAAUACAUUCAAUGUAAUAAGUGUGUGAUUGCUACUCUGUUAUAAAUCCUUCAAGUAUUGUGCGUGUCAGCAUUACUGAUCCAGGGAUGACACUGAUGCACAGAGAUCAGACUGUUUGAGGUCUGGUCGCUACAAGAUGGUAUCAGAGCACACAUUGACUGUAGGACACGACCACUAAGCUAAAGCCCUAGAUCACUACUCUCUCUUCUCAUUUUUGACUCCUCAUCUUUUCUACUCUUUUAGGAUGGCGGAUGCAAGGAACAAGUUCGUGCAACCGGAUGAAGAUACACCCUUUGGACACCACUUGAAGAAAGUCACUAGAUAUCUGAACAUCGGAGUACCAAGCUUCACCGGGACCUACAUCGCCACUUUACCCGAAGAGGAGCACUGGAUGAUUCAAGUUCAAGUUCUAGGAAGAACGUUCAUGCCAGUCACUAAGCCCAUAGAGUUUUCCUUUGAUGCACCAACCUGCAGUCUAGGAAAGAGCAUGGCAGCUCACAUCACCAUGGGUCGCGUUGGAGAAUUUUACCACAAGGAUCUCGAGGAUACUAUCUAUCAGAUUUGUGGGCGCCGAGAUGAGCAAUGGGAGAUGAUCAGCACCAGGAAGGAUAGAUCAAUUGCAGCUUUCAUCCAGGAGUUAAACCAGCACAUACGUCGCCAGAAGAACCAAAUGUGCGCAUGCAUGAUGGAUCUGAAGAAGGCAUUGACCAAGAUCACGGAGCUGGAGGAAGAACUCAAGUCUACGCGCGAUGGAUAUGAGGAGGAAAUGAUGACACUCGUGGAGAAGAAUGAUGAUCUGAAGAAGAAGCUAAAAGUAUUCAUGGGAUUUCCCGUGACUGGAGGAGAAGACGAUGAUUGCACUUGUCCGGAGAACUACAUCAUCAUCGACGACACCGACUCGGACCCAGACGAUAGUGAUGAUGACUUUGUUGAUGAAGCUGGAGCAGAUAUCAUGGAGUCUUCGACCGAGCAGUUUUUCUAGUCGACCACCAUAACAGUAGUAGUAUUCCCCAUGUAUAUAGUAUAGUCCGAGCACUUUUGUAACGAUAGUUAGACCGUUGUAUGCCCUUGUUUGAAUUGAUUGAAGUGAUAUUGUUUGCUUUUGUCUCAUGUGCAUAUGGGUAGUGUUUUCUCUCUAGACCUCAUUCUAUUCUAUAUUCUCAUCUUUUCUAAACCCUCAGAUGCCUCCGAGACAUGACAAUGGAUUUGCUUUCCCACCGAAGCUCACCCAGUUGAUCCAGCAGCAGAAUGCAUUGAUGCAGAUACUAGUCCAGAAUCAGAAUCAGGGGAACAACAACAACAACAACCCACCACCACCACCACCUGUUGAUCACUUAGCCCGUUUCUUGAGGCUGAAUCCGCCGGUGUUCUCCAGUAGCACCGAGCCGAUAGUUGUAGAUGAUUGGCUCCGCAAGAUGGGAAGGGAGUUGACCACUGCAGGAUGCACAGAUGCGGAGAAGGUGCAUUUUGCCGCACAUCAGCUUGAUGGACCCGCAGCAUCAUGGUGGGAGAAUUUCACAGCCGCUUAUCCUAUCAACACUAUCACAUGGGAUCAGUUUCAGCAAGCUUUCUGUACUGCCCAUGUUUCAGGAGGAGCUAUGGCCAUGAAAAAGCGUGAGUUUCGCAACUUACGCCAGGGAGGACGUACUGUUGGCCAGUAUGUGGAUGACUUUAGUAAGCUAGCACGCUAUGCCCCAGAUGACGUUUCUACGGAUGCAGCUAAGCAGGAAAAGUUUCUGGAAGGACUAAAUGAUGAGCUGAGCAUGCAGUUGGCGGUAGCAACCUUCAACAACUACCAGGAGUUGGUAGAUAGAGCUCUUAUGAUUGAAGGGAAGCAGCAGCAGAUUGACAGCCGCAAGAGGAAGUAUGGAAAAGGGAAGUACAAUUCUGGAGCUCAACAGAAGCCUCGUUUUACCUCGAACUCGGGAGGACAUUUUUAGCAUACCCAUGGAGGAGGUAGUUCGCACAACCAUAGUGGCCCCAAGAAUGGUAAUGGGAAUGGAGGAAGCAACGGACAGAACCGCACCAACCCAUUGACACCAGCCAAGAGGGAUCUGAGCCACGUCACCUGUUACAAAUGCCAGAAGACUGGACAUUAUGCCACCGAAUGUCCUGAAGCAAAAAAUGGAAACGGUAAUGGAAGUUCUAGGAAGAAUCCCAAUCCUUUCAACAAAGGACAGGUGAACCACGUUAGCAUGGAGGAGGUUGAAGCCCAACCAGAUGCAGUAAUAGGUAAGUUUUUGGUUUAAGUCAUUUACUGCAAUCGUUCUUUUUGAUACUGGUGCAUCGCAUUCAUACAUAUCAAGGGUAUUUGUGGAUAAGAAUAACCUGCCAACCCAAGCCCUUAGGUCAUCCAUGUUAGUAACCUCGCCAGGAGCAGAGUAUAUGGCUAGUCUAUGGUGUGAUCGUUUACCAUUAAGGAUUGGUAACUACGUGUUUCCCUCAGACCUAAUAGUACUGGAGUCGCAAGGACUGGAUGUGAUAUUAGGCAUGGAUUGGUUAUCAAAGUAUGGAGGGAACAUUGAAUGCGCCAGUAAGUCGAUUUUGCUUACCACGCCAGAAGGAAGAAGGAUCAAGUAUGUAUCCCGGCAUGUGCCGAAGAGGACUCAAGUGAAUUCCUUAUCAGGAGUUGUACAGGAAGAAGUACGAGUGGUGAAGGAUUUUCCUGACGUAUUUCCAAAGGGGUUGCCAGGCAUGCCACCGGAUAGAGACAUUGAGUUUUUGAUUGAGCUUUUCCCAGGCAUCGGGCCGAUAUCUAAGAGAGCGUACAGGAUGCCCGCAAAGGAUUUGGAUGAAAUUAAGAAGCAGAUUAAGGAGUUACUGGAUAAAGGCUAUAUUCGCCCAAGUUCUUCACCUUGGGGAUCGCCAGUACUUCUAGUGGAGAAGAAGGAUGGAUCAUUGAGGAUGGUUUUUGAUUAUCGAGGAUUGAAUGAGGUGACAAUCAAAAACAAGUACCCACUGUAGAUGAUCAAUGACUUGUUUGACCGAUUGUAAGGAGCUAAGGUAUUUUCCAAGAUCGAUUUGCGAUCAGGAUACCACCAGUUGAAGAUUCGAGAGCAGGAUAUACCCAAGACGGCUUUUACCACCAGGUACGGGCUAUACGAGUAUACUGUUAUGUCAUUUGGUCUGACAAAUGCACCUGCCUAUUUCAUGAACAUGAUGAACAAGGUGUUUAUGGAGUUUCUGGAUAAGUUCGUCGUGGUGUUCAUUGAUGAUAUUUUGGUCUACUCGAAGAAUGAAGAGGAGCAUAAGGAGCAUUUGCAUUUGGUACUGGAGAAGCUCAAAGAACAUCAGCUAUAUGCCAAGUUCAGCAAAUGUGAGUUUUGGUUAAAGGAAGUUGGAUUUCUCGGAAAUGUUAUAUCCGGAGAAGGGAUCGCAGUAGACCCCACCAAAGUUGUCACCGUGACAAAUUGGGAAGCCCCAACAACAGUUGGAGAGAUCCGGAGUUUUCUCGGACUCGCAGGAUACUACCGGAGGUUCAUUGAGAAUUUCUCAAAGAUUGCAAAGCCCAUGACAGAGUUGUUGAAGAAGGACACCAAGUUCAAAUGGACUAAGGAAUGUGAGGCCAGUUUCCAGGAGUUGAAGAAACGUUUGGUUAUAUCACCAGUGUUGAUUCUGCCUGAUCAGCGCAAGGAUUAUGAAGUAUAUUGCGACGCUUCUCGUCGAGGACUUGGAGCAGUGCUUAUGCAGGAGGGAAGAGUUGUUUUGUAUGCCUCACGACAUCUUAAACCCCAUGAGUUGAACUAUGCUACACGUGAUUUGGAGUUAGCAGCUGUAGUGCAUGCUUUGAAGACAUGGAGACAUUUUCUCAUCGGAAACCAUUGUGAGGUGUACACGGAUCACAAGAGUUUGAAGUACAUCUUCACACAGAAGGAGUUGAAUCUCAGGAAAAGGAGAUGGUUGGAGCUCAUCAAGGAUUACGACAUGAGAUUGCAUUAUCACCCCGGAAAGGCUAACAUAGUAGCCGAUACGUUGAGCCGCAAGAGCCAUGCAACACACUCAUGACCGGAGAGUUACCAAAGGAGUUAGCCAAGGAUCUUCGCGAACUAUGCUUGGGGAUAGUUUUGAGAGGCUAUGUAGCAGCAUUGGAGAUUUGGUCUACUUUGAUGGAUAAGAUCAGAGAAGCCCAGAAGAUUGACAAGGAGAUUGCCGAGAUAAAGGAGAAGAUGAACAAAGGAAAAUCUAAGGGAUUUCGUGAGGAUGAGCACGAUACCUUAUACUUUGAGGACCGCGUUUAUGUGCCUAAUGACCCGGAGAUCAGGAUGUUGAUUCUACAGGAGGCCCAUGAUUCGCCGUAUUCGAUUCACCCAGGAAAUACCAAGAUGUAUUUGGAUUUGAAGGACACUUUCUGGUGGACCGGAAUGAAGAAGGAUAUUGUGGAAUAUGUAGCAGUUUGUGAUGUAUGUCAGUAUUGGGUAACGUAGUAAUUUCAAAAAAAUUCCUACGCACACGCAAGAUCAUGGUGAUGGCAUAGCAACGAGAGGGGAGAGUGUAUUCCACGUACCCUCGUAGACCAUAAGCGGAAGCGUUAUGACAACGCGGUUGAUGUAGUUGUACGUCUUCACGAUUCGACCGAUCCAAGCACCGAACGUACGGCACCUCCGAGUUCAGCACACGUUCAGCUCGAUGACGAUCCCCAGGCUCCGAUCCAGCAAAGCUUCGGGGAUGAGUUCCGUCGGCACGACGGCGUGGUGACGAUGAUGAUGCUCUAACGGCGCAGGGCUUCGCCUAAACUCCGCGACGAUAUGACCGAGGUGGAAUAUGGUGGAGGGGGGCACCGCACACGGCUAAGGAACGAUCCGUAGAUCAACUUGUGUUUCAUGGGGUGCCCCCCUGCCCCCGUAUAUAAAGAAUCAAGGGGAGGGCCAGCCAAGGAGGAGGAGGCGCGCCCAAGGGGGGAGUCCUACUCCCACCAGGAGUAGGACUCCUCCUUUCCUAGUAGGAGUAGGAGAGAAGGAAGGGGAAGAGAGAAGAGAAGGAAGGGGGGGUGCGGCCCCUCCCCCUAGUCCAAUUUGGACUAGGCCUUGGGGGGCGCGCGGCCUGCCCUAGGCAGCCCCUCUCUCUUUCCCGUAUGGCCCAAUAAGGCCCAAUACUUCUCCCCGGCGAAUUCCCGUAACUCUCCGGUACUCCGAUAAAUACCCGAAUCACUCAGAACCUUUCCGAACUCUGAAUAUAGUCGUCCAAUAUAUCGAUCUUUACGUCUCGACCAUUUCGAGACUCCUCGUCAUGUCCCCGAUCUCAUCCGGGACUCCGAACUCCUUCGGUACAUCAAAACUCAUAAACUCAUAAUAUAACUGUCAUCGAAACCUUAAGCGUGCGGACCCUACGGGUUCGAGAACUAUGUAGACAUGACCUAGAACUAUUCUUGGUCAAUAACCAAUAGCGGACCCAUAUUGGCUCCUACAUAUUCUACGAAGAUCUUUAUCGGUCAAACCGCAUAACAACAUACGUUGUUCCCUUUGUCAUCGGUAUGUUACUUGCCCGAGAUUCGAUCGUCAGUAUCCAAUACCUAGUUCAAUCUCAUUACCGGCAAGUCUCUUUACUCGUUACAUAAUGCAUCAUCCCGCAACUAACUCAUUAGUCACAUUGCUUGCAAGGCUUAUAGUGAUGUGCAUUACCGAGAGGGCCCAGAGAUACCUCUCCGACAAUCGGAGUGACAAAACCUAAUCUCGAAAUACGCCAACCCAACAUGUACCUUUGGAGACACCUGUAGUACUCCUUUAUAAUCACCCAGUUACGUUGUGACGUUUGGUAGCACCCAAAGUAUUCCUCCGAUAAACGGGAGUUGCAUAAUCUCAUAGUUACAGGAACAUGUAUAAGUCAUGAAGAAAGCAAUAGCAACAUACUAAACGAUCAAGUGCUAGGCUAACGGAAUGGGUCAUGUCAAUCACAUCAUUCUCCUAAUGAUGUGAUCCCAUUAAUCAAAUGACAACACAUGUCUAUGGUUAUGAAACAUAACCAUCUUUGAUUAAUGAGCUAGUCAAGUAGAGGCAUACUAGUGACUAUAUGUUUGUCUAUGUAUUCACACAUGUAUCAUGUUUCUGGUUAAUACAAUUCUAGCAUGAAUAAUAAACAUUUAUCAUGAAAUAAGGAAAUAAAUAAUAACUUUAUUAUUGCCUCUAGGGCAUAUUUCCUUCAGUCUCCCACUUGCACUAGAGUCAAUAAUCUAGUUCACAUCGCUAUGUGAUUUAACACUAAUAUUCACAUCUGCAUGUGAUUAAUACCCAUAGUUCACAUCAUCAUGUGAUCAACACCCAAAGGGUUUACUAGAGUCAAUAAUCUAGUUCACAUCUCUAUGUGAUUAACAACAAAAGAGUACUAAGGUAUGAUCAUGUUUUGCUCGUGAGAGAAGCUUAGUCAAUGGUUCUGUCACAUUCAGAGCCGCAUGUAUUUUGCAAAUAUUAUCUGUCUACAAUGCUCUGCACGGAGCUACUCUAGCUAAUUGCUCCCACUUUCAGUAUGUAUCCAGAUUGAGACUUAGAGUCAUCUGGAUCGGUGUGAAAACUUGCACCGUUGUAACUUUUACGACGGGCUCUUUUAUUACCUCCAUAAUCGAGAAACAUCUCCUUAGUCUUCACUAAGGAUAUUCUUGACCGUUGUCCAGUGAUCUACUAUUAGAUCAAAAUUGUACUCCUUUGCCAAACGCAGAGCAAGGUAUACAAUAGGUCUGUUUCACAGCAUAGCAUGCUUUAUAGAACCUAUGACUGAGGCAUAGGGAAUGACUUUUCAUUCUCUUUCUAUUUUCUGCCAUGGUCGGGUCUUGAGUCUUACUCAACUUCACACCUUGCAACACAGGCAAGAACUCCUUCUUUGACUGUUCCAUUUUGAACUAUUUCAAAAAAAUUAUCAAGGUAUGUACUCAUUGAAAAAUCUUAUCAAGCGUCUUGAUCUAUCUAUAUAGAUCUUGAUGCUCAAUGUGUAAGCAGCUUCACCGAGGUCUUUCUUUGGAAAAAAAAACUCUUAUUCAAGUAUCCUUUCAUGCUAUCCAGAAUUUCUAUAUCAGUUCCAAUCAAAAAUAUGUCAUCCACAUAUAAUAUUAGAAAUGCUACAAAGCUCCCACUCACUUUCUUGUAAAUACAGGCCUUUCCAAAAGUCUGUAUAAAACCAUAUGUUUUGAUCAACUCAUCAAAGCAUAUAUUCCAACUCCGAGAUGCUUACACUAGUCCAUAGAUGGAUCGCUGGAGCUUGCACAAUUUGUUAGCACCUUUAGGAUUGACAAAACCUUCUGGUUGCAUCAUAUACAACUCUUCUUUAAGAAAACCAUUAAGGAAUGCAGUUUUGUUUAUCCAUUUGCCAGAUUUCAUAAAAUGCGGCAAUUGCUAACAUGAUUCAGACAGACUUAAGCAUAGAUACGAGUGAAAAACUCUCAUCGUAGUCAACACCUUGAACUUGUCGAAAACCUUUUGUGACAAUUCUAGCUUUGUAGAUAGUAACACUAUCAGCGUCCGUCUUCCUCUUGAAGAUCCAUUUAAUCUCAAUGUCUCGCCGAUCAUUGGGCAAGUCAAUCAAAGUCCAUACUUUGUUUUCAUACAUGGAUCUUAUCUCAGAUCUCAUGGCCUCAAGUCAUUUUGCGGAAUCUGGGCUCACCAUCGCUUCUUCAUAGUUCGUAGGUUCGUCAUGGUCUAGUAACAUAACUUCCAGAACAGGAUUACCGUACCACUCUGGUGCGGAUCUUACUCUAUAAGCCCUACGAGGUUCUGUAGUAACUUAAUCUGAAGUUUCAUGAUCAUCAUCAUUAACUUCCUCACUAAUUGGUGUAGUAGUCACAGGAACAGAUUUCUGUGAUGAACUACUUUAAAAUGAGGGAGCAGGUACAGUUACCUCAUCAAGUUCUACUUUCCUCCCACUCACUUCUUUCGAGAGAAACUCCUUCUCUAGAAAGGAUCCAUUCUUAGCAACGAAUGUUUUGCCUUUGGAUUUGUGAUAGAAGGAGUACCCAACAGUUUCCUUUGGGUAUUAUAUGAAGAUGCACUUCUCCGAUUUGGGUUCGAGCUUAUCAGGUUGAAAACCUUUUUCAUAUAAGCAUCGCAACUCCAAACUUUAAGAAACGACAGCUUAGGUUUACUUCUAAACCAUAGUUCAUACGGUGUCGUCUCAACGGAUUUAGAUGGUGCCCUUUUAAACGUGAAUGCAGCUGUCUCUAAUGCAUAACCCCAAAACGAUAAUGGUAAAUCAGUAAGAGACAUCAUAGAUCGCACCAUAUCCAAUAAAGUGCGGUUACGACGUUCGGACACACCAUAACGUUGUCUUGUUCCAGGUGGCGUGAGCUAUGAAACUAUUCCACAUUGUUUUAAUUGAAGACCAAACUCAUAAUUCAAAUAUUCGUCUCCGCGAUCAGAUCGCAGAAACUUUAUUUUCUUCUUACGAUGAUUUUUCCACUUCACUCUGAAAUUCUUUGAACCUUUCAACUAUUUCAGACUUAUGUUUCAUCAAGUAGAUAUACCCAUAUCUGCUCAAAUCAUCUGUGAAGGUCAGAAAAUAACGAUACUUGCCACGAGCAUCAACACUCAUUGGAUCGCAUACAUCGGUAUGUAUUAUUUCCAAUAAGUCAGUAGCUCGUUCCAUUGUUCCGGAGAACAGAGUUUUAGUCAUCUUGCCCAAUAGGCACGGUUCGCAAGCAUCAAAUGAUUCAUAACCAAGUGAUUCUGAAAAUCCAUCUUUAUGGAGUUUCUUCAUGCGCUUUACACCGAUAUGACCCAAACGGCAGUGCCACAAAUAAGUUGCACUAUCAUUAUUAACUUUGCAUCUUUUGGCUUCAACAUUAUGAAUAUGUGUAUCACUACGAUCGAGAUCCAACAAACCAUUUUCAUUGGGUGUAUGACCAUCGAAGGUUUUAUUCAUGUAAACAGAACAACAAUUAUUCUUUGACUUUAAAUGAAUAACCGUAUCGCAAUGAACAUGAUCAAAUCAUAUUCAUGUUCAACGCAAAUGCCAAACAACAUUUAUUUAGGUUCAACACUAAUCCCGAAAGUAUAGAGAGUGUGCGAUGAUGAUCAUAUCAAUCUUGGAACUACUUCCAACACUGAUCGUCACUUCCCCUUGAACUAGUCUUUGUUUAUUCUGUAACUCCUAUUUCAAGUCACUAAUCUUAGCAACCGAACAAGUAUCAAAUACUCAGGGGCUACUAUAAACACUAGUAAGGCACACAUCAAUAACCUGUAUAUCAAAUAUACUCUUGUUCACUUUGCCAUUCUUCUUAUCCACCAAAUAUUCAGGGCAUUUCUGCUUCCAGUGACCAUUCCCUUUGUAGUGUAAGCACUCAGUUUCAGGCUUUGGUCCAGCUUUGGUCUUCCUCACGGGAGUGACAACUUGUUUGCCAUUCUACUUGAAGUUUCCCUUUCUUUCCCUUUGCCCUUUUCUUGAAACUAGUGAUCUUGUCAACCAUCAACACUUGAUGCUCUUUCUUGAUUUCUACCUUCGUCGAUUUCAACAUCACGAAGAGACCGGGAAUCAUUUUCGUCAUCCCUUGCAUACUAUAGUUCAUCACAAAGUUCUACUAACUUGGUGAUGAUGACUAGAGAACUCUGUCAAUCACUAUCUUAUCUGGAAGAUUAACUCCCACUUGAUUCAAGCGAUUGAAGUACCCAGACAAUCUGAGCACAUGCUCACUAGUUGAGUGAUUCUCCUCCAUCUUUUAGCUAUAGAACUUGUUGGAGACUUCAUAUCUCUCAACUCGGGUAUUUUCUUUAAAUAUUAACUUCAACUCCUGGAACAUCUCAUAUGGUCCAUGACGUUCAAAACGUCUUUGAAGUCCCGAUUCUAAGCCGUUAAGCAUGGUGCACUAAACUAUCAAGUAGUCAUCAUACUGAGCUAACCAAACAUUCAUAACAUCUACAUCUGCUCCUGCAAUAGGUCUGUCACCUAGCGGUGCAUUAAGGACAUAAUUCUUCUUUGCAGUAAUGAGGAUAAACCUCAGAUCACAGAUCCAAUCCGCAUCAUUGCUACUAACAUCUUUCAACACAAUUUUCUCUAGGAACAUAUCAAAAUAAACAUAUGAAAGCAACAACGCGAGCUAUUGAUCUACAACAUAAUUUGCAAAAUACUACCAGGACUAAGUUCAUGAUAAAUUAAAGUUCAAUUAAUCAUAUUACAUAAGAACUCCCACUUAGAAAGACAUCCCUCUAAUCUUCUAAGUGAUCACGUGAUCCAAAUCAACUAAACCAUAACCGAUCAUCACGUGAGAUGGAGUAGUUUUCAAUGGUGAACAUCACUAUGUUGAUCAUAUCUACUAUAUGAUUCACGCUCGACCUUUCGGUCUCCGUGUUUCGAGGCCAUAUCUGCAUAUGCUAGGCUCGUCAAGUUUAACCCGAGUAUUCUACGUGUGCAAAACUGGCUUGCACCCAUUGUAGAUGGACGUAGAGCUUAUCACACCCGAUCAUCACGUGGUGUCUGGGCACGACGAACUUUGGCAACGGUGCAUACUCAGGGAGAACACUUCUUGAUAAUUAGUGAGAGAUCAUCUUAAAAUGCUACCGUCAAUCAAAGCAAGAUAAGAUGCAUAAAGGAUAAACAUCACAUGCAAUCAAUAUAAGUGAUAUGAUAUGGCCAUCAUCAUCUUGUGCUUGUGAUCUCCAUCUCCGAAGCACCGUCGUGAUCACCAUCGUCACCGGCGCGACACCUUGAUCUCCAUCGUAGCAUCAUUGUCGUUACGCCAUCUAUUGCUUCUACGACUAUCGCUACGCUUAGUGAUAAAGUAAAGCAAUUACAGGGCGUUUGCAUUUCAUACAAUAAAGCGACAACCAUAUGGCUCCUGCCAGUUGCCGAUAACUUCGGUUACAAAACAUGAUCAUCUCAUACAAUAAAAUAUAGCAUCACGUCUUGACCAUAUCACAUCACAACAUGCCCUGCAAAAACAACUUAGACGUCCUCUACUUUGUUGUUGCAAAUUUUACGUGGCUGCUACGGGCUUAGCAAGAACCGUUCUUACCUACGCAUCAAAAAACACAACGAUAGUUUGUCAAGUUGGUGCUGUUUUAACCUUCGCAAGGACCGGGCGUAGCCACACUCGAUUCAGCUAAAGUGAGAGAGACAGACACCCGCCAGCCACCUUUAAGCACGAGUGCUCAUAACGGUGAAACCAGUCUCGCGUAAGCGUACGCGUAAUGUCGGUCCGGGCCGCUUCAUCUCACAAUACCGCCGAACCAAAGUAUGACAUGCUGGUAAGCAAUAUGACUUGUAUCGCCCACAACUCACUUGUGUUCUACUCGUGCAUAUAAUAUCAAUGCAUAAAACCUAGGCUCGGAUACCACUGUUGGGUAACGUAGUAAUUUCAAAAAAAUUCCUACGCACACGCAAGAUCAUGGUGAUGGCAUAGCAACGAGAGGGGAGAGUGUAGUCCACGUACCCUCGUAGACCGUAAGCGGAAGCGUUAUGACAACGCGGUUGAUGUAGUCAUACGUCUUCACGAUUCGACCGAUCCAAGCACCGAACGUACGGCACCUCCGAGUUCAGCACACGUUCAGCUCAAUGACGAUCCCCGGGCUCCGAUCCAGCAAAGCUUCGGGGAUGAGUUCCGUCAGCACAACGGCGUGGUGAUGAUGAUGAUGCUCUACCGGCGCAGGGCUUCGCCUAAACUCCGCGACGAUAUGACCGAGGUGGAAUAUGGUGGAGGGGGGCACCGCACGCGGCUAAGGAACGAUCCGUAGAUCAACUUGGGUUUCAUGGGGUGCCCCCCUGCCCCCGUAUAUAAAGGAGCAAGGGGAGGGCCGGCCAAGGAGGAGGAGGCGCACCCAAGGGGGGAGUCCUACUCCCACCAGGAGUAGGACUCCUCCUUUCCUAGUAGGAGUAGGAGAGAAGGAAGGGGAAGAGAGAAGGGAAGGAAGGAGGGGGUGCGGCCCCUCCCCCUAGUCCAAUUCGGACUAGGCCUUGGGGGGCGCGCGGCCUGCCCUAGGCAGCCCCUCUCUCUUUCCCGUAUGGCCCAAUAAGGCCCAAUACUUCUCCCCGGCGAAUUCCCGUAACUCUCCGGUACUCCGAUAAAUACCCGAAUCACUCGGAACCUUUCCGAACUCUGAAUAUAGUCGUCCAAUAUAUCGAUCUUCAUGUCUCGACCAUUUCGAGACUCCUCAUCAUGUCCCCGAUCUCAUCCGGGACUCCGAACUCCUUCGGUACAUCAAAACUCAUAAACUCAUAAUAUAACUGUCAUCGAAACCUUAAGCGUGCGGACCCUACGGGUUCGAGAACUAUGUAGACAUGACCUAGAACUAUUCUUGGUCAAUAACCAAUAGCGGACCCAUAUUGGCUCCUACAUAUUCUACGAAGAUCUUUAUCGGUCAAACCGCAUAACAACAUAUGUUGUUCCCUUUGUCAUCGGUAUGUUACUUGCCCGAGAUUCGAUUGUCGGUAUCCAAUACCUAGUUCAAUCUCGUUACCGGCAAGUCUCUUUACUCGUUACUAAUGCAUCAUCCCGCAACUAACUCAUUAGUCACAUUGCUUGCAAGGCUUAUAGUGAUGUGCAUUACCGAGAGGGCCCAGAGAUACCUCUCCGACAAUCGGAGUGACAAAACCUAAUCUCGAAAUACGCCAACCCAACAUGUACCUUUGGAGACACCUAUGGUACUCCUUUAUAAUCACCCAGUUACGUUGUGACGUUUGGUAGCACCCAAAGUGUUCCUCCGAUAAACGGGGUAGAAAGCAAUAGCAACAUACUAAACGAUCAAGUGCUAGGCUAACGGAAUGGGUCAUGUCAAUCACAUCAUUCUCCUAAUGAUGUGAUCCCAUUAAUCAAAUGACAACACAUGUCUAUGGUUAUGAAACAUAACCAUCUUUGAUUAAUGAGCUAGUCAAGUAGAGGCAUACUAGUGACUAUAUGUUUGUCCAUGUAUUCACACAUGUAUCAUGUUUCUGGUUAAUACAAUUCUAGCAUGAAUAAUAAACAUUUAUCAUAAAAUAAGGAAAUAAAUAAUAACUUUAUUAUUGCCUCUAGGGCAUAUUUCCUUCAGUCAGAGAGUGAAGGCAGAGCAUCAGAAGCCAGCAGGAUUGCCACAGCCAUUGCUGAUACCCGAAUGGAAGUGGGAUAAGCUAGGCAUGGAUUUUAUCAUGGGAUUGCCCAGGACUCGUUCAGGCUAUGACUCGAUAUGGGUUGUAGUCGAUCGUUUGACGAAGGUAGCUCAUUUCAUCCCAGUGAAGACCACCUACACCAGUGCUAAGUUGGCAAAGAUCUACAUGACCAGGAUCGUAUGUCUGCAUGGAGUUCCGAGGAGCAUUGUAUCAGAUAGAGGAACCCAGUUUACCUCGAAGUUCUGGAAUCAGUUGCACAAAACUUUGGGUACCAAGCUAGAGUUCAGUACAGCUUUUCAUCCGCAGACAGAUGGACAGACUAAGAGAGUCAAUCAGAUUUUGGAGGAUAUGCUGAGAGCUUGUGCGCUAAAUUAUGGAUCUAGUUGGGACAACAAUUUGCCCUAUGCAGAGUUCUCUUACAAUAACAGUUAUCAACCCAGUUUGAAGAUGGCCCCUUUCGAAGCCUUGUACGGAAGGAGGUGCAGGACCCCAUUAUCAUGGGAUGAAGUUGGAGACCGCCAGUUGUUUGGACCGUAUUUGAUUAAGAAGUCCGAACAGAAGGUGAAGUUGAUUCGCGAUAGGCUCAAAGUAGCCCAGUCCAGGCAGAAGAGCUACACAGAUUCUAAACGUAAAGGAGACAGUUUACAAAGUCGAAGACAGAGUUUAUCUUUGUGUAUCUCCACUUCGAGGAGUUAAGCGCUUUGGAGUUAAGGGGAAAUUAGCGCCACGUUUUGUGGGACCAUACAAAGUUUUGGAGCGUAUGGGAGAAGUUGCUUACAAGUUGGAAUUGCCCGAAGGAUUGUCAGGAGUUCACGAUGUGUUCCACGUUUCCUAGUUGAAGUGCCACGCAGAGAUGGCUGAGAUACCGCUGAGAGAUACAAUGCCGCUGGAAGCGAUUCAGUUGGAUAGCGAUUUGACCUACGAAGAGAAGCCACUCAAGAUUCUCGAGUAUGCUAGCCGAGUCACCCGCAGCAAGGUUAUCAAGUUUUGCAAAGUUCAAUGGAGCCACCAUACCGAGGACGAAGCCACCUGGGAGCGAGAGGAAGAUCUACUGAAGGACCACCCAAACCUAUUUUCUAGCCAACCCGAAUCUCGAGGGCGAGAUUCAUCUUAAGGGGGGUAGGUUUGUAACAUCCCAAAUUUUCAAUUUGGAAUGUUAUACGUUAGAUCAUCAUUGCAUAUCAUAUUUAUUGCAUUUUUGCUCGAUCCUAGAAAUUCUACGCAACUCAUGGACCCUCGGAGAGAGUUGGGGAUUUUGUUAUUUUCAUAUUUGAGUUUUCUCAAUUUUUUGAAAAUGGGAUCAUUUGAUUUUAUUUAUUUUAUCUUCAAUUAUUUCUAUUAUAAAAAUAAGAGAGAGGGAAUAAAAUGAAUUUCCCAAAAUAAAGAAAUAUUGAGGAUUUGAUAAUAAAAUCAAAUAAGAUUUUAUUUUGGAGUUUAUUGCUAUUUAAUUUGAAUUUAGGAAAAAUGCGCGUUUUUCAAAAUUGCAUUUAGGCCCCAAAUAAAUGUUCAUCUUGACCGGCUUGAUUUUAGAAGCCGGGGAAAAUUUAUUUCAGGAUUUUUGGUGUCCGUUUACUAUUUCUUUUAUUUGUUUUUCUGCGUGUAAUGUUUUAAAAAAUGCGAACAGACUUUGGGCCGUGUUCGGCCAGGACUCCACCUGGCCGGGCCUCUAUAAGGCGCCGCCCCGAGCCCGUCAGCCCAGCCGAGCCCUACAUCGAAACCCUAGCCCCGAGCCCGCCGCCGCUGCUGCGAGCAGCCGCCGCCGCCGUCNNNNNNNNNNNNNNNNNNNNNNNNNNNNNNNNNNNNNNNNNNNNNNNNNNNNNNNNNNNNNNNNNNNNNNNNNNNNNNNNNNNNNNNNNNNNNNNNNNNNNNNNNNNNNNNNNNNNNNNNNNNNNNNNNNNNNNNNNNNNNNNNNNNNNNNNNNNNNNNNNNNNNNNNNNNNNNNNNNNNNNNNNNNNNNNNNNNNNNNNNNNNNNNNNNNNNNNNNNNNNNNNNNNNNNNNNNNNNNNNNNNNNNNNNNNNNNNNNNNNNNNNNNNNNNNNNNNNNNNNNNNNNNNNNNNNNNNNNNNNNNNNNNNNNNNNNNNNNNNNNNNNNNNNNNNNNNNNNNNNNNNCCCCGUCGUCUCGUCGCCGGACCGACGCUGCUGCACCCGCCGGACCCCGCCGCCCCUUCGCCGGAGGUAGCCGCCGCCCCGCCGCCGGCGGUUUUCCUUAGAAAACCGUUUAGUUUUUCCGCCGGUUUUUCGUUCGAUUUUGUUAAAAAAAAACCUAGAUCUAUUUUUUCGGUUUAGUUUAUUUAGCGGACGUUCGUCCGUAUGUUCGUUUUAACGAACGGUUUUCAUUUUUUUUCGCAGACAGCGAAUGUUCGUUAUCCUGUUCGUCCGUUUUUCCUUUUCUUGGAUUUUCCGCGAUUAUUUCCGAUCGCGAUUUCCGAUCUAUUUUUCGUUUUAGUGUAACUUUUUACUCGUUUAUCGGAAUCAGGCGAUUCAAGCGCCUAGAGUUUUGUCUUGAAACCCUCUUUCCGUUUAACCAACUCAAACAAGUUUUUGCUACUGUAAAAUUUGACUUAGGUCCAGAUUAGUAAACGAAGCUUGUUUCUUUCGUCGUUUGAGUUUCAUUGCUUUGUUUGAUUUGAUUCUUUUUGCAAAGCGGAGUUCUUAAGUUGAACUUUCUGGUUAGAUCUCUUAUUUGAGUUUUUACUUGUGCAUUAGAUGAGUGCUUAUUGUAUGCUUGUUUGAUUGUGAUAGAGUACCCAGAGUGCGCCGCUUGCUACUUCGAAUCUCUAGGUUUCACGAAUCAUCAGCAAGGCAAGUAACACUUUGGUCAUACCUCUUUAUUACCCAAUUUUAUUGCAUUAGAUCAAUCCUCAAACAAUUGCUGAUUAGGAUCUGAUUAACAUGUGGGUUUUGGAAAGUAGAUGAGGUAGAACCUAUUACCUAUUAUUAUCAAACCCUUGGGAGUUACUUCUACGUUUGCUUAUUAUGCAAUGCUAUGCUAGUAGAUGUGGAUUGGGUGAGUGUAUCCAUGACAGAUGUGAGAUUGUUUAAUUAAUGAUUUACUUAAGGUGGCAACUUAAAUUCACAUCUGGGUGGAUUGAGGCACCUGGGGAACCCAGUGUUGCCGGUAUUUUUGGAAAUCCCGGGGUACCAUGUGAUUCUCCUAUGGACCGCCACCCAGGCUCAAAGGGAUCAUGAGAUUAUUCAUGCUAGAAACUUCCGUGUGCAGCCGCAAGCUACUAUGGGCUCUAGCAUAGUUGAUUAAGUUGCGUGAGCUCUUGAAGAGGUAGACUAGCAGAUGUAGGGGAUGUAGGUUGGUACUGUCAACCCCGGAGUAGAGAGUUAAUGCUUCUGAAAGACUGUGUCUCGGUCAUCCAUUUCUCAAACACCAUAUAGUGUGAGAAAUCAAGCGGAGGAGAUCGAGUCUUGCGGGGAAAAGUGCGCAAACCUCUGCAUAGUGUAUAAACUAAUCAUGGUUAGUCGUGUCCCCGGUUAUGGACGUUUUGAGUAUCUAGUACUUGGAUUAUCAUGUGAAUCUCAUCAUGUUACUUAAUUAAAUUUUGUUUGGUUUAAUGAUGAUGCUUAAUUGGGAUUGAGUUGGAGUACCCUUCUCAAUGUUUAACAACCACCAUGAUAGUUAAAUAAAAUGUAUUCCUUUGCAGUAGGGAAAAAUUGGCUUUAUGCAAAAACUGUAACCAUAGAGCUUUCCACCAGCCAUAUAUGCAUGUAGUAUAGCAUUAUUCUUUCAUUACUCUCUAUGUGUUACAUUGCCAGCAUAUUCCAUGUGCUGACCCAUUUUCGGGCUACAAUGUUCAUGUUGCAGACUUUUCAGACGAUGAGUAAGGUGCCUUAUAUCGUGAUCUUAUACUCAGUGAUGUUGUUGGAGUUGAUGGACUCGCUUAUCUUCCAAGCAUUCCGUUGUUAUCGUUGUUAGAUGGCCUUAAGCCAUAUUUAUUGUAAUAAGUUCUCUUUUGAGACAUUUGAUGUAAUAAGUGUGUGAUUGCUACUCUAUUAUAAAUCCUUCAAGUAUUGUGCGUGUCAGCAUUACUGAUCCAAGGAUGACACUGAUGCACAGAGAUCAGACUGUUUGAGGUCUGGUCGCUACAGCGGAUCUUGCUCCCCUUGGCUCAGAAAUCCACAAACACCGACGAUAUUGCCAAUGAACACAAAGACUUUGCCUUCUUGCAGGCCAUGGCUAUCGGGUUCAAGGGCGUCCAGGAUAGGUAUGGCAAGAGGUGGAAGCAAGCUCAAGCAGAGCGCAAAUCCAUGGACUCAGUUCAUCAGCAGCUAAAGGAGAAAGCUGAAGAGCCGCGCAUAUGGUACAACGAUCGAUCCCGCAAGCUCCGAAACUAAGAGGGGAAGCUAGCCGCUGCCUGCGGGAGGGCAAUAGCUCACAACAGCAAGUUGACGGAGCGCGAAGCACUGCUCAACAUCAAGGAAAAAGAGCUUGCUGCCCAUGAGCAAAUCAUUGUUGCCACCCUUCGCAGCAAAGAUGAGGAAAUCGAAGAACUCGUGAAGCACCGGACCCAAAAGUUGGCGGACGCCCACAAGGAAGCCAUGGAGGCUCAAAUCUUGGUAAGUGCCACCAAGCUUAAGGAAGUUGCUGAUGGGGCUGCAAUUGUUGUCUCCGCUAAGGCAGAUCUAGAGGCCCAGGCAGGCAAUUUGAAGGAAGAGCUCACUGUUAGCGGCAAGGAAGUCGAGGCCCUCAAGGCCAAGGCACAGAAAACAACCCUCGCUUUAGAGGAGUUGUAGACGCAUCUCUCCUCCAAGGGACAAGAACUUACCGCUGCCAAUGACGUGGCCCCGGACCUAAAAUCCAAACUUGCUGGCCUGGAGAAGAAUCUUGAAUCCGCCAAAGAGCGGGAGAGAGUCUUGAUGGAGAAGCUGACUGCCGAGAAGAUCCUCCGGAAGGAUGUCAAGAACAAGCACGAGGAGCUGCAGAAGAUGCACUCCCUAUGGACAAAUAAACUGGUUGACACGGUAGAGCGCCUUACUUCUCAGUUGAUACAGAUGGACAUGAAGAGCUGGAGAUUCACUACCAACAAUCAUGAGGUCAUCAGUGCCAUAGACCAGGUUCUUCGACGGUUUGAUUGAAGCGUUAAAGACAUAUCAUGACGACAGGAACGCCUCCUUCGCCAACGAGUCCCGGCAGUUCGCCCACAGCAUGCUCUACGCUACGCUGCUCAACCUGGUCCAUUGCAACCCAGGGCUUGACAUCUCCAAGGUCUUCAAGAAGCUGCCACCGAACACAGAUAUCACCGCCACCGACAAAAUCGUUGCUCCUUUCACCGACAAGGUCCUCAACAUUCCCAGGGUCCAAGGCGAUCACACUGAUUAAGCCCGUUAUCACAUCCAUUGUUGCACUGCCACGCGAAAGAUACAUUUGACCUUAUGUUAGGUCUGUGCCACUUUUGUGAUGUAACAUGACUUUAAAUGUAUGUAUGGACGUAUGGUAUCCCUUUAAUUUGCUUUGCCUUUUAUCCUUGUAAUGAGAACCAUGCGCAUGCCAGAACCUUGCCGGGGCACACACUAGUCACGAGCGCUUUGGGGGCGGAUCCCUAGUAGCCUGCUGAUAGUGUUGCCACCGGCAAGCUACCCUUCGACGAAUUCAAUGCAGCCACCUGAACUAUUGAGCGAACUCGAAAUAGACAAGGGCACAAAUGAUUACGGUAGGAUUCCUGCGCGUGCACGUUUCUUAUACAAACACCAAGUUCAAACAAAGGGUGUUGCAAAAAAAUUCAGGAAUAUGGAGUUGAAAAUUUUCCAAUUUAGCCUUUUCCUUUUUGCAGUCAUCUUUGUUGUGAGGGAUGGAAGAUCCUUCCCACUAUCCCCUAGGAAUUCUUGCACACUAGGAACUCUUUUAUUCAUACAUAGAAUAUGUACAAAGAUCUGCUAUGCACCGAGAAUUAGAUAGGGGAAAGGUGAAGUGGACGUCUUGCCGUGGCAUCCUUGCAAUGACUCAGGCCUGCCGGCCCUAGCAGAUACCCAAUGAACUUGCCGCUAUCCGCGAUGCUGCCGGGCACCCAACCCUGCAAGGUGGGCGCCCGUGAUGCUGGGUGCACUAACAAAAGACACAUCCAUGACAUUUUGGGUCGAACGAAAAAAAAUUAUGUCAUACUUAUGACGCUUCUAUAACGAUAAUUGUGACAAAACCCGGUAUCAUCAUAGAUGUGGUGGGCUCCUACUUCUAUGACAAAAAAUCAUGACAAAAAAUGGGCUUUUUGUCCUGGGCAGGCCAGAGACGCAGCUGCAUGACGGAAAAAAAAACCAUGGUAGAAGCGAGGGCGAGGAAAAUAUCGAGGAGUUCCCGGUUACGGUGGGUGGUCGCGGGCCGAGCGAUGUGCGUUUCUCCCGUACCGUGCGUGCGUGGGUGCAAGGCAUUGGGCUCUAACUGAACCCGAGCGAGGCGUCACCUAACUGAACCCGAACGAUUGCACUGUAGGCUACGCGUUACUGAACCCGAGCGAUCGAGCAAUUCUUUCUCUACUGAUGCUAACUGAAGCCGAUCGAUGCUACCUCUGGAUGAACAGUGAGCAUUGUUGGGGAGUUUGGAUGAACUGUUCCUCAUGGGGGUGGAUGAACAGGACCCCGUGGUGUUGCGUCUAGAUGAACAGGACCCCGAUCGAUCGAGCCGGUUGGGGCUGGAUGAACAGGACCCCGUGGAGGGCCGGAUGAACAGGACGACCCCGUGGAGGGCUGGUUGAACAGUAGAUGGUGGAGGGCUAGAUGAAUAGUAGCCCGUGGAGGGGUGGUUGAACAGGAGCUCGUGGAGAGGGCUGGUUGAAUAGUAGCCAGCGGAGUAGCGCGUGGUGGAUGCUGGAUGAAUAGGAGCCCGUGGAUGAACAGCCGCAGGUGGAGGCUGGAGGAGGUCGAUGGUGGAUGAACAGUAGCCCGUGUAGGCUGGAGGAGGUCAAUGGUGGAGAUGAACAGUAUCCCGUGGAGUCCUGUUUUGCGGUACGCCACACCCCUCCCGAUGAACAGGACCCCCGUUUGGACCGUAGCGCUCCAACACAAGUCUGUUUCCUCCAUUUUGCGGUACGCAACACCCCUCCUGAUCAACAGGACCCCGUUUCAACUGUAGGAGGUCCAACAGAACUCCGUUUCCUUCAUUUUGCGGUACGCCAGACCCCUCCUGAUGAAUAGGAUCCUGUUUAGAAUGUGGCCGGUCGAACACAAGGCCGUUUCCUCUAUUGUGAGGUACGCCAGGCCUCGCUUCCAUCGGCUGUUCCGUCCAAGCCCUCCUGAUGAACACGACGAUGCAUUCCGUGCCGACCCAGCUGGCUGGCUCCCCAUGAACAUGACGACGACGUUGUUUCUUGGUUCUGGCCCAGCCAUGUAUACGAGCCCUGGCCGUAUGUAUGCGCGAGUAGGCGUUCGAGACCCCGCCCGUAUGUACGUACGUGGCCGUAUUUUCUUUCUUGCACACUGGCCACUAUACAUACAUGUACAUGCUACGUGCGCGCCUCUACUACAACAAGUGAGCGCCUCUACAUCGACCAGUAUGUACAUACACGUUCACAACCAGAAUGACAACGCUACGUACGCUUUGACCAGGUGGGUCCCCACCGUCAGGCACUUCCUUGCGUGCGAAGAUGGAGCUGGUGGGUCUCAGCAGUCAGGGGGGUGAAUCAUUUUUUUUUGCCCAGAAGCACUUCCUUGUGUGCGAAGAUGUGGCUGGUGGGUCCCAGCAGUCAGGGGGAAAACGUUUUUUCGUGAAAUAUGGUUGCCCGUCCGGUGGGUCCCUGCUGUCAGGUGGAGGAAUCAUUAUUUUCUGCGUAAUAAGUAGGCACUUCCUUGCUGCGGCCGUGGACCCAGCUGUCAGCCUCUCCACGUACAGUACUCUUCCGAUGGAAGUCGGGCGUUGACCACAUUGACCACGCCGCACCAAGAGCGCCAAGGCGCUGGACGACGCCAAGGCCUAGGAAGGGGAUGACGCAGAGCCGGGGAAGAUGUGACAGUGGAUGCCCACGCGGAGAGGAGUAUGAGGGUUCACUGGUUCGGCUGCGGUAUGAGGUUGUCGUCGCCGUAGAAUAACAGGGGGUGUGGGUGAUUAGAGGGAUGGCCUGGCCGGCGGUGGGAGUAGUAGGGGGCGGUGAAGCCUCUGUGGCAUCAUAGCCGGCCACGGGAGGCAGGAGCACGCGGCACGACCGACGCUAGUUUGGGCGGCUGGAGCAAGAAGACCAGAGGUUGAAGAAGCACUACGGCCGUUGGAUGAACAUCGUAUGGUAACUGGAGCUAGAAUCGUUCAUAUUGACUAAGUUGACAAAGCCCUCCGUCACCGUUAACUUGGUAGGCCCACAAGUCAGCCUCCCACUAUGCUGGGUUCCAGCUGGCAGGGGGAGUAUUCAUUUUUUUGUGCGUAAUAAGGAGGCACUUCCUUGCGUGCGAAGAUAGCUGGUGGGUCCGACCUGUUAGCGGGGGACACAUUUUUUCGUGAAAUACAGAGGCCCUUCUGGUGGGUCCCAGAUGCCAUGUGGAGGAAUCAUUAUUUUGUGUGUAAUAAGGAGGCAUUUCCUUGUGUGCGGCCGUGGACCCAGCUGUCACCCUCUCCAAGUACAGUCCACGUCCGAUGGAUGCUGUUCGUUGACCACGUUGACAAGGCCGCGCCAAGAGCACCAUGGUGGUGGACGAUGGCGAGGCCUAGGAAGGAAACGACACGGAGCCGGGGAAGACCCGACAGUGGUUGCCCACGCGGUGGGGAGUACAAGGGUUUACUGGUCCGGCUGCUGUCACCGGAAAAUAACAUGAGGUGUCGGUGAGUAGAGGAAUGGCCUGGCCAUCAAUGGAGUAGGGUGGGGCGACAUGGCCUGUGCGGCAGCACAGCCAGCCACGGGGGGCGGGAGCAGGCAAUCCCACUGGCAGGUUUGGGCGGCUGGAGCAAGAAGAUCAGAUUAUUAAAGAAGCAGCAUGGCCGUUGAAUUAACAUCCAACAGUCACUGCUGCUAUAAUCGUUUGUGGACUAAGUUGACAAAGCCUUUCUUACACGUCAACCUAGUAGACCCACAAGUCAGCCUCCAAAUCUGUCCCAAAUAGCAUACAGCCCGAAAUUUCUAGCCAGAUUCAAAUUAAUUUUAAAACUAAAUGUACCUUAAUUUAAAUUCAAUGAAAUUUUACCCGCACAAAAACAAUGAAAUUUAAAAUAUCAAAAUCCGAAAGAAAAAAGUAUUUUGGAACUAAUUGCAUGUUUGCUGUAUUUUUUAUUUUACAACCCAUUUAUUAUUACUUAUAGCCCAUUUCGUAUUACUUAUAGCCCAUUUUCGGGGGGAAAUGCAUCCCUCCUCGUCUUGAAAGAUUUCUGGCCCAGCAGGGCAUAGAAAAGAAAGUAGGCCUACGUUGGUUAUUCUGGUAAAAACAAAAUAGCUGGCUGGCCAUUUUCAGAAAGGAAAAAAACAAACUGGGCUGGUCAUGUGCUAAACAUAUGAAAUAAAAGCCUGGGCUAGACGGGCCACAACUCCCGCACAACCCAGUUGAUACCCUUCUCCGUCCCGAAAAAACAAAAAUACUACGCGUGCUGCUGGGUCCCUAUUGUCAUCCUCACCAUGUAUAGUCAUCUCCUUAUUCCUCUCGGUUGUUGACCAUGUUGACAACACCGGAGGGCGGCGCCGCGGUGAGCGAACCAAGGCGGAGGACGAUGGUGAGGCCUCGGAUGGGAAUGAACAGGAGCCUGGGAAGAUGCGCAGAGUUUUAGGGUGCGAUGUGACCAUGAUGCAUGUGAGGCGGCACAGCCAGCCGUGGGAGGCGAGAGCAGGCGGUCCCGCCGGCGCUGGUUUGCCUUUGGCGGCUCGAGGAAGAAGAGACUGAAGAAACACGACAGACGUUGAAUGUCAAUCCAACGGUCAAGGUUUGCACAGUCGUUUGUUGACUAAGCCGACACCAAGUUGCAUACUUUUUUAUAUAUAGGAAGAAAAGAAAAACUGGGCUCGUUCGCCUGAUAACAUUCCCGAAACUGCAACCGUUCGAUCUUGUGUCGCAACUAAAACUGCGAGGAAAAUGUGUUCGUCUGUCGUCCUCCUCCCAGGGAACGUUCGCCACAUAAGUGACUAGCACCCUUGGUUUUCAACCGAGAGGUCUUGGGUUCGAGUCCUAGGAACUCUCAAUUUUGUCCUCCUUCCUUCCUCGCAAAAAAGGGAAAGAAAAUCAAACACUUGAGAAGGCGUACAGAACAUGCUAGUGUACCAGUAAAGAGAUGUUGCUGAGUUGUUCAAAAAAGAGAGACGUGCUCCUGUAGCUGGUUUGAAUUCAAACCUAGACUAUGACUAUAUAUGGUGCUAUGCUACUCUGCAAGUAAUGAAACUGACAUAUCCAAUGUUCGCUUCUCCUCUUCUCUACUUACUCUGCCUAGCAUCAGAAGCUCUGGCCGCAGCAACCAUGUUCGCUGACUACUCGUCCACCUGCUCUUCAGCAGGCAACAACCAGAUAUGCGCCAAGUCGCCACCCGUACCAUCGCUUGUGGGUCUCAUCACACCCCCGUCGGCACGCGCACCGCAGCCGGUUGCUCAUCGCAACCGAUGCCGUUGGUGUGGUGCCACUGCUACAAAUCACACAGAGUCAUCCGUCGUGUCUCAACCACAAUCCUCAACCCUGGCCAAGUCUUCUACAAAUGCCCAAAUCAUGGGGUAGUAAUAUGUUUAAGUGUUGUUUUGCUGCUUUCAGUUGCUGAUUUUUUUAAUAGUUUGGCUGAUGAUCUUCCAAUUUGAUUCGUGCAGAAAAGGGAACAUUCGUGUGAUUUGUAUUUCUGGGAAGUUGCUGCAACUACGCUGAUUAUUUGGUUAGCCGAGGAAUCCCAAUACCAGCAGGUUGGGGUGUUGGACAAGUAACUGAAGGAACGGCAGAAGAGGAAGAUGCAGAGCAGAAGGGUAAAGAUGUAGUUCCUCUGAUCAUGGCCAAGCAACAGCUGCUGAAUGACCUUGACAGCAACGAGGAGAUGAAAGAGCUUGUGAAGAUAAUGGGAAAAAUCGAUGUGCUCCGUAGGAUGAUUGUCUCUUUAUUUGCAGUGUAUGUAGCACUCAUGAUGUAUUCAGUGGCUAUGACAUUAGCACUUUGCUGAAACUAGUAAUGAAUGAAACUUGUGUAGCAGGCUGGGCGUAGUGUUGUGAAUCUAAUGAUUUCUAUUAACGGAAAUCAGGGGGUAUCCCCUUUUGCUCAUAAAUAAAUAAAUGGCAGAGGCCCUUUUGGUAAUAAAUAAAUAAAUUAGCAGAGGCCCUAUCGGGUCAACUUUGUUCUCAUUCGAAGACAUCGAGCAAAUUGCAGUCCAACAGCAAACUAUGUCAUCAAAUUCAAGUUUCACAACCAAAUAUGAGUACAACUAAACAACAAUGUCAUCAUGUUUUAGUUGUCAUACAAUCACCAAACACAAAUCAGCAUACAUAACAAGUGAUGUUCUCAUAGCAAAAUAUUAAACAACACGUUCAUCGGGUUUCAAUUGUCAUAGCAAACACAAUUUCACAUAGUAGAUAAAAAAACAUCUUCUGACAGGCAAAUACGACAAAAGCAAUGUAAUCAUCAUCCGCAGCAGCAGCAUCAACAUCUUCACCAUGUGUAUCAGUCUGAAUUGUAAUUCCCCACGGUGUCAUCUUCUUCUUCAUCCUCAACGUCCUCAAACGUUGGCUUCUUCUUGAUCAACUCUUGUAUGUCCACAGCACGACAUGCAAUCUUCUCGUCGGCGUCAUUGAUGUGAUGGUUCUCAACGAUAUUAGGAACAUAUGUGUUAUCUUGUACAUCAGGAGCAGUGUAAGCAUAAUCUUGUUGUGCAACUUCAUUAAACGAAUUCCUCUGCUCAAACCUUUGCAAUACUCUCCAGUCAUCGCUACGUGCAAAUGGGUGUUCCAAGAAAAAUAUCCGUGUUGCUUGAUUUGCCAAAAUAAAAGGCUCGUUGGUCUAGUAUGCCGCCUUGACAUUGAUGAAUUUGAAAUAAUCAUCAGCUUUGGGUUUUGCGAUCCUGGAAAACAGGUUAUACCAACGACAGCACAACAGAACCACACACCGAUGAUCCUCGGAACUGGAGAUAUACUAUAACUGAACAAUGUCUGUUUUGUUAGCAUACAUUUCAGUUGUCUCUUUGUCAUACGUAUCCGUGCUCAUGAUGGCACUAUUUUCUGUCUUCCUGCCUUCAUUUCGUGCAAGGGUGUUGUAGCGCACAUCUCCAACAACGCAAGAUUCAUAAUGUCUUACCCGAGUAUCAGGACCCAUUGCUAGUGAGUAAAGGGCAUCAUCAACUGCCUGCCCAUCCUCCUGCAUCUUCUUAACCUAUGGUUAGAAAAUAGACAAGCUGAUCAUCUUAUGUACUCAAUAUAUUAAAAAAACCUGACAGUGCAAUUCAAAAGCUUCCAUGGCUCUUGAACCAUUCGCAAAUCCUGCCAUAACCAGUUUGUCAAUGUUUCUUGCAUUUUGCGGUAGUAACUCCUUUUUGUAGAUGCUCCACAACAUACUGAUCACGUCAAACAUCUAAAUAUAUAAGAAUGUGCUGCAAGUUUAGUAGAUUACGAUGUAUAAGAUGCAGUACUUAGCACUUACUUGAUAUAAGGUAGUAUCUCAGGACAGUUAUUCAACACAUACCAAACCAUUUUGUCCAAAUCUUUAGGUUUGUCCUCUUGUCGACUCUUCCCUGUAACUCGAACAGAAUAAUCGAAAACAUUGAGCCUGGGAUUGUCUUCACCCACCUCUUUGCUAAGCUGAUCAGCUGUUUCAAUGUAUUUUGAGCAGAAUGUCAACGCUUCUGUAGCAAUGUAGGCCUCUGCAGUGGAACCCUCGGGUCUAGCUCUGUUCCUAACAUAGCCCUUGAAAGUGCCUAGCCGCCUUUCAAUAGGGUACAUCCAACCAUACUGUACCGGACCUCUAAGUAGUGCCCCAUCAGGUAGAUGAAUAGCCAAAUGCACGAUCACAUCAAAGAGGCUAGAUGAUAUAUCUUCUCAAGGUCGCAUAGGAUAACAUCUUGUCUCUAAGACGCUCCAAAGCAUCUAUACUGAUAUUUCUACUACAGAGUUCCCUGAAGAAUUGUCCCAACUCUGCAACUGCUCUGUAUAAGUCAGGGCGGCCCAAUCCUCUAAGGAUAACAGGUAAAACCCUUUGAAGUAGGACGGGGCAGUCAUGAGUUUUCAACCCUUGUAAGUUGUUUCCAUCUGCACUGACUCUCCUUUCAGGGUUGGAAGCAAAUCCAUGUGAGAAUCUCACACUUGACAAGACCUCGCAAAAUUCUUUUCUUUUUACCUUGUCCAAGACGUACACAGCUGGUGCCAUAUCCCGUGGUUUACCAUCAUCUUGCACCUGCAAAUCCUGUCUGAUACCCAGGUGUGUCAAAUCAAUCCUAGAUUUUAAGGUAUCUUUCGUCUUGCCUUCAAUAUUAAGAAGUGUGCCGAUAAUGUCAUCACAUAUAUUUUUCUCGAUGUGCAUCACAUCAAGAUUAUGCCGCAGAUCCAAAUCUUUCCAAUACUCCAAGUCCCACAAAGUGGACCUGCGGGUAAACAAUAAUCUCUCUUCUGCCCUGCCACGCUUCCUUUUCCCGUUACCAUUACCAGGAUGGUUUCCUGGUGUAAUAUGCCUGACCUUAUCUAAUUCCACUUGCAACUCAUUGGCGGUGAGCCUCUUUGGUGCAUCAUGGUUUUCAUGCUUUGCAUUGAACACAUGUCUUCGGUAUUUUUUAGGAUGCAGCUUUUCCUUGGCAAGGAAAAGGCGGUGUCCAAUGUAACAGAUCUUGCUAAGUAUUGCGUAUGACAGCAGAUUCCUGUCACAGCGAACACAUGCAUUGUAACCAUGUGUCGUUCACCCUGACAUAGUGCCCAAAGCCAGAUAAUCAUGGAUGCACCAAAUUAUAACAUCACGCAGAAAGAAAUCAGCUGGUGGGCUGCUAUAUAGGUCUCGAGUGAGAACACCCCUCCAUAGCUGUUGAAGUUCCUCCACAAGAGGCUCCAUGAACAAAUCAAAAUCCUUUCGAGGACUUUUUGGACCUGGGAUGAGCAAGGCCAUCAUGUAGUUUGAUUCUUUGGUGUAGACAUUUGGAGGCAUUUGUAAGGGAUAACAAGCACUGGCCACAUGCUAUAUGUGGCGCUCUGAUGGCCAAAUGGGUUAAAUCCAUCUGAAGCUAAGCCAAGUCUAAUGUUUCUCGAGUCAGCAGCGAACUUUUUGUGUUUAUGAUUGAAGCUUUUCCACUCACUACCAUGAGGUGGAUGGCUCAUUACAUUCUGAUCUCUAUACUCCUGGUUCCUAGAAUGCCACAAUACAUCCUCUCUUAUUUCAGCAACAUGAAACAACCUCAGCAAUCCUGGUAUAAUUGGAAAAUGUCUCAGAACAUUAUGAGGAAUCCUCUCCACAGCAUCGCCAUCUUUCCAUCUUGAUGAUUUGCAUUUCGGGCAUUCACUUAAGUUGGCAUAAUACUUCCAGAAUAGAACACAAUUAUUCUUACAAAAAUGGAUCAUAUCAUAUCCUAUUCCAACUACACGAAGGAAAUUCUUCAUUUUACUGUAGGUGUGUGGCAGCUCAGACGCAUCUGGGAAAGAUUUGCAGAAAGCAGCCAACAUCGCAUCGAAUGAUUUGUUGGUCAUCCGCUCAGAUGUCUUCACCUGAAGAAAGGUGACCAUAGCUGAGAAUACUAACAGCUUAUUUCCUGGGGUGACAACCACGUUGCAUUGUUCCAACAUGCGGGCCCACCAUUUUUCUUCUGCAGGUGAAAGUUCAUGGAAUGCACGAGCAUUUCGUAGCAUUGUUUCAAUGUUGGUCAAACUCACUGGCUCCGCCACCACCACCACCUCCUCCUCUUCCACCUGAGCAUCAGGCAGACCAAGAUGGUGAUCUGCUGCUUCCACGUAGUCAAUAACAUUGACGUUCACAGCUUCACCAUGAUGAACCCACCUAGUAUAUGUCAUCGACAUCCCAUACAAGUGUAGAUGAUUUUGCACAGUUGACUGGGGUCUUGUAACUGAAUUCAUACAACUGCUACACGGGCAGAGCAUAUCUGAUUCGGACCACCGUACUCGGCUCUGAUAAAGUUCAUGAAGUUUUGAACCCCCUCGACAUAUGCAGCGGAGAAUCUUUGAGCAGAAGUUAUCCAACUCAUGUCCAUCUAUUAGACAUAGAAAUUAGUUCUUCUACUAGAUAUUAUAGGAAAAACAUAUAUGCUUUUUUAUGAAGUCCAAAAAAAAUACCUAGGUCGAUGUCUAAAGCUAUGGAAAGAUAUUUGGACGAGCAGAUCUAAGUAACGAAAUAUAUGUAAAGCUAAUUCAGCAAAAAGAUUCGAGUGCUCAAUUAUGGCAGGCUGUUUCAGCAGUCAAUGAGGCCGAGCACACAGCCAUCAAACUAUCGAAGGCCAACGCAGCAACAAAGAUCGAGUAUAAAACAGUGUAGAGCUAUUUCACCUAACAGAUUGGCUACUAGACCAUGGCAAUCUACGUCACAAUAAAUAUAUGGCAGUCUAUUUUAGCAACUAAUCAGCCUUGGCAUGCCAUCUCAGCUAAGCAGCUUGAGUGCAGAACAGGGCAAGAAAGCUUCUUAAGUAGAGCAUAUUGACUGUAAACUACUUCGGCAAACAGUGAGAUUAACAGCGUCUAUCAGCUAACAUUCAGUGCUACACCGACAUGCACGGGGCCUCAAUCUAGUUAGAAUGCGCGUACCAUGGGAGAAGCUGACCACCGUGCAUCUCCACACGAAUGUCGUCAGCGGUGGCGGCGCUGAUCGUCGUGCGCCUCCACAAGAACGUCGCCAGCGGUGGCAGCAUGGCUAGAGGACGGCAGUCUACGAGAGCGUACUGUGGGAGCGAGAGGAUCACCGUGCGUCCCCUCGACAAACCGCGGCAUCGACGUAUCGGCGGCGGGGAGGGCGGCUUUGGCGGAGCGAAUGGAGUGGAGGGGGCGGGGGGAGGGGGUUUGGGGAAUAUUAUUGAUUAGUUGGCUGAAGGGCGGUUGAAUUUAGGAUUUGGGGGGAAUUUUGGGGGAGGAGGAUUUUCACGCGGUGGGUGGGGAGAGUUUGGCGCAUGGUCGGUUUCUCCAAGUGCAGUCCCACGUGUCAGUGAAGAGGCAAGCCGAAGCGCGUUCCGUUUGCGUGAGCCGUGUGCAGGACCGAACGUGUGUGGGGUGCAAUGCGACCGCGACAGGGGUGCUGUGAGUGUACCGGCUUUUUCCUUUUAAACUAGGUGCUUUGCCCCCUCAAAAAAAACUUGGUGCUUUGCGCGAUCCAUCGAUACUAAUAAUAGUAAUCCUGUAAUCCCGACUAAAAUGGAGCGGCCGGGUCUUUUCCCGCGCGAUAUGCUGGGAGGUUGGCUUAGUUGGGUUUUUUAGGACGAGUAAUGCUAUACCUAUGUAAUCCCAGUUACGUAAUUAACGUAAUGUGAAACAUGUGAGCUAUUGAUUGUAGAUUGGGGGAGGGAGGGGCCCACUGUCGGAUUUCUGGGUCCGGCAACUCAUGAGAGGUUCGAACACUAGGGUGCAUGCGGAGAUCUCAACCUGCCUAGCCUGCCUACUCGCGAUCCUCCCUAGCCUAGCGCAAAGAGCUCACAGAGAAACAAAUACACAGGUAUUUAUACUAGUUCGGGCCACCGUUGUGGUGUAAUAGCCUACUCCGGUGUGGUGUGGUGGAUUGCCUCGAGAGGCUAUGGAAGAACUACUACAAAGGAUGAACAAGCCUUAGGAGGUGAGGUGUUCUUGAGCUGGUUGGUGCUCGAGGUGGAAUGGAUCUCCUCCUAUGGUGGUGGUUAAGUCCUAUAUAUAAUGCCUUGGUCCUCCUCCCAAAUAUGAGCGGGAAGGGAUUCCACAACGGUGGGAUUUGAAAGGGGACAAGAAGUAUAGUCUUUCCUGACAAAAGUAGUCUUCGCCUGUGAAAAGCCCAUUGUCGUGACGCUGCGGUGGGCUUGGUGAUGACCUCCGUCCUGCCGUCCAGGCGGUCUUGGUCUCGUUGCACCAGAAUAGAAACCUUUGGAUGAUUCCUCGGGACUCUGCGCCUGCGGCUUGCCUCCCUUGCACCGAAGAGGAAACCUGCGCUAUGCACCCGCCUGGCCUUGGUCGUCAUGGCUCAUGUCAGCUGAGCCUCAUGAGGUAGCUGCAUACAUCUCUCCGCCCCUCAGGAACCCUCUUGAGGAGGCCAACUCCUUCAGGGGUCUUGGCGUCGUUUGCCUCGCGAGGCUUGGCCCCUCGCGAGGGUCUUGCUGUGUCGAUGUUGAAGCUGGGCCGUACCAAGCCGUCGAUGGAGCCACAUGGUGGGCCGCAGGCAGGCAGGACUGGAUACCCCCAAGUCAGGACGCCGACAGUAGCCCCCGAGCCCAAGGCGCGCUCGGACUUGGCUUCCAGGCAAAGCCAAAGGGCAAGGAUGGAGCGUCGCGGGCCCUAGCAGCCUGCGGCCCUGGAGACACAUGGCGGUUGACGAGAUGUGGGCGUAUCCGCUUCCCCAUGUUGCCUCGGCAACUGCUUCGACUUUACAACUGUGUGUUGCAUGCAAAAAGGAUCAUCAUUAGUAGAAAUUGUGGGGAGCCGAUGAUUUACCUUUUCCCGGCUAUAAACGUGCGAGCGGGUGGAACCCCUGCUCAUUUCUCCUUCGUCUUGCUCCCGCUUGCUUUUCCCCUUCUCCAUCUUGCUCUCAUGGCGCCGAUCAGGAGGUUCUCUACGGCAGAGAAAGGGAAGGCUCCUAAGGAGGUGCCAGACCCUCUCCCACCGAAGAAACGACUCCACCUCCACGGCGAUGCUGGUGCGAGGCGAGAGGUGGCCAGGCCUUGGCAAUCGAGGCCUCCGCCUGACUUCCCCCUCCCCUUGUACGCCCGGGUGCAAGGUGAAGGAGUCCACCAUCGAGCGACGCCUCGCAGAGAUGGCAGGGCCGCCAUUGCCCAGCCGGUCGCACCAUGGACCCACGCCGAAGAUAGCUCGCGUGAGUUCGUGGUGUGGGCGGUGAUGCCUCCCGAUACCUGGAUCCAGUUCUUCGCCAGCGAACUACCUCCGAUGGGACCGGUGGAGCUGUGGCUGCAGUAUGCAGGGUGCAACAGCCCGGCACCAGGGCUGAGGUCGAGGUGGUGUCAUCCGGGGACGUCUUCAUGAUGCGAGGAUGGGGCGAGGUUGCCAGGGCUUGUCGAGCGGAGGGAUCCCUGGCAAUCCACUUCGAGUAUGAUGGCGAGGCCACCUUGUUAUUCAAGGUCUUCAACGAGUGAGGCGAGCAGCUGGAGUGCUGCCCCGGAGGAGAUAGCUCAAGAGACACCAUGAUGGGCGCUGGAUAUGCCACUGCCCAUUCAGCGCUUCGUCCAGUAGUAGCGAUGACUCAUGGGAAUCUAGCGACUCUCCUGAGCCCAGCGACUCUCCGGAAUCGAGCGAUGACAACUACAUGCCGCCGAGCUCCCUCCGGGGUAGGAGUGCUGCCGCGGCUGCCGCCCGGCGUCCUCAGCAACGCCGCCAGGCCCUGUAGUCAUUUCUCCUGCGCGAGACGAAAAUCAGCCCCCGUGGGGCUUGUAAGGACCGAGAUGUACCCAAGAGUAUUGUUAUUCCUUUUGGCUUUGUAAUGGACGCGCGUAUCCCAAUCCGGCUGAGUCCUCCCCCCCCUAUCUUCCCUAGUCAGGGUGGCGCUCUACGCCGGCAGGACCCAGUCCCCAGGCAGGCUUCAGCCAUUACUAGUAUGCCAGGUCGCGAUGCCGUGGGCAAGGCUAGGAGGUGAGCGGCCCGAGGUCCGGUAAGAGCUCAUGAGACGCGAUGCUCAUGAGGUCCCCCUUGGCGUGCAAGCAGCUGCGCAGAGAGUUGAAAAGGGGAGUUGAACCGCCCAAGUGGAACUGUAGAGUGAGGCGUUUGGAGCGAAACUAGUGCCGUAGCAAGCUGAGACUUAUCUUUUGCGGUCUGAGCCCAUUGGAGAGGCAAUGCUUGUCGUCGAGCCUGUGGUGCCAUCAGGCGCAGCCCAUCCUGGACACCCUCCUACCUCGCUUGCCAAGAUGCCCUACAUUCUCGGGACCCGGCCCUUGAGCGAGCUUAGUCGCCGCUGGUAUGCCAGGUCGUGAUGUCGUGCUCAAGGCCAGGGGUGAGGGCUGGAGAGCCAAUAGGAGCUCCCGAGGCAUGAUGCUCGGGAGGCCCCCCUUUUAACGUGCAAGUGACUCACGAGGCUAGACAGUGGUCGUCCGGGCCGACCCUUGGCUCAUUGUAGAGUGAUCCUACAAGUCAAAUGACAAGGGAGGCCGAGAGCUCCAAGCCUGAGGCGGAGGCACCAAGGACCCUACGAGGUCAUGUAUGCGAAGUGGGCCGCGAGCCAGAGCUUGAUCCCCGAGUUUAUCAGUGUUGCAGGGAUGGAUCCGAGCACAAGCGUUGUGCCAAUGUGUGUGUUAUGCAGGAAUGGCGUUAGUCACAUGAAUCAGGGCUGUGAGGCGGAGGUCGCGAGGUGACAAUCAUAGAUAAAUUCAUGGAAACGAUUAGAUAAUCCUGGUGAGCGCAAAACGAUACACACCAUAGGGCAGACCCACACGGCCCAGGGAUGAUGCAGCCCGAAGGCGCCCCCAAAUUGGAUGAACUAGGAAGAUGUCACCUGAUACCGUUGUUGAAGAGUUGUUGAAGUAGCCAAAAAACGCGUGUUGUUGAAGCCGUUCCUCAUGAGUCGCUCCGGUGCCGGGCCUCGGGAGGCUCGGAGGGACCAGAAGGCUCCUAAGGGUGCUCCUCCAUCUUCGCCAGGAUCGCCUGGCGCCUGGCAUCACAGGCCACUUGAGUGUCCCUCAUGCAGCGCUGGAACACCUCAGCCGUGCCCUCCAGGCCGAAAGGCAUGCGGAUGUAGUUGUGAGGCAGUCCCUCGCAUCGACCGACACGAGACGGCAACAUGAGUUGCCGAGAUGUGGCCUUGUUGAGCCCAGGCACUUCGAUGCAGACGCGGAACUCUCUACCCUCACUAGGGAAGCAAGCUCUGCCUCGCGGUAGGUGACGAUCGCCUUGCAGAACCCUUCCUUCCUAAAUCUCCUCGAUCGCCUUGCCGAUGAACUCCUGAACGCCUGGUGCCUCACGCCUGUUGCCUUCUCCUAGGAAGCAUGCUCUGAAGAGCGCCUCCACAUGGUGCUCGAGUGCCACUCUCGCGACAUGGUCUAAGUCUGAGGCCCUCCAAAGGAGAGCCCCCGAGCCCAGCUUGAGAGGGGCACCGGGCGCGCCUUCCUAUGCGAUGGGUGAUGGUUCCACGUCUGGAGACGCGAGGCUCAGCGCUACGUCCUCGACUGAUGCUUCCUCACGAGACCCCUGGCUCAGUUGCAGCUUCUUUGUCUUGGGGGCGACCUCACGAGGGAGCGCGCCAUCUUCAUCUUUAGGGUUUUCAACUGCUGUAGCCUAGAAAGCGCGCUCGAGGGAGCACACCGCAUCCCUCUCCUGACGGGUGAUCAUGAUGAUGCCGCCGCUUCCUGGCAUCCUGAGGAUAUUGUAGUCGUGGUGCAUGGCCGCCAUGAACUUGGCCAGCGCUGGGUACCCAAGGAUGGCGUUGUAGGGCAGGCGGAUGUCGGUGAUGUCGAAGUCAAUGAGCUCGGUGCAGUAGUUGUUGUGCUCGCCGAAGGUGACCGGGAGGCGAACCUGCCCGAUCGGGUGUGUCAAUCCGUCGGUCACUCCUGAGAAUGGCUUGGUGGGGUGCAACUGGUAGUAUGGCACUUGGAGUCUGUCAAAUGUCUGAACCGAGAGGACAUUGAGCCCUGCUCCGCCAUUGAUGAGGGUCUUGGUGACGGUCACGUUGCUAAUGACGGGGGAGCAGAGCAUGGGGAGCGCGCCAGCGGUGGCCGCGCACUUGAGCCAGUCUGAGGAGUCGAAUGUGAUGGCGCACUUGGACCACUUGAGAGGGUGAGUUGCCUCAAGCUUGGGGAGCACUACAUUGACCUCGCGCGCAAACUGCUUGAAGAAACGGUAAGAAGCUAGGGCUUGUGAGCCACCCAAGAUGCAGGCGAUGGCUCGCGGCUCCUGGAAGCCCCCAGCCCCCUCGUCCUGGUGGUGAUCUUUGUUCCUUCUUGGUGGUGGAGGCAGAGGAGGCAAAGCUGCAUUGUCCUGAGGGCGGUCCUCACGAGGCUGCUCCCUCCAGUUGCCCUCGCGAGGUUGGUCCUGCCAGCGGUCCUCACGAGGCUGGUCACGCCACUCCUGAUGGCAGUCGCGUCCAUCCCAGCGUCCUCCAUCUCAGCCACCUUCGUGAUCGUAGCCCCGAUCAUUGCACUCGGGGCGUCAACUGAGGCGCCCGUCGCGGAGAGCCCUAAGCUCCUGGCAGUCGCUGGUGUUGUGGCUGUAGACGUUGUGGAAGGCACAAAACGGCUGCUUUCCCUUGGAUAACUCGGGGUGGUCGCAGCCGCACUUGGUCUCUGGCUCUACCGCAAGCACGGCUGGCCCCUUGCGCUUCAUGUCCUUGGUCUUGGUCUUCUUGUCUUCUGGAUCAGCAUCAGGGAGCUCGAGGAGGGAGAGGCGUCCCUCCUCAGCCCUCGCACACUUGUUCGCCAUGUUGAACAUCUCGAGAGCAGUGCAGAGGUCCUCGUGGAUGGCGAGCUCCUCCUUCAUCUUGAAAUCGCGGACACCAUCGGUGAAUGCAGAGAUGAUGGCCUCGUCCGACACCUUGGGGAUCUUGAGGCGGACAUUGUUGAAGUGUUGGGUGUAGUUAUGCAAGGUCUCCCCAGGGUGCUGCUUGACGCGGCGCAGGUCGCCUGCGGCCGGCGGACGGUCGUGAGUGCCCUGGAAGUUGGCGAUGAAGUGGUUGCGCAUCUCCUCUCAGGAAGAAACCAACCCCCCGGUCAGGUUCAGGAGCCAAGAAUGUGCACCAUCCUUGAGGGCCAUCGGAAACCAGUUUGCCAUGAUCUUCUCGUCGCCAUUGGCCGCCUCUAUGCUCAGAUCGUAGAGCUGCAGGAACUCAGCAGGGUCUACGGUGCCGUCGUAGCAUGGAGGCAGGUCAGGCUUGAACUUGCUCGACCAGACGAUGUUGCAGAGCUCUGCAGUGAACGCAUGGCAUCCUGCCGUGGCCACCGAAGGUCGUCGAGGGGGUGGAACAUGGUCCUGGUGCAUGCGCACCGCCCCCUCCUGUGGAGGCUCGCGAGCCUGGUGCUGGGGCGCUGGAAGCAUGCGCGCCUCUCCUUGGGGACGUUGAACCACCUGGCAGCUCAUGUUGUCCUGAGUCGGUGUUGGGCGCUGCGGGUCACGCCAUGGAGCCACACGCCUUGGCUCGACGAUGGCGCCCCGCGCCAGAGGAGGAAGAGGAGCCCCGUGCGUGAUGUCGCCCGCUACAGGUGGUUGCUGAGGCAGCGAGUGAGUCGGCCUGUUGGAGCCCCCGUGCACGAUGUUGAUGAGCUCGGGGACGCGCUCGAGCCAUUCCUAGUAGAGAUCACCCACGAGACGGUAGCGAAGAAGCUCCCGCGCCAUGAGCAGGGCAGCCUGCGCGUCCACCUGGCCGCGGCACGCAUGGGACGACGAAGCUGCUGGGGUGAGCGACGGAGUAGCGGUGCGGCCAUCGCGGCGCACUGACGGGAGUAGCGAUGAAGCUUGCUGCUCAUGGCCGGUAGGGCCCGUGGCGGCGUUGGCCACCGGAUAAGGAGCACAGCAGGCGCAGCCGUCACCCGCCGGAGCCGUCUGAGCGACGCGGGCGGCGACCGCGGCCCGACGCUCGGUGCAAGCCAUGCGCACGUCGGCCAUGGAGAUGUCGGAGCAGAGACGGAUCGAACGACGGAAGAGAGGAUCCGACGCACCCCUACCUGGCGUGCCAACUGUCGGAUUUCGGGGUCCGGCAACUCGUGAGAGGUUCGAACACUGGGGUGCGUGCGGAGAUCUCAACCUGCCCAGCCUGCCUACUCGCGAUCCUCCCUAGCCUCGCGCGAAGAGCUCACAGAGACACAAAGACACAGAGAUUUAUACUGGUUCAGGCCACCGUUGUAGUGUAAUACCCUACUCUAGUGUGGUGUGGCGGAUUGCCUCGAGGGCCUAUGGAAGAACUAGUACAAAGGAUGAACAAGCCUCAGGAGGUGAGGUGUUCUUGAGCUGGUGUGAUGCUCGGGGUGGAAUGGAUCUCCUCCUAUGGUGGUGGCUAAGUCCUAUAUAUAGUGCCUUGGUCCUCCUCCCAAAUAUGAGCGGGAAGGGAUUCCACAACGGCGGGAUUUGAAAGGGGACAAGCAGUACAGUCUAUCCUGACAAAAGUAGUCUUCGCCUACGAAAAGCCCCUAGUCGUGACGCUGUGGUGGGCUCGGUGAUGACCUCCGUCCUACCGUCCUGGCGGUCUUGGUAUCGUUGCACCAGAAUGGAAACCUUUGGCUGAUUCCUCGGGACUCUGCGCCCGCGGCUUGCCUCCCUUGCACCAAAGAGGAAACUGCGCUCUGCGCCUGCGGCUUGCCUCCCUUGCACCAAAGAGGAAACCUGCGCUCUGCACCCGCCUGGCGCCCGCCUGGCCUUGGUCGUCAUGGCUCACGUCAGCUGAGCCUCAUGAGAAGAUGCAUAGAUCUCUCCGCCCCUCAGGAGCCCUCCUGAGGAGGCCAACUCUUUCAGGGGUCUUAGCGUCAUAUGCCACGCAAGGCUUGGCCCCUCGCGAGGGUCUUGCUGUGUCGGUGUUGAAGCUGGGCCGCACCAAGCCAUCGAUGGAGCCAUGUGGUGGGCCGCAUGUAGGCAGGACUGGAUACCCCCAAGUCCAGGACGCCGACACCCACCACCAUGAAAAUCAGUGGAGGAGAGAGAGAGGCAAUUUACGUUAAGCCUUUCGUAGGUUCCUGUAGAUGUAGAAAGAUGUGAAAUGCGUGAAUGUGUAGUGGAUGUACUAUUAGAGUGCCUAAGAUAAAUUGUGUAUGUAUAGACCCUAUGUGUUUAUUUACUUCGCAUGUUAGCUUUGUCUCGGUUCAAUAAAAAGCAGAGUUGGUGAUGAUGGUGUGCCUGUCAUCCUGCAAUAUAGGUCGUCCGAUCUAUAUCUAACGGAUAGGAAGGAAACUAUGACAAUUUACCCGCACUGCUCUCCACAUUUGCAGAUAAGGCCUUCCCUCGUUCAUCCUUUUCUCCCACGAGAUCUUGAUGUUCCAUGCAAUGCACGGGCAUCUUGCUAGUACUCCUACAAUAUACUAUAUUAUUGUGAAAGUUCGUAUACACCGACCGAGAUUAAUGCAAACGGGCAGAUUUUCAUUACAUAUCGAACUUUUAUAGGACAGAAAAAUAAAAUAAACCCGACCCUAAACCUAUUCUACGACGGAGACCGACGUCCUCCAUCUGCGAUCUCUAUGUACGGGGACGGGGUUCAAGACCCAUGAAGUGAAGGUGCGGUCUCCGACGAGGAAGAGUAGAACACGGGAUAUAGACCGGCCAGUUGGCACACCAUGCCCUACCGCCUCCCAUGCCCUACUCAUCCUCGGAGGAGUCCCCGACCUUGGCGAUGCCGGACGUUGGACGGCGGCAAGUAGGACGCGUGGCUGAUGGUGCUCCCGUCGUCGGCUACCAGUGUGGCCAUCGCUUGUGCGGUCGCGUCCGCGUCCAGCUACGCCGCUAUUGCGUCGUGAGAGGCGACUUGAGCGAGGGCGGUGACCUCGAGCUUCAUCCCCGAAGACGAGCUCUCCCAUAGAGUGUUCUCACUUUCGGUCAUGGCGGAUGUGAUGCCAGGUAGGAGGACGAUGCGCUAUGGUGUGGAGGUUAGCUAGGCGUUUCCGCUUUAAGUAGCGCAUUCUGGUGAGGCCAAGCGCCGGUGCGUUAGUAAGUCGCCGCAGUUGGUUCCUCGGGCACCGAGCCUCUUAACAACGGCAUACGGACGGACGGCAUGAAUGCGGGUAGCUGGCGCAGGCUGGGAACGCACCGCACGACAGCAUGAGGGAUGAGGGCUUUUGGUGUGCCAGGGUAGUCAGUUGCGGCCGUGGCAACGUUAGAGAUGCCCUUUGCUCACAUGCGAUCCCCGCAUGUCACUGAAAAAGCAAGACGACUCGGCAUGGUCUCAGGUCUUGAGGAUGCAGUUGGCCGCGCUACACCACUCCGCGGACGCGUCACGGCGCCCCGUGCAUCCUCGACGAGCCGGGUGUUGGGGGUGUGUUUGGAUUGUGGCCAAAGUGCACCUUACAAAAAAAUUCUUGCCAAUGUCGGCCAAAUCAUGGGCAACCAAAAUCUCAACCAAAAUUUCGGCUACCCAAUGCUCUGAUGGGGCAACCUUGGGCACAAACCAAACAUACUGUUGGUCGUGCCACGGCACUAACACCACCCUCGGCACAUGAAACCGACCGUUUCUAGUGAUGAUGAGCAUGUCGCUCACCACGGUUGUCGUGUCUAGAGGCGGUGCUAGAGCUGCGCCACAUUGUUGGCCCCCACGACCCACAUGAACGGUUGCCGGUGGUGAGGAGGUCUUGGGCCAGCUCCUCCAUUGGACUAGUCUGCGCUAUGUCGGCCCGACAAGUGUGCCCCACAUAUCGGUUUCCCUGUUUUCCCAGCCAUAUUCGAGCGUUAGUGCUCCACGUUGCGCAUUAGGCCUUUCACUAUGUAGGCCAAGCGAGACAACUUAUUAUUUAUUUGAGCCGUUCAAGUAUAAUCAUGUGGCGUUUGCUUAUUUCUCAUUCCUCUCCAACCCUCUUCUCCAUCGAUCAUGUCGCCCUCUGGUCGAGUCCAUCCUCUCGCAUGCCUCAUUUGAACAUUCCGCUGAAUAUCAUUCGCAUGUGGGCCCAGACCAUGCUUGUAUUUCCAAUGUUGUAAUUUGUCCGACAUGCAUACAAACAAACGGUUCGUUUAAAUUUUCACUUUGCCUCCACUAUGUGUCACUUCGUGUCUUAGUUUUGAAAUCCCAUUCGGUUCAUGCCCCGACACAUGUUGACGAGAUCGAUUGAUGUUGAGAAAUCAAUUGCGUGCCGUGCAAGGAGAUAAAGGUUUGGUCUGUUUCUAUGAUAGAAAUGACCCGCGGGGGCGGGGGGUCUGGGGGGAUCAGAGGGAGUAUAUUGUCCGUUCAUAAGCGAAACGAACGUAUUGUACCCACCCUAGUCCUCUUUGAAUCGUUCUCCGGACCCCGAGAUGAAAUCGAGAGAGAAUGAGUGGGGGCAUGUGUGAUACCUAAGGCGGAUUCAAAAUUUUGAACCGGUGAUCAUAGCAUCCGCAAAUCAUAUAUAAAGGGUAUUCAAUGUUCGUUUCAUUUUUGAACAUACAAUAUACUCCCUCCUAUCCUUUCUAGUUUACAUAUAAGUUUUAUGUGUAGUCAAAGUAUCUCUACUUUGAUCAAACUUACAGAAAAAAGUAUCAACAUUCAACAACGCCCAAUCAAUAUUGUUAGAUUCGUAUGUACUCCUAGAUUUGUACUCGAGAUAGUUUUCAAUUUGUUUUCAACCACGUGAAUGUGCUUGUUCUAGCGCAUGCUCUUCCUAAUAGGAUUUCACCACAUAUAGCCAGUCCAAUAGUAACUUUUUUUAAGCUCCAUGUCCAAUAGCACUAGUGGAGUACUGACAACAUAUGUACUAGAGUAUGCAGUGCUCAUAGUAGUACUCCCUCCUUCCAUUUAUAUAGGGCUAUGUCGAGGAGAGAGAUGUGAAAAAGUAACGGGAGUGAGCUUUCAUGCAAGAGCCUAGUUAUAUACGCAUUCCUAGUUAAAUACAAUAAAUAUGAAGAAAGAGAUAGAGAGGAGAUGGAAAAAAGUACUAAUACAAUAGCCAACCUUAUAAUUUUUUUGCGGGAAAUAGGCAACCUUAUAGCCCACACUACUAUAUGAGUGCAUAUAAUAGAUGAUGGCUAUAGAUGACAUGGCAGUUCCUUAUAGCCAUCGACUGGCUAUAUUAUUAACCAUGCUCUAAUGCGUUUUUCAAAACCGCAUUUGACUAUUGACAAGAUUAAUAGUACAUGAGAUGUAUAAUGUGAAAAUUAUAUCAUUGGAAGCUCCUUUCACAUACGAAUUUGACCGUAUGCUUUGUGUAAGUUGCAUGUCAUAUAUUAUUACUCUAACAUUUGGUCAAAAUUAGCCUCGAAAAACGCAUUAGGCCAUGUAUAGUAAAUGGAAGGAGGGAGUAGUAGUGGAAGUGGAUCCUCUGACGUAGGUAUCCCUGCCUUACCCUCCCUUUCGGUCACUUACUGGCGGAACCCAUGCUUGCUAGGCCCCGCAUGUCAGUUAUUCAAUGGGUUCGGCCAUGUCAGGGGAUCCUCAUCCGUAGUAUACUCCCUCUAUUUUUAUUUACUCCACAUAAAACAGAGGGGGUGGUAGUAUAAAUGACACGGGCGGGGGAGGGGGAGGGACGUCAGUUUGCUCUCAAUUGCGGUCCCGCAAACGAGAAAAAAAUGCAAGACGAAGUGUGUUCCAUUCGGUGCGACAUGGAGGGUCCAGCAUGCCGAGCUGCAAUGCGAACGCGACAAGAGCGAUGUACAGUCAAAACCGAUUGACCAGUCAUCACCGGAACCACUAUUCACACCAGAACCUUCGCUGCUCGGCCUACGCCAGCCACUGCCCUAAAACCACACCUAAUCUCCAUCCCAUCCCCCCACCUUUUGAUCCCCUAGCCCGCAUCAAGCGUCCCCUAGUUCGUCGGAAAGCCAUGGUGCGCCGCAAGAUCACGUACUACAAGAUGCUGACGCUGGAGCGCCACGCAGAAAUCGCGGCGACGGUCGGUGCCAUAGACCUCCGUUCCCAAGCUCGCUUUGCGGCGGGCCAAUCCCCGAGUUCUCUGGAGACAAGCUACAAGGAGGAGGAAGCUGAUCCAAUGUUCAUGGCGGAGGUCACGGCGCAGAAGGCCCCCGAUGGGUAUGAGACGACGGGCGUCGACUUCGUGCCGGCGUCCGAGUCCCCCAUGGUGCAGACGGACCAGCAGUUCAACCUGGCGAUACUAAAGGAGGACCGACAGGCAGAGGCUCAACUCGACAUGGAGCGCGCGGAUGCCGCUACCAUUGAGGCUCUCCAACAGGCGGAACCAAAUGUCAUGGAUGUGAACCGGGCGGCGGAGGCUCAACUUGAGGCGGAUCAUGCGGAUGCCGCUGCCAUCAAGGCCCUCCUGCAUGCGGAACCGGACGUCCUAGAUUUGAAUCGGGCGGCAAAGGGUCAACUCGACACGGAGCGUGUGGAUGCAUCUCUCAUCGAGGGCCUCCUACAGGUGAAACCGGACGUCCUGGACUUGAACCGGGUGGCGAAGGCUCGACUCGACACGGAGCGUGCGAAUGCCGCUGCCAUCAAGGCCCUCCUGCAGGCGGAACCGGACGUCCUGGACUUGAACCAGGCGGUGCUCUCAUCCGUGCAGAGCGCCCACACGCUCCGCGUGAAUGAGUAGCUGGAGGCCAAGGACAACCAUGAUGCAUAGACACACAUCGACAGCUACGGCUGGUUCGCGCCGGCAGCCAAAGACGACGAGGCCGUCUCGUUCCACGAGCAGUGAUAGUUUUUCUUUAUGUUGUUGUUUUUAUGGAUCUUUUGCUAUGUAAAAACAUAUAUUGUUAUGCAAGUCGCCUGACUUGGGUCAGUCUACCAUUUCAGGCGGUUGGAUGAAUAUCCUACGUCUCCUAACCCUUCUUCCUCACCUCUUCUUCUUCCCAAACAGACCACUGCACGGGCCAUACGGAUACCCCCCAACAUGCGGUUGGAUAAACAUACUCUAUGAACAAAAAUUAUGUGUCAGCGGUAGGAUGGCUGAGUUUGGUUUGUCCACAUGCGACAGCACGUGUCAGUGAGGGUGCGUUCCCUUGGUUGGGUUUGCGGCGUGCAGGAGCGACUAUGUGAGGGUGUGGUGCGGCCGCGGCGUGCAAGAGCGACCAUGUGAGGGUGCGGUGCGACCGUGACAGCCGUGCGCAAGUGUACCUCCUUUUCAUUUUGAAAACUUUAGGCAAGCUUGGCAAAAAUGUGUGGCGAAGUAUGGCAAUGCAAGGCCUAGACCGAAACAGGUCUAGUGUUAAAAAAGAAAGGUGGGGUUUUCCUUCGCGGGAUUAAUCGAUACAAAUCCUCGUUUGACGUGUGAAUUAAUGCAUAUUUUUUUCUCCAAAGCCCAAAGAGCUAACCAUAUCACUCCUCAUUGCUUGAUUAAUGCAGCGCCAUGCAAACCAACCUUCUCACUUCCGCAUGCAUGCAGGGUAUAUUAAUGUCCUUGGUUGAUAGUACGAGGCAAACCCCAUCAAUUUUGCCUCGAUUAGUGUUAGUGGCCUUUUGCAAAUUGUAAUUUUGAUAUACUGGCCUUGUGUACAAAAAAAUGGAGGUAGUAACUAUAUUUGACCUCCUUCCCCAUUGCGGUGACGUCGGUGAUAUCUCGAACGUUGUGGUUUGGCGAAGUGUGUUCGACGGAGAACACCAUUAAGGGAGACCACGGUAAGUCGUUCGCAAGUGCCGCCUGCAAGUGGAGACAACCGCCUUAUUUGCAUCUAGGAAGUCCGUUGAACCAAAGGACACGUAAAUGUACUAGUACUACUAGUACACAAUAGCGUCGUUCGUCCAGCUUAGUGCGGUGAGGUGGUUUCUCGAAGAAGACGAUGGAGAAGCGGAGUCAGCGAAGAGUGAAAUGAUGGUUGCUUCGUCCGUGCUUUGUGAUUUGACACCUCACUGCUUUGUGAUUUGUGAUAGAAGGGACAGGGGAGUGGACUCUGUGCUCUAUACUGUACAUGCGUCCAAGCACGGGAGAAAGAGGAGAGACGUUGCAUUUUUCUAUUCCUUCAAUCAAUCAAUCAAUCAAUCAGCAGCUUUGGUUCCAUCUUCUUGGCUUUGGCAGCACCUCCAUAAUGGUUCCCACGAUGCCAAAAGCUAUUUUCACAUUUGGCUACACAUUGUGGAUGCCCUUAACUGUACCACUUGGUUUUGCUCCUGUGUGCUAUCUAUACAAAUCUCAAUUAUAUUGAUCUAAAAAAUUAUAGAAUCAAGAUUAGUAAAAAGGAGGUGAUUUUGCCGCGCGGAUGGCGGGGGAGGUUUCUUAUUUUUAGAGGACAUUGUCCUGGCGGUUUGCUAACAUGCGGUCCCACGUGCCAGUGCUUUACCAAGCUGAUCCACGUCCCACAUGAGGCAGAACAACGGCAGAAGCAACACGUGGUUAACUUGAAGAAGAUGAGGGAUAAGCGGAUUCAGCAACGAGUGAAAUGAUGGUUGCUUCGUCCCUCCAACUUCUUUUUUUAGCAUUAUUACUUCGUCCCUCCAACUUAACUGCGGGAAAGGUGCAUCUUUGUGAUUUGACGCCUCAUUGCUCAUUACUACACCGGCACCAUGAGUGGGGUGCUUCACCCCGGCUGCUCUGCAUUGUAUUUCAGUAUGGCAUGUGGACCCGGUAGCUUGAUGUCCCACAUGUCGGCGAAAGGGACUAGAAGAUUUAUGAAAGCGAGCGCUCCACUCUUACGACGGAGGAGUACACGACACGACGGCCCAAUGAACUGUCAGUUGUACUGUAUAGUACUAUAGUUUUACUGUUUCGCACAAUCCAUCAAUACAAACCCGAUUAAACAGGAAAGGGCGGGAUUUUUCCCGCGUGGUAGAUGAUAAUGGACAUACAUUUCAAAGGCAAUUUUAGUGUAUGCAAACUGAAUAAUUAAGUAACUAUAUGAUAUCUAGUAAAACUAAAAACACAUAUGAUUUAUUGUGUUAGAGUGUAGUAGUAGUGUUGUAUUGCAUAGUUGUUAGAUGUAACAUGUGAGAACGUGUAGAGAUGUAGUUUUGGAGGGCCUACAGAGAGAAAAGCAAAUACGGUCACCGAACUUCAGAAUAAGCUGAUUACAGUCACUAUAUACGUUUUGCGGUGAUUAUACGGUCACUUGCUCAGGGUUGAGCAUCGGAUUGCACUCUGUUGACCGGCCAAAUAGUCUGCGUGGCACCAUAUUGACUAGUUAAAUUGACCAUGUUCCUUGUGGGUCCCACCUGUCGGUUCGCAUAGGGAAAAGGUGAGAUAAACACAAAUUUAUGCAGGCGCGACAAGACUCCAACCCGUGCGUGGGAAUCACCUAGUUGUGUAUGUGUCUGUCAGGGCCUGAUGUGUGCGCAUGCACGUGUAGGUUGAGCACUUGAACGUGAGAGUGUGUGUUGGUCGUGUUGUGUACUGGUGUGUGCAUGCAUGCAUGCAUGUGUGCGUGUGAGUGUUUCAUGCGUGCAUGGCUGCGUGUGUACGUGUGAGUGUUGUGUGCGUGUGUGGGUGCAUGUGUUCGUGUGAGUGUUGCGUGCAUGCAGUUCGUGUGCAUGCGUGCGUGUGUGUAUAAUCACCACACCAGCUUAUGUGUGUUAAAACAGACGGUCAACAUACCAAUACAAGGCCACCUUGUCCGUUGUGCCCACGGUCAUGACUUCGAACCACUGUCCAAUAUAUUUUUGUCGUUUGUUUUCAUUCUUACUAGCAAGAUGCCCGUGCGUUGCACAUAACAUCAAGAUGCAUUUGUAUGACUAGUUUAUCUUGUGAGAGAAAAGGAUGAACGAGGGAAGGCCUUAUUUGCAAAUGUGGAGAGGUGUGUGGGUACCUUUUUGCAAAAUUGCCAUAGUUUCCUUCCUAUGUCAGAUAUAAAUCGGAUAGCCUAUAUUGCAGGAUGGCAGGAACACCAUCAUCACCAACUCUGUUUUUUAUAAGAGUGUAUUUUAUAAGAGUGUAGAUGUAGAGUAGAUACAAGCUGAUCGGUGGGCCCAAUGGUAGUGAGAUAAUGUGAUACAACACUAGAGGUGCCACGUGGAGCGUUUAACUGGUCAACUAGUCGUGUCUUGAGCAAAUGCAGAGUUUUACGGUGAGCUCGUGACUGUAUAAUAACCAGAAAACAUAAAUGGUGACCGUAAUGAGUGGAUUCUGAAGUCCAAUGUACGUAUCGUGCUUUCGCUUCAAAUACAAUGAUCGUUACUGUAUAUAUCGUGAAAGAAAGAUGAAACAUGCGUGAAUGUGUUGGGGGCUUACUUUUAGAGGACCUGGAGAUAGUUUGUGUGUGUACUUGAAAGGGGCAUGGAGGGGGGUAUGCGAUGGAGAGAGAGAUGCUCUUCGUUUCUCUUUAUUAUGACUAACUUUAUAUAUAGUAUAAAAAUAUACAAAUUCAUAGUGCGGAAUAAAUAUCAUUGUGGGCACCAUGCAAUGGAAAUUAGCGUUCAUACUCCUCCAUAUAACUUUGUGAUGUUGUAUAUAUGUAGAAAUUCUAAAAUAAUUUUUUGGCCACACUUUAUUCAAAAGGAAUGUUGUAUGCGAAAUAAACGUGAAGAGAGGGCUUUUUAGAUCAAUGGGGUACGUGAUGUAACAUGUGUGAAUGUGUAGUUGAUGCAUUUGGCAGGGCCUAGAGAGGUAUGUGUGUGUAUUACAUAUUCGAGGGAGGCAUGGAUAGAGGGGCCGGCGGCGGGGAGGGGGUGGCGUGGGAGAGAUAGCACAAGAAAUGAGAGUGGUCUAGAGAGAGAGACGAAUAUGACGUCACUGCGAGAGAUUCCCUUUAGUGUGUAUAUGCAAGGGGGGAGGGGAUAGAGGCACCAGGAGAAUUUUUUUGUGUGGUGUCUGUGUUGGUAUGUGUGGGUGUGAGAAGAUAAUGAGACAUGGGGGCAGAGGGUGUGUCACCGCGUGAGGUCCGGUGGGUCGAGGUGAGGCCCUUUAUUCAGUUCCAUCCUGCGCCACAUUGGUCAGCCCGUGACGCAUUUAGGGAGACCCAUGGAUGACUAGUCGUACAAGACAAAGAUAGCAGAAUUGUGAAGGACUCUGUGUCCACUGACAAAGCCGGCUAGGAUUUGUAACCCUAGGUUCUCGGACUAAGGUAACCCCUUUAUCUAUGAUAUUACUAUUCAUCCAACCUAACUUUAAGGGGCAUCCUACAGAAUGCUCUGCUAGAAUCAUACUCGUCGAUUAGGAAGAGAGGUGUGAGACAAUGCAUGAGAGACAGGACUAAAGAUAAUGUGCGUACAGGAGACACAUAGGCAGGUCUAUGUAUAUAGAAAGGGUCGAUGGGGAUUGUGCGUGUGUAUGCUUGCGAGAGGAAGAGUGCUUGUGAUAAAGGUUAGUGAGAACAGUGGUAAAUGGUUAAGAGAGGGGGAGGGUUAUAUCGAGAGCAUGUCUGUGAGAAAGACACCUCGGGGGAGAGUGUGUGAGCAUGUGUGAGAGACCACCGAUGGAGAGUGAAACAACACAUAAAAGACUAAUGUACACAUUGAUUAAACAUAUAAAUUGUAUCCAAAUAUUAGGAUGGGAUCAUGAUAUUUGCAAUUCGCGUAAGGAACAGUCAUUGAUCCAUUAGACAUCUAGAUUCUAUCGAAUUUGAGCAUGUCUAUGUUAUUAUUCGACACAAUUGAUCCACAUAGUUAGUAUUUUGAACUCCAGACAAUGCAUCGCUUUAGCAAUCGAAUAUAAACGUGGGUAUAGUUCACGUUGUGUGUGUAAAGCACAUUAUACAUGCAAAAGUUACACAAUGAACAUUAUAAAUAGCUACCUAUGAACUAGCAUACAUUUGAAUUCAACUUAAGGUGGUUUAAAAAAAUCGAAUUCAACAUGAAGUCCAUUCAAUUAUUUGAAUUUGACAUCAUGGCAUUUGUAAAUCAUACCUAAAUUAUGGGGGCACCAAUCUUUGCUCUAAUUUUGUACGUAAUAGCAUAUGUAGUCGUCUACAAAAUAGAUUCAAAUUUAGCUCCUCUGUUCCAAAAUAAUCGUAGUUAUAGGAUUUUCAAGUGUCAAAAUUUCAAAAAGAAGCGGAUAAUUUAAUGAGGUUUUCAAACAUACGAGGUCAAAUUUAACAUUGUCUAUUUAGGUCAAUCCUCAAAGUUCAAGAGUACUCUGAACGUGAAUGCUUGUGUUUCAAAAUUUCGAACGAAGUGCCAAAAGAGCCUCUGCUCACCCGAAACCGUGUGAGACCAAUGUUUGGUAGUACAAAGAAAUUACUUUUCUAAUAACUCCGACCCGUGAAACCUACCGGUCCGACGUCCAAAGGUCUAAACCGGGCUAGGUUUGUAGCUUCAUCUAGACGCUACGCAACCGCCUCCGAAAAACAUUCAUACACAAUGGCCGCCUUAGCACACAUGCGCGCGGCCGAAAUCGCUCCCGCCCGCUAUUUGGGACACCUGGGAUUACCAUCCUACCCCCGGCCCGCAGUAGGUCUGAAAUUUAAGAGGGGGGCAAAGUUUGUACUUUCCCCAAAUUUCAAAGAAGCGUGUCCCAUCUUCUGUUCAAAAAAGCCAAAAACAAGCGCUUCCCAGACCGAAAGAUGGUUCUCCCUUAGCUCCCCCCUCCUUCACGCCCACCCGUCUGAUUCCCCAUUCAUACUCCGUGGGUGCAAAAACUACCUCUCCACCAGCCGCGAAACCCCGGCGUCCUCCGUCCGCCACCCCAUCCCACCCAUCAACCGCCACCCUCCUCCAUCACACCGAAGCCGAUACCCCAACAUCGUCGUCCACCGCAACCUCAACCACAACGCCCUCCAUGGCUAGUAGUUGAAGCCGAGGCCGAGCUGUCCGUACCCGAGCCAGUUCAACCACGUCGUCCUGCGCCUCACCGCUGCCGCUACAACUUCACCACCGUCCACCGCACCGGAGCUAUUCCUGCUAUGCCAUCCUUCGCCGCCUCGGAUCUGCUUCCCCUCCACCGAUAUACGGCCAUGGCAACACAGUCAACAAUUUGGCCAUGGGUUUGUCCAAGGAUCCACCGUUCUCCAAAACAUCGGUUCACCCGGGAGAAAAAAGAAGAUCGCCACGACAUAUGGAGGAGACCACACUAGCAACCGAUAAGGGUACUCCUAUUCCCCUAUUCUUGCAAAUCUUACGUGUCUGCUUGCACGGUAUUCAUCCCACAGAAGACACUAGUUGACCGCUUCUUCUUGAUACUAGAUGUUCCUAGUAACUCGCAAUGCACAAGGUUUCUCCUCAUAUACUAUUUCACCUUAGCUAGAGGUCUGUCGCCCCCCUAAAUUUCAAUUCCUGGUUAGUUGAUCCCCAAUUAACGGAAGCAUUCCCCGGCGUAACAGGCGCUAGUCCGCCUAUUACGCCGGGGAAGCAGCGCCUCAGUGUUUAUCUUAGGGGCGUGUGGGGCCUAGAGCUAUUGGCGCCCGAUCUGGAGGUCGGCCGGGAUUAAAGGGAUGGCCUGGGGACGCUGCCAAGCACGGCGGUGGUGUGAGGUCGAGGGGAGGGUGGGGCGGUGGAGGCAGGGGUCUGGGCCGGUGGUCGCUGGCGGUUCAAGAAAGAUCGUCAACAGUGACUGGCGGGGGUAGACGAAGGCCAUCUGCCCAUUCCUUAUAGAUCGGACGGUUCAUUAAAAAAUCGACUGACCUAUUUAUUUUCAGUCGACUGUUAUCUUGAUAUGACCACAUGUGGUGGUGUGCUGGAGGAGUACCUACUUUUCCCGUGCUCAUAUAUUACAAAAUCAUACGGAGUAAAAUCUAAUUUUGUUUGCCAUGCAAUGUUGUAGAGCUAUCAUAUGUCUCCUGUCAUUUAUUUUUUAGCCACCUGCUAGCGACCAGACCUCAAACAGUCUGAUCUCUAUGCAUCAGUGUCAUCCCUGGAUCGGUAAUGCUGACACGCACAGUACUUGAAGGAUUUAUAACAGAGUAGCAAUCACACACUUAUUACAUCGAAUGUCUCAAAAGAGAACUUAUUACAAUAAAUAUGGCUUAAGGCCAUCUAAGAAAGAUAACAGCGGAAGGCUUGGAAGAUAAAGCGAGUCCAUCAACUCCAACGGCAUCACUGAGUAUAAGACCACGACCUAAGGCACCUUACUCAUCGUCUGAAAAGUCUGCAACAUGAACGUUGCAGCCCGAAAAUAGGUCAGCACAUGGAAUAUGCUGGCAAUGUAACACAUAGAGAGUAAUGAACAGAAUAAUGCUAUCACUACAUGCAUAUAUGGCUAGUGGAAAGCUCUAUGGUUAGAGUUUUGCAUAAAGACAAUUUUUUCCUACAACAAAGGAAUAAAUUUUAUUUAACUAUCAUGGUGGUUGUUAAACAUUGAGAAGGUUCACCCAACUCAAUCCCAAUUAAGCAUCAUCAUUAAACCCAACAAAUUAAAUUAAGUAACAUGAUGAGAUUCACAUGAUAAUCUAAGUACUAGAUACUCAAAACGCCCAUAACCGGGGACACGGCUAACCAUGAUUAGUUUAUACACUCUGCAGAUGUUUGCGCACUUUUCCCCACAAGACUCGAUCUCCUCCGUUGGUUUUCUCGCACUACAUGGUGUUUGAGAAUCGGAUAACCGAGACAUAGUCUUUCAGAAGCGUUUGCACCUUACGAUGGGUAGACACUUACACCUACUUUCCCCUACAUCUGCUAGUCUACCACUGUAAGAGUUCACAUGACUUAAUCAACUAUGCUAGACUCCAUAGUAGCUUGCGGCUGCACACGGAAGUUUCUAGCAUGAAUAAUCUCAUGAUCCCUUUGAGCCUGGGUGGCAGUCCAUAGGAGAAUCACACGGUACCCCAGGAUUUCCAAAAAUACAAGCAACAUUGGGUUCCCCAGGUGCCUCAAUCCACCCAGAUGUGUAUUAAAGUUGCCACCUUAUGUAAACCAUUAAUUAACAAUCUCACAUCUGUCAUGGAUACACUCACCCAAUCCACGUCUACUAGCAUAACAUAGCAAUAUAAGCAAACGUAGAAGUAACUCCCAAAGGUUUGAUAAUAAACAGGUAAUAGCUUCUACCUCAUCUACUUCCCAAAACCCACAUAUUAAAAUUAGAUCCUAAUCAUGCAAUUGUUUGAGGACUGACCUAAUGCAAUAAAACUGGGUAGUAAAGAGGUAUGAUCAAAGUGUUACUUGCCUUGCUGAGGAUCCGUGAAACCUAGAGACUCGUAGUAGCAAGCGGCGCACUCCGGUUACUCUAUCGCAAACAAACAAGCAUACAAUAAGCACUCAUAUAAUGCACAGGUAAAACUCAAAUAAGAGACCUAACCAGAAAGUUCAUCUUAAGAACUCCGGUUUGCAAAAAGAAUCAAAUCAAACGAAGCAACGGAAGUCAAACGGUGAAAGAAACAAGCUUCGUUUACUAAUCUGGACCUAAGUCAAAUUUUACAGUAGUAAAACUUGUUUGAGUUGGUUAAACAGAAAGAGGGUUUCGAGACGAAACUCCAGGCGCUUGAAUCACCUAAUUCUGAUAAACGAGCGAAAAGUUAUACUAAAACAAAAAUUGGAUCAGAAAUCACGAUCAAAAAUAAUCGCGGAAAAUCUGAGAAAAAGAAAAACAGACGAACAGGCUAACGAGCGAAUGUUCACUGUCUGUGGCUAAACGACGAAAACCGUUCGUUAAAACGAACGUACGGACGAAUGUCCGCAAAAUAAAUAAACCGAGAAAAAACUAAACCGAUCUAUUAAAAAAAUAAACCGCGGUUUCCUAAAAAAUCGGUUUUCCGAAGAAAACCGGCCGCGGCGUGGGUGGCUACCUCCGGGGGCGGCGCGGUCCGGCGAGGGGCGGCGGGGCUCCGACAGGUGGCGGCGNNNNNNNNNNNNNNNNNNNNNNNNNNNNNNNNNNNNNNNNNNNNNNNNNNNNNNNNNNNNNNNNNNNNNNNNNNNNNNNNNNNNNNNNNNNNNNNNNNNNNNNNNNNNNNNNNNNNNNNNNNNNNNNNNNNNNNNNNNNNNNNNNNNNNNNNNNNNNNNNNNNNNNNNNNNNNNNNNNNNNNNNNNNNNNNNNNNNNNNNNNNNNNNNNNNNNNNNNNNNNNNNNNNNNNNNNNNNNNNNNNNNNNNNNNNNNNNNNNNNNNNNNNNNNNNNNNNNNNNNNNNNNNNNNNNNNNNNNNNNNNNNNNNNNNNNNNNNNNNNNNNNNNNNNNNNNNNNNNNNNNNNNNNNNNNNNNNNNNNNNNNNNNNNNNNNNNNNNNNNNNNNNNNNNNNNNNNNNNGCGAACAGCGGCGGCGACGCGGGGCAAACAGCGGCGGCGACGCGGGGCGAACAGCGGCGGCGCGCGCGGCAGUGGCGGUGGUGGCUGCGGGCUAGGGUUAGGGUUGGCGGCGGGGUGGGCUGAGGUGGGCUGGCGGGGUCGGCGCCUUAUAAAGGCCGAGCGGAGAGGAGUCCGGGUCGCCCACGGCGGCCCGAGUCGGUUCAUUUUUUUAAAAUAAUUCGGACGUGCAGAAAAAGAAAGAAAAGAAAUACUAAACGAACUCCAAAAAUCCCGAAAUAAAUUUUCCCCGUCCUCUAAAAAUAAGCCGGACAAGAUGAACAUUUAUUUGGGUCUAAAAUGCAACUUUGAAAAACACGCAUUUUUCCUAAAUUCAAAUAAAAUAGCGAUAAAACUCCGAAAUAAAAUCUUAUUUGAUUUUAUUAUUAAAUCUCCAAUAUUUCUUUAUUUUAGGAAAGUCAUUUUAUCCCCUCCCUCUCAUUUUGAUUAUAGAAAUAUUCGAAGAUAAAAUAAUUAAAAUCAAAUGAUCCUAUUUUCAAAAUUUGAGAAAAACUCAAAUAUGAAAAUAACGAAAUUCCCAACUCUCUCCGUGGGUCCUCGAGUUGCGUAGAAUUUCUAGGAUCAAGCCAAAAUGCAAUAAAAUAUGAUAUGCAAUGAUGAUCUAUUGUAUAACAUUCCAAAUUGAAAAUUUGGGAUGUUACAAACCUACCCCCCUUAAGAUGAAUCUCGCCCUCGAGAUUCGGUUUGGCUAGAAAAUAGGUGAGGGUGGUCCUUCAAUAGAUCUUCCUCUCACUCCGAGGUGGCUUCAUCUUCGGUAUGGUUGCUCCAUUGAACUUUGCAAAACUUGAUAACCUUGCUGUGUGUGACUCGACUAGGAAACUCGAGAAUCUUCACUGGUUUCUCCUCAUAGGUCAAAUCGUUGUCCAACUGAAUCGCUUCCAGUGGCACCAUAUCUCUCAGCGGUAUAUCAGCCAUCUCGGCGUGGCACUUCUUUCAACUGGAAAACGUGGAACACAUCAUGAACUCCUGACAAUCCUUCGGGCAACUCCAGCUUGUAAGCAACUUCUCCCAUACGCUCCAAAACUUUGUAUGGUCCCACAAAACGUGGCACUAACUUUCCCUUAACUCCAAAACACUUAACUCCUAGAAGUGGGGACACACGAAGAUAAACUCUGCCUUCAACUUUGUAAACUGCCUCCUUGCUUUUAGAAUCUGCAUAGCUCUUCUGCUUGGACUGGGCUACCUUGAGCCUAUCACGAAUCAACUUAACCUUCUCUUCAGAAUCUUUAAUCAAAUCUGGUCCAAACAACUGGCGGUCUCCAACUUCAUCCCACAACAACGGUGUCCUGCACCUCCUUCCGUACAGAGCUUCAAAAGGGGCCAUCUUCAAACUGGAUUGAUAAUUGUUGUUGUAAGAGAACUCUGCAUAUGGCAAAUUGUCGUCCCAACUAGAUCCAUAAUCUAGCGCACAAGCUCUCAGCCUGUCCUCUAGAAUCUGAUUGACUCUCUCGGUCUGUCCAUCUAUCUGUGAAUGAAAGGCUGUACUGAACUCUAGCCUAGAACCCAAAGUUUUGUGCAACUGAUUCCAGAACUUUGAGGUAAACUGGGUUCCACUAUCUGAUACAUUGGUCCUCGGAACUCCAUGCAGACAUACAAUCCUGGUCAUGUAUAUCUUUGCCAACUUAGCACUGGUGUAAGUGGUCUUCACUGGGAUGAAAUGAGCUACCUUCGUCAAACGGUCGACUACAACCCAUAUUGAGUCAUAGCCUGCACGAGUCCUGGGCAAUCCCAUGAUAAAAUCCAUGCCUAGCUUAUCCCACUUCCAUUCGGGUAUCGGCAAUGGCUGUAGCAAUCCUGCUGGCUUCUGAUGCUCUGCCUUCACUCUCUGACAUACAUCACAAACUGCUACAUACUCUACAAUAUCCUUCUUCAUUCCGGUCCACCAGAAAGUGUCCUUCAAAUCCAAAUACAUCUUGGUAUUUCCUGGGUGAACCGAAUAAGGCGAAUCAUGGGCCUCUUGCAGAAUCAACUUCCUGAUCUCCGGGUCAUUAGGCACAUAAACGCGGUCCUCAAACCAUAGGGUAUCGUGCUCAUCCUCGCGAAAUCCCUUAGCUUUUCCUUUGCUCAUUUUCUCCUUUAUCUCACAAUCUCUUUGUCUGCCUUCUGAGAUUCUCUAAUCUUAUCCAUCAAAGUAGACUGAAUUUCCAAUGCUGCUACAUAGCCUCUCGGAACUAUUUCCAAACAUAGCUCACGAAGAUCCUCGGCUAACUCCUUGGGUAAUUCUCCGGUCAUGAGUGUGUUGACAUGGCUCUUGCGGCUCAAUGCAUCGGCUACUACGUUAGCCUUUCCGGGGUGAUAAUGCAAUCUCAUAUCAUAAUCCUUAAUGAGCUGUAACCAUCUCGUUUGCCCGAGAUUUAAUGUACUUCAAACUCUUGUGAUCCAUGUACACCUCACAAUGGUUUCCGAUGAGAAAAUGUCUCCAUGUCUUCAACACAUCCACUACGGCUGCUACCUCCAAAUCAUGUGUAGCAUAAUUCAACUCAUGGGUCUUAAGCUGUUGUGAGGCAUACGAAACAACUGUUCCCUCCUGCAUAAGCACUGCUCCAAGUCCUCGGUGAGAAGUGUCGCAAUACACCUCAUAAUCCUUGGGCUGAUCUGGCAGAAUCAACACCGGUGAUGUAACCAAACGUUUCUUCAACUCCUGGAAACUGGCCUCACGUUCCUCAGUCCAUUUUAACUUGGUGUCCUUCUUCAACAACUUUGUCAUGGGCUUCGCAAUCUUUGAGAAAUUCUCAAUGAACCUCUGGUAGUAUCCUGCAAGUCCAAGGAAACUCCGGAUCUCUCCAAAUUUUGUGGGGGCUUCCCAAUUUGUCACAGGGACAACUUUGGUGGGGUCUACUGCUAUUCCUUCUCCGGAUAUAACAUGUCCGAGGAAUCCAACUUCCUUCAGCCAAAACUCACACUUGCUGAACUUGGCAUAUAACUGAUGUUCUCUGAGCUUCCCAAGUACAAGACGCAAAUGCUCUUUAUGCUCCUCUUCACUCUUCGAGUGGACCAAAAUAUCAUCAAUGAACACCACGACGAACUUAUUUAGAAACUCCAUAAACACCUUGUUCAUCAUGUUCAUGAAAUAGGCAGGUGCGUUAGUCAGACCAAAUGACAUAACGGUAUACUCAUAUAGCCCAUACCUGGUGGUAAAAGCUGUCUUAGGUAUAUCCUGCUCUCGAAUCUUCAACUGGUGGUAUCCUGAUCGCAGAUCGAUCUUGGAAAAUACCUUAGCUCCUUGCAACUGGUCAAAUAGAUCAUUGAUCAUCGGCAGUGGGUACUUGUUCUUGAUUGUCAUUUUGUUCAAUCCUCGAUAAUCGACAACCAUCCUCAAUGAUCCAUCCUUCUUCUCCACUACAAGCACUGGCGAUCCCCAAGGUGACGAACUUGGGCGAAUAUAGCCUUUAUCCAGUAACUCCUUAAUCUGUUUCUUAAUUUCCUCCAAAUCCUUUGUGGGCAUCCUGUACGGUCUCUUAGAUAUCGGCCAUGUGCCUGGCAAAAGCUCAAUCAAAAACUCAAUGUCUCUGUCCGGUGGCAUGCCAGGCAGCUCUUCUGGAAAUACAUCAGGGAAAUCCUUCACCACUGGUACUUCCUCCUGUACCACUCCUGAUAAGGAAUUUACUUGAGUCCUCUUCGGCACAUGCCGGGAUACAUACUUGAUUCUUCUUCCUUCUGGGGUGGUAAGCAAAAUCGACUUACUGGCGCAAUCGAUGUUUCCUCCAUACAUUGAUAGCCAAUCCAUACCCAGAAUCACAUCCAAACCUUGCGACUCCAAAAUGAUUAAAUCCAAGGGGAAAACAUGCCUACCUAUGGUCAAUGGCACUUGAAAACAUCCUUGACUGGCCAUAUACUCCGCUCCUGGUGAGCAUACUAACAUAGGUGUUCUAAGAACCUUGGUGGGCAGUUUAUACUUAUCCACAAAUCCCCUUGAUAUGUAUGGAUGCGAUGCACCAGUAUCAGAAAGAACGAUUGUAGUAAAUGACUUAACCAAAAACUUACCUAUUACUACAUCUGGCUGAGCUUCAACCUCCUCCACGUUAACAUGGUUCACCUGUCCCCUGUUGAAAGGGUUCGGCUUUUUCCCAGAGCUUCCAUUGUCGUUUCCAUUCUUAGCUUCAGGACAUUCGUUGGCAUAAUGUCCAGUCUUCUAGCACUUGUAGCAAGUGACGUGGCUCAGGUCCUUCUUGGCUGGGGUUGAUGGGUUGGUACGGUUCUGGCUUCCCAUUACCAUUCUUGGGGCCACUAUGGUUGUGUGAGCUCCCUCCUCCAUGGGUAUGCUGAAAAGGUCUUCCCAAGUUCGGGGUAAAACGAGGCUUCUGCUGAGCUCUAGAAUUGUACUUCCCUUGUCCAUACGUCCUCUUGCAGUUGUCAAUCUGCUGGUGCUUCCCUUCAAUCAUGAGAGCUCUAUCUACCAACUCCUAGUAGUUGUUGAAUGUUGCCACCAUCAACUGCAUGCUCAGCUCAUCAUUCAGUCCUUCCAGAAACUUCUCCUGCUUAGUUGCAUCUGUAGCAACGUUAUCUGGGGCAUAACGUGCUAGCUUACUAAAGUCAUCCACAUACUGGCCAAUUGUAUGUCCUCCUUAGCACAAGUUGCGAAACUCACGCUUCUUCAUGGCCAUAGCUCCUGCUGAAACAUGAGAAGUACAGAAAGCCUGCUGAAACUGGUCCCACGUGACAGUGUCGAUGGGGUAAGUGGCUGUGAAAUUUUCCAACCAUGAUGUUGCGGGUCCAUCAAGCUGAUGUGCGGCAAAACGCACCUUCUCCGCAUCUGUGCAUCCUGCAGUGCUCAACUCCCUUCCCAUCUUGCGGAGCCAAUCAUCUGCAACUAUCGGCUCAGUGCUACUGGAGAACACCAGCGGAUUCAGCCUCAAGAAACGGGCUAAGUGAUCAACACGUGGUGUUGGUGGUGGGUUGUUGUUGUUGUUCCCCUGAUUCUGAUUCUGGACUAGCAUCUGCAUCAAUGCAUUCUGCUGCUAGAUCAACUGAGUGAGCUCCGAUGGGAAAGCAAAUCCAUUGUCACGUCUCGGAGGCAUCUGAGGGUUUAGAAAAGAUGAGAAUAUAGAAUAGAAUGAGGUCUAUAGAGAAAAACACUACCCAUUAUGCACAUGAGACAAAUGCAAUCAAUAUCACUUCAAUCAAUUCAAACAAGGGCAUACAACGGUCUAACUAUCAUUACAAAAGUGAUUGGACUAUACUAUAUACAUGUGGGAAUAUUACUACUGUUAUGGUGGUCGACUAGAAGAAUUGAUUGGUCGAAGACUCCAUGAUAUCUGCUCCAGCUUCAUCAACAAAGUCAUCAUCGCUAUCGUCUGGGACCGAGUCGGUGUCGUCGAUGAUGAUAUAGUUCUCCAAGCAAGUGCAAUCAUCGUCUUCUCCUCCAGUCGCGGGGAAUCCCAUGAAUACUUUUAGCUUCUUCUUUAGAGCAUCAUUCUUCUCAACGAGUGUCGUCAUUUCCUCCUCAUAUCCAUCGCGUGUAGACUUGAGUUCUUCCUCUAGUUCCGUGAUCUUGGUCAUAGCCUUCUUCAGAUCUAUCAUGCCUGCGCACAUCUGGUUCUCCUGGCGACGAAUGUGCUGGUUUAACUCCUGGAUGAAAGCUGCAAUCGAUCUAUCCUUCCUUGUGCUGAUCAUCUCCCAUUGCUCAUCUCGGUGUCCACAAAUCUGGUAAAUGGUAUCCUUGAGAUCCUUAUGGUAAACUUCUCCAAUGCGUCCCAUGGUGAUGUGGGCUGCCAUGCUCUUUCCUAGACUCCAGGUUGGUGCAUCAAAGGAAAACUCUAUGGGCUAAGUGACUGGCAUGAACGUCCUUCCUGGAACUUGAACUUGAAUCAUCCAACGAUACUCUUCUGGUAAAGUGGCGAUGUAGGUUCCGGUGAAGCUUGGUACUCCGAUGUUCAGGUAUCUAGUGACUUCCUUCAACUGGCAUCCAAAGGGUGUAUCUUCAUCCGGUUGCCUGAACUUGUUCCUUGCAUCCGCCAUCCUAAAAGAGUAGAAAAAGGAGAGGAGUCAGAAAUGAGAAGAGAGUAGUGAUCUAGGGCUUUAGCUUAGUGGUCGUGUCCUACAGACACUAUGUGCUCUGAUACCAUCUUGUAGCGACCAGACCUCAAACAGUUUGAUCUCUGUGCAUCAGUGUCAUCCCUGGAUCAGUAAUGCUGACACGCACAGUACUUGAAGGAUUUAUAACAGAGUAGCAAUCACACACUUAUUACAUCGAAUGUCUCAAAAGAGAACUAAUUACAAUAAAUAUGUCUUAAGGCCAUCUAAGAAAGAUAACAGCGGAAGGCUUGGAAGAUAAAGCGAGUCCAUUUACUCCAACGGCAUCACUGUGUAUAAGACCACGACCUAAGGCACCUUACUCGUCAUCUGAAAAGUCUGCAACAUGAACGUUGCAGCCCAAAAAUGGGUUAGCACAUGGAAUAUGCUGGCAAUGUAACACAUAGAGAGUAAUGAACAGAAUAUUGCUAUCACUACAUGCAUAUAUGGCUGGUGGAAAGCUCUAUGGUUACAGUUUUGCAUAAAGCCAUUUUUUCCUACAACAAAUGAAUAAAUAUUAUUUAACUAUAAUGGUGGUUGUUAAACAUUGAGAAGGUUCACCCAACUCAAUCCCAAUUAAGCAUCAUCAUUAAACCCAACAAAUUAAAUUAAGUAACAUGAUGAGAUUCACAUGAUAAUCCAAGUACUAGAUACUCAAAACGUCCAUAACCGGGGACACGGCUAACCAUGAUUAGUUUAUACACUCUGCAGAGGUUUGCGCACUUUUCCCCACAAGACUUGAUCUCCUCCGUUGGUUUUCUCGCACUACAUGGUGUUUGACAAACGGAUGACCGAGACAUAGUCUUUGAGAAGCGUUUGCACCUUACGAUGGGUAGACAGUUACACCUACUUUUCCCUACAUCUGCUAGUGUACCACUGUAAGAGUUCACACGACUUAAUCAACCAUGCUAGAGCCUAGUAGCUUUCGGCUGCACACAGAAGUUUCUAGCAUGAAUAAUCUCAUGAUCCCUUUGAGCCUGGGUGGCAGUCCACAGGAGAAUCACACGGUACCCCGGGAUUUCCAAAAAUACAGGCAACACUGGGUUCCCCAGGUGCCUCAAUCCACCCAGAUGUGUAUUAAAGUUGCCACCUUAUGUAAACCAUUAAUUAACAAUCUCACAUAUGUCAUGGAUACACUCACCCAAUCCACGUCUACUAGCAUAGCAUAGCAAUAUAAGCAAACAUAGAAGUAACUCCCAAAGGUUUGAUAAUAAACAGGUAAUAGGUUCUACCUCAUCUACUUCCCAAAACCCACAUAUUAAAAUCAGAUCCUAAUCAUGCAAUUGUUCGAGGACUAAUCUAAUGCAAUAAAACUGGGUAGUAAAGAGGUAUGAUCAAAGUGUUACUUGCCUUGCUAAUGAUCCGUGAAACCUAGAGACUCGUAGUAGCAAGCGGCACACUCCGGGUACUCUAUCACAAACAAACAAGCAUAAAAUAAGCACUCAUCUAAUGCACAGGUAAAACUCAAAUAAGAUAUCUAACCAGAAAGUUCAACUUAAGAACUCCGGUUUGCAAAAAGAAUCAAAUCAAACGAAGUAACGAAAGUCAAACGGCGAAAGAAACAGGCUUCGUUUACUAAUCUGGACCUAAGUCAAAUUUUACAGUAGCAAAACGUGUUUGAGUUGGUUAAACAGAAAAAGGGUUUCGAGACGAUACUCCAGGCACUUGAAUCGCCUGAUUCCGAUAAACGAGCGAAAGGUUAUACUAAAACGAAAAUCGGAUCAGAAAUCACGAUCGAAAAUAAUCGCAGAAAAUUCAAGAAAAAGAAAAAUGGACGAACAGGCUAACGAACGAACGUUUGCUGUCUGCGGCUAAACAAUGAAAACCGUUCGUUGAAACGACCAUACGGACGAACGUCCGCAAAAUAAAUAAUCCGGGAAAAACACUAAACUGAUCUAUUAAAAAAACCGCGGUUUCCUGAAAAAACCAACGGUUUUCCGAAGAAAACUGGCGGCGGUGCGGGUGGCUACCUCCAGCGGCGGCGGGGUCCGGCGAGGGGCGGCGGGGCUCCGGUGGGUGGCGGCGGUCAGNNNNNNNNNNNNNNNNNNNNNNNNNNNNNNNNNNNNNNNNNNNNNNNNNNNNNNNNNNNNNNNNNNNNNNNNNNNNNNNNNNNNNNNNNNNNNNNNNNNNNNNNNNNNNNNNNNNNNNNNNNNNNNNNNNNNNNNNNNNNNNNNNNNNNNNNNNNNNNNNNNNNNNNNNNNNNNNNNNNNNNNNNNNNNNNNNNNUCGGCGCCUUAUAAAGGCCGAGCAGAGAGGAGUCCUUGUCGCCCACGGCGGCCCAAGUUGGUUCGUUUUUUUUAAAUAAUUCGGGCGUGCAGAAAAAGAAAGAAAAGAAAUACUAAACAGACUCCAAAAAUCCCGAAAUAAAUUUUCCCUCUCCUCUAAAAAUAAGUCAGACAAGAUGAACAUUUAUUUGGGCCUAAAAUGCAAUUUUAAAAAACGUGCAUUUUUCCUAAAUUCAAAUAAAAUAGCAAUAAAACUCCGAAAUAAAAUCUUAUUUGAUUUUAUUAUUAAAUCUCCAAUAUUUCUUUAUUUUGGGAAAGUCAUUUUAUUCCCUCUCUCUCUUUUUGAUUAUAGAAAUAUUCGAAGAUAAAAUAAUUAAAAUGAAAUGAACCUAUUUUCAAAAUUUGAGAACAACUCAAAUAUGAAAAUAACGAAAUUCCCAACUCUCUCCGUGGGUCUCGAGUUGCAUAGAAUUUCUAGGAUCAAGCCAAAAUGCAAUAAAAUAUGAUAUGCAAUGAUGAUCUAUUUUAUAGCAUUCCAAAUUGAAAAUUUGGGAUGUUACACUGCUACUUUUACAGUGCACUAGUUCUGCGCACACUUCACCCAUACUCUCACUAUUGUGUUUUUAUGCAAGGGUAUUUCAGAGUCUGCCUCGAGAGAAGCAGAAAAGAAAAGAGAGAAGUUGCUCCAGCUUUGUAUGAGGGUAGGCACGGCAUGUUACAGCGCUAUAAAGGGUGUCGUGUCAGCAGAUGGAGACGGUAAACAUAACUCUGGAGUUGAUGACCUCGCUCGCAAUGAACCACCAUCCCUGGUGCUUGCUUUAACUUCGCGGUGUCAUAUGUGGUUGCAUGUUCCAUAUGGUGUCUAGAUUGUAUUCGAAAGGCCGAAGUCGGUCUUUAUUAAGAUAAGGAAAUAUAUUUUUUACAUGAACCACCAUCUCGUGAGCACAAGAAGACAAAUAGCUAGUCAGGGCACAGGCCGAGCCGGUGACAAGCCCAGCAAAGAUAGGCAUCACCUGGAAGCCAACUAAAAAGCCACGAUGGUGGCGAAGCAGCCCGCCUCCCACCAGGCUCUCAGGUCCAAGAUGAUCAUGCUCACCACUCCAGCCGGAUGUCUAGCUUGUAUUGCUUCCAAUUUGGUUAAAUUGCAUCUGCUUAGCUUACACAUUAUACCUUUGAAUAUGACAUGCCUUUCUGUUUUUGGUACAUACUAGUACAUUUGUCUAUUAACCAUGUUCUUACAUCAAACUAAUGUUCUUGUGUAUCCCUCAUCAAUCACUUAUGAUGAGGCAGUCAGGUAAGUGGACUACUCCUCAUUUAAAAAAUGCAGCAUCAGCCUCCCAACAUGAUUCUCAAGAAACAACAAGGAUAGAUGAAGAUAGUGAAUGUAGCUCUGUAGUUGAUUACCGCAUUUCCCCUACACUAGCAUCGCAGGUGCUUGCUCUAACUUGGCAGCGUGAUAUGUGGUUGCAUGUUGCAUAUGGUGUCUAGAUUGUAAUUCUUCCAAUCUAGUUAAACUGCAUGUGCUAUUCUGCUUAGCUUAUACAUUAUACCUAUUAAUGUGACAUGCCUUCCUGUAUUUAGUACAUAGUACAUCUGUCUAUUAAGCAUGUCCUUACAUAAAACUAUUUUUUUUGUAUCCCGCAUCAAUAUGAUGAGACACCUUUGGUAUAUGCAGUGCGAUAUUAGUUGCAUCUUUCAUAUGAUUUAUAGCAUGCGCUGCUUCUAAUUUGUUGAAAUUCCAUUUAUGGUGGGACGCUUUUAACUUGGCAGAGUCAUAUUUGUUGCAUAUUUCAUGUGGUGUCUAGCUUGCAUUGCUUCUUAUUUGUUGGAAUGGUUUUUGCUUAGUUUACACAAACAAUUGUGAACAUGCAUGCCAUGACGUCCUAUUUUUUGUACAUAUUCCAUCAUGGUAUCAUGUGUUUGCCUUACAUCAAAGUAGUGAUUGUCAGUAUCAUGCAUGAAUGAGUUCUGAAGAGAGAAUUUUAUUGCUUUUUCUUGUUGUUUUACUUGACAAUUCAAAAUCAAUAAAGCGGAAGGAAGUUAGCAAGGCAGUGGAUAAAGGUGCUCCUUCCAAACGGAGGGCCUCUACAGUUUCUACUCCUCCACCCCCCAAGAUGAUUUCCACGACAACACAUGCAUAGACACUCAACGUAGUUGUGUUUAUGAUGAGCACGUCUCCCCUAGUGCACCAUCACUGGUGCUCCCUCUAACUUGGCACUGUUAUAUGUAGUUGCAUGUUAUGUGUGAUGUCUAGCUUGUAUUGCUUCUAAUUUUGUUGAAUUCCAUCUGCUUACUUUACACAUUAUACUUGAAUAAGACAUGUUUUCAUGUUUCUAGAACAUACAAUAUCUGUCUAUCACACCAUGUUCUUGCAUCAAAUUACUACUGUUGUGUAACCUGCAACAAUCACUUAUCAUAUGACAUGUUUGACUUGGGAGUGUGAUAUAGAUUACAUCUCGCAUUCUUUUCUAGCUUGUACUACUAAUUUGUUAAAAUGACACUUAUGAUGAGACAGUUUUAACUUGGUAGGUGAUAUUUGUUGCAUCUUUCAUAUGGUGUCUAGCUUUCAUUGCUUCUAAUUUGUUGAAAUGCCUUCUCCUUAGUUUACACAUCAUAAGGUGUGAAUAUGCAAUGUUGUGAAUAUGCAAUGGCACUAAUGACGAGAGACCUCUAACUUGGUAGUGUGAUGUUGUUUGCAUCUUGCAUAUGAUUUAUUUCUUGUACUGCUUCACAUUUGUUUAAACGCCAUUUAUGAUGAGACACUGUUAACAUGGCAGAGCGAUAUUUGUAGCAUCUUUCAUAUGGUGUCUACCUUCUAUUGCAUUACUUCUAAUUUAGUGAAAUGUCUUCUACUUAGUUUACACAUCAUACUUCUGGUUAUCUCUUCCGUCCUGUUUUUCGUAAAUAUUACAUCCUCCUAUCAUGUAGUUGUCUAACAUCAAAGUUCAGUUCGUUUGUACCAGGCAUCAAUUAGUUCUGAAGAACUAAAUUGUUAUUCGUUUUUCUUGUCGGCUUGACUUAACAUGGCACAGAGAAACAGGAAGAAACACAAAAUGGCAGGGAAUGGGAAGCGGAAGAAUCCUGCAGAUUUUGCUGGUACUGAUGGUCCAAUAGAAGGUCAAAGUCCAGCGGAAAAUUCUACAAACAGGGUAUCCCAUGCUACACGAGCUGUAGAAAAAGCCAAACAGAAACAAAUAGCUGCCACCAAACAAGCAGAGACAACCCUAGUUCUUGCAACACCUUCCACAGUACUACCAGCUGCACGAGUUACUCGUGCAUGAACUGAGCUAGCAGCACGUUCCCAAGCUCCCUUGCCACCUGACACUACUUCCCAAGCACUCUUGACAUAAGACGAGUUGGCAAGAUCAAAUGAACCUUGUGAGCUUCAACAACAAGAAGGUAGUUGCUGGAGUCAAGUUACAGUUGCAUGCUUCUUUAUAUGUAGUCUCACAGUUUGAUGUACACUAACACUUCCUAUGUUCGUUCUUGGACUAGCACCUAGGAGCAAGAGGAAACAAACAUCGGGGAUAAUGCUCGAUAGGUUAACUAAAUCUAGAGGCGGAAGAAUGGAGAUCCGUUUUGAGGCAGGUUUAAAAAGGCCACGUGAUGCUACAGAGUCACCCAAGUUAGUAUCAGAGGCAACGGUUGCCGUUAGGUGUCAUGUACGUAUCCUCCCAACAUGGAUUCAGUACAGGAAUGACAAAGACGAAACCCAGUUCAACACCUUCCUCGGCCAUUUAUCUAUAAGUAUGGUUAUAUAUGGAAACUAGUAAUAUCGUCUUGCUCUGUCCCAUACUUUCUAGGUUGCUGAUAAUGAGACUCCCGUAAUUUUCAACAAAUGAGGUUCAAGUUGGAUAGCCAAGAUGAUGCAACUAGACAAGCUUACAUCCAUGUUUUCAAGUCUGCUCUGCAACAGUAUCGGUAUAACUUGAGGAAAACUCACUUUGAAGGCAAGGCUACCAGUGAACUUGCCCAAACAUCUCCAGUGGAAAAUAUAUCGAAUGAAGACUGGAGAGGCCUCGUUAAACACUGGUCUGGUCCGAAGUAUCAGGUACAUUAUAUAUAUGUGAUCAGAUCACAUGUUGAAGUCCUAUUUAUGCAUGUGCCACACAAAUCUAUCUUCUUGUAGGUGAACUGUUCAAAGAACAAGGCCAACCGUACGGAAGUGAAAUUCCAACAGACGACAGGAUCUAGUAGCUAUAUUGCACACUACGAGGCUCUUGUAAUUAGCUGCUAUUUCACUCUUUUCGAUGUACCAUAUUAUCAGAUCUAUAUUGACUUGUUCCAAAUGCAGAGGAAAGCCCGCAAGGACCAAAAAGUACCUGAACCAAAUGUUGUGGAAAUCUUCAAGGACUGUCACACCAGCAAGAAGAAGGGCAUGACUACACCAGUCAAAGCCGUUGUUGUAAGUCCUUAAUCCUCAUGCCUUUUAACUACUACUUACUCUGACUUGUGCCUUGAACUGCAUGGCUUGCAGCCAAUGUCUAUUACUCUUUUCAAUUUUAUACACAAUUGUCGUAGCAUAUCGUUGCACCUUACAAGGUUUAAAAGAGAGGAGUGAUGUUCCUUUGAUCUUGACCUGUAAUCUAGUUCCUUGUUGGACUUGCCCACACAACGUUACAAUUGCUUGUUUGUCUGUUCUCAGUUGUUUUGUGAUAUGAAUGAUGCCAUGCUAUGCUUACCGUAUUAUAAACUUCAUCUCUUUAUCCUUAGCCCUCAAUACAAUGUGAAGAAUAGACAAUACAUUAGCGAUGGUACAUGGUCAUAUGUUUGGAACCUAGUUUUAUUAUGUACUUUGCAAUAAAAUACAACUAAUAUUUUACAUGGGUUCACCAAAAUAAGUUCUGUAUAUAGAGCAAAGCUAUUUUGUUUGGUUUUGCUGCCUCCUUAAUAUCUUCUGUUCUGGUAUUACUAAUGUAAAAACUCAACUUUUCAGCGAUCUAUGGAAAAAAUGGUGGAACUGCCACCUUCUGAAGGUGGCGAGGCAACUAUAACCGCAAUGUCAGCUCUUGCUGUAGUGGGUCAGUACCUAUCCACUAACAGUGCCAAAAGCACGUUCCUACGUAAUACUGUGUUGGUUGUUAAGGCAAUCUCGUCCAAACUGCCUCGUGAUCAAGAUAUGCAAGCUCAAAACAAUGUUGUAUCUGUGCUCCAGACACAAGUCCAUUCCCUUACAGAGACCCUUUGUAAAACAAGGAGAGACAUUGUUCGAUGUCGUCAAGAUAUGCAUGGUUUUGAAACCAGACUAUCAGACAUUUGCUAUGUUGUUCAGGAGCCUAGGAGAAAUGAAGGCGAAGGUUAUGGUGCUCCAUCGGACAAUACAACAUGAAAACGUAACAGUCAGGUCAAAUGAACUAAGCUUCUGAACUUCUGGUGGUGCAUUUAUCUGCUAGACUGUUAACUGUUAUGCCAACCUUCCUUUUGUUUUAUAGUUGUAAUUUGUUUUGGUGCACUACAAAAUUUGUUCUUAACAUGCAGCCACCGGCUGAAGAAAACAGCAAGCCAUUUUUGUAUAGUGUAGGGUGUUCCCUAUAUUUGCACUGGUGGCGAUCUUUGAUGCCGAGUGGAUGUAAUCUGUGCAAUCUCCUUAAUAGCCUAGCGUUACUUUCGGACUUAUUUAUUUCCUAGUCCUCUUUUUCCCCGGUUUGCUAGUGGCUCCAACAACCAUGGGCCAUAUACGGACCGUGGUAACCUUGACCCUGCUAUGAGUCGUAGGAUCCAUGGGUCUACUACGGGUCGUCGAUAAAUGGGCCUCCAACAGGGCCAUAGGAUCGGUGGGCCUCGAGUCGUCGGAUAAAUGGGUUUACAUGGGCCGUAAACGGGCGUAAUUGAUAUCAUCCCAGCAUGGUAACGGGCCUUUAACAGGACGGAGGACAGCAAAGGCUUAAUUCUAUCACAUGCAUAACGGGUCGUUAAUGGGUCGGAAUAUAGGACGGGAUGGAAACGGCUGAGGGAGUCCUGGACUAAGGGGUCCUCGGACAGCCGGACUAUAUACUUUGGCCGGGCUGUUGGACUAUGAAGAUACAAGAUAGAAGACUUCGUCCCGUGUCCGGAUGGGACUCUCUUUUGCGUGGAAGGCAAGCUUCACGAUUCAGAUAUGUAGAUUCCUUUCUCUGUAACCGACUUUGUACAACCCUAGUCCCCCCCCCGGGUGUCUAUAUAAACCGGAGGGUUUUAGACUUCCAGGGUUAGAGCGACAAUCAUCAUAACCUCAGGGGCUAGACAUCUAGGGUUUAGCCAUUACGAUCUCGUGGUAGAUCAACUCUUGAAACACUCAUAUUCAUCAAGAUCAAUCAAGCAGGAAGUAGGGUAUUACCUCCAUAGAGAGGGCCCGAACCUGGGUAAACAUUAUGUCCCCCACCUCAUGUUACCAUUAGCCUUAGAAGCACAGUUCGGGACCCCCUACCCGAGAUCCCCCGGUUUUGACACCGACAUUGGUGCCUUCAUUGAGAGUUCCGCCGUGUCGUUGAAGAUAGGCUUGAUGGCUCCAUCAACGUCUACAACAAUGCAGUCCAGGGGGAGAUCUUCCUCCCCGGAUAGAUAUUCGUAUUCGACGGCUUUGCACUACGGGCCAACUCGCUUGGUCAUCUAGAGCAGAUCGAUAGCUACGCCCCUGGCCAUCAGGUCAGAUUUGGAAGCCUGAAUUUUGUGGCCGAUAUCCGCGGAGACUUGAUCUUCGAUAGAUUCGAGCCCAUGACGGUUGUCCUCGGCCACCAUGCUGAACCUGACCUAGAUCUCUCAUCUAGCCACACACAGGAGAUAGCAGUUGUGACCACCCUGGCCCUAGAGCUGGAGUAGACUGUGUCUUCUGAAGACGGGAAGCUCAACCUAGCCGCGGAGGCCGCAGACUCAGCGGUGCUCGAGCCGCACAUAGACCCAACAUCAGGCUGGGCUUGUGUUACCGGAACCUCGGACUCGUCUCCAGCCAUAGGCUCCAGACCGCGUACGUCCGUGUCCAUUGAACCUGAUUGGGCGUCGGUCUUAGAGUUCAGCUUCAUGGACAUUUUCCAGGACUCGCCUUUUCGCGACGUGUUAAACUCAUUAAGAUCCCUCUCCUUGCCAGGGAACUCUUGGCCAAACUAUGUCCGGCUCGAAUGGGAAGUGGAUGAUGAAGAAACUCGUUCCCCACCCACCACCCACUUUAUAGCCACUAUCGACGACUUAACCGACAUGCUUGACUACGACUCUGAAGAAAUCGACGGUAUGGACGACGAUACCGGAGAGGAUCAGGAACCACUGCCUAUAGGGCGUUGGACAGCCACCUCCUCGUACGACAUAUACAUGGUGGAUACACCCAAAGAAAAUGGUAACGACGAUGAAAAUCUAGUCGAGGACAAACCACCUGAGAUACAGCCGAAGCGCCGACAUCAGCGGCGCCGCUCUAAGUCACGCCAUAGUAAAAACAGCAAUACCGUCAUAGAAGAGGACAACACUCCGGACGAUGCAGAAAACAAUGAAGACCCUGUUGAGCCGACCUUCGAACAGGAGGAACGGGAGGGUGGGCAAGUUAGCCCUGGCGAACCGGCCAUGAACGAAGACUCGGAGGAUAGCAACUACCUUCCGCUCUCUGAGGACGAGGUUAGCCUCGGUGACAAAGAUUUCAUCGUGCUUGAAGAGCCCGCCGAACAGGAACGCUUUAAGCGUCAGCUAAUUGCCACUGCAAGAAGCCUGAAAAAGAAGCAGCAGCAGCUUCAAGCUGAUCAAGAUCUGCUCAAUGAAAGAUGGACUGAUGUCCUGGCAGCCGAGGAAUAUGGCCUCGAGCGCCCAACCAAAAGCUACCCAAAACGCAAACUGUUACCACAGUUCGAUGACGAGGCGCUGGAGCCCAUCCUACCAAGGUACAAUACGACCGACCGACCACCACGUGGCCAGGACAAAACGGCACCUCAAGCCGAAUACCAGCCCGCACUACCUCGCCGAACAAAUAGAAAUACAACAGGUCGGGGAUAUACACAUGACCUGUGACGCGAUUUGGAAAAGAGAGCAGGUCAAACAAGAUCAAUCUAUGGAUCACGGGGGCGCGCCUCGACGCACGAUGACGGCCAUCUGGCUGAACGUGAGAAACAUAACCACGUCCGGGCUGAAAACCAUAGACGAGCUCCAUCUGAACUACGUCACGACUUGGCCCGAUAUAGAGGCACCGCACACCCCCUCUGCUUCACUGACGAAGUAAUGGGACAUGAUUUCCCAGAAGGGUUUAAACCCGUAAACAUCGAAUCAUAUGAUGGUACAACAGACCCCACGGUGUGGAUUGAGGAUUUUCUUCUCCACAUUCAUAUGGCCCGCGGCGAUGAUCUUCACGCCAUCAAAUACCUCCCGCUCAAACUCAAGGGACCAGCUAGAUACUAGUUAAACAGUCUGCCCAAAAACUCCAUUGGCAGUUGGGAGGAAUUGGAGGGCGCCUUCCUCGGCAACUUCCAAGGCACAUAUGUUCGACCUCCGGAUGCCGAUGACCUAAGUCAUAUAAUCCAACAGCCCGGAGAGUGAGCCAGGAAAUUCUGGACUCGGUUCCUAACUAAAAAGAACCAAAUCAUCGAUUGUCCGGAUGUCGAAGCCCUAGCGGCCUUUAAGCACAGCAUCCACGACGAAUGGCUGGCCAGACACCUCGGCCAAGAAAAACUGAAGUCCAUGUCAGCCCUUACGACACUCAUAACCCGCUUCUAUGCAGGCGAAGAUAGCUGGCUAGCCCGUAGCAACAACAAUACAAGCGAACCUGGCACUUCUGAAGCCAGAAGCAGCAAGGGUAAGCCCCGACGCAACAGAGAUAAGCGUCGAAACAACAGUGAUAAUACCGAAGACACGGUGGUCAAUGCCAGAUUCAGCGGCUCUAAGUCCGGUUAGUCGAAGAAGCCAUUUAAAAGGAACAAUCCGGGCCCGUCCAGACCGCAUACUAGAUCGAACAUGCCAAAUCCAUGGCACUCCGAAUAAAUCAGCCAAUCAUAUAAACAGGGAAUGUUGGGUUUUCAAACUGGCCGGCAAGUUAAAUGCCGAGGAACCCAACCACCGAAUACAGGGGGACAGAAGAAAUCCCCCCCCCCAAGUCAAAACGGUGAACAUGAUAUACGCCACCCAUAUCCCCAAGAGGGAGCGCAAGUGCGCACUCAGGGACGUCUACGCGAUGGAGCGAGUCGCCCCAGAGUUCUACCCAUGGUCCUCCUGUCCAAUCACCUUCGAUCGCCGGGACCAUCCAACCAAUAUUUGUCAUGGCAGUUCAGCCGCACUGGUCCUUGACCCAAUUAUUGAUGGAUUCCACCUAACACGAGUCCUCGUGGAUGGUGGCAGCAGCCUGAACCUGCUCUAUCAGGAUACAGUGUGCAAAAUGGGUAUUGAUCCCUCAAGGAUCAAGCCCACCAAAACCACCUUUAAAGGUGGCAUACCAGGUGUAGAGGCCUGUUGUAUGGGCUCAAUCACACUGGAAGUGGUCUUCGGAUCCCCGGAUAAUUUCCGAAGCGAAGAGUUAAUCUUCGAUAUCAUCCCCUUCUGCAGUGGUUAUCAUGCACUGCUCGAACGAACCGCAUUUGCUCGAUUCAAUGCGAUGCCACACUAUGCCUACCUCAAGCUCAAGAUGCCCGGACCUCACGGUGUUAUAACAGUCAAUGGAAAUACGGAGUGCUCCCUCCGUACUGAGGAGCACACCGUGGCCCUUGCAGCAGAAGUAUAGAGUAGCCUUCUUAGGCAGAACCUCAAUCGGGCAGUAAAGCCCCCGGGCAUCGUCAAGCGAGUCUGAACUACUCUGCAGCAGGACCGUCCAGCUCGUCCAGAGCUCAACUAGCAAUUCGGCCUCCGUCCCAGUCCCAACCAAGCGGUGAAAUUUGUGCCACGCGUACAUAACUACGCACUUAAAGUACCAUGGGCAGGGACAGAGGAACUGCUAGACCGCGGUCCGCAAUGUGACUCAACCGCCUCUAGAUCCACAUCCCUUCACUUUUUCUCUUUCUUCCAGGUUUUUCUCUUCUCAAGGCUUUUUUCGAUAACCUGAUCAUCGAACCCAUCACAAGACGGAUACACCAAGAAGGCAAGGGGCUUUGACGUACAAGGGAAAUUCCCAGGUGGUCUCUACUAAUGAUUGUUAUACAUGUUUUAAAUACCCGCACGCAGCUCUUUCUUGGUCAUGGCAUGUUAAAUAGCCUUACUUGCUUAUCGCAUUAUCUGUACAAGUACGCCUCACAUAUUAAUCAAAUUACAAUGGAAAAUAAUUUGUAGCGUCAGCUUAUUGCUUGAUUUUUUUCCUUGUCUUUGUAUGUUUUAUCAAUUGCACCCGUACACUCUGGUACGUAUUACUUCACCAGGGGCUUCAUCGCGCCCCAUAAUACGGCAAUAAAGUCCGAACACUUUUACAGUACAGUUCGGCACCCCGAACUUAUAGCAUUAUAUGCAUCGGCUCUGAAUCAUGUCUUUGGUCAAUAGGUGGGUUGCUCGGCUCCUGUGCUUACUACCUUACGUUCUGCUAUAUCGGCUAGGGUAGUAAAGGGAGAACUACUGCGAUUGUGUCCCGGUUCUUCCAGACGACCACCUCAGUAGAGAAAGCCGAAAAGUGACUGUCAUGAUGCGGCCAGAGUUGGUCAGCUGUUCAAGAGGUUUUCAAAUCCUUAGAGAUUUUUCCACUUUAUGCGAGGAAUCGGUUUUUAUACGUUUAGGCGUGUAUAGUGCCCCAACUUCGGUCUUCCGAAUACCAGGGGCUUCACCAAAAUUUUCAUUGUCAAACUCCUAUGGCUAAGUGAGGGUGAUAAAGUCGUAUAGUCCGAUUGCCUUGUUCGUUGUGCUAAACACCUCCUUCAACGACCAAAAGGUGGAGUAAAGAGUGUUUAGAUUUAUCCCGAACACCCCCGUACUAUCUACGUGGGGGCAGAAGCCGACGACUGGCCAAGUCUCAGAUUUUUAUAAACGGAUGCACAGGAGGUAAAAUUUUAAACUAAUGGACAUUACAUUACAUAACGGAUCUGUUUAAAUAUUAUAGGACAGGAUAACAUGAAUGUUUUCAUAGGAAUAUGAUAUACUUGGCACAUUGCUCCGCCACAAGGCGGGAUCCCUCCAGGACACUAUCAAAAUAUAGCUUGGGUCGGUGGUGCUCCUUGCCCUCAGGUGGCCCCUCAGUCAUCAGCUUCUUGGCAUCCAUCUUCGCCCAGUGCACCUUGGCGCGGGCAAAGGCCAUCCGCGCACCUUCAAUGCAGACCGAUCGCUUGAUGGCUUCAAGCCACAGGCAGGCACUCACAAGCUGCUUGACGAGUCCGAAGUAGCUGUUGGGCAUGGGCUCGGCAGGCCACAGCCAGACUAUUAAGUCCUUCAUGGCCAGUUCGGCCACCUUAUGCAGCUCGACCAGCUGUUUUAGCUUGUCGCAAAGGGCACUGGAAGUUCUGGUCUGAGGUAUUGGGACCAGAACAGCUUUUCCGUAGAGCUCCCUUCUUUGGCUCGAUAAAAUUCUGCAGCAUCUGAUAUGCUGCGUGGCAGAUCCGCAAACGCUCCUAGAGAGCUCCAAAUACGGGUAAGUAAAAGGAAUGUUUCCUUCACAUAUCUGCUUUGCAUAAUGAAAUCCUUACCCGCCGUAAUCUUCUUGGCCGCCUGGAUUUCCUGGAGAGCAACCUGGGCUUCAGCUCGGGCAUCUUGUGCGCUCUGGCGGGCAUUGGCAAGUUUGGACUCCUGAGUCUUUGAAUCACACUCCAAGGACUCGUACUUAUUGACGGUGUCUUGGAGCUCUUGCUGGACCUCGCUGACCCAGGCCUCCUGCUUUUCGUGCGCGGCGAGUUCCUUGGCCGCUUUGUCCUUGGCCUCGGCUAACGCCUUCUUGAGGGCCGCCACCUCGGUCGUGGCCCCUAAUAAAGUUCAUGACAUUCUAGUCAGUACGAACCAUUCGUCCUUCCUAAAUAUACACACAGGUUACUACAUACCUUUGCUUUCCUCCAACUGCUUCUUCAAGAGGCCGAGCUCUUGCUCGGUCCGCUCCAGAUUCUGCUUCAGUCCAGAGACUUCCGCAGUAUGAGCGGCAGCAGCUAGCAGCGACGCCUGCUUGUUCACAUUGAUAUAUUAUAUUAGACUCUUGUGAAAAUUGGUUGAUCCUAUGUUCGGCUUUUCUUUGCGAACACCGAAUAGAGCAUCAGGGGCUACUGUCUAUACUAUGACAUUCUUUUGCAAUUAUAUUACUUACCUCAAAGCCUGUUAAAAGGCUAGUGCAGGCUUCAGUCAGUCCGUUUUUGGUGGACUGAACCUUCUCAAUCACCGUACUCAUAAGAGUACGGUGUUAUUCCACAAUGGAAGCGCCUUGUACCGCUUCCAGUAAUCUAUACGGUGCCUCUAGAUGGACAGAGGUCACCUGUGGAGUUGGAUCGCCCCCCUCGUUCGAAAGAGGUGUACUGCUUGAAUUCGGAUCCACUUGGGCCUCCGGAGCAAUAUUCGGCUAGGGGCCGAAUUGGAUACGGCCCCCAUCAUCGGUGUCCAUAGGGGUCUGUCCUCCCACAUGUUCGGCAACCGGAGUUUUAGGACAGCCUCCUAAUCCUCUCCAUGGCUUGGGAUCCUUCGAGACAACACCUUAGUGUUGUCCGCAACCUUGGGGGAGGAGGCCGUCGGGAGAGACUCAUUGUUCAUCGCCGACGGGUCCAGCGAUCCUUCCGAAGAGGAGGACAGCACGAUGUUGGACUGGGCCGGGUUGCGAGUGCAUGAUCCAGCACAUUAAAAAUAAUAAAGUAAAGAUGUCGGAUAUAUUACCGUGUCCAGACACUUACGAGUUGGCUAGGGGCUUGACCCUGGGCUCCCACUCCCCGCCGCUUUUGGUGGCCCCUACGUAGUUGUACGGAAGGGAAGUUUUCCCCUUCUUGGACGCCUUGGCCUCCCCAUGUGUGGAGGCCUUCCUCUUCUUUCUCCCCCAGCAGGGGGAAUGGAUUUCUUCUUCCUCAUCGUCUUCGGUGGAGGAGUGUGUCUCGGCGUCUUCGGACGUCGCGUCCGAAGUGCCCUUGCGACAAAGACCACUUCUGGUUCUCGGCGCCUUCUUCUUGGCCUUCUUCUCCGGCACCUCAUAAGGCGUCGGAAACAGCAUCUUCGUCAGAAGAGGCAUUUCUGGAUCUUCGGGCAGCGGAGCCGGAUAGUUAAUCUGCUCCGCUAUCUCUAUCCAGGCCUGAAGAAUUGGUAGGGAGGCUUAGAUUCCUCCCUCAGAUGUGCCAGUAAAGGAUAUGCCUUGAAAACAUGAAAGAACUUACCGGAUUAGCCCGGCGUUUUGAGCUAAGCUCACGAUCCUCGGUCGUGGGUGGUGGUACCUCGCUGGCCUUGAAGAGCACCUUCCAUACGUCUCCAUGCUCAUGCCAAAGAGCUCCAGCAGCAUCUGGUGCUUGGCUGGGUCGAACUCCCACAAAUUGCAAGUCCGGCGCUGGCACGGAAGGAUCCGGCGGAAGAGCAUAACCUGGACCACGUUGACAAGCUUGAUUCUCCUGCUUAUCAUGUUCUAGACACACGUCUAGAGCCCCGUCAGCUCGUCCGCGGAGCCCGAGGCCAGGCCCUUCUCUUGCCAAGAGGUGAGCCGCAUUGGGACUUUGGAUCAGAAUUCGGGGGCCGCCACCCAGUUGGCGCCGCGCAGCUCGGUGAUGUAGAACCACCCCGAUUGCCACCCCUACACAGUCUCCACAAAGGAGCCCUCAGGCCAGGUGACAUUUGGCAUCUUGCCCACCAUGGCGCCUCCGCACUCCGCUUGUUGGCCGCUCCCCGAAUUUGGCUUCACAUUGAAGGUCUUCAACCAUAGGCCAAAGUGAGGUGGGAUGCGGAGGAAGGCCUCACACAUGACAAUAAAGACCGAGAUGUUGAGGAUGGAGUUGGGGGGCCAAGUCAUGGAAGUCUAGCCCGUAGUAAAACAUCAGUCCGCGGACGAACGGGUGGAGGGGGAAUCCCAGCCCGCAAACAAAGUGGGUGAGAAACACCACCCUCUCAUGGGGCUCUGGGGUAGGGACGAUCUGUCCCUUGGCCAGAAGUUGGUGAACGAUUUCCUUGGCCAGUUAACCGGCCUCCCGGAGCUCCUUGAUGUCCUUCUUCUUGACAGAAGAGGCCAUCCACUUGCCUCCAGCUCCGGAUCUGAACAUGGUUGGAGUGCUUUUUUGGGCGGAGAAGUCAAUAACUUGGGCGCUGGAGCUUGAGAAUGGAUGGGCAAAGGAAGGAGAAGGCGUGGGUGAACGAGGAUGAAUCCUUAUCCCUUUAUAAAGGCAGUAAAAGUUACGCGCCUCCCUGCUCGCCUUAAAAUCCGCCUAUUCCCCAAGCGCCGUACAGAUGACACGGUUGGGUUACCCAUGCCCGUAUUGAUGAGAAUCCCGUGAUAAGGAGACACGAUCUUUGCUUCGACAAGACAUGCCAGUGAAACCACACCUCGAAAUACAGAGCGGCGGGCUAAAAAAAGGUUUGAAUAAUGACCGGGCAGUGGUGUGAUGUCACGCUACAAAAAGUUGUCAGCGGAUUGGACUCGUGAAAUAUUAUACUCUCUGUGGUGGUGUGUGGUUCUUGUUUUGCAGAGCCGGACAUGUUUUCUAUGUUCGGAAGAUUAAGUUGGAGUAUUCGGAGAAGGAACCCGCCUUGCAAUGCCGAAGACAAUCUGUGUGUCGGGCUCAUCGUAUUUGAAGCCUGGUUCAGGGGCUACUGAGAGAGUCCUGGACUAAGGGGUCCUCGAACAGCCGGACUAUAUACUUUGGUCGUACUAUUGGACUAUGAAGAUACAAGAUAGAAUACUUUGUCCCGUGUCCGAAUGGGACUCUCCUUUGCGUGGAAGGAAAGCUUGGCGAUUCGGAUAUGUACAUUCCUUUCUCUGUAAUCGACUUUGUACAACCCUAGUCCCCCCCUGUGUAUAUAUAAACCAGAGGGUUUUAGACUUCUAGGGUUAGAGCGACAAUCAUCAGAACCUCAGGGGCUAGACUUCUAGGGUUUAGCCAUUACGAUCUUGUGGUAGAUUAACUCAUGUAACACUCAUAUUCAUCAAGAUCAAUCAAGCAGGAAGUAGGGCAUUACCUCCAUAGAGAGGGCCCGAACCUGGGUAAACAUUGUGUCCCCCGCCUCCUAUUACCAUUAGCCUUAGAUGCACAGUUCGGGACCCCCUACCCGAGAUCCGCCAGUUUUGACACCGACAACGAUGCAACAGGUUAAUAGGCCAGAAACCGGCCGACUCUUGCCACGGGCCGAAUUUGGCCCAUUAGGGGAACAGGCGAGUAACGGGCCGGAAGUAAUCGAGGGCCAGAAAGGAGCCCAAGAAUGUAUGGGCCGUUGUCAGUGUCAAAACUGGCGGAUCUCGGGUAGGGGGUCCCGAACUAUGUGUGUGAGGCUAAUGGUAACAGGAGGCGGGGGACACAAUGUUUACCCAGGUUCGGGCCCUCUCUAUGGAGGUAAUACCCUACUUCUUGCUUGAUUGAUCUUGCUGAAUAUUAGUAUUACAAGAGUUGAUCUACCACGAGAUCGUAAUGGCUAAACCCUAGAAGUCUAGCCUAUGAGAUUAUGAUGAUUAUUCUAUGGACUAAACCCUUCGGUUUAUAUAGACACCGGAGGGGGCUAGGGUUACACAAAGUCGGUUACAGAGAAAGGAAUCUACAUAUCUGAAUCGCCAAGCUUGCCUUCCACGCCAAGGAGAGUCCCAUCCGGACACGGGAAAAAGUCUUCUAUCUUGUCUCUUCAUAGCCCAACAGUCCGGACCAUGUAUAUAGUCCGACUGUCUGAGGACCCCUUAAUCCAGGAAUCCCUCAGUAGCCCUUGAACCAGGCUUCAAUGAUGAUGAGUCUGGUGUGCAGAUUGUCUUUGGUUGCAAGGCGGGUUCCUUCUCCGAAUACUUCAAAGUAGAUUUUGAACACAAGAAUCGUGUCCGGCUCUGCAAAACAAGUUCCACACACAAACGUAGAGAGUAUAAUAUUUCACGAGUCCAAUCCGCUAACAAAUUUUGUAGCAUGACAUUACAUCAUCACCCGGCCAUUAUCUUGAAUCGUUUUCUAGCCUGCCACGCCACGUUUCGAGAGGCGGUUUUUAUUGGCACGUCUUGACAAAGCAGAGAUCGUGUCCCCUUAUUGCGGGAUCUUUAUCAACACGAGCGUGGGUAACCCAACCGUUCAGUUGGCAUGAUUCCUUGGGAAUAGGCAUGCUUUAAGUCCGCGGAGGGGACAUUUGAUAUUCGUCGCCUUUAUAAAGGGGCUAAGACCCGUCCUUUUCUUUCCAUGCCAAUCCUUUCCUCUACCUCCCACCUCAAGUUCCAACACCCAAGGGUCAAUCCAGUCGCUUCGAGCUUUCAGCCAUGUCCGGACCCAGCCUUCAAGGCCGGUGGAUGGCCUCUUCUGUCACAGAGGAGGAUAUCUCAAAGCUCAGGGAGGCAACAUACCCGACUGCGGAAAUCCUCCACAAGCUUCCUGCUCAAGGGCAGGUUAUUCCUACUCCCAGACCCAAUGAGAGGGUCGUAUUUAUUUCUCACUUCCUCCGAGGGCUUGGGUUUGCUCUUCAUCCCUUUGUUCGAGGGAUCAUGUUUUAUUACGGACUAGAUUUCUAUGAUCUAGCUCCAGACUCCUUCCUUCACAUCUCAACGUUCAUCAUCACGUGCGAGGUCUUCCUUCGUAUUUCCCCACACUUCGGCCUAUGGCUUAAGACCUUUAACGUGAAACCGAAGGUAAUCAACGGGAAACAAGUGAAGUGCGGAGGUGCUUCAGUGAGAAAACUCACCACUUCUCCUUGGCCAAAGGGCUCCUUUGCAGAAUCUUCUGACCUAUGGCAACGGGAGUGGUUUUACAUUACCGAACCCCAUGGUAAAAAGUAGGCAGCUACACAUGUGUUUCGAUCUGGCCCUCCUUUACAGCUUGCAUCAUGGAUUAACAAAGGGCUAGACUGGGGAUCUAUUGAUGAAGUGCAGAAGUUGCAAAGUUGCAUUCGGAGCCUUAUUGAAAAGGACACCGGUCUUACCAAUGAGAUCCAAGUAAUGCUAGUCCACAGGAUCCUACCAUGUCAGCGGCGUCCUCUCCGUAUGUGGGAGUUCAAUCCAGAAGGUCCACGGACCCUUCAGCACUUCUCUGGCACAAUGCUCAAAGGGAUGUGGAAAUUAUUCUUCGGUGCAUGAAAGUAGUGGCCGGAUACUAUAGAAUACAUCGGUCUAGACUGCAAUCAUCCGGAUACCCCGGUAAUAACUUAACUCCCAAACAUAGUGUAGUCAAAUUCCUCAUAACAAUGUACUGAUAAAACUCUACUCGGCUAGGCUGGAUAAAGAAGGCAGCGAGAAUUAGGUGUUCGGCUCCACUUCCCGAAGACUCUGCCGAUCCGGUGUUAACAAGGAUGCUGGCUUCAACACCAUAUCAAGUGCCGGCGGGGAAAGAUAAGGAGGAGAGCGGAGAGGCCCAAGGUAGUCUCCCUUAUGGAGGCACACCAAGCAAUUUGUCCGGGGAGAUUGGAACUUCCACUUCCGAAGGUGGAAGGGAAGGGCAAGCUGACAUCCCUUCUCCUCAUGGGAAGAAAAGGACCGCCUUCGAAGACUUGAAGAGAGAAGCUUCUAAGCGAGGGAAGAUAUCCCAGUCAGGGGUGACGUUGACAUGCAGUCACUCUGCCAAGAUAGGCCCUUAGCUGAAUUGUAAGUGAACCAGGGUGUUUUAAACAUAUCUCAUUCUUUCCUGGCUGUGAGGGUAACAUUUAAAAUAUAUGUUUGCAGUCCGGUAUGCGGCCCUCCUCAAUAGUCCUCCUCUUCGGGGGAUCUUCUUCCAAAGAUGAUGGAGAGCGAGACGCCUCCACAAAUCUCCCUGCUUGAUAAGGCAGACGACGCCAAGGUAUCGUCCCGGAGGAUCUUUCCCGAUCAACAAGUGGCACGAGGGGCAGUGAAGACUGGGCCCGAAGGUAAUGCUUCGGCCGCCAGGGUCCGGGGUGUGUGGCCCUCAUGGGGACCAGCAACAAAAGUCCCAGACUAUCAAGGUUCCGAGAGACGAUGCAACCUAUUCUGGAUCUGGAGGCGCCUGAUACAUUGAUGGACAUAUUGCAACAUGCGUCCGUCUUAGACGGACAUCGUACCUUGAUGGGUACGGUGGUUGAAAGAGUUCGGUCCACGAAAAGCAGAUUGAAUGAAGCCUUUAUGAGCCUACUAAGAGGUUUCGAGGUACGUAGUGUAAUUUCAUGUAUGUUAUAAAUGCAAAUGGCACCUGUGUAUAGAUAGUAGCUCCUGAGACUCUGGUUGACAUCCAAAGGGAGGCGAUCAGAGGAUCAAAAAUGUAUGCCUAGGAAAUGAUCUGACUAAUUGAAACACAGGCUGUUACAUCUGUGGCAACUGCCCAAGCUAUAGAGGUAGCACAUCUGAGGCAGAAAGUUGAUGUAGCGAAUGAUGACAUCACGUUUAUUAACAGGCGGCUCGAUGAGGCGCAAGGUAUGUCUUUGGGGCACUCAGUAUAUGCUAGUAUUAUGAAAUGAGUGUGACACUGAGAAGUUGUAUACGCAUAACUGCAGAUAGUGCCGCCGCACUUGAGACCCUUCGGGCUGAACUUGCCCGGGCCAAGGAGCAAGCCAGGAUGAGUAAUGCGGCUGCCGAAAAGGUAGCCGCCAAAUUAAAGGCCGAGCAGACUGCUCGACGUCAGUGAGAGGAGAGAAUAUCUACUAUGGCACUUGAGCUAAAGGGUGCCACUAGCCGAUGCCAAGUUCUUGAGAGAGAUAACAAAGCCAAAGCGGCUGAUCUUGACAAGGCUUUACAAGAGGCGAGGGAAGCCCGGUCUGAGUCUAGAGAAGCUCGGGUGGAGAUCCGGCAAGCUGGGGAGAUCGCGGCUGGUAAGCCCUUUUUAUUGCAAACUAAGUUUGGCGAUCCUAAGUAUGCCCCGCUUAAUCAACUAUGGAGUUCUCCAGACUCCUUUUUGGACCUGCCGAAGAGUGUUGCCGAUGUGAAUCAGUUUUUUCAUGCGCAAGAAGGACAUGCGACAGAAAAGCUAUUUUGGUCGCAAUUUGACACGCCAAAGCGUCCACUGUUGAAUGAACAGAUGGCCCAGUGGGCCCGGCUCCACAAGAUGUCCGGAACUGCCAUGAAGGGCGUCAUAGCCCGGUUGUGGCCAACUGAGCCGAUUCCGAAUAGUUAUUUCGCUUUGGUGCGGCAAAUUGUUGAUGCGGUGCCACGUAUGGGUGCUGUGAAGCGGUCAACAUGCAUAGAAGGUGCACGGAUGGCCCUUGCCCGUGUCAAGACGUAUUGGGUGAAGAUGAAGGCCACCGAUAUUGCAGCGCAGAGUCCACCCGAAGGCAAGGACCCUAACAUGCCAGAACAUUAUUUUGAAGAUGUCCAAGAAGGUGCCCGCUUGAUAGAGGGUCAGUGCUCAAAAGAUAUUACGUUCGAGUGAAGUGUACUGAGAUUGUAAAAACAGUCUUAUGAUAUGUUUUAAGGCUAUGUUUUUAUACUUUUGCCCGAAAAGUUUUGGUGCCUCCUGUGUGGCUGUUUGUAUAUAUAUAAUCUAAAAAUUUGCCAGUCGUCGGCUUCAGCCCCCUCGCGUAUAAUGCAGGGGUGUUCGGAAAAGCACUUGAUCACACUUGACCCAACGUCUUGGUCCGUUAAGGAGGUGUCAGUGCGGCGAACUAGGAAAUCGGACUAUAGGGCUUUAACACUUUCACUUAGCCAUAGGAGUUUGACGGUGGGUCUAUGAUAUAGCCCCUGGUAUAUUCACGUGUAUCCAAAUAUGGCGCGUUUACAUACGUGACCAGAAUAACAGUCCUUCGUUUAAUAUGGAAGGAAUUGCGAAGAUUCCUAUGAGUCAUCGAGUGGUUGACCAGCUCUCGCCGCAUCAUGACAGUCAGUUUUCGGCUUUCUCUACUGAGGUGCUCAUCCGGGCGAGCCAGGACACAAUCACAGUAGUUCUCCCUUUACUACCCUAGCCGAUAUAGCAGAAUGUAAGGUAGUAAGCACAGGAGCCAGGCAUCCCAACUAUUGACCAAAGACAUGAUUCGGAGCUGAUGCAUAUAAGACCAAACUCGCGACGCCAAACACUCCCUACAGGUGUUCGGACUUUUCAAUAUAUACCAGGCUAAAUACAGGCCUUGCUAAUGGACCCUGGUAUCAAGGCACGUAUGGCAAUCCGAUGUGGGGAAAGAAAGCAGGUGGUGAGAGCAUAAAUCUCAAAACACAAUAUGAACCAAGCUGCUUCUAUAACAUCCACUUUAGUAUGGCGAGUCGUAUAUUUAUAGGUAAUGCCGAUAUCUUUCUUGGACAUUUUACAUGCCAGGAAAGUAUGAAACAAAAAGAGAUAAAAAGGUUUACACAGGGUCUUAAUCUAAAAAGAAACCUUAAUGCGGGGCCCUGCUGCACGUUUGCGCCUUUUUCUCCGCUGUGAAGUGUCCUUGAAGGGUAUAGUGUGAUGGCCAUCUGUAAAAGGGGAAAAACCAGGUAAAAGAGUCUGGUGUGGCCGUAAGUAAAGCUGGUUCGUUUGAAUGAACCGUGAAAUAUAACUUCUGGAGUCCGAAUAGGGUCGAGCCGAACUAUGGAAUUUUUGUGUGCAGCAUGCCCCCAGCGCCACCCAAGGAAUUUUGAGUGUAUAUUUGUGUAUACGUGGCACGUGUGUUGUCUCCUUAUGGGGUGGUCGAUGGGGGCAUAGCUGCUAAUCGAGCUCGGGUUUAUCUGAGCUGCCGCACUGAGAUGUGCGUUGGAUACGUUUAAAUUGUGUGUGCGAUCUUAACGACCGAUGAGCUGCUCGGCUUGAAUAGGCCGUUUUGUGCUUCGACUGCUAGAGCCGCCGUGUAUUCUUCUGUAUGAAGAGAGCGCUCUGUAUUUCCGCUGACCGUAAUGACGCCAUGUGGUCCAGGCAUUUUGAAUUUUAGAUAAGCAUAAUGCGGGACUGCAUUAAAAUGGGCGAAGGCUGUUCUGCCAAGUAGUGCAUGAUAGCCACUUCGGAAUGGAGCUAUGUAGAAGAUUAGUUCUUCGCUUCAAAAGUUAUCAAGAGAGCCGAAUACGACCUCCAAUGUCAAAGAGCCCGUGCAACGGGCUUCUACACCCGGUAUAACUCCUUUAAAGGUAGUGCUGCUUGGCUUGAUUCUUGACGGGUCUAUCACCAUCUUGCGGACGGUGUCCUGAUAUAUCAGAUUGAGACUACUGCCGCUGUCCAUAAGGACUCAAGUGAGGUGGUAUUCGUCGAGUAUUGGGUCGAGCACUAGGGCAGCCGAACCCUCGUGAUGGAUACUAGUCGGAUGAUCCCUGCGAUCAAAGGUGAUCGGACAGGCCGACCAUAGGUUGAAUUUGGGGGCGACGGGCUCGACGGCAUAGACAUCUCGAAGUGCGUGUUUGCCCUCCCUUUUUGGGAUAUGAGUGAGAUAGAUCAUGUUCACUGUUUUAAUCUCCGGUGGAAAUUUCUUCUGUCCCCCCGUGUUCGGCUGGCGAUAUUCAUCCUCGUCUUCGCUCUGAGGUCCCUUCCCUUUGUGUUCGGCGUUGAGUUUGCCGGCCUGCUUGAAGACCCAACAUUCUCUGUUGGUAUGACUGGCUGGUUUAUUGGGAGUGCCAUGGAUCUGGCAGGGCCUAUCUGGGAUUUUAUCCAGGCUAGAUGGACCGUCUUUGUUGCCUUUGAAUGGCUUCUUUCAUUGACCAGGUCUGGAGCCCCUGAAUCCAGCGUUUACCGCUGUAUUGUUUGGGCUUUCUUCAUAGUUCCGACGUUUGUUUUUGUUGCGUCAUGGUUUUCCAUUGCCAUCCCUAACCUCAGAUGUGCCGGGGUCACUGGUGCUGCUACAGGCUAACCAGCUGUCCUCGCCCGUGCAAAAGUAGGUCACUAGUGUAGUUAAGGCUGCCAUUGUCCUUGGCUUUUCCUGGCCAAGGUGUUUGGCUAGCCAUUCGCCCCAGACACUGUGUUUGAAGGCCGCUAAGGCUUCGGCGUCCGGACAGUCGACGAUUUGGUUCUUCUUAGUGAGAAACCAGUUCCAAAGCUUACGAGCUGAUUCUCCGGGUUGUUGGAUUAUGUGACUUAGAUCGUCAGCAUCCGGGGGCCGGACAUAGGUGUGGCACCCCGGUCCGCAUGGAGCAGGGGGGCUUUGCACGUCAGCCCAGGAUAACACCUGACGCACGACAGGUCCAUGAUACAACAUUCCAGGUACAAGAAUAUUCAUUGAAUACAUGUGUAUAUGAUUACAUCAGUGAUGAAUAUAAUCUUCUGGCAUAGCCCUAAGGCUAUUUACAUGACAGUGGAAGUCUAUUUAAAUGGUGGCGGAAGUCUUGGCAGCAUAUCACUCUGGCUGGGCUCCACAACUCACAGGACUAGCAAGAUUACGGCCUAGCACGACGGAACAAGCGAACAAUUUGAGCACGACCUACAAAACUAGCAUGACACACUAGGUCAGUACAUUGAAUGUACUUGCAAGACAACCAAAUACAUAACAUCCAAACAAACAGAUGAGAAAGCAAGAAUCGAGCGUCUGCAACAACCUAUCUCAUAUCAGAAACUAAGCAUGGCAAGACUUCAACCAAAGACAUAAAUCAAACUAACAUCAUGGCAUCUACUAGCAUGGCAACAACAUGGUAUAUCAAAUUUACUUCUAACAUGGCAACGGCAAAAUCGGGCAUAGCAUAGCAUCUUGAUCAUGACAUAAUCAAAGCAUGGCACAAGUUCAAUCAAAACAUGGCAUAACUCAAUCCAAACAUAGCAUGGCAUCCUGAAGCUAUGCUGAAAAUAAGCUAACAAUCAUAUCCAGGGCAGACAUAACAUGCAAUCAUCUCAUGUCCUCCCAUGGUUCUUUAAAUGCAAUUAACAAUAUAUUACUCAUGGAAUGCAAGCACACUUGUGCACCGAGUCCCUAGGACUCUCUUACCAACGGUGAUCGCUAUUGAAUCACAAACGUACCAAUCUUGUGAUCUUUCCGGCGAUCACAACCACGACCAAUAUAUGGUCUUAAACCAUGAUCCUUCCGGCGAUCACAACCACGGCCAAUAUUUGGUCUUAAACCGUGAUCCUUCCGGCGAUCACAACCACAACCAGCACUUGGUAUCAAACGGUCACCGAGACCUCGUCUUGUGAUCAUAUCAACACACCGCCAUGACUUCUCACGACUAUCUCAUAGUCCAAGUCACCACAUUCUUGUUACCACACUAAUCAGCUUAAUCAUUUCAGGUUUAUCCUCCAUUUCGACUAAGACCUGAUGGUGUGACCUACUACGAACUUGUUGCUACCGAUAGACUUUAUAAACACUCUGUAGAGGUAGCGCACUGUACCCACACCAUGAAACCCAUGGCCUUGGCAUCCCAUUCGGGUGGACCAACGGCAUUCCGACGAAAUGUUCUACUGUCAUGACACUCUCCCUGCCACUCCGACUCACUCCCCACUGGGCUAGUCCUGGGUGGCCCCGUGUCUACCAAAGACACAACGACCACCGUCGUGGCCAAAAUAUAAACGAUCCCACACAGGGACUCGGUACCAUAAACUCAACAACGGGCACACAAGGCUUAUGUCUGCCUACCUGAUCAGGGUGGCGCGCGCCCAUAACCUUCCCUAGUUGGAGGCACCGACCAGAGGCACGACAAUAGAUCGCAUUAAGGUCGUCCCAUACCGGCAAAUGUAGCUGCACUGAAAAAGUUCGAUUUGGCGGCACUAUGACUCAAUCCCGAUCGAUGACGGAGGAGGUUUGUUAUUAUUAAGUCAUUUUAUUUUCCUCUCCAUCAUCAUGAACAUGAAUGCAACAAUGAGCAUACAUCAUACAAAUGCUUUCAUAACAUAUCGAACAGCUAAGUGAACCACUACAGCAUAAAGAACAUGAUGAUACUAAGUACUAACAUAUCCAAGGUGUAUUACAAACAUCAUAGCAUUUUAUAAUGAUGUCAUGAAAAUGAAGUAGAGUAGUGACAUGACAUUAUCAAUAACAAUAUUCUAGUUAUCAUGGCAAAAGAUAUCAUGAAAAACACAAGCAUGCAUGUUAAGCAUAAUGAAAUGACUGCAACGAAACUAUAAGAAACCACUAAAACUACACACACACACAAGGUGCAAGCAAAGUCAACAUGCAAGUUCGGGGCUCAUGAUAAGAGGUUGGCUUGCCUGGGGGUCGACAAAUACUCCGGGAAGAAGUGAGAAACAACCGCGAUUUUUUUGCAGAAAACAGUUCUCUCUCGGAGGGGGCUAUUUACGGACAAGGGUAAAAUGGUCAUUUUCACUAUGUGAAAUAUUAUGAAAAUGGUACCAAUGGAAAGCUCUCGACGAACAGAGAACGUGAGCGUUGGAAUCACCUCAAUCGGAGUUACGAGCGCAAAGUUGUGGCCGUUCACUUUUUAGGCAGAAAAGCAACUAAAGCAGUGAACGUUCACAAACUAAGCACUUCGGCUGGCUGGGGCUGACCAGGCAUCCGCUCGGCCAAUGACAAGUGGGGCCCGCACAGGGGUGGGGUCCACUCACUUAGCCACGCUGGCAGGACCAGGUCAACGCCCAUAGGUCACUGCCAGGUGGGGUCAAGGGUAGGGGCCGACUCGGUCGUCUUCUUCUCCUUGUUCUCCCGACAAAACAGAGGAGGGGGCAGAACAGGGCGUUGCCGGUAGCGGCCCGGGCUGCUUCAGCCACCCUCGGUCGAGGCGAGGACACCGAUGAGUCCAGGGCAGAGUGCCGCACCUGUUCAGAUGAGGGGCAUUCACCAAGGAUGCGCAUGUCUGCCGCAGCUUGAGGCGACAUAAGACAGGGCGGGCGGCGACCGCUCUCGAGGACGAGGCUACACGGGCACUCCGGCGGCAAGAGGAAGGACGGGGAGAGUCUAUGGGCUCCGGGUGGUCCUAUGGUGGAGGAAAGAGGGAGAGGCGCGCCCGCCAUUGCUCGAAUUUGAGCAGGUCGAGGCGGUGGCCAUGGAGAUGGGGAGGGGAGGAGAGGCUCUGAGGCGAGGGGGAGAGAGCUGCGGUUGGUUGGGGACUGCGAGAGAGCUCGGGGAUGCUAUUUAUAGCCACGGGGAGAGCUCGGGAAGGAGGGGAGGAGGAGGCACGCGGCUGGUGACAUGUCUGCGCGACGGUGACAGUGCAGCGUCGGCAGGCGCAGCCGAGGCUCACGGGCAACGGUGAGAAGGCGACAAGGAGGAUGCAGCCGAGCAGCAGAGGCUCACGGAGCAACACAACGCCAAGGAGGCUCAGGGAGGAAGAAGACAGAGGACGAAGGCGACGGUGCACAUGGGAGCUCACUGUUCGACCUUUGGCACGGCUCGUCGGAGAAGAAAACGGAGGGGGCCAGAGGUCCUGGGGGAAUACGACGUCGAGGGGGAGUUGUAGGACACUAAUGGCAAGGCCAGAGAUGGUCGAAGCAGCGAUGCCGACGGGAACAGCGGCUAGACCACCGUUUUGGCUGGCUUCCCUCGUGGUCACCACUGGCAUGGCGUGGUCUGGAGUUUUUACCGAUGCCAGCUCAUGUCUACCGCGUAGUCCUUCCAAGGUAGAGUUUUACUAUGGUAAAGAUUUGGGCAGAGACAAAUGGAGGUGAGUAAACCAAGCUCCACAAGUUUGUUGUUGCAAACUUGGCAACAUCCUAUAGGUAAAACCAGAGAGGGUAAAGGGUAAAAUUGAUGUCUGGGAGGCUUAGGGUAGCAAGGACUACGGUCCUGGUAAUUAUGAGAUCAUUAGCACAAUGAUUUAGCAUAGUUGCAGUGCAAAUGCCAAAUCUGGUCCAGAAACUAGAUGAUGAACAAGAAGUCACUAGGAGUGUUGGAUUGAGCUAUAACUUGGCAAACCCUCGUGAUUUGGUCAUAAGUGGAUGAUGUAAAAAGAUCACACCAAAUGGACUUGCCAAAUUGGUUCUUGCUUCACAAGCAUCAAUUUUGACCAGAGACUUGGUAAACUUAUAGGAAAAUAUUGGCUAACUAAAAUUAGCCAAACUCUUGGGUAGUUGGGUUAUAUGGAUAGGAGAAGGCUUGGGAAUAGUUUGAGCUAUAAUGGAACAAGAUAAAAUAUGCUUGCUUCACAAACUGAAAAUUUGGAGAGAAAACAAGAAUUGCUCCUGUGCUCACAUAGCUCAAUCAAAUGAGCUGAAUUUGGGUUAAAGCUAAUUAUUUGGGAUACUUGAGAGGAUGGCAAGGUUUCAUCCUAUUUGGAAACUCUAUGAAGGUACUUCCUUCACAAAGUGACAAUCUGGUCAAAAACUUUGAAAAAUUGCACAGUGAGCUAGGACGAUUGGAUUGAGCUCAUCUUUGGUAUCCAUGGGUGAUUUAUCAAUAUUAAUCACCCUGCCAAAUUGCAGCUAAAAUAGAAUUAGGAAUAAAGCACUUCCUUUGCAAAAUGUUAGAGAAGGAAAAAACUUGCAUUGGAUCAUGUGCCCAAUUUUGGAGCUGUGGAACAUGAGGUAAAUAUGGAAAUAGUGAUUAUAUAGCAAGGACAAGAUCCACAAUUUAUGUGGGAAUUUUAUCUGCUAUAGAAAUAGUAGGUCCUUUAGAAAAUGGCAAAAAUGCAAUAUUGGUAUUAAAUAGGAAAAGGCAAUUUUCCUUAUUUAUUAUGGCCAAUAUGAUUGCGAGAGCUUGGAUUAGGCAUAAUUAUCAACUCCACCAAUUCACAUGAAUUUAGGACAUGGCUAGAUAUGCCUUUGGAUUUUAUUCCUCAGAAAGGCAAGAAAAGGAAUAAAUAAUAAUUCAAAAAUAUUGCAUGGGACUUGGCAAUAUUUUUGCAUAUCCAAGGUUGAAAAGGAUAGGAGAGUCUCUGGGAACAGGUGGGAUGAUCAACAGAUCAAGGAAAGUGAUAGCCCCUUUGAAAUCACAAAGGGCAUAUUCAAAUCCCCAAAAAAUUGGAAUUAGGGUUUGAGAGGGUUUAAGAUGAUGCAACUGAGGUCUUGCCCACUGAAAAAGACAUGAGCAAGUUUUGAAAGGUUUGAAAUGACAAGAAAUCUCGGAGUCAUCAGCAAAACUCAGGAGAAAGAUUUUGAAAAUGAGUGCCAGGAAGGAAUAACAGCACAAAAAUUGAUAACCCAAUUUUGGGGUUGUUACAAACCUUCCCCCUUAAAAGAAUCUUGUCCUCGAGAUUCCUAGGGUUACAGCACAAAUCAAAAGAUAACCACUCCAGGGAAAAACUCUGGGUUUAAAUUUAACCCUUUGGUUGAAUUUGAACGAGUUGGCGCACCAAUAAUUGGUACACCCAGGGAGAGAUAUGGGCAAAUACGAUUAUAUCCACAGCUAGGGGCAUUCGAGAUCAAACUCUCGAAAAAUUGCUAGAUGCACCCGGUGAACAGUGGACUCACCUGCUGACACGUGGGUCCAGGGCCCACUGGCAGCCUCCUACUACCUUCGGCUAACUGCUUCUUCUGUGCUGCUACUUCGCGUGCGGCUUGGCGCAACACGCAUCUAGCUCCUAGGGCGAUGAGGACCCUAGUGUCGUAGUGUGUGGCAUGCACGGCGCCGGUGCAGCGAGCACUCACGUCGCGGGCCAGCACCUUGUCGGCACUACCCGCGGAUUCGCCUCCUGGACGCCGGUGAUCGAGUGACGAGCGAUUUUCCUGGACUUUGCUCACUGUACACCGGGGUUGGGCUAUAAAAAUGGCAGUAGGGCUCGCUUCCAACACACACACAAUGCCGCUCUACUACCUCUUCGGUUUGGGCGAGAUCGAGCCGAGAUCCUUCGGCGAGGAGGUGUUCUUGGUGGCGUUACGGUUGUUCCUCGUGGCACUGCUGGGCACGCUGAUUGUCUCGUCGAUCCUCCUGGUGAUUCUCAUCAGGAAUGAGCAGGCUCGAGACAACGUGCGGUUGGUGGCUCAAGGUGUUCAAGAAGAUGGUGCACGGGGUGGUCCUCCGCCACGCUUGAUUCUCCGUCGCUUUGCGCCGGCGGAGUAAUCGCAUGCUGCGGUGAAGCAGUGGUGGCGACUUGCUGCACCACACAAGGCAGCGAUGGUGUGGAUGAUGGGUUUGGAUGCGGGUGAGGUGGCUAUGCCAUCUCAGGAAUCAAACUAGGCCGUGGGAAAAAUUUCGUGGAUUGCUCCACGAAAUGUAGGUGUCGAGGUAGAAUCGGAGUUGAAAUCUGUGUCGAGGAGUUGUAAUGGGUCGUGAGAAAUAAAGCUGGCAGUGUUUCUCCGGAAACACAAUUAGGUUCACGGAAAAGAAUCAGGGACGAGAAAUGGCCAGACAAAAAUGGCAUCUUCGACGUUCUAGGUUUGGAAAACCUCGCACACGGGGUAUGCACAGAUAGAGAGGGAUAUGUGACUUUGCAUUCCCCCGAGUAUUGCUCAAUUGUACUCGUGGGUGAACCGGGUAUGUGUGCAGUAUGCAGUAAAAUCUAAACAAACAGACAGAUGCAAUAAACAUGCAACGGAAAAACACACCAGACAAAUCACACUAAGGUGUUUUAAUGCUAGUGGGUAUAUGUACUCCUGGUAUACAUAUACCUACACCAGCGCGCAUUUUAUUAGAGACUCGGAACGAGUCAAUGUUGUUUUUAGUGUAUGUGUUCUACUGAUUAAAAUCUUGUUAGCACACAUUGCCAACCCUGUCAAACAUUUCUGUUUGACAGAGAGACAAACAACAACAAACACAAAAACAAAAGCACGAAAACAAACAACACAACAUACGGGUUACAACAGUACCAGCAUACACCGAGCACGAACGCGCUACACGCUAAACGGAACUACUCACUCUGGGAUACAUGGUUCUAUCCUCAUAUCGGGGACCUACUAGCAGAAACCACUGACUGCAUGACUGAGGUCCUAUGGGCUCCGGAUGGUCCUAUGGUGGAGGAAAGAGGGAGAGGCGCACCCGCCAUUGCUCGAAUUUGAGCAGGCCGAGGCGGCGGCCAUGGAGAUGGGGAGGGGAGGAGAGGCUCCGAGGCAAGGGGGAGAUAGUUGCGGUUGGUUGGGGACUGCGAGAGAGCUUGGGGACGCUAUUUAUAGCCGCAGGGAGAGCUCAGGAAGGAGGGGAGGAGGAGGCAUACGGCAGGCAACGUGUCCAUGCGUCAGCGACGGCGCAGUGUCGGCAGGCGCAGCCAAGGCUCACGGGCAGCGGAGGGAAGGCGACGAGGAGGAUGCAGCCGAGCAGCAGAGACUCACGGAGCAACGCAACACCAAGGAGGCUCAGGGAGGAAGAAGACAGAGGAGGAAGGCGACAGUGCACACGGGACCUCACUAUUCGACCUUUGGCACGGCUCGUCGGAGAAGAAAAUGGAGGGGGCAGAGGUCCACGGGGAAGACGACGUCGAGGGGGAGCUGUAGGACAUUAAUGGCGAGGCCAGAGAUGGUCGGAGCAGCGAUGCCGACGGGAACAGUGGCUAGACCACCGUUUUGGCUGGCUUCCCUCGUGGUCACCACUGGCAUGGCGUGCUCUGGAGUUUUUACCGAUGCCAGCUCAUGUCUACCACGUAGUCCUUCCAAGGUAGAGUGUUACUAUGGUAAAGAUUUGGGCAGAGACAAAUGGAGCUGAGUAAACCAAGCUCCACAAUUUUGCUGUUGCAAACUUGGCAACAUCCUAUAGGUAAAACCAGAGAGGGUAAAGGGUAAAAUUGAUGUCUGGGAGGCUUAGGGUAGCAAGGACUACGGUCCUGGUAAUUAUGAGAUCAUUAGCACAAUGGUUUAGCAUAGCUGCAGUGCAAAUGCCAAAUCUGGUCCAGAAACUAGAUGAUGAGCAAGCACUCACUAGGAGUGUUGGAUUGAGCUAUAACUUGGCAAACCCUCGUGAUUUGGUCAUAAGUGGAUGAUGUAAAAAUAUCACACCAAAUAGACUUGCCAAAUUGGUUCUUGCUUCACAAGCAUCAAUUUUGACCAGAGACUUGGUAAACUUAUAGGAAAAUAUUGGCUAACUAAAAUUAGCCAAACUCUUGGGUAGUUGGGUUAUAUGGAUAGCAGAAGGCUUGGGAAUAGUUUCAGCUAUAAUGGAACAAGAUAAAAUAUGCUUGCAUCACAAACUGAAAAUUUGGACAGAAAACAAGAAUUGCUCCUGUACUCACAUAGCUCAAUCAAAUGAGCUGAAUUUGGGUUAAAGCUAAUUAUUUGGGAUACUUGAGAGAAUGGAAAAGUUUCAUCCCAUUUGGAAACUCUAUGAAGGUACUUCCUUCACAAAGUGACAAUCUGGUCAGAAACUUUGAAAAAUUGCACAGGGAGCUAGGAUGAUUGGAUUGAGCUCAUCUUUGGUAUCCAUGGGUGAUUUAUCAAUAUUAAUCACCCUGCCAAAUUGCAGAUCAAAUGGAAUUAGGAAUAAAGCACUUCGUUUGCACAAUUUCAGAGAAGGCGGAAACUUGCAUUGUAUCAUGUGCCCAAUUUUUGAUCUAUGGAACUAGUGAUUAUAUAGCAAGUACAAGCUCCACAAUUUAUGUGGGAAUUUUAUCUACUAUAGAAAUAGUAGUUCCUUUAGAAAAUGGCAAAAAUGCAAUAUUGGUAUUCAAUAGGAAAAUGCAAUUUUCCUUAUUUAAUUAUGGCCAAUGUGAUUGCCAAAGCUUGUAUUAGGCAUAAUUAUCAACUCCACCAAUUCACAUGAAUUUAGGAGAUGGCUAGAUAUGCCUUUGGAUUUUACUCCUCAGAAAGGCAAGAAAAGGAAUAAAUAAUAAUUCAAAAAUAUUGCAUGGGACUUAGCAAUAUUUUUGCAUAUCCAAGUUUGAAAAGGAUAGGAGGAUCUGUGGGAACAGAUGGGAUGAUCAACAGAUCAAGGAAAGUGAUAGCCCCUUUGAAAUCACAAAGGGCAUAUUCAAAUCCCCAAAAAUUUGGAAUUAGGGUUUGAGAGGGUUUAAGAUGCUGCAACUGAGGUCUUGCCCACUGAAAAAGACAUGAGCAAGUUUUGAAAGGUUGGAAAUGACAAGAAAUCUCGGAGUCAUCAGCAAAACCCAGGAGAAAGAUUUUGAAAAUGAGUGCCAGGAAGGAAUAACAACACAAAAAUUGAUAACCCAAUUUUGGGGCUGUUACAAUAGGUCCAUUGGAAAUUGGUUCAAAAAGCGUCCUCAAAUUCUUCCCAACUUCCGAUGGAGUUUUCAGGGAGGCUUUUUAGCCUGUGCUGAGCUGGUCCUUUUAGCUUGAGGGGUAAGUAUUUGAUGGCAUGGAGAUCAUCUCUGCGAGCCAUGUGGAUGUGAAGAAUAAAGUCUUCUAUCCAAACCGCAGGGUUCGUCGUUCCAUCAUAUGCCUCGAUGUUUACGGGUUUGAACCCUUUUGGAAAAUCGUGUUCCAGCACCUCAUCGGUGAAGCACAGGGGGUGUGCGGCACCCCUGUAUUUGGCCUGUGGUGGCGUGGGUCCGACAGUUGUAAUGUUCGGUAUUGGUUUCGAACUGGUAAAUGACCGGUGUAUUUGGUUUGAUAGUCAUGGUCUCGUGUAGGUGCAUGUUCCCUGGAUCCAUAGAUGGACCUGGUUUUGCCGGCCUUUUUGUCCAGGUCCUCGCGUAGAUCGUGUUUCUGGUCUUGAGCCGCGACCUCCCUUCCUUUAUGGGGAGGGGGUGCAGGCUUGUGUGCGGCAUUGUUGGCCGCUCUGUCUCGACCACGAGGUGCUCGGUCCGGCUUGUCAGUCGUAUUGUUUUUCGGUGGUAUAGGCGCAAUAGCCUCAUCGUCGAAUUCGGGCAGCAGCUUGCGCUUAGGAUAGCCCUUUGUUUGGCGAUUACCGCCGUAUUUUUCCUCAGCGUCUAGCACUUUGUUCCAUUUGUCAUUGAGCGUAUCUUGUGCGGCAUUAAGCCGAUGCUUCUGCUUCUUCAGGCUCCUUGUAGUGGUGAUAAGCCUUUGAUGGAGGUGUUCUUGUUCUAAGGGUUCUUCUAGGACGAAGAAUUCGUCGUUGCCCAGGCCGAUCUCCUCUUCGGAGACAGGUUGGUUAUUGCUAUCUUCGGCAUCACUUGGGUCAGACAACAUCGCCAGACUGUGCUCGCCGUCCUCUCACGCGUCCUGCUCCAACGCUGGUUCUGUGGGGUCCUCGGUUUGGUUCAGAUUAUCAUCGUCGUCCGUGACAAUGUUGCUAUUUUUCCUUUUGGCAGAUCGAGGUCGAUGCUUGUGACAUCGAUGCUUGGGAGGUUCAUCGACAAGCAUACCAUUAUCAUCGUCGGCCUCCUUCUCUUUAGGUGUGUCCACCAUGUAUAUAUUGUAUGAGGAUGUAGCUGUCCAUCGCCCUAUGGGUGGGGAUUUUUGUGUCUGCUCCACUCCAGCAUAGUCAUCCGUACUGUUGAUGUCUUUGGAGCCGUAAUCGAGCAUGUCGGUUAAGUCUUUGACAGUGGCGAUGAAGUGGGCGGUGGGUGGGAAACGAAGCUCUUCGUCGUCCGCUUCCCAUUCGAGCCGGACAUAGUUCGGCCGAGAGUCCCCCGAUAGGGAGAGGGAUUUCAAUGAGUUUAACACAUCGCCUAGAGGCGAGUGCUGGAAGAUGUCCGCGGAGCUGAACUCUAAUAUCAGUGCCCGAUCAAGUUCAAUGGACGCGGAUGCACGCGGUCCGGAACCUAUAGCCGGAGACGAAUCCGAGGUUCCGGCAACACAAGCCCAGCUCGAUGUUGGGUAUGUGUGCGGCUUGAACGCCGCUGAGUCUGCGGCUUCCGUGGCGGGGUUGAGCUUCCCGUCCUCGAACGACGCUUUCUGCUCUGGAUCUAGGGCCAGAGCAGUUACGGGUGCUAUCUCCUGAGCGUGGUCCAAUGACAGAUUUAGGUCAUGUUCAUCAUGAUGGUAGGGGAUAGCCGUCGUGGGUCCGAAUCUGUUGAAAUCAAAUCUCCGCGGAUAUCGGCCACGAAAUUCAGACUUCCAAAUCUGACCUGAUGGUCAGGGGCGUAGCUAUUGAUCUGCUCUAGAUGGCCAAGCGAGUUGGCCCGCAGUGCAAAGCCGCCGAAUACGAAGAUCUGUCCGGGGAGGAAGAUCUCCCCCUGGAUUGCAUUGUUGUAGAUGAUUGAUGGAGCCAUCAAGCCUUUUGGUGACGACGCGGUGGAACUCUCAAUGAAAGCACCAAUGUCGGUGUCAAAACCAGUGGAUCUCGGGUAGGGGGUCUCGAACUGUGUGUUUGAGGCUAAUGGUAUCAGGAGGCGGGGGACACAAUGUUUACCCAGGUUCGGGCCCUCUCUAUGGAGGUAAUACCCAACUUCCUGCUUGAUUGAUCUUGAUGAAUAUGAGUAUUACAAGAGUUGAUCUACCACGAGAUCGUAAUGGCUAAACCCUAGAAGUCUAGCCUAUGAGAUUAUGAUUGUUGUUCUAUGGACUAAACCCUCCUGUUUAUAUAGACACCAGAGGGGGCUAGGGUUACACAAAGUCGGUUACAUAGAAAGGAAUCUACAUAUACGAAUCGCCAAGCUUGCCUUCCACGCCAAGGACAGUCCCAUCCAGACACCGGAAGAAGUCUUCUAUCUUGUCUCUUCAUAGCCCAACAGUCCAGACCAUGUAUAUAGUCCGGCUAUUCGAGGACCCCUUGAUCCAGGACUCCCUUAGCCGUCAAUAGGCCGAAAGCUAACACGGGCUGGAAACGGCCCAUGUGGAUCACGGGCCGUUAACGGGUACAAAGAAAUGUAUUGUUCAUUAUGGGCUAGAGACACCGCGGGCCUCUGAAGGGCCUAAAGAUACGAAGGCCACAUAUGGGACAAAAAACAUCAUGGGCCAUACAUGGGCCGAAAGUGAAACGGGCUGGUGUUAUAUUCGACGGACCACAUGACAUUGUUGGGCCGAUUUCCGUUAGGCCCUAACGGGUCGUAAGUUACCAGGCUGUAAAAUGGGCUAUUUGCGAAGAGACCAUUAACAUGCUUUUCACGGGCCAGCCCGUUAACUUUUGACCAAGUCAAAUGGGUCGGCUUUGUAAGCUAAAUGAGCCAGUAGUGGGACGUCGCAUGUGUCGACAUAUCAUAGGCGCCUAUCUGACCCACUGACGAGCUGACACGUGUUUCAUCCGGCCAAUUAGAAUUUUACACGUGGAAAUUUCCCAUUGGUCCGGGCUGUUAACGGGUUAUCGAAUCCAAAACCCGACCCGAUACCUUAACGGUGUUCCGUUACGGUGAUGCCACGUGUUGGUCACCCUUGACAAAAGCACUUCUGUGAUGCGCGAUUUAUCAUCAUGGAAGUGGACACUUCCAUGAUGAUAAUUUUGGUAAUGUCAUGGAACACUUCUACGACAUCACAGGUAUGACUAUCUUAAUUCUGUCAUAAAAUCGUCAUGGAUGUACAUGCAUGACAACAAAUGCGACCUACUGUGACAAACACGUAUCAUCACGAAAGUGUAUUUUUUGUAGUGGUGCAGGCUCGUCGACAACUGGGUUAAUCAUGCACGCCUUGUUGCCGGAGAUGCCUGAUGUUUACUACACAACUUGUUCUUGUAGACUCGUGUUGGGCCUCCAAGCGCAAAGUUUUGUAGGACAGUAGCAAUUUUCCCUCAAGUGGAUGACCUAAGGUUUAUCGAUCCAUGGGAGGCAUAGGAUGAAGAUGGACUCUCUCAAACAACCCCGCAACCAAAUAACAAAAUGUCUCUUGUGUCCCCAACACACCAAAUACAAUGGUAAUUUAUAUAGGUGCACUAGUUCGGCGAAGAGAUGGUGAUACAAGCAUAGUAAUGAUAGUAGAUAUUGAUUUUUGUAAUAGGAACAAUAAAAAACAGCAAGGUAGCAAUGAUAAAAUAGAGGACAAACGGUAUUGCAAUGUGUGAAAAUGAGGCCUAGGGUCCAUACUUUCACUAGUGCAACCUCUCAACAAUGCUAAUAUAAUUGGAUCAUAAAACCAUCCCUCGACCUGCGACGAAGAAUCACUCCGAAGUUCUUAUUUAGCAGAGAACAUAAGUAGAAAUUGUUUGUACGGUAUGAAACCACCUCAAAGUUAUCAUUUUCGAUCAAUCUAUCUAAGAGUUCAUACUAAAAUAACACCAAGUUAUCCUGAUUGAUCUAUCCAAGAGUUCGUACUGAAAUAACACCAUAUGAUACACAUCAACCAACUCUAAUGUCACCUACAUACUCAAAUGUCACUACGAGUAUCCGUGAGUUGGUUAUGCGAUAUGCAUCAAACAAUUUCAGAUUCACAAUACUCAAUUCAACACAAAGAACCUCAAAGAGUGCCACAAGAUUUCUACCGGAGAAACAAGGACGAAAACGUGCAUCAACCCCUAUGCAUAGAUUACCCCAAUGUCACCUCGUGAAUCCGUGAGUUGAGCGACAAAACAUAUAUCAAGUGAAUUAAUAUGAUACCCCAUUGUCACCACGGGUAUUCAUUGCAAGACAUACAUCAAGUGCUCUCAAAUCCGUAAAAGUAUUCAAUUAUAUAAAACAAAAUCUCGAAGGGAAAACUCAAUUCAUCACAACAAGAUAAAGAGGGAGAAACACCAUAUGACCCUCCUAUAUUAACAAAGCUCACGAUACAUCAAGAUCGUGCCAACUCAAGAACACGAGAGAGAGAGGGAGUGAGAGAGAGAGAGAGAGAUUAAACAGGUAGCUACUGGUACAAACCCUCAACCCCGAGGGUGGACUACUGCCUCCUCAUCAUGGUGGUGGUCGGGAUGAUGAAGAUGGCCACCGGUGAUGAUUUCCCCCUCCGGCAGGGUGUCGGAAGAGGGUUUAGAUUGGUUUUUCGUGGCUAUAGAGGCUUGCGGCGGCGGAACUUCUGAUCUAGGGUUAUUUCUGUAUUUAUAGGAUUGGCGUCAAUCUCACGUCUAGAUGAGCUUCGAGUGGCCCACCACCCACCAGCACAAAAGAAAGACCCCUGGCGUGCUCUUGUGGGUGGUGGCCACCUCCUUCACCUUCUGGUCCUCUGACGAAGCUUGUAGUGCCUCUUUUGUUCCAAAAAAACCGUCAAAAAGUUUCAUUGCAUUUGGAGAACUUUUAUUUCUGCAUAAAAAACAACACCACGGUAGUUCUGCUGAAAACAACGUCAGUCCGGCUUAGUUCCAUUCAAAUCAUACCAAAACCAUAUAAAAUUGUUGUAAACAAGGCAUGAAUACUUCAUAAAUUAUAGAUACGUUGGAGACGUAUCAACAUCCCCAAGCUUAAUUCCUACUCGUCCUCGAGUAGGUAAAUGAUAAAAGAAAUAAUUUAUGAAGUGUGAAUGCUAGCAAAGUGCAUAAGUUUGAUCAAUGAUAAUUUUAGCCACUUUCCUAGCAUCAUAACAACAACUCUUUCUCAUAAAACUCAUCAUGAUAAAGUAGCAAUCAAUGCACAUGUUAUUGUUCAAACAAUGUAUUCUCUCAAAACUUAACAACCUAUGUUCUCAGUCACCAAGCAAUUGUAAUUCAACUUAUUCAACAAAGUCUAAGUAAGAGCUCCACAUACUCAAUCAUCAUAUAGUCUUCUAUGAUUGCUAGUACUGAAAGCAUAUUUUUAGAACAAAUGGCAUCCAUCAAACACAAAGAAAGAUAGGGGCUUAAUGUUUCGCCUCCCAAAUCAUUUAUCAUAGAGAUAAUUGUCAACAAUAAUAAUUCAUGAUCAAAUACAUUUGACUAGUCAUAUGUGCCUAGAUCUUUCCCCACCACAUCAUGCUUGCCAACUAGAGAAUAAUUGAGGUUGAAAUGAGAAUGCAUACUAUUAACUCUUGCAUAAAAGUAAAUACUGUAAAGUAAAAGAUAGGCCCUUCGUAGAGGGAAGCAGAGGUUGUGAUGCACUUUUAUUUUUGGAUGCGCAAGCUCUUAAUGCAAAGGAACGUCACAUUAUAUUUCCCCUUAUGAUAGCAACCUUUAUUAUGCAGUCCCUCACUCUUAUUGCUUUGCAAUCAUAAGUUUGUACAACGCUUAUUUUCCCUUACAAUAAAAGAUCAAACAUAUUUUGGCUUAAUUUUUAUUGCUUUAUUCACCGAUGAUAACUUACUUGAAGGAUAUUAUUCAAUCCAUAGGUAGCUAUGCUGGACACUCAUGGCAAUAAACUGGGUUUAAGGGUUUUUGGAUGUACAAGUAGUAUCUCUACUUAGUACGAAUUUGUGGCUAGCAAAAGAUCCUAAGCAAACACCACAUGUUGGAGGAUCCAUAACAAUAUAACUUCUAUGCAAAUAUACAUAGCUAUAACCCAUUACGUUGUCUUCCUUGUCCAACUUCAAAUAAUUUGCUCAAAUUUGAAAAUAAUUAAUGGGUAUUCACAAUCAUAGAAGAUGUCCAAGAUAAUAUAUUUGUACGUGAAAGUUCUCUUCCUUAUACUAAUCAUUCACGAAUUGCUUGUAUGACCAAUAUUGUGAUUGUCAAGCUUCAAUAGAUUUCACUUUCUAAACCCAAUGUGAAGCUACUACUAGGCAUGAUAUGAACAUAUAAUUUAAACUUCAUGAUAUUCAGUUCAUUCAACAAUUUACUCAUAGGAUAUAAGUGAAGCAGAAGAGUAAAAGUCAAACUACUCCAAAAAGAUAUAAGUGAAGCUCAAGCGAGUAGUUAAGUAAACGGGUAGCCAUUUGAGGACUCUUUCUCAUUUAAAAACUUCCAGAUCUGAGUAUUUUUUUAAACAGCAAGCAAAACAAAAAUAAAGUGACAUUCCAACAAUAGCACAUAUCAUGUGAAGAAGCAAAAACUUAGGUGCAACCGAGGCUAACCAAUAAUUGUUGAUGAAGAAAGGUGGGAUGCCUACUGGGGCAUCCCCAAGCUUAGAUGCUUGAGACUUCUUGAAAUAUUAAUUUGGGAUGCCUUGGGCAUCCCCAAGCUUGAGCUCUUGUAUCUUCUCCAUUCCUCUCAUAUCACAGUUUUCCUAAAUCUCAAAAACUUCAUCCACAUAAAACUCAACAAGAACUUGUGAGAUGAGUUAGUAUAAAUCAAUGCAAAAACCUUAUCAUUCUCUACUGUAACAAAUCACUAAAAUUAUAAUUUAACAUUGCAUACUAAAUGCCUCUACAUAUUUAAUACUCCUAUCCUCAAAUAGAAUCAUUAAACAAGCAAACAUAUGCAAACAAUGCCAUCUGUGUAAAUAGGACAGUCUGUAAAGGAUGAAGCAAGAUCCAUACUUAUUUAACUCACAAAAUUCUGAACAUUUACCACACUGUAGAAAAUUUAUCAUAGCUUACGAUGCAAAUAAAUUUCAGCAUUUUAUCACGUUUUGACUUUUCUCAAGAAUUCGUGCACUAGCGCGCAACUUUCUGUUUUCAACCAGCAACAUAUAAACUUGCAAAAUAAGCAUGGCAAAGGCUAUACUUGACACUUCUAUUGAAAUAAAAGAUGAAAAAAUUAUUAUAAAUAAAAGCAAGAAAAUCCUAAUAAUAUCAAAUUAUGCUCUAAGCAAAACACAUAUCACGUGACGCAUGAAAAUAUAGCUCCAAGUAUGGUUACCGAUAAUGUUGGACACGAAAGAGGCGAUGCCUUCCGGGGCAUCAAUCCACUGCCUUAUAAAUAGGGACAGGAGGGCCCUAUUUUCAAUUCACCCCCUGCUGCUGCCGCUUCUUCUUCCUCUCGACACCAUGCGUUUUUGAGCUCCACCGCCGUCGACCUCGUCAACUACCUUGACUCCGGCCGCUGCAUCGACUUGAACGAACCAGAGCAUCGCGGCACACGUUCGCUAUCCAGCAGCCCCAGUAAGUACUCCUUUCUCGUAGCAAAUCUCUGUUAGGGUUUGCUCAAGUUCAUCAGAAUUCAUCUCCGCUCUUCUUUGUUCCUCUUUAAAUUGUGUAACAGAAUCUGAAUCCAUUACCAAAGUAGUGUUGCAACCGUUAGCAUCCCAUUUUAAUCAAAAAGAUUCCCCUUCCAUAGAAAUAAUCUAAUCUGACCACAUGAGCUCUUCCACUGCCACUGCCUUAGGUUUAGAAUUUAUUCCAUUUUCUGAACAGCUGCAGAUCCAAAAUUGUAACUCUAGUCUGUGAAAUCUGUUUGUCAUAACUUAGCAAAUCCCUACUUAUAGAUCUAAAAUUGUAGCAACCUGUUUCGGGCGGCUUAGCUGAUAAACUAUAACCCGCCAUGUAUCAUUAGUCCCCUUUUAAGCUGCCAAUAGAUAUAUCUGCAUAACUCAACGCUAUCCUCCAGCUUAACAUAUUGGCUAUUUAUAGCUCUAUUUUUUAAUCAAUAGUCCGGGUUAGUACAUGGUUUUAAACCGACAAUAUUUUCCUUUCAGACCUUCAUCCUCAACAAUGACCAAGACUAUCACCUCAUGCAACUGGGUAGCUUCCUGGGUCACCAAGGAAACUUUAAACAAGUUCGUCCAGACAAGCGUCUCAGCCAAAAAAUAUGUCAUCCACUUGAGGGUCCCAGGCAAUAAGAACCCUCCUGGGCCCAAGGAAGGCGAAGUGAUUGUUUUUAUUGAUCAUCUGCUCCGAGGCUUUACUCCUCCUGGCUCAAAAAAUUUCUGCGAUGUGCUGCACUGUUUCCAGCUCCAUCCUCAAGAUAUUGGGCCGAAUUCUGUUUCAAACAUCUGUAACUUUCAAGUGUUCUACGAGGUGUACCUUCAAUAGGAGCCCACUAUAGAACUAUUCAGAGAAUUUUAUUACUUGAACCGGCAGACCAAGUUCACAGACGGGCCCAGUCUAGAAUUAGGUGGUAUUUCGAUUCAAAGAUGGAAAGAAGCCACUUCCCCAGCUGCCAAACUGCCCAGUCAUCCCAAAGACUGGAACCAAACUUGGUUUUAUUUCCAAGACACUUCUCCAGAAGGGGAAAACCCUCUAGCGGGUCACCGUGUCAGCCGACUUAGCAACAGGCAUCCUCUUCCACACCGCAUUAGCACAGCGGAACGAAAAAAAUAUGUUUUUUUCAAAGAUCCGAGCCUUAAUGGCUAACGGCUUGACCGGAAUCGAUCUAGUUUGGUGUUGGGUCGCCUGGAGAAUUCUGCCCUUAAGUCGCAGCCCCGGCUUAAUGUGCAAGUACAUCGGUGCUUUAAAAGAUCCACAACGCCACUCCCAGAUUCAAUUGACUGAUGAGGAUAUCAAUAAUAUGACCAAGUCUCUAUUGAACGAGAGCUUGGCAGAUUGCAGUAAAGCCAGACUGAAUCCUUUCUGCACUCUCAACAAGCCGCCAGUUGUAAGUUUUGCACAUAAUUUUCAGUUGAAUCAUAUUUCCAUUUAAACUAUCCUAUUGUAAUCGUCUGAGUUCCACAGGACGAUUCUCCUUUUUGGAAUAAUAAGCUGCGGGACGAGCCGACCAAGACGACUCGGACAAAGAAUAAGGCUCAAAAAAAGCCUGCCAAGAAAAAGACCAACACCUCCGAGCUAUUUGACUUGGAUGACAUUGAGUCGGAGGUAGAACUUGACUCCCUUGGCUCAUUUUUGUACAUCUUAUUGACAAUGAUCACUAUCAGGAUGACGCCGAAGGCAGCCACGCAGAUGGCGAAGAGGUAACUAUCCUUUCCUCCGACUCAGAACCUCUGCCAAGACAAAAAGUUCGUCAAGCAAGCCAGAAAGUAAGGUUUUCUCAUCCUUUAGCUUAUUUGGAUCCCAACUUUAUUUUGAAGAAGCAGCAGCAUGAAGCUCGCCGCACGAAUGGAACAGUGAAGGCGGGAUUCUCUCCUCUGGCUUACCGAACACACCAGCUCCUCGCAAGCGUCGUCCAGAGGUUUCACCGAUUUCUGACUUAGCUUGUCCCAAGGUGGGUCUUUUUCGGCAACCUCUUAAUCCUUCCGACUCAAAUUACCAGGGAACAUCUCAUUCCUCCUCCGGUGAUUCAACGGGGACUCACAUCCCAGUCUUCAAGACCAUGCCCGGGUAAGAAUGUUAAAUCUCUGCUUUAAAUCAUGUACUCAAUUGUCAUAUUAACCCCGUCUUGUGCUUCAUUUUCAGAGCUAUGGCAAAGCCUAGCAAAAAGUUGAAAGUGACCAAAACAAUUGAAGACCUUAAUGAACCGAAGAAGCAAUUAACAAAAACUUCUCUUCAAGCUGCUGAGGCCACCACUGAUGGCCUGGCGCCAGAAGAGCACAACGUCACCAUCGAUCAUAUGGAUGUUGAACCGGCCACUACCAAGCCGCCAAGUCCCAUCGAGCCUACUGAAUAAAAGGCUGAUGAUGUUGUCAUUACUAGGCUUGGCUACACGGCGCCGGGCAAUCCCACUGUCUUGUCAAAGCACAGUGCUAAGGAUGAAAUCUCCGUUGCUGACAAAGGCAAAUGGUCGGUAAAUUUGGAAAGUUAUGCCCAAUAUAGUGCUCAAGAGAUCCACUCUGGGUAUCUGAACCAUCUGCACACAAGCUGCGACUUUGAGGCCGGCUUAGUCAAUCUUAUGAAGGAACGUUUUGAGGUAAACGCUACAGUCUUCUUCAUAUACUUCUAUCAGCCGCCAAGUCUACUAGAUAUGAUAGAAUUGAAUAUGAUGUAGACUUUAGAUAGCCUUAUAGAUAUCUAGAUCAAAACAAGAAGCCGCCAAGGGCCGGCUUAAGCUAUCAAGAUAAGCCGGGAGUUCAAAUAGUAGUGAGCAACUUUGCACCUGUAGCCCCCAAGGGCUGGCUUAAUCAGCAUGGAUAAGCCAGGACUUUUCACCAUAAUUGUCAAUAAAAUCCAAGUAUGUAGCCCCCAUGAGUCGGCUAUAGUCAUAAUAGUGUAGCCGGGUCAUCAUAGUAUUGCCUUCAAAAAAGAGCAAUGAGCAUUAGCCCCCAAGUGCCAAGUGAAAUACUUGUAUUGUGCUUGGGACUUCAAAGAAAAUGAUUGUAAUGAUGCCUGUCAUUUGCAUACUACAGGCGGAGCUAAAUAUGAAACAAUCCCAAGCCGCCGAUCUUCAGAAAAAUAUCAAGUCUCAACAAUCUGAAACUUCCAAGGCCAAAUCAGAAUUGACAACAUCCUUGGAAGAGAUGGAGAAGUUGAAAAAGGAUUUCAAGGCUGACAGGACAAAUUGGGAGACUAAGAAGACAACUCUGUUGAAAAGAGCAGAAGAAGCAGAAACAACCCUUAAACCGGUGGCUGAAGAGCUUUCCGGCUUAAAGCAUCAAAUUAACACCAUGUCAGCCACCAUCUUUGGUAAUUAACACUAUACUUCAAUAUUUCCAUAGCAAUUUAUACCAAUCAUUACCCAGUUUACCAAUACGUUGGCAUUGAUGCAGGCCCGAGAAGCUCCAGCCUUGGUGAAGAUAUGCACGUUAAACUCAAAGCCACAUAUACUCUUGUGGAGCAACUAUACUCUGGCGCUCAACGAGCCAUCUCUGCUGCUUUACACAAAAAAUCACCACCCUCUCUCAUCAAGGAAGUGCUGGAGAGGCUAUCUGUGCUGCCAUAGAGAAUCAAAGAGUUGAAGCGAUCAGCCGCCAGGGCCGUUGCCAUCACUGCAUUAACCUGGGCAAAGGCGUGUCAAGCGGAUCUUGAUCCAGAAGAUUUGACCAAUGGCUGCCCAAGCGUAAAAGAAGACGGGUCUCCCUUCAGUGUUGAUGACUUUGCUGAAAUAGUAAGGGAAAUGCGCCCAUUAGCAAGCAAACUGGUUGAAGACACAGACCUGUCCCAGUAUUAGGCGGUUUAUGACGCUGAAAACAAGAAGGUGAAAGCAUCGGUUCAUGAAGCCCAGGUCCUUAUUCCGCCAAUUCAUAAGCACACCUUUGCCCCUGAUAUUGACCCGUGACGAGGCUGUGUUCAAAGCUUUGACUGGGAUCAAUUGGGCCACAGCUGACAUCCAGUGAACGGGUGAAGAAGAAGAUGAACCGGUGCAAGAUGACCCGAAAGCCACGACCCGCCAAGACCAGGAGUCUUGAUCCAUGAGCCGAUUUACCAGCCACAGUGUUUGGAUGUCGUGUGUCUCAAAACACUUUAUUAUUUUGUGGCCACAUAAUGCCUUGUAAUAGGCUAGUUGAAAAACCAUGAUCUACCAUGCCACCGUGUGUGUUUAUUUGCAUAACACUUAUGAGCCAUUCGAUCUGAUUUGAAGAUCCACUGUUUGUGCACAUACUCAUUGUCAACCUUGCUGAUCAUGUUGUCAUAAGCCCUUCAUACAAACAGAGAACAAGUGCCCUGGCGGUUUACUCCAAGGCAGGUCAUAAUGCCCCAUAUAAAAUCCACUGGUGACUAUAUCGUCCAUAACCAAGGCGGGUUUAUCAAAACCUCAUAUAAUCAUAACAAAGUAAAUAUCAUACUUGUGAUACUUACUCAUACUGACGGCUUACAAAGCCACAUGUAAUAAGGGUAACAACCCAAAAACUGAGAGCGCAGCGCCCUAUGCAAUUUAUUCAUACUGUCGUCUUACAACACCACAGGCAGCAAAGGGUAACAUCCCGAAACUUAGAGUGUAGAACUCCAAGCACAUAAUCAUCACACACUGGCGACUUAAUGCCCAAAACCAGGCCGGCUUAGCAAAACACCGGAUAUAUUCAAAUAUGAAUUAUAAGGAUCAAGGCAACAUGGCCCUAAUCAAUUUUCAACCAUAUAUCAAUAUGGUACAAACAAAAAUCCCAAAAAAUGUUCAAAUCAAAUACAAAUCAGGAAAACAAGGCAUUCAAAGGCUGCCAAGCCUCAAUAUCAAGUGGUAUUCAAGGGCCGCACAACCACUGAGUUACUCCUUAAUUCAAACCUGUAAGUCGGGCCUCACAUGACCAAUCACCGUUUUAACUUUGAUGAGUUCAGGGUCUUUAUAAGAUUGACUAUCAAGAGUACGGAGAGUCAUUCCAAGAUUACCUAGUCGGAGUGACAAGCAUACAAAGUCAGGAUAACCCGAAUUUUUGGUGAAUACACCUGGCGUCCAAGCCUUUUACAAGGGACAACAAAGCUCUAUUCAUUUAACAAGGAGCCCUCAAGUAAUAUUUCGAUCAAGGCAUACAAGCCGGAUCAGUAGGGUAGUCAUAGCUAUGCUCAAUGAACAGGAAGCCCCCAAGUAAUUUGCAAUCAAGGCGUACAAGUCGGAUCAAGAGGGUAGUCAUAGCUAUGUUCAUUUGAACAGGAAGCCCCCAAGUGAUCUUAUGAAUUGACAAUAAAGACUCAAAUUCUCAGAAAUGAAACGACAGAGGCCCUGAAUUAUCAGGGAUGCCGGCUUUAUUAUGCUAAUCAUAAUAUAUACAUUGGUAGAAGUAUGUACAUCACAAGAGCCGGUGGCUCUGGUGUAACAAGGCCGAAGAUGAGCAAUAUUCCAUGGCCGGUAGGUCUCCUUCUCCGACGUGCGUGAGUCCUUGUGGCCUCGAACAUCGAUAAGGUAGUAUGACCCAUUGUUCAGAUUUUUGCUGACCACAAAGGGCCCUUCCCAAGGUGGGGAUAACUUAUGCAUGUCUGUUUGAUCCUGAAUGAGCCGGAGCACCAAGUCACCUUCUUGAAAGGUAUGGGUUUUAACCCGGUGGCUAUGAUAACGAUGCAUAUCCUGCUGGUAAAUCGCCGAACAAGCCGCCGCAAGGUCACGCUCCUCAUCCAGAAGGUCAAAAGCAUCCCGACGUGCUUUUUCAUUAUCAGCUUCAACAUAAGCCGCCACACGGGGCGAGUCGUGACAGAUGUCACUUGGGAGAACUGCCUCUGCUCCGUAAACCAUGAAGAAAGGCAUGUAACCCAUAGAUCUGCUGGGGGUGGUAUUGAUACUCCAAAGCACUAAAAGGUAACUCCUCAACCCAACAACCAGGCGUCCUCUGCAAAGGGACCAUAAGCUGGGGCUUUAUGCCUUUCAAGAUUUCUUGAUUGGCUCUUCUAGCUUGGCCAUUGGACUGGGGGUGAGCCAUUGAUGAUACAUCAAGACGAAUAUGCUCUUGUUGACAAAAUUCUUUCAUUGCACCCUUAGACAGGUUUGUACCGUUAUCAGUGAUGAUACUAUGAGGCCAUGAGAGUAUCCAAACCGAAAGAUCACCUAAUAACCCUUGAAAUGACCAGCAAUAGCGUCAACCUCGCGGCGAUAAGCCGCCAUGAGUGGGUCCUUUGAAUCCCAAGUUCCUGAAACUUGCUGAGCCACCAAGUCUGAGUCGCCAAAACAACUCACCCGACUUAGAUUCAUCUCUUUAGCCAUUCGAAGACCAUGGAGCAAGGCUUCAUACUCAGCUGCAUUGUUAGUACAAGGGAACAUCAACCAAAAACAUAACAAAAUUUAUCACCUCGUGGGGAAGUCAAAAUAACUCCAGCCCCCGAGCCUUCCAAUUGCCUGGAUCCAUCAAAGAAAAUAGUCCAAUAUGUGUUAUCCGGCUUUUCCUCCGGCAUCUGUAGCUCUGUACAUUGAUGAAAUCCACAAGUGUUUGAGACUUCAUAGUUGUUCGAGGUAUAUACUUCAAACCAUGAGGUCCAAGCUCAAUAGCCCAUUUGGCUACCCGACCCGUGGCUUCUCUGUUUUGAAUAAUAUCCCCUAGGGGAGCAGAACUAACCAUAGUGAUGGGAUGACCAAGGAAAUAUUGUUUCAACUUACGGCUAGCCAUGAACACGCCAUAAACCAGUUUCUGCCAAUGUGAGCAUCUCUGCUUAGACUCAAUGAGCACUUCACUGACAUAAUAAACCGGCCUUUGAACCAGAUAUUCCUUGCCUGACUCUUUCCUUUCCACCACAACUGCCACACGAACGGCUCUGUUGUUAGCAGCCACAUAUAAAAGCAAGGGCUCCUUCUCAAUAGGAGUUGCAAGAACUGGUGGCUCAGACAGCUAUUUUUUAAGCGCCUCAAACGCCUCAUUGGCCGCAUCACUACAGACGAAAUGAUUUGUCUUCUUCUUCAUCUGAUUAAGAGGAAUGGCCUUUCACCCAGAUGGCUUAUAAACCGACACAAAGCCGCAAUACGACUCGCCAAGCGCUGGACGUCAUUUAUACAUGCCUGUUUAGACAAUGAAGUGAUAGCCUUGAUUUUCUCCGGGUUAGCUUCAAUGCCUCUCUCAGAAACCCCAAACCCCAAUAGUUUGCCUGCUAGUACGCCAAAGACACACUUGGUCGGGUUAAGCAUCAUCUUAUAGACCCAAAGAUUAUCAAAGGUCUCUUUAAAAUCAUCUAUCAAAGUCUCUUUCUUCUUGGACUUCACAAGAAUAUCAUCCACAUACGCGUGAACAUUGCAUCCAAUCUGGUCAUGGAGGCAAUUCUGAACGCACCGCUGAUAAGUCGCAUGGGCACUCUUGAGCCCAAAAGGCAUAGAACAUAUCGAAAGGCUCCAAAGGGAGUGAUGAAAGUUGUCUUCUCCUGGUCCUUAACUGCCAUCUUGAUCUGAUGAUAACUGGAAUAAGCAUCCAGAAAGCUCAAACGCUCACAAACCGUCGUAGCAUCAAUAAUCUGAUCAAUACGAGGGAGAGCAAAAGGGUCAACUGGACAGGCCUUAUUAAGAUUUGUAUAAUCCAAGCACAUACGUCAAGUGCCAUUCUUCUUAAGCACCAGCACCGGGUUAGCCAACCACUCAGGAUGAAAAACUUCAAUGAUGAACCCAGCCGCCAAGAGCCGGGCCACCUCUUCACCAAUAGCCUUAUGUCUCUCUUCAUUGAAACGACGAAGGAAUUGCUUGACCGGCUUAAACUUGGGAUCAAUAUUGAGAGUGUGCUCAGCGAGUUCCCUCGGUACACCUGGCAUGUCUGAAGGUUUCCAUGCAAAGAUGUCCCGAUUCUCAAGGAUGAACUCGAUGAGCACGCUUUCCUAUUUCGGAUCCAUAUUAGCACUGAUGCUGAACUGCUUGGAUGAGUCGCCAGGAACAAAAUCAACCAACUUAGUAUCAUCCACCGACUUAAACUUCAACAAGGGGUCGUUCUUUGUAGUUGGCUUCUUCAAAGGCGUCAUAUCCGCCAGGUCAACAUUAUCUUUAUAAAAUUUCAACUCCUUUGUGGCACAAGCCGACUCAGCAUACGCAGCAUCACCUUCUUCACAAUCCAGAGUGAUCUUCCUAUUACCGUGCACCGUGAUGGUGCCUUUAUGACCCGGCAUUUUAAGCUGCAAAUAAACAUAACAAGGUCGUGCCAUAAAUUUGGCAUAAGCCGGCCGCCCGAACAGAGCAUGAUACUGGAUUUUGAUCUUGAACACCUCAAAGGUCAACUUUUCAGCUCUAGAAUCAUGGUCAUUACCAAAGGACACCUCCAGGAUUAUCUUACCCACCGGAUACGCCGACUUACCAGGCACCACCCCAUGGAAAACAGUAGAAGACGUCUUAAGGUCCUUGUCAGUCAAAUUCAUACAGCGGAAAGUAUCAUAGUAAAGGAUAUUGAUACUACUACCCCCAUCCAUGAGCACCUUUGUAAGCUUGUAUCCUCCUGCAUGAGGAGCAACCACCAAUGCCAAUUGACCCAGAUUGUCAACCCGGGGCGGGUGAUCCUCACGGCUCCAUAUGAUAGGUUGCUCAGACCACCUCAAAUAUCGAGGUAUCGCCGGCUCAAUGAGUUCACCACCCGCUUAUGGAUUUUCUGAUCUCGUUUGCACAAACUUGUGGUAAACACAUGAUAUUGACCACUAUUUAGCUGCUUUGGAUUGCUCUGAUAACCUGACUGCUGUUGCUGAUUCCCCUGACCAGAUUGCUGAUUAAAGUCACCAUGAUUGCCUUGGCCCUGAAAAACCAGAGCUUGAACCACCACCUCCAAAGCCAGGCUCGUGAGAUCCGGAUCCUGAGACGCCACGCGGGCCAUGGUUAUUUUGGAAAAAAAUAGAGUUUCUAUACUCCCUCAUGAUGAAGCAAUCCUUCCACAGAUGACUGGUCGGCUUCUCGUGGGUGCCAUGCUUUGGGCAAGGCUGAUUCAUCAUGGCCUCGAGGUUGAACUUCGGCCCUCCAAACCGGGGUGCUGGUGUUUUCCCCUUACAACGCUGAUUAUUGUUCUACGCAUUGGUGUUAGCUACAAAGUCUAAACCACCAUCGGCCUUGCGCUUACCAUUGCCACCUUGACCCGCCGUAUUAUGUUGUCCCUUUGCAUUGUCACUCCUUUUCCCUUUGUCAGCCUUCUCCUCAUCAGACUCAGGGUCCUUAGUACUAUCAGAGUCGGCAUAUUUGACGAGAGCAGCCAUGAGCUCCCCCAUAUCAUUGCAGCUGCGCUUAAGCCGCCCCAGCUUUUGUUUCAGAGGAAGAAAAUGACAAUUCUUCUCCAGCAUUAGGACGGCUAGGCCGGCGUUGAUACUGUAUGAUGAAUGGAUAAUGAUAGAGAUCUGGCGUAUCCAAUUGGUUCUUAACUCGCCUUCUCCCUGGACACAUGAAUCUAAGUAUGGAAUUGACAUAGGCUGCUUGCAUGUGUCUUUAAAAUUUUGAAUGAAAUGCGCCUUCAGCUCAACCCAUGAUCUGAUGGAGUUAGCAGGCAAUCCUUUCAGCCAAGUAUGCGUCGGCCCAUCCAAGAUCAUAGUGAAGUAUUUAGCACAUGCGGCAUCACUAACAUCCAACAUCUCCAUAGCCAUCUCAUAACUCUCAAUCCAAGCUUCCGGUGGUUGAUCCACCAUGUAAUUAGGCACAUUGUGAGGGCCCUUGAAAUCCUUAGGCAAGCGCUCGUUUCGUAGAGCCGACACCAAACAUGGCACACCAAGGGUUCUGGAGGUCACACCUGCCUCCAGAGACGCCGACGGAUAAACCGGACAUUGUUGUUGAGCCGCCAGCUCAGCCUCACGCUGUGCUCUGCCGUGGUCCACCAAAGCCUGAGCAUCAUUACCAGCGCGCGGCGGGUCGGGCCUACGAGGCUGGUUGUGGUGCCGCUCACUGCUCGACAGUGCCUGUGAGUCAAUGUGCAUGCUAUAACUCCGGCUUGGACGCGGGGUUGAAUGAAUCCAUUCACGACUGUAUGAAUAAGCCACCUGUUGAGCCACUGCCAUCUGAAGAAGCUCUCCGGCUCGCUGUAUCUCCAUCGCAGCUGGUGACUCAUCUUGAACAGGAAGGCUGCCAAACGGGUGGCCGCAAUGAUCAUAUUGUCCAGAGGGUUAGAAUAAUGACCCAGGGGCGUCGGAACAUGCUGAGGAGGGGUUAAGUUCAAACGUGGGGGGUCUGCAGCACGUGGCUAAACCGGUGUUCCAGCUGCCGGCGCCUUAAUGACCCAAUCCACAACAGGCGGGUUACUGGUUCCUGCCCAAGGCGUGUUGAAAAGGUUUCUCGCAUCGUAAACUGGGGGUAAAUGACUUGUAUGCCUUCUGUUAAAGACAAAGUUUGAUGCGUUCCGGUCUAAGCUCAAGCGAAAAUUUUCUGCUUGAAUCCGCUUUGCUUCGCUCUCCAAGGCAGCUCGUUCCGUUGCCAUCCGUGUGUUCUCAGUGUUAAGACCCUCCUUAGCUUGAGUUAUCUCAUCACGUAACUUUGCAACAUCCACAUUAUGUUGCGCUUGGUUCGCCGGGGUUACUUCCACCAUCAGCAAUGUCGCCAGAGCUUCCAAUAGUUCAGAUAAAACUUGAGCCGGCGGGCGCACAGGGCCUCCUGCCCUGGCUGCCGCAGCAGUUGCUAAACCGGAGAUCAUUGUUGCCGUAGCUAAAGAAUUCUGCACCGGCUGUGUACCGGCCAUCAAUAUUGCAACCCGGUUUGGCGACUCAUAUGGGUCCGGAAUGCUGUCGCCAUCGGAACAAUCCCCAAGCCUACCAUCUUGCACUUGAUACAUGGAGUUGGCCUCGCCGGUUUAGGACUCAUCGCCUGAGUAGAUGGCCGUCUCUCCACUGGACACAGAUCCUCCUUCCAGAUCCACUCCUUGAGUAAAGACAACAAAGACACGCUUUGGGGCAGCUUGAAUCUUGGCGGGUCGCGGGCGCUAAGCCGUUUCGACGAUGUCAGUGCAGGUGUCCGGCUCAGCUUCUGACUCACCGAUCUUGCCGAUGAAGACAUGAAUUCCGCCGAAGGGGACCCGAUACCCGUACUCAAUUAAGCCGGCCUCGGGGGCCCAACCCGCGUCAUCAAUGUAGAGCUUGUCGCGGUGACUCUUAGUCAUCCGGCCUAUAGCGUAUCCCUUGAUCCAUGCGUAGUUGUCCUUCAAGAACUCGAAACCACCGCGCGUUGGCCCCACGGUGGGCGUGAACUGUCAUGGACUUAACACGACAGAUGCCCUAGAAAGAGGACUUACGUGCGGAGCCACUGCCGCCAGGUUAGCUUGAAGGGGUUAAAAUGGGACAAAUGACACAGAGAGUUUUACCCAGGCCCGACCCCUCUUAACGAGGUAAAAGCCUACUCAUGCUUUAGGUUGUAUUGCUUGGGUUUCGAUUACUAGGGAGCGAAUACACUUGACCUAGUUCUCGAUCUGUUGUUUCUUGUCUUAACCCGCCACCAGUCACCCCUUUAUAUACACAGGCUGGUACCCGACGGCUUACACAGUCCCGGCCGGCUCAUACACAACGUGUCCGGCUCGGUGAAAACUGAGCUUGCCUUACAAUACAAGUUACACAUAUGGCGGUUUAUCCUCUUGGUCCUUAAGUCGCCUCUAGGUCUUGGGCCUUCAAUAGGCUUACUUCAUAACCCGCCAUCUUCAUCCUUGAGUUGCCAACAGUAUGACCCGACCCCUCUUGGGCAGGUCAUACCUAAUAGUUAUAUCCCCAACACCCCUGGAGCUGCACACUCUCGUAGGCACGACCAUGAAGUUGCACACCCUCGUUGGCAUAGUCGCACACAUGUGAUGACAGAGGCGUAUAGACUUGUUGCCACAGCAGCUCAAGCAGAACCGCGAGAGUUGCACACAUGCGGCGGGAUAGUCGCACAUGCAGAGAAGUUGCACACUAUUGUCCACAUAGUCAUACACGCACGACCGCGGAGUUGCACACUUUUGUCGGCAUAGUCGCACACGCACGAUGACAGAGCUACACACUCCCGUCGGCGUAGUAGCUCACGCACUUUCGCGGAGUUGCACGCUAUCAUUGAGAUAGUCGCACACACAUGGUAGCGGAGUCGCACACACACGACCGCGAGUUGCACACUCUCGUAGGCAUAGUCGCACACGCACGACCGCUGAGUUGCAUGCUCUCGUCAGCAUAGUUUCUCACAUGCGACCGCGUAGGUGCACACUCGGCCUAGCAGCUCACGAACGAGAGUUGCACACACGUAGUGGCAUAGUCGCACACACAACCAUGGAGUUGCACACUCUCGUCGGUGUAGUACCCCACGCACGACCACGGAGUUGCACUUUCGUCCGCAUAUAGUCACACACGCAUGGCCGCAGAGGUGCACUCUUGUCGGCAUAGGUGUCCACUCUCGUUGGUUGUGAGAGUUGCACAAGCGCGAUGGAGUAGUUGCUCACAUGCGGUUGCGGAGCACACCCUAUGUUGCUCACGAAUGGACUGCGGAGUUGCACAUUCUCAUCUGAUAGUUUCUCAUGCACGGCUGCAAGCUCUCGUUGUUAUAGUAGCUCAGGCACUACCACGUGAGUUCCACAUGCGCGGUGGCAUAGCCGUACAAUCACGGUUGCAGGAGUUGCACACGCGCAGUGUCAUAGUCACACACGCACAACCACGGAGUUACACGCUCUUGUUGGCAUAGUUGGCCGAGACAACAUAUGAAGUUGCACAUCCACUGUUAGGCCGUUGGCCAAGAUAACGAACAGUGAAAACUACACAUCUGUGGGUCGAGGGAAAGUUGUACAUCAACUUCUAUGCAGUUGGCCAGGGCAAGAAUCUACGUUGCACAUCUCACUAGUAGGGUAUAGUCUGGGGUGGAGGCGUCAUCCAUGAAAACAUCAUGUACAUGGUACAAGGAAAAGUUGUACAUCGACUGUUAGUUAGUUGCACAUUGACUACUAGAUAGUUGCACCAAACGGGGAGUAAGCCGCACACAUAAAAGUUCAUCGAAACAUGCUCAAGCGGGAUUUAGUUUCGAAGAGCACAUCCUGGCAGUUACAACGGUAAAAGCGGAUCUCAAUUUCGAUGUUAGGUUCAAAAGUUAUGACAUUUAAAAAAAUGAAAUGUGAAUUUAAUGUGUUCACACAUGUUCGCAUCCGUGAAAACUGCAUGUCUACGAGUUGGGGAAAAGUUGCACGUGAACUGUGAGGUAGUUACACAUCGACUAUUAGUCAGUUGCACAAAACGGAGAGAUAAUCGCACAUAAACAAAUUCGUCAAAACAUAUUCAUGUAAGAUAUAGUACUGAAGAGCACGUCGCGGGGAUUCCAACGGUGAAAACGGAUCUUAAUUUUGAUAUCCGGUUCAAAAGUUAUGGACUUUUAAAAAAAGUCUAAAACCCAAAUUAAAUGCGUUCACCCUUGUUCACAUAGAUAUCAUUUUUCUUUUCCUUUUUCACAUGAUACUUUUCCUAAUAUGAAUUAUGAGACAAAAGUAUUUCCAUAUAUGACUGGCCACUCCGAAUGACUAACGAGCCUACGGCCACUCGCUAGAUGCGUCCUAUGUUUUUAGGUUAGUUUACCUUUUUUUAACGGUUGAUUAUGUUAGUUUACCUGCCGUUUUUUUAGAAACACUGCGUAAGUUCUUUGGUGGUUAAAAUCGUGGCCCAACCGAAAGAAACAUGGUCAGGUCCAUGGUGGUUUGAAAGCCCAUAUGUGUUGAGCGGAAAAUAGACAGCAGCUUCCAGUAAUAUCGGGCCAGCGCAAAACGCUCCGCAGUUUCCCGCUUCCUUUUUUUUUAAAAAAACUUUUUUCACACUGCCGCCAAUUGUUUUGUCAGUCCCACCGCGCGCGUAGUUCAAACCCCCCAAAAACAUCAGCGCGCCAGAAAUUUCGCCGGUUUCCCUCCCAACUCCCCCCUACCGCCCCCCACGCCCCGCCUCCCCACCCCACCACUCGAAAUAAAUACAGAUAGCAAAACCGCUGAAUAGCGCAAAGAGGAGAGAAGCACCCAAGCCCAAGUCAGUUCUAAGCCUUGUAGCUGCUCGACCUAGAGAGGAGAGAGGAAGUCAGGUGAGGCAGCGGAUCCCCGGCGGUGUAGCUUGAAACCUCUUUUGCUUGCUUGGUUUUGCUGAUGGUUUCGGUGGGUGUGCAGGUAGGAGGCUCUGCUGCGAAGGGAGAUGGCCGGGAAGGGAGGCAAGGGGCUGCUUGCGGCGAAGACGACGGCGGCCAAGGGCGCCGCCGACAAGGACAAGGACAAGAAGAAGGCGCCUGUGUCCCGCUCCUCCCGCGCCGGGAUUCAGGUUUGCCCGCUCCCCAAUUCCCCCUCUCUCCUCUCUCUCUCUCUCUCUCUCUGAUUUUAAUCGAUAGUUCUUAUUGUGUCCCGCUCUACCCGCGCCGGGAUUUAGGUUUGCCGGCUCCCCAAUUCCCCCUCUUUCCUCUCUCUCUCUCUCUCUGAUGUUAAUCUCUAAGCGUUUCCUGCCGCGGAUCUAGUGCCAUGUUGCACCUUAUGUUUGUACGAGAUUUGUUGUAGAAUCUUAUUGUGUUCCGUUGUCUGUAUUGAUUAUCGAUUUGCAUGAGUAAUGAUUAUCGGUUAGCCGGUUCUUUUAGGCUGUCUCCCCCAUCUUAGUCGUGGUUUAUUUGUUCUAUUGUAAACUAUGUCAGAUCUAUGUUUUGCACUCCUGCAAUGUUAUGACAGUAUACUGAUUGUAGGCUUCAUUACCAUGCACUGGCAAAAGCCCUAUAUUUUAUUGAUCUAACUUGUAGCUGUACCUUUUGAAUUCUACCCACACUUGUACCGUACUAUUGUGUGAUCCGUUUACGAUUUUUUCUAUAUAUUAAUAACAUUGCCGGAGAUAGGCAUGUGUUUUUGUGAUGCAAGCAUUGCUGUCUACUUGGUUACUUGUGCCAUUCGAGGGAAUGCACUCUUCCAUGUUAUCAACUUACUACUGAUGCUGCAGGAUUCAGCAUCAUGAGCGCUCAAUCUCACUUGUUCUGUGUUUCUAGAUCAUUCACUUGUUCUGUAUUUGGCACAGCUAAUAUAUAGUUUCAGCUUGGGAUAUCCAUUAUCAGAACUGAUGUCUUUACUGUUCAUAUGUUUGCAUGUUUAAAUUAUGACCUCGUCAAUGGCUGAUCAUGACCUGCUCGUGUGUUUGCACCAUGCAGUUCCCGGUGGGCCGUAUACACAGGCAGCUCAAGCAGAGGGUCUCGGCUAAUGGCCGUGUGGGUGCCACUGCCGCUGUGUACUCUGCAGCAAUCCUUGAGUACCUUACUGCUGAGGUCCUUGAGCUGGCCGGCAACGCCAGCAAGGAUCUCAAGGUGAAGCGUAUCACCCCUCGCCACCUGCAGCUUGCGAUCCGUGGAGAUGAGGAGCUGGACACCCUCAUCAAGGGCACCAUCGCUGGUGGUGGUGUCAUCCCUCACAUCCACAAGUCCCUCAUCAACAAGACCUCCAAGGAGUGAAUGAAAUGCAAUAACGGGUAGUUGUUGUGCGUUGUAUCUUCGUGAUCCCCUGUUAUGUUGUGCUAUCUGUUAUGUGUUGCUAUUAUCACAACCUGAAUAGGUUGUCUGAAUUUGUGAUGGGGCUAGCUUUCGGUAACUUGUUAUUAGGUAAAGACUUGGCAAAUGUAAUCGUGAUAUGGAACUGCUCAUAUUUGGUUUCUUGAAGACUAGACAAUCCUUACUAUUCGUGUUCAUGGAUAUUAACUUUUUUAUUUUUGUUGGUUUCACUCGAGAUCACUGCAACUGGUCUGCCUGCUGGCUGGAUGCUUCGUUAGAUUAUGUGUAUGGUUUCUCUUGUCAAGAACAAAUUCUUUGACAGCAAAAUGGAUGUACAGAGAUGGAUUUAGAAAUGGAGGAGUAAUUUAUUUGUUGUAUGAUUCAACCAUAAAAUUUAUAUAUUUUCAGUGUGGAUUCAUAUAUGCUCAACAAGUUACCCCUAGUUGCACUUGCACUUAUUUAUGUUGAAGUUGUUGACGUAUAUCUAGAACGUUUACAACAUGUGUUGCCGCACAUUGUCCUCAUCAUCCAUAAUCAUGUUGUGCAAGAUUACAAAACAUGUCAUCAACUGCACAAUAUCAUUGGAUCCCACAUCAUUGCAGCUCCAUGAACAAAACCCCCAGGAUGCCGGAGCAAUCUGAAUGCCCUAUCCACAUCUUUCCUGGCACCUUCUUGCAUUCUUGCAAAAUGACAUUAUUUGUUACCUUGGCGCUUAGAUAUAGUCUUCACAAAAGCUGUCCACUGGGGACAAAUACCAUUGGCAAGGUACUAUCCAUUUUGUAGUUAUGCAUGUUGACAAUGUAGUUGCAUGCUGGAGUAUCACCAUCACAGAGUCUCUUGAACAACGGAGAUUACUAGAGCACAUUGAUGUCGUUAUGCGAACCUCGCAUGUCAAAUCUGCAAAUUCUUUGGUGCCACUGCUUCAAGCAUGAUGGUGGCCUCUUUGGUGCGACCUUGGUAUUGUCCUUGCAAACUUGUCGCGCAAUACUUUGAUAACCCACAAGUAUAGGGGAUCGCUACAGUCUUCAAGUGUAGUAUCUCACCCAAAUUUAUUAAUUCGACACAAGGGGAGCCAAAUAAUAUUUAUGAGCCUUAGCAGUUGAGUUGUCAAUUCAACCACACAUGUGAAAUUAUAUUUCUGCAGCAAAGUGUUCAGUAGCUGAUAUGUCUCCAACGUAUCUAUAAUUUUUGAUUGUUCCAUGCUAUUAUAUUAUCUGUUUUGGAUGUUUUAUAUGCAUUAAUAUGCGAUUUUAUAUUAUUUUUGGGACUAACCUUUUAACCUAGAGCCCAGUGCCAGUGUCUAUUUCCCCCCUUGUUUUUGAGUUUUACAGAAAAAAAAUACCAAACACAAUCCAAACGGAAUAAAACUUUUGCGAUGAUUUUUCUUGGACCAGAAGACACCAGAGGACUUGGAGAGGGGCCAGAAGGUUCCUGAGGAGGCCACAAGCCUCCUAGGCGCGCCGCGGGGGGGGGGCUGAGGGCUUGUGGGCCCCUCGGGAGUCCUCCAACCCUAAUCUUUCCACUAUAAAUUCAGAAAUAUCCCCCCAACAUCAGAGGCAUCCACAAAAAUACUUUUCCACCGCCGCAAGCCUCUGUUCCCGUGAGAUCCCAUCUUGGGGCCUUUUCCGGCACCCUGUCGGAGGGGGAUUCGAUCACAGAGGGCCUCUACAUCAACCUUGAUGCCCUUCUAAUGAAGCGUGAGUAGUUUACCACAGACCUAUGAGUCCAUAGCUAGUAGCUUGAUGGCUUCUUCUCUCUCUUUGAUAUUCAAUACAAUGUUCUCCUCGAUGUUCUUGGAGUUCUAUCCGACGUAAUAUUCUUUUGCGAUGUGUUUGUCGAGAUCCGAUGAAUUGUUGAUUUAUGAUCAGAUUAUCUAUGAAUAUUAUCUGAGUCUUCUCUGAACUCUUUUAUGCAUGAUUAAAUAUCUUUGUAUUUCUCUUCGAAUUAUCGGUUUGGUUUGGCCAACUAGAUUGGGUUUUCUUGCAAUGGGUACCCGCGAGUGAUGUGGAGACGGGUUGGCCAAGAAGGUGCCCGCGAGAUACUUACGAGGCGUGGCCGGACAUUCCUAGCCCCUGCCGCAAGUCCUCGAGACGGGGCAAUGGGGUCACAUCUUUCGUGAGUCUCUGCUUGUUACCACACGUUCCUAAUCCACUACGAUUUGGAUAUUUGAUCCAAGGGGCCUCUGGCCUGAUAGCACUAACCAUCACGUGGGCAUAGUAUGGGCGUUCUGCGUCGUAUACAUCAACCGAAGCUUAAUAGACAUCAGCGACUGAGCGGCGCGCGCCGGGUUGGACUGCGUAAGCACUUGCCUUUUUGAAGGAGGUAGCUAGGUCUGCUCACCGGCCGCCCACACAACGUGCAGGAGUUCCCGGGGAGAUGGCCCAUGACCCCUGGGGGCAUAGGUUUAGUCCGGCAUGCUUGACCUCUCUAUUAAGCCUAGGUCGGGUUGCGGCGUAUUGUUUGGCCGAGGCAGGGCAUGACCGAGGAAAGUGUGUUCGGCCGGAGUUAAUCGAGCGUGGUGGGUAAGUUGGUGCACCCCUGCAGGGAAGAAAACAUCUAUCAAUAGCUCGUCCUACGGUAACGGACACUUGGAGUUGUAUCCCGAUCGAUACAACUAAAACUGGAUACUUGUGAUGAGAAUUGGAUUGUGAUGAGGUGAUAACUGGAUGGUAUGGCUCUGGGAUUGCUUUCUCACAGGGAGUCGAGAAAGGAUCUCUGGCCGAGGUUGAUAACACUACUACUACUUUACUUUAUGCUACUCUACUCCCUCCUGUUUGCUGCAAGAUGGUGGUUUCCUGAAGAUGCUAGUCUUUGAUAGGACUAGGCCUUCUCUCUAUUCUGGCAUUUCUGCAGCCCAGUCCACAUAUACAGCCCCUCUUUGAUAAUGUUGCAUAUGUAGUGUAGAUCCUUGCUUGCGAGUACUUUGGAUGAGUACUCACGGUUGCUUGCUCCCCCUUUUCCCCCUUUCUUCUUCUUUCCGGUUGAUGCAACCAGAUGUCGGAGCCCAGGAUCCAGACGCCACCUUUGACGACGACUGCUACUACCACGAGGGUGCCUACUACUACGUGAAGACCGCUGACGACUAGGAAUAGUUAGGAGGCUCCCAGGCAGGAGGCCUUGCCUUUUCGAUCGUAGAUGCUUUUGUGCUAGCCUUCUUAAGGCAAACUUGUCUAACCUAUGUGUGUACUCACAUAUUGUUGCUUCCGCUGACUCUUGUGUAUUUGAGCUUAUGUAUUCGAGCCCUCGAGGCCCCUGGCUUGUAAUAUAAAGCUUGUAUUAUUUUAAUUUGUGUCUAGAGUUGUGUUGUGACAUCUUCCCGUGAGUCCAUGAUCUUGAUCAUACACAUUUGCGUGUAUGAUUAGUGUACGAUUGAAUCGAGGGUGUCACAAGUUGGUAUCAGAGCCGACUACCUGUAGGUAGCCCCCUUUCCAAUUCCUUGGCCGAAGUUGAGUCUAGUCACUAAAAAACUUGUACUAACAUUGGCUGUGUGUCUUACGGGCCCACAUCGCCAUUGGGUGGUAUUAGGAUCUUUUACUCCUCGUCUAUACUCUAGGACUCUUAACUCUCUUCUACUCGGGUUAAAUGAAUUUACUAACUCUAACAUUAGGAUCCCGUGACCACAUUCACCCCAAAGUUGGAUAAGCCAUAGUUAUUCCUUAGAAUAGCCUCUUGAAUAGUACACACACCGUCGAGUUGACUACUAUGUGGUAUCCAUCAUACCUCUUUCUUUAUGCAUGUUUCAUCAUGAAUGAUCCUUGUAUUUGCAAAUGCUCAAUGCUGAACUACCCCCUGUUACAUGUCAGCAGGAUGGUUAGACCCGCUGGUCGUGGCCAUGGUGCCAACGAUCCACCACCACCCGAAUUCUUUGCCGGAAUGAUGCAGCAAUUUGAGCUGAACCGCCAGUUCAUGGAAGGAAUGAUGGCUCAGUUUCCUUGUCCGAACAUGAAUCAGCAGCCAACCCCAGUAACUCUGCACGACUUCAUGCGCCUCAACCCAACUAUUUACCGCAACUCAACUCAGCCCCUCGAUGCUGAUGACUGGCUCCGCGACAUCACAUAUGAAAUGGAGUCUGCUAGUGUGGCCCCUGCUAGCUAUGUCACCUUUGCAUCAUUCUUUCUGAAGGGUCCCGCUGCUCAAUGGUGGGACAGCCAUAGGCAUACUCUACCUGUUGGAACAGUCAUCACUUGGCCGGAUUUCCAAGCUGCCUUCCGUGCUCGUUUUAUUCCUCAGGGAAUCAUGGACAAGAAGAAGCGCGAGUUCCACAACCUCACCCAAGGAAAUAAGGCUGUAGAUGCUUAUCAGUGGGAAUUUCUAGACUUGUCACGUUAUGCUGAAGAAGACAUUGCAACUGAUGCUCGUAAGCAAGAGAAGUUUCGUGACGGACUUCACCCGUAUAUCAAGCUAGCACUGCUCGUUCAUGACUUUGCUGAUUUCGCCACUUUGGUGAACAAGGCUAUUCAGGUUGAGACUGGUCUUCAGGAACACCAGGGAUCCCUCAGCGCAGCCGUGACGCUGGCUCAUCUUCGGGCCCGUCAGCACAGAAGCGUCGGAUAUGGAUCCCCCACAGCAUGUAUCAUCCAACUGCACCUGCUCCAAGACAUUCCUAUGUUGCACCUCGUCUACCUCCUCCACCGCAAAGGCAACCUCUUCGAGCUGUACCACCCAAAGCUCCUGAUCCCAACCCCAAUGAUGGUCUAUGCUUCAAGUGUGGCCUUCCAGGUCACCGCUCCAGGAAAUGUCCUCAGAAUCAGAAUCAACUCGCUCUUCCUGCUGCUGGUCGUGGUAACAAUCAACCCCGCAACAACAAUGCCCGACCUUAUGGUUGUGGGCAGGCUAACAACAUUGAUCUGAAUGAAGCUCAAGACCAGCCUGCUACUGUGAUGGGUACUCUCCUUGUUAAUUCAGUACCAGCUUCUGUUUUAUUCGAUUCAGGAGCAUCACAUUCAUUCAUGUCAGAAAAUUUUGCAUACGCACAUGACAUUCGAUGUGAGCCCAUGAACACUCUGAUAGUGGUACGCACCCCUGCGGGUCAGUGUUGAACUACCAUGAUUGGUCGCGACGUCCCCGUUGAAAUUGAAGGGUUGGAAUUUCAUGUUUCUCCCAUUAUUCUGGAGUCUUCCAAUAUUGACCUCAUUCUGGGAAUGGAAUGGUUGAAAGCACAAUACUGCCUCUAUCGUUUGCACCACCAAAGUCAUUCAUCUCCUACAUCCUUCCGAUGAGAUAGUAAGCUACCAUGCUCAGAUUGUUCAAAACGCUGAAGCAUGACUUUAUGCUUUGAAUGCGUUGAAUGCAGCACCUCUUGAGGGAAUUGAAAAGAUUCCAGUCGUUCGCGACUUCCAAGACGUAUUUCCAUAAGAACUUCUAGGAAUACCCCAUGCCCGGGCUGUCGAGUUCGUCAUCGACUUGAAACCAGGCACCGUUCCUAUUGCCAAACGACCCUACAAGAUGCCACCUCAUGAACUCCUUGAACUUAAGGAGGAAAUCGACAAAUCUCUUCGUAGUAGUUUCAUUCGUCCAAGUUUCUCUGCUUGGGGAGCACCUUCUCUCUUCGUCAAGAAGAAGGACGGAACGAACCGUCUAGUCCAAGACUACCGUCCUAUCAACCAAGCUACAAUUCAGAACAAAUAUCCCCUUCCUCGGAUCAAUGAUCUGUAUGAUCAACUAGCUGGUUCAUCGAUAUUCUCUAAACUUGACUUGAGGUUGGGUUACCACCAGAUCCGUGUUCGUGAAGAGGAUAUUCCAAAGACUGCAUUCGUCACUCGUUAUGGUUCUUACGAGUACACAAUUAUGUAUUUUGGCUUAACCAAUGCUCCAGCUACAUUCUCUCGUCUGAUGAACUAUAUAUUCAUGGAUUACCUCGACAAGUUUUUCGUAGUCUAUCUGGAUGAUAUACUAGUAUAUUACCGAAAAAAUCUUUCGCCCCGCUUUAUAUAUAAAGCACCAAACCACAAAGACCAUGAUAGAAACUCACGCCACCACCGCACAUGACACACACACCCAAGGCAAGAUACAAGGGUGCCGGGCACCGCCACACCACCCCAACGACUACCAAGCCACUACAAAUGCGCGAGGACAAACUGCUUGGAGCCACCAGAGACCUCCUCCUCCGAGGGGAGGUGAGACGGGAAUGACUGAACCAGGACUCCAAGAUGGUGCCUCCAAGAAGGGAACGACCACGAUAGCCGCCACCAUCCGAUCCCAAAGAUCGGGUUUUCACCCGGAGCAACUCGAAGGAGAAAGGCCACUGCAACGGAGCCUACAGGAAGGAUACGGUGUCCACGGACGCCGCCACCGUCAGCCAAUACAAGAUUGGGCAGGUAAUGAACCCCAGCACGCCCACCCCUCCGAAGCAACCUAGCUCCGUCAACCACCAGCGACCACCCACCCACGUGGCCGUGGCCGCUCGCCCGCACCGAGGCGCAAGUCCCGCCCACGAACUUCGUGCCUCCCACCGCCGGGGCCGCCGCCCUGCAUCCAGACACCCCCAGGACCGACCAAAGUGAUCAGCUUGGGCCAAAGGGCGCACCCGACCGAAGAAACCGCGGCAUACAUCCCGCCUCGAACAACGCCGGAGUUGCGUCAGCCCACACAUGGCUGGGGAACGGGGGAGGAGGGGGAGCGGACGCAUCCGGGCCGGCACACCCCUGUGCCAGCGACGGGUGGCCCGGGCUCGGCGGCGCCUCCCGUCCCUCCAGCCUGCCUCCCCACCGGACAACUCGGUAUCGCCCCACCUCGGCGGCGACCGCAGCUCCACUCGAGGCCACCAACAUACACCCGCCCACCGGCAAGGAGAGAUCCCGAGGGCCGCCACCAAUCGCGAAGGAAGCUCACUGAGGAGCCCAUCUGCGCGGCCCACCGUCGUCCAGCCGCCGAAGCUUCGGAUCCCGGCCAGCCCGCCCACCAGCCAACCGCUGCCGCGUCGCACCACCACUCGCCGUGGCCAUGGCAGGGGCAGAGACUAGCAGCCCGCACCGCCCUUGGCCCGUGCCGCCAGGUCCCAGAUCCGGCCUCGACCCGCGCCGAAGGACCCGGAUCUGGCGACCAAGGCACGCCCACCACCGCCGCGCCGGUCACGCCGCCGCCACGAAGCCGUCGCCAUCAGGCUCCAGCUCGCCGCCGUGCUGCCAUGCCCGCCACCAGCACCGCAUCCCAGGCGGCCGCCGCGACCCGCGCCGGAGGCCCCCACCAAGGAGACAAGGCAGCCCUGCCGCCGCCGGCGCCUACCAGGCUUCGCCCGGCGCGCCCUCUUUGGCGGCGACGAGGGAGAGGAAGGAGGAGGAGGGGAAGCCCGCCGGCGGCGCUAGGGUUUCUCCCGAGACGCGCGCGCGGGGCGCGUCGCGGGAGCGAGAGGGAGGAGGGGAUCGCGUCGGAAUUUCCUUUUUUCGUCGAAGAAUAAAGAAGAACAUGCUAAACAUCUUCGUCUUGUUCUGGAGAAGCUCCGAGAACAUCAACUUUAUGCCAAGUAUUCCAAGUGUGAAUUCUGGUUACCCGAAGUCACCUACCUUGGUCAUGUCAUCUCCAAGGAUGGUAUUGCCGUCAACCCAGAGCGUGUUCAGGCUAUUCUUGACUGGACCCCUCCGAAGACUGUCAAGCAAGUCAGAAGCUUUCUCGGACUAGCCAGGUAUUGUCGCAGCUUUGUCGAUAACUUCUCCAAGAUCGCCAAGCCACUUACCAAUCUGCUACACAAAGGCGUUAAGUUUGAUUGGAUUGAAAAGUGUCAGGAAAGUUUCCAGGCACUCAAGGACAAGCUGACAUCUGCCCCAGUGCUUGCUCCCCCUGAUUCUCGCAAGGACUUCGUCAUCUAUUGCGACGCUUCACGACAAGGACUAGGAUGUGUCCUAAUGCAAGAGCAUAGAGUGAUUGCUUAUGCCUCCCGUCAAGUGCGUCCUCACAAAGAGAACUACCCAGUUCAUGACCUCGAGCUUGCUGCGGUUAUCUUUGCACUGAAGCUAUGGCGACAGUACCUUCUCGGUAACCGUUGCGAGAUCUUCACCGAUCAUCAGAGUCUGAAGUACCUGUUUACUCAGCCAGAUCUGAACUCCAUCAGCAGCGAUGGAUGGAAGCUAUUGCUGACUACAACUGCGGUAUAUCUUAUACCCCUGGUAAGGCUAAUGUAAUGGCCGAUGCCCUGAGCCGUAAGUCUUACUGCAACAAUCACAUGGUCUACAAAUCUCAACCCCGCCUUUAUAAAGAGCUAUGCAAGCUAAACCUUCAACUAGUUCCAUAGGGUUCUGAUGUAGGGUGGAACCCUAUGUGGACGAUCUUUCAUGUUUGGAGUGGAUCCUACGGGAAAUCACGAAGAACACGCGGAAGCACAAAGGGGAACACGGAGGAAACGAGAGGGAAAUCACUCAACCAACAAGGAAUCAAUCACACAAGUGCUAGAUCACCGAACACAAAGAGAUACAUAUGAUCCACAAUCAACAAAGGUAAGGAUACAAAGGAACCGUUCUUCUCCGUGAGGAGGCCUUGAAAUCCACGAGGGGAUCUUCUCACGAGGGGGUCUUGAAUCCGAUAGGAUCUUCUCCGAGGAGGCCGCGGUCUCUCACGAGGAGGAGAUCCGGUGGAUGAGCGAAUAUCUAUCUCUAACUUGAGCUAAAUCAACACUAAAUCUAAUUAGGAGGAGGUGGAGGAGUAUAUAUAGUCUAGGGCCACGAAGGGGUAAGUGAAGGGGUACAUGGGCUGCGGCCCAACACACUGUGCGCAGAUAGGUGUCGGACGUCCGGAGGGUUCCGGUCGUCCGGAGGCUCGGGAAGGUCCGGACGUCCGGUGCUCUUCGGACUUCCGUAGAUUCGGCUCGGGUGCACUUCGGUCGGACGUCCGGAGGGGGCCGGUCGUCCGGAGGCUCGCGGGGUCCCGGACAUCCGAAGUUCUUCGGAUGUCCGCAUAUUCGGUUCGGUGGUCGCUGGCACGGUCGUCCGGAGGGGGCCGGUCGUCCGGAGCCUGGGAGUCGUCGGACGUCCGGUCCUGGUCGGACGUCCGGCCGCUGUAGCUUCGGGCAGCUUCUUCUCUUGGUCCUUGUACUUGGUGUCCUUGCCGUCUUGUCCAUGGUCUUCCUCCUUGUUCCUGGUCAUGCAUAGCACAUAUAUAUGAGGUAGUAACCAUGUCUCACAUGUGGGAAGUGAAGGUUCAGAGAGGAGCGAGUUCACCUUGUGUCCAAUGGCGUAUAGUUGAGGUCUCGUCACAAGUCCUCUUAGGGUUUGGAGAGUAGUCGGAGUGUACAUGGGGAUGAACGUGGGAUGCUCCGCAUCAGGUUCUCUGAAUAACCUUGUCCUGGAACCAACUCUUCUCAAAGCAAUUAAGUCUGCUCAAGCCAAAGAUGCACAUGUUGAUCUGAUGAAAAAGGAUCUUGACUUAGAGAAAUCCAGAGAUUUCUCACUUGGUGAAGAUGGAACCUUAUACUUCAGAGAUCGCAUUGUAGUGCCCCGGUUCAAGCUUAUGACAGAGAAGGUGAUGAAAGAAGUGCAUGACACCCCUCUCUCUAUUCAUCCGGGAAGUACCAAGAUGUAUCUAGACAUUCGUCAGAAGUAUUGGUGGUCUAAGAUGAAGCAAGACAUUGCUCGAUAUAUUGAAGAAUGUGACGUUUGUCGUCGCGUCAAAGCAGAACAUCAGAAACCGGCUGGACUUCUACAACCGCUUCCGAUUCCUGAAUGGAAGUGGGAUAAGAUCCAAAUGGAUUUUGUCACAGGCCUUCCCAAGUCUCAGAAAGGUAAUGAUGCUAUCUUUGUCGUCAUCGACCAAUUCUCGAUGGUUGCUCACUUUCUGCCAGUCAAGGAGACAAUCACUGCUAGUCAAUUAGCAAACUUGUAUAUCUCUUGAAUUGUGUCACUCCAUGGCAUUCCGAAGGAGAUCAGUUCAGACCGCGGCAGUAUAUUCACUUCAAAGUUCUGGGAUAGUUUCCAAGAGGAAAUGGGAACUCAUAUUACCUGGAGCACUGCUUAUCAUCCCCAAUCCCAAGGACAAGUCAAGCGAGUCAAUCAAAUUCUUGAAGAGAUCCUUCGAGCUUGUGUUAUUUCUUUUGGAAAGAAGUGGGAAGAAUCUCUCCCUUAUGCGGAGUUCUCUUAUAACAACAGCUAUCAAGCCAGCUUGAAGAUGUCACACUUCAAAGUGCUAUAUGGACGUAAGUGCCAAACCCCUCUGAAUUCGUCAAAAACUGGGGAAUGAACGCUCAUUAGUCGAGACAUUAUUCAACAAGCUGAAGAGCAGGUUCACAUUGUCCGGGAUAAUCUCAAGGCGGCCCAGUCCCGCCAGAAGAGCAACUAUGACCAGAAAACACUAGGGUUCAACUUAUCAACCUGGUGAACAAGCUUAUUUGCGUGUCACUCCUUUGAGAGGCACUCAUCGGUUCGGAGUCAAGGCAAGCUAGCUCUGCGCUACAUUGGUCCUUUCCGCAUUCUCUCCCAUCAAGGACUGGUGGCUUAUCAAUUGGAGUUGUCACCUCAGUUCUCUCACGUCCAUGACGUCUUCCACGUGUCGCAACUUCGUCGAUGUUUCAAGGAUCCGGAACGUGAAGUGGAUCCGGAAUUGAUUGAAGUUCAAGAUGAUCUCACAUACAAAGAGCAUCCAAUCCGCAUUCUUGAAGAAGCUGAACGUCGAACCCGCCAGAAGGUUACUGAUACGUCUCCAAUGUAUCUACUUUUCCAAACACUUUUGCCCUUGUUUUGGACUCUAACUUGCAUGAUUUGAAUGAAACUAACUCGGACUGACGUUGUUUUCAGCAGAACUGCCAUGAUGUUGUUUUAUGUGUAGAAACGAAAAGUUCUCGGAAUGUCUUGGAAAUCCAUGGAGGCAAUUUUAAGAAUUAAUAAGAAUUUCUAGGCGAAAGAAAUACACCAGGGGGCCCACACCCUGUCCAUGAGAUAGCCCCCCCCUAGGGCGCGUCCUCCUAUCUCGUGGGCCCCCUGGACCUCCAUCGACCUCAACUCCAACUCCCAUAUAUUCACGUUUGGGGAGAAAAAAAUCAGAGAGAAAGUUUCAUCGCGUUUUACGACACAGAGCCACCGCCAAGCCCUAAUCUCUCUCGGGAGGGCUGAUCUGGAGUCCAUUCGGGGCUCCGGAGAGGGGGAUUCAUCGCCGUCGUCAUCAUCAACCAUCCUCCACCAAUUUCAUGAUGCUCACUGCCGUGCGUGAGUAAUUCCAUCGUGGGCUUGCUGGACGGUGAUGGGUUGGAUGAGAUUUACCAUGUAAUCAAGUUAGUUUUGUUAGGGUUUGAUCCCUAGUAUCCACUAUGUUAUGAGAUUGAUGUUGCUAUGACUUUGCUAUGCUUAAUGCUUAUCACUAGGGCCCGAGUGCCAUGAUUUCAAAUCUGAACCUAUUAUGUUUUCAUGAAUAUAUGUGUGUUCUUGAUCCUAUCUUGCAAGUCUAUAGUCACCUAUUAUGUGUUAUGAUCCGACAACCCCGAAGUGACAAUAAUCGGGAUACUUCUCGGUGAUGACCGUAGUUUGAGGAGUUCAUGUAUUCACUAUGUGCUAAUGCUUUGUUCCGGUUCUCUAUUAAAAGGAGGCCUUAAUAUCCCUUAGUUUCCGCUAGGACCCCACUGCCACGGGAGGGUAGGACAAAAGAUGUCAUGCAAGUUCUUUUCCAUAAGCACGUAUGACUAUUUACGGAAUACAUGCCUACAUUACAUUGAUGAACUGGAGCUAGUUCUAUGUCACCCUAUGUUAUAGCUAUUACAUGAGGAAUCGCAUCCGACAUAAUUGUCCAUCACUGAUCCAUUGCCUACGAGCUUUUCAUAUAUUGUUUUUCGCUUAUUUACUUUUCCGUUGCUACUGUUACAACUACUACAAAAACCCAAAAUUAUUAUCUUUACUUUUGCUACCGUUACCUUUAUUAACAUACCACUUUUGCUACUAAAUACUUUGCUAUAGAUACUAAGUUAUCCAGGUGUGGUUGAAUUGACAACUCAACUGCUAAUACUCAAGAAUAUUCUUUGGCUCCCCUUGUGUCGAAUCAAUAAAUUCGGGUUGAAUACUUUACCCUCGAAAGCUGUUGCGAUCCCCUACACUUGUGGGUUAUCAAGACUAAUUUCUGGCGCCCUUGCCGGGGAGCAUAGCUCUAUUCUCCGACUAACUUGGGAUUUAUAUCUGUUGAUCACUAUGAAGAACUUGAAAGACGAUAGAACUAUGAUCUAUCCCUCAACUACGAGGGGAGGUAAGGAACUGCCAUCUAGCUCUGCACUAGAUUCUCCUUCUAUUAUUAGUAAGCUUGCGACACCUAAACCUGCUACUGCUACGAGUUCUGAUAUGUCACAUGUUAUUGAUGAUGCCACUUCUGCUAUGCAUGAUGAAACUACUUCUGUGCAUGAUACUACUUUGCCAUUAGGUGAAUUUCUUGAUGAACAACUUGCUAGAGUUAGGGGGAAUGAAAUUAUUAAAGAUGCUAUUAUUGAUGACAGUGAUGAUGAAGGUUCUGCCAAUGAUUAUGAAUUACCUAUUGUUCCUGAGGGUUAUGUUAUGAAUGAAGAAGCUGCUAGAGCUAUAUUUGCUUGCAAUGAUAGAUAUGAUCUUAAGAAAUUAUUAGCUAAAUGGAAGCAGUAGUCUCUUAAUGCUAGAAUGAAACCUGACCCUGCUUUUGCUACUUCACCUAUUUGUGUCACUGAUAAGGAUUAUGAAUUCUCUGUUGAUCCUGAAAUUAUUACUUUAGUUGAAUCUGAUCCUUUUUAUGGCCUUGAAUCUGAAACUGUUGUGGCACAUCUUACCAAGUUGAAUGAUAUAGCCACCCUAUUUACUAAUGAUGAGAAGUCUCGCUAUUAUUAUAUCCUUAAGAUAUUUCCAUUCUCAUUAAAGGGUGAUGCUAAGACUUGGUAUAAUUCUCUUGCUCCUGGUUGUGUGCGUAGUCCCCAGGAUAUGAUUUAUUACUUCUCUGCUAAAAAUUUCCCUGCUCAUAAGAAACAAGCUGCCUUGCGGGAAAUAUAUAAUUUUGUGCAAACCAAAGGAGGGAGUCUCCCACAAGCUUGGGGGAGGCUUCUCCGAUUACUCAAUGCUUUGCCUGAUCAUCCUCACAAGAAAAAUGAAAUAGUUGAUAUAUCUUUUAUAAUGGGCUAACUGAUGCUUCCAAGGACUACUUGGAUAGUUGUGCUGGUUGUGUUUUCAAGGAAAGAACAGUCGACGAAGCUGAAAUAUUAUUGAAUAAUAUGUUGACUAAUGAAAAUAAUUGGACUCUUCUUGAGCCAAUUCCUGAAGCAAUUGAGCCAAUUCCUGAGCCUAUUCCUAAACCCACUCCGAAGAAGAGAGGUGUUUUAUUUCUCAGUCCUGAAGAUAUGCAAGAGGCAAAGAAAUCAAUGAAAGAAAAAGGUAUUAAAGCUGAAGAUGUUAAGAAUUUACCACCUAUUGAAGAAAUACAUGGUCUUAAUAUACCACCUGUUGAAGAACCACAUUGUCUUGAUAACCUGACACAGGUAGUAAAGGUAAAUUCUCUCUAUAGAUAUGAUAAAGUUAAAAUUCCCUCUACUAAAUUUCGUAGCCCUUGCUUAGAUGAAUUUGAUGACUUUAUGGCUAGACAAGAAAGUUUUAAUGCUUAUAUUGGUAGCGAGUUAAAGAAUAAUGCUUUCGAGAUAGGAUGCGUAGGCGAUAAUAUAGCUAGAGUUAAAGAUGAACUCAAACUCGUUAGCAAAUAUGCUUCUAUGGUUGCUACCCAAGCUGAGCAAGUACUUAAAGCUCAAAAUGAUUUGCUUGAUGUAUUAAAUAAUAAAAAUGACUAUGCUGUUAGAGUGGCUACUAGAACUGGUAGAAUGACUCAGGAACCUUUGUAUCCUAAAGGCCACCCUAGGAGAAUCGAGCAAGAUUCUCAGAGAAACAAUUUAGAGGCACCUAGUUCUUCUAAAAAGAAGAAGAAGAAAAACGAUAAAACUUUGCAUGCUUCUAGUGAACAUAUUGUAGACACACCUGAGAAUCCCAAUGAUAUUUCUAUUUCUGAUGCUAAAACACAAUCAGGUGAUGAACAUGAACCUAGUGAUAAUGUCAAUGAUAAUGUUCAUGUUGAUGCUCAACCUAGCAAAAACAAUGAAGUAGAAAUUGAACCUGCUGUUGAUCUUGAUAACCCACAAUCAAAGAAUCAACGUUAUGAUGAGAGAGAUUUUGUUGCUAGGAAGCACGGUACAGAAAGAGAACCAUGGGUUCAGAAACCCAUGCCCUUUCCUCCUAAACCAUCCAAGUCAAAGGAUGAUGAGGAUUUUGAGCGCUUUGCUGAAAUGGUUAGACCUAUUUUCUUACGUAUGCACUUAACUGAUAUACUCAAAGUAAAUCCUUAUGCUAAGUAUAUGAAGGAUAUCAUUACAAAUAAAAGAAAGAUACCGGAAGCUGAAAUUUCCACCAUGCUUGCUAAUUACACUUUUAAGGGUGGAAUACCAAAGAAACUUGGAGAUCCGGGUGUGCCAACUAUACCAUGCUCCAUUAAAAUAAAUUAUGUUAGAACUGCUUUAUGUGAUCUUGGAGCCCAUGUUAGUGUUAUGCCUCUCUCGUUAUAUCGUAGACUUUAAUUGAAUAAGUUGACACCUACUGAAAUAUCUUUGCAAAUGGCUGAUAAAUCAACUACUAUACAUGUCGGCAUUUGUGAGGAUGUGCCUAUUGUGGUUGCAAAUGUCACUAUCUUAACGGACUUUGUUAUUCUUGAUAUUCCCGAUGAUGAUAGUAUGUCUAUUAUCCUUGGUAGACCUUUUCUUAAUACUGCAGGGGCUGUUAUUGAUUGCAACAAAGGCAAUGUCACUUUUCAUGUUAAUGGUAAUGAGCAUACGGUACACUUUCCGAGGAAACAGUCUCAAGUUCAUAGCAUCAAUUCUAUUGGAAAGGUUCCAACUAUUAUUAUUGGAGGUUUUGAAUUUCCUCUCCCUACUGUCAAGAAAAAGUAUGAUAUUCUUAUUGUUGGGGACUUUCAUAUCCCCAUUGAGGUAACUUAGUGUUAUUCGAAAUUUCUCCGGUUCCGUGUUAUUCGGAAUGAGUUUGUUAACAAGACUUGAUCAACCUUGUUAGUGGAUUCAUUUUAAUGAUCACGAGAUGGAUGGAACUAGAAGGCACAACCUUCUGCACCCUCUUUUUACUUUCUGUUAUUUAGAAUAAAUAAACCAAAAAUAGUAUUAUCUGUCUGUUUUUUGAAUUAUCCGUGCAUUAAAAAAUAGUCCGAAAAUAAAAGUGCUCCAAAUGCCCUGCAAAUUUAGUAUGAUUUUUUCUGGAAUAUUUGAGGAUUUUAGGCACUGAAAUCACUGCAGGAGGGGCAAGCACCAGGCCACGAGAGUGGAGGGUGCCCCCCCUAUAGGGCGCGCCCCUGUCUCGUGGGCCCCUUGUGGCCCCCUCCACUUAUGCCAGCACCCACACACUUCGUUUUCUACCCAAAAAAAA